Molecule: long non-coding RNA, 203226 nt
Filed under: Cucumis sativus (cucumber)
Lineage: Eukaryota; Viridiplantae; Streptophyta; Magnoliopsida; Cucurbitales; Cucurbitaceae
Description: long non-coding RNA (CSAT_LNC001219)
Rfam family: tRNA (bases 73477-73549)
Source: RNAcentral
UUUUUUUUUUUUUUUUAAUAGAGUGUGUAUCAUGAAGAAAUUUUUUACUAUAAGUUUAUUGAUUUUGUAUAAUUUCUCCAAAUGUAAUAGGGACUUGAGUAUUGGCAAAUGUCACUAUCCCCACCACAUAAUUUGAAAAUAUCUUCCCAAUUAAUCAAGGUAGGAAAGAAGAAAGUGUUAAGUAAAAAUUGUAGCUAAUAAUAAAAAAUAAGGAAUAAAUGGCAGAAGAUUUAUAAAUAUUUUAGCUAAUUUUGUUAUAUUUAAAAGUGUAAGUAUGUUUGAUAUAAAAUGAUAUUAAAUUUGUAUAUGGUUAUGAAUUAUUAUUUGCAAUAAAAAUGCAAUUUGUGUGUGAUUAUAAAAUAAUUAUAUUUAACACAAGAAAUUAAAGGUAGAUGAAGAUGUGGGUUUGGUGUUUGGUGUGUGCUACACAACACAAUACAAUUGACUACUCCUCCUCUUCAUUUUAAUAAUUAAUUCUAAACUCCCCCAAUCAAUCAUUCAUACAUUUCAUCUCAUUCAUCUCAUCUCAACCGUCUUUUGUAUGCUUUCUUUAAGAAACAAACCUCUCUUUCUUCCCUUUCCUUAAAACCCCACUCAAUUAUUACUCUCUUUUCAUCCUAACAUACCCUCCUAUCCCAUUAUAUUCAACUUCAAUUAGUGGUGAAAUUACUUUUUUAAUCUUUAAUUAAUCACUAACCUAGUAUAUGUCUAGAAACAUUUACGACCUAGACUAGUAUUAUUGUUGUGUGUGUGUGACAGCUAAAUGUCACCAUCUUUAUGUAUAUGUUAUAUAUAUUACUUUGUUGUUGUAUAGACUCAUGAGAAAGUAAUUAUAGCAUGACUUAUCACAAACCAUCCCUUUCAAUGCUAAACAUUUUUACUUUAGGCAUGCUAAAGCAUUAUUUAAUCUUAAAAAUUGAAAGAGUAAUCCAUAUUAUAUUCUACCAUUAUUAUGGUAAAAGAAGUUGUAAAAUGAGAGUUAAUUAAAAUAGAAAUUAGGAUGGGAAGAAUAGGGGGAUUUGCUAGGCUUGCAAGAUCUUUAUGCAUGGCGUGUUGAAGAAGAAAGUGUGUGAGCAACUAAUUGUAUAUUUGUGUAAUGCUAAAUGAUAUCAUUUGUGCAUUACAUUUGUCGUCUAUCUAAAGUGUUAAAUUAUUGGGGUCUUUGUUUCUUCUCAAAUGAGUGAGGGCCCAAAUUCUUUCUAAUUUUUUUAUUUUUUAUUUAUGAAGAUAUAGACAUUUCAUUUCCUAAUUACUUAAUCUCCAUUUAAUUUGUUUUCCUUUCUUUUUUAAAUCAAUAAUUGGUGUGAGAAAUUUUGCAAUUCGGACGUGGGAUUUCUACCUCCAUUCCAAUUUUAAAUGUACGAACGACUUUGGUUUAUGGGAUAGGUUUGUAUUCAUAUUUUGAGCUACAAAUUAAUAAUGUAUAUACUAAAGUAAAAAUAUUUACUAAUUUACUCAUUUUAGUUUCAAUUUUAUUCCCUUUUUAAGUUAUCAUAUGCUUUGAAAGUGACUAAUUAUUAAAGUUUAUUGGUAUGUAGAUAUUUGAGAAAUGAAGAAGUACCAUUUACAUAAAUUGAUUUCCAUUUCAACCUAACUAAAAAAUUAAAUUGGAAUUGAAUAAAUUCAAAACGAUAAUUAUUUGAAAAUCUUUAUUAUUUUCUACAUUUUGUUUCUAAUUUGUAUUUUAGGAAUGUUUUCAAAAUUAAAAUCAAAAUUUGAAAGAAAAAAAGAAGAGAGUAUCUAUUAAUUAUUUUUUUAUUUUGCGUUUUUUAAAAUUAAUUUGAUAUUAUAAACCUCUCUUUCAGUUUUCACAUUUUUCUGUGUUGCUAUUUACUUUGCUCUUUUAAAACUAACCAUAAGAGAAAAUAAGAGAAAAUAAGAGAAAGUGAGUUUAAUAUUUUAAAAAAUCAAACGGUUAUCAACAAAUAGUAACAAAAAAAGAGUUCAAAUAUUCAAAAUUUGAGACUUCUUGAAUGAAUUUUCAUACGAAGAAGCAACAGAAACUAACAAACGUAGGUACAAUGAAUAGCCAUAAAAGAGAGGAACAAAAUGAGUACGAAGAAAAGAGAAUUGAAGCCAUAAAUGUAGUACACAACAAAGAGGGAAAUUGGGGGGAGAAAGAUGUAUGUGUGUAUGCAACCACCAUUGCCCACCAACUGUUCGAGGAAAUGUCUAAAUGAAACCAAAGAACUCCAAAAAGAACCCUAUUUUCGGAAGAAGAGAGGGUGCUGGCAAUAUGAGCUGUGUGUGUUAUUUUUGUUCACACUUUUCAUUUACUUUUGAAGAUUGUUGCAUGUGAUGAAUCCAGAAGCCUCCACAAAAAUGUAUUAACUCCUCCCUCACACCCACCCUCCACCUAAUCAACCUUUCUUUCUUUAGUCUUUGUGUUUUUUAAUUGGAUUCACACCUUCCACAAAUUUUUUUAUCUUAGCAUUUACUUUUCAUUAAAUUCAAGUUUGUUAGAAUAUAAACAUGUCAGAGCUCAUCGUUGAGUGCACUAUACAACCUUGUGGUCUCACACUCAUUUAGAAACCAAGCAUGUAUUAUUAGCAGGGUUGUGUAAAUAGCCUUGUGUGGAUAUUCUCAAGGGGUAGUUAACUUUAAAUAAUUAUCAUUUAGGACCAACUUCAACGACAUCUCUAGACUUAAAGGAAACGAGUUGAUUGAGCGCUCAAGACCUACAUGCAACUUUAUUGUGUAGAAAAUUUAUAUACCUUAAACUUGAAUGAUAUACUACCUUUUAAUUUAUGAUGUGAGUAAACUUUCUUGAUGAAACUUGUCUGUUGAAAUGAGAUUAAAGUUUAGAAAAAAACCAAAAUGACAAAACUAUGAUAUAGUCCAAAAUUGAUUGAACUAUAAAGAAAUACAAUAUAAUGCCAAAGCUUAGAAUUUUCCUUUGAGAAUUUUGUGGAGGUUUAUUCUGUGGUCAAUCUUAUUGAAUUGACUAAGUUUUAUUAUUAUUAUUGGUCAAAAUUUGGGAGUUUUGACCUUUAUAAAAUUAAUAAGGUAAAGUUUGAAAAUAAUUUAAAUAUUGCCAACCUUGAUCCAAAUAGAUCGUGAAAUUGAGAGAUUAAUUUUGGGAGUUAAUACACCGUGUAAGAUCUUUUUUUUUAAAAAAGUGAAUACUAAAUUUUUAAUUUUGAAAAAUAUAUAAUCUAAUUGUUUUGCAAAUAAACUAAACACGGGUGCGACGAAUUAAGUUAGUAAGAAAUCAAGAUUGACAAGUAGGGAGUAAUAUGGAAUAUUUUUGCCAAACCUUUUACCUAGUAAUUUAAAUGAUUUAUAUAGAAAUUCCUAUUAUAUAACUAAUACUUAUUAAGCUCGUAAUGUCACAUCAUUAAUCUAUGAAACUGUCAUGUCGUAUCACUUGGAACAAUUACAGCCUCCACCACUAAAAAUGACCACCAUUACCUCAUUUGUUAGGCUAAUGCUUUCAUAGGUUAUCCGUGUAUGACUUUGUUGCCACCACAACCACACGACUUUUCUCCAAAAGUCCACUAACCUCACUCUAGGUUCCCACAUAGGUCCUCUUGUACUUACUCUCGACCUAGACCUAGUCCUCAUUCAAAGGUAUUCUAAAGCUUACUCUAGACUUCCUUCCAGGGGUAGCAUGAGUGAUCAUCUCUUUGCUUCCUUAUAAUUCAUCUAAACUACGUUUACGCUCUCUUAUAAGUCCACUAAACAAUACUUCUCUCUCGAGAAUCUUAAAUUUAACUUACCUAGAUAAAUUUAUUUACAAUAAAACAAUAGAAUAAUUUUUCUUUUUUUACCAUAUGGGUAUCAAACUUCUCAUGAUUAUUUUAUUACUAUUGAAAUCCUUUGAUCAAUUAAAAAGAAAGGGGAAGGUUUAUUUAUAAAUAAUUGGUUAUAGUAAUGUUAAUAUAUAUAGAUUGAGAUGUGUACGACUCAAUCUCUAUAUGAUUAAUUGAGUCGAACACGUCAACAAAAAUUCAAUUGGGUUUUAUUGCAUUCCAUUCAUUCCUCUCUUCCCCAUAACGUAACCAACUUUCUUUGCCUAAUUUUGUUUUUACUUUCAUUAUAUAAACAAAAUCCCUUCAUCUUAUAAUUUUCACUUUAAAACCUCCUUUUAGUUCCGUGGCUUACAAACAACAAUUAUUACUCUUCCACCUUAACUUUCUCUGCCUCACAAUUUACAUAUUCAUACAUACCCACUAUUUUAGUAUAGUUUCAAAGACUCGAGUAUGUUCUCAACUUUAUGCUCUUCAUAUAAUAUAUAUUUUUUUUAGAAAAACUGUCUUACAGCCUUCUCCAGACACAAUUUCAAGCUUCACUCUUCAGUAAAACUUUUGACAUCCAUUUUAAUAAAUUCUUUUUUUAAAAGAAAGGUAUUAUUGUGUUGAAAAAUUUAGACCACAAAAUAAAUAAGACGACAUACAAUUAUUGUUGUCGGUUCUAGAUCAAAUGUAGUAGUACUUACAAAGUUGAUAUUUGAUAUAGAUGCAUGUAUUUGGCAUUAUUGCAAGGGAAGUUACACAAAUUUAGUCAUAUUGGAGAUUGAAUUCAAAACUUCUUCACAUAUAUUAUUCUAUUUUUAUGUUUUCUUUUUAAAGAUCUUUUUAAGCCUAUAAACUCAUUCAAGACUCGUCAAUUUUCUAAUCAUCUUUUUCAUAAUUUAUUGGAAUUACGAAAUCCAACCGUUAUAUAAUAUUUAUUGGUACGAGACUUUUUUUGGUGAUUUCGAAAAAGAAAUUAUAGAAUUUUACAUUUAAAGUAAACAAUAUUAUAUUAUUACAUAAAUAUGUAGGAAAGAUCACCGUUUCAUGUAAACAUGGACUCGAUGCAACACUUGGGAGAAAAUUAGCGGUGUGUGGUGUAGUGUGUUGUGUUGUUCACAUGAUUGUAUCUUUUCUUAUAGUUUAUAUUUGUAUUUUUUUUCCUAUCUCUACGCUAAGAAAAAUAAAGAAUCUUUUUAUUAAAUUAGAGUGGUAAUCGUUUUAAAUAGUAAAAUUAUUUAAAAUAUUUUUCAAAGAUAAUAAAAUGUCACAAAUGAUUAGAUAUAUAACAUAAGAUAACACUUUGUUAUAUUUAUAAAUACUUUAGUUUAUUAUACCAUAUUUAAAAAUAACUAUUGUUCAUACCUCUUUAAACUAUAUGAUUAUAACUCGAAACAUCUUUUAUCAAACCCAAAUUUUGCUUCUAACAUGUCAAAUUAUCACUAUAAACGUAUUAAACAAAAUUAGAUUGGGUAAAUCAAAAGAUUAAUUACUAUCUUAGUUUACAUAGUAAUUAAUGUGUUUUUUUUGGUUGAAGUUGAUGAACUUUUUAGAUGAGAGAGUGUAGAAAAAUCCCAAACAAAGCUUAUAAUUGAUAUUAAACUAAAGAAAAACAAUGAUUGGUCCACGUAUAUUCAUAAAAUAGGAUUUGAUAAUUGGAGCAUACAGCUGGAGGGUGGAAAGGACCAUAAAGGACAAAUAUGAGUCCAGAAAGUACAAGGAACCGGACUCCUCCCUUGUUAUUGUUUACGUUAUGCCUUUCUAUUCAAUCUUUCCCCAAUUCCCACCACUUUCUUUUGAUCAUCUUUUAAUCAAACGUGAUUAGCAUUACACUUCAAAGAUUAAAAACUAUUUCCUUUUCUUUUUCUUUUUCUUGUUCAAUUCAACAAUGAACGAACCAUGCCAAUCCUUUUGCCUAUAUAAACCCCUUUAACCCUCCCUUUCUCUUCCCCCACUCGCUCCAUUCUUCAUUGUUUCUUAAGGAGAAGAGCAACAACCUUUUCUUUCUUUGGCCCUCUUUCUGUAAUAACCUUCUUCUCUUGUUCCCUCAUUCUUCUUUUGCUCUUGCCAUUUCGUUCCUAGUUGGUAAGUCCAGUUUCUUCUCAUGUGGUUCCCUGAUUUUGCCUUCUUUUCUCCAUUAUCUUCCUUGUUUGAUCUCUGAUUUGGAUUUCCUUUCUGGGUUUUGUUGGGUUUUCUAUUCUUGCAUUUUUUUUAAAAAAAGUUUUUAAUGGGUAUCUAAAAUGGGGUUUGGAUUGAACUUGUAAUUUGACUGUUUGAUAAUACUGAGUAACAUAAACAUGGGUGUGGUUUUCUUUGUUGGAAUUCCUUAUGGAAUAUUGAACUUAUGAAUGAGAUUGGUGUGGACUGAACUUUUUAACAGACUAUUUUGUACUGCAUUCUUGAAUGAACCAUUAAAAUUGAAAUUUUGAAGAGAGAGUAUGUUGUUCAAGCAUACUGAGAUCAGUUGUGAUGUUUUUUUUUUUUUUUUUUUGUAGGAUUUCUAAAUCAAAAUGGAAUACGAGAACCGGUUCAGGCAGGCUCAGAGACCAAAAUAUGAUUGUCUUCUUUUUGGUAAGAACUUCGUCUUUGAACAAUCAGAUUCUUUUCUCAUAUGAUUUUUUAUUUCUUUCAUUUGGAAUAUAAUUUGGUUCGUUUCUAAUGUGUGUGGCUGAAACUGUAGAUUUAGAUGACACUCUGUAUCCCUUGAGUUCUGGCAUUGCAGCUUCGUGCCUUCAGAAUAUCAAAGGUAGGAUUAUAAAUAUAAAAUAAAGCCUGAAAUUUCCAUUGUGUUGCGAUCAUCAGUUUCUUGAUGUUGUUUGUUACUUCCCUUUUUGUAGAUUACAUGGUUGAAAAACUGGGGAUAGAGCAGAGUAAAAUCCCUGACCUGUGCAAUUUACUGUACAAGAACUAUGGAACAACCAUGGCAGGUCUCAGGGUAUAGCUUCUUGAACUAAUUACUUGUUUCAAAAAUGCUUUGAAGAAGUGUAGAACAAUAAUAACUAAUGGGGUUUUUUUUUAAUAGGCAAUUGGCUAUGAUUUUGAUUAUGAUGAGUACCACAAGUUUGUUCAUGGAAGACUUCCUUAUGAUAAUCUAAAGCCCGAUCCUGUUCUAAGGAAUCUUCUGUUGAACCUGCCUUAUAGGAAAGUUGUAAGUAUUUGUGUCUUCUUUUUCAGAUUCUGUAGAAACUUAAGAUUCAUUUUGCUGAUUUUUUUCUCUUUUUGUGUGUGUAUAGAUCUUUACAAAUGCUGACAAGAUCCAUGCAGUUAAAGUUCUUAAAAAACUUGGAUUAGAAGACUGUUUUCAAGGCAUUAUCUGCUUUGAAACCCUGAAUCCAACCAACAAGAAUUUUGUUUCAGUCGAUAAAGAUGAAAUGAAUCCAAUCCCAUCUGACUCGAAAAUUUUUGACAUCAUUGGCCACUUUCUUCAUCCCAAUCCUGGGACGGAAUUACCAAAAACUCCCAUCAUUUGCAAACCAUCAGAGGCUGCCAUUGAAAGAGCUCUCAAAAUUGCAGGCCUCAACCCUCAGAGAACUGUAAGAGAAAGAGAACCAUCUUAUUCUUCACUUAUAGCUCAAUUUACAGUCCAUUCCCUUUCAACUUCAUUUUUGGUUUUAACUUGUUCCUUUUGCUGUUUUCAGCUGUUCUUUGAAGAUAGUGUUCGAAACAUACAAGCUGGGAAACGUGUUGGGCUCGACACCGUCUUGGUAAGACAUUUUGAAACCAUGUAGAUGAGAAAACAAAGGGCAGUUCCUGCUGAAAAUUUGAGAUAUUGUUGGCUAAUUUGUUUGUCUUUUUUGUUGUUUGGUACUAUAGAUUGGCACUUCACAGAGAGUUAAAGGAGCAGAUUAUGCCUUGGAAAGCAUCCACAAUCUAAGGGAAGGAAUACCUGAGCUUUGGAAUGUUGAAAUCAAAUCAGAAAUGGGUUAUGCUGGCAAAGUUGGAGUUGAAACUUCAGUGACAGCUUAGAACUACAACAUCCUUGUUAGGUUCUUCAAAUCCUUCCCCCAAAAAAUAAUGAAAGAAAAACACAAGAAAAGGGGAAAUCUUCCGCCUCCAGUUUCACUGGGCAGCUGUUGUAAAUAAGCAUUUUGAUUAUGAGAGUAAAGUUCAUAAGUGUAAUCUUUUCUGUUUUUCUACAAUCACUUAAUUAACAAAAUCAUUGAAAAAAAUCACUAAAAAAGAUGUUGCCAUCUAUAUUAGAUGAAUAAAACACAGAGUUCUCAUACUCUCCACUAAUUUUCUAUCCAUUCAAAUUCAUUGCCACCAUGUUUUUGCAUGGCUGUAGUUCACAUGUAUCAUGUUAUGACAACUCCAUCCAUUCUCUUUACACCUAAAUCACAUCAUGUACUGUUUUAUUAUCGUAAAAUGCAUUCUAGACUCAACUCAAUAUAAUUGACAAAACAAAUUCUUUCACUGAUUUGGAUGAGAUAUGAUAUUAUUUUUUAGGUUCAAUGCAACUCAUCAAAAUCUAGUUAUACGUACAAUAAUUUUUUUUUUGUCAAAAGAUGCUCACACUAUUUUCAAAUAAUUGCGCGUAUUGCAACCAUAACCUUAAUGAUGAAGAUUGAAUGUCAAAAUAAGAAUUAAAAAGGUCCAUUAUUGAUUGUACAAAGAACGUGAAUGAAUACAAUUAAUAAAGAAAGAUGAUAGGAAAUGACAAGACGUAAAAAGUUUUAUAAGAUGAAUAUGAAUAUAGAUAUCGAUUAAAGUUGAAUGGAGUGAGUUCUAUAAAUGAUGUACAAGGAAAAAGCAUAUUAUGAAAGGAUGUUAGUCCAAAAUGGCAAAAAUAAAGGAGGAUCAGUUCCCAAUUGCAUUAUAGAAAGAAACCAAGUUCAAACAUUUGAGUCUUUUAUAGUAAACAUUACAAAAUGCUCAACACUCAUAUUUUUUCUUACAUUUGGCCAAUCAUGGCUAUUUAAAUAUGAUGUGAGACUUGUAAAAUACAGUUGUAUAUUAUUUGAUGUGGUUUAAAUUGAAUGGCGGAAACAAAUUUGGACCAUCCUCAUUUGGCCACAUAGCCCACAUAUGGGCGACCUUAUAGAUCAACCUACUUUUUUAUAUAGAGAUUUGGCAAAUACAAUCCAUCUUUCAGAUUGAAGCUUUUUAAUUAGUAAAUUGCAAUCGUGAUGGUUUUAUAAUUCAUAUAUUUUGAGGGCAAUAUUGAGAUUGUUUCAUAUUCGAAUAUCUUAUCUCUUCCUAACAAUAGUCCAUGAUUUGGAGCGUUUAAUUUAAAAAGUAAGUUAUUUUAAAAUAAUAAUAAAGUGUUUGUCAACUAAUCAAAAUAAUAUCAAAACUCCUUUUAAAAUUUUGUUUGAUAAGAUCCAAGUGAUAUAUGUCUAAAUCUUUAAAAAAAACUAUAAUUGACUCGUAUAUCAAUUUUUAGUUCAAAUAAUUUAUGGAAUUGCGAGAUUUUUAAUAAGGAGUACAUUGAAGUUUUGAAAAGAAAAAUAAGACUAGGUUGAAAUUUUUCUACAAUUAGAUAAGAUUGGAGAUUAAUCUUCUAGUGCCAUUAGAAAAUUUUCAUUGACUAUUUUUACAAACAGACCUUAAAAGAUUGUGGACUGAAAAUUGCACCAGAUUUGAUUAGUUGAAUAGUCAACCAAAUUUUGAAAACUAUUUUCUUUUAGUUUUCAAAGAUAACUUUAGGUUUAAUUUUCAAGAACUACAAAGUUAAAGCUAAAAUGAUUGCAAAAGGGAGAUACAAAGAAAUUGAGAAUUGGUCAAUGAAAGAUAGACAAUGGCAUCAGCCUCUCGGCAUUGAAAGACUCUUAUUAAGAGCCCUCUUCUCCACUCCUUUUGGGAAAGUAUAUCUCAUUAUUCAAGAAAUUGCAUGCCCUUCGGAUCCAUGUUCCCCCACCCCCAAACUUGGCUAAGGACAGAAAGUCCCCACAACAGCAACAUUGGGUUUUAGUUCACAGAAAACAGAGCCUUCAUAGGUUGAGGAGAAUGAUAAUAAUUCAGCUCACUUUCUAUUAUUCUAUAGUAAUAAUAUAAUGCCUUUACUAUAGUAAUUCAGCUCACUUUCUACUCUAUAAUAAUAAUAUAAUAUCUUUACUAUAUACUUCAAGUUGAAAUCUCAUUCUAGAAUUCCACUUUUUUCUUUUAGUCUCAUAUGAAAAUGAGUAAGAAACAACAGACAGGGUUUGAGAAUGGUUUCUGUACUUCUAUCAGAAAAUUGAUCUAUAUUGAGAUUCAAGUACAACAUUGUGACUACAAAAUUCUGACACAAAAAGUAGAGAGGUUCAAAACUUCUUGUGAAGAACACUCUCAAGUGAAAACGGAGGAAGGCAAAAAAAUUCAGUUAUGUAUUCCUACCCGUACAGGUAGAACGAAUGGCAAUGAUAGCUCUUGUUGAUUCUCUAACUGAACCUCACAAGACAGUUGCUAAAUAAGAUUUAUAUACUUGGAAUGGGAAGACGUCUUCCGUCUAAAAAAUUACAUGGAGCAUUGGAGCUUUCCUCAACAAUGAGUUUCAAAUUUCAAACGCUAUCUCCAUAGUUAAAACUGUUGAAAAAAUUGAGAGAAUUAUUAGUUAUGAAUAGAGGUGGGGUUAUCAAAAACCAAGAUAAAAACAGAGAUACUUGUAUAGUAGUUACCUCUUGGUCCUCGUGCAAUCUCUUUCGGUUUGAAUAGCUAAGGGCCAAAAGACACUUGCAUAUGUGAUCAGCACAAAAUACAAAUCCCAUCUCAUGUUUACUCGACAGAAGGUUUCCAUGUAGAGAUGGCAUAUAUAAUUCGACCCUUCCAACCCUGAAGUAACCAUCUGCUAUCUUCAUCAAUCAAAAAAUCUCUGUGGUAACUUGAUCGUACCUUUUCAACUGCUCUCUCAAAAAUCUCAGGAGCAAAAGGCAGUUGCACAAAUCCAGCCCUCAUGAUCCGAAAUUGCCACUGCUUGUAUGUUUCCGGUCUUUCCACUCUCUCCCAUCCCUCACAUGCUAUAACAUUUAAAGCUUCCCUGCCAAAAAUCUCUCUCUCCAACAGCAUUCUCUCGUAAUCCUCGCGAGGUACAACGGUUUCAAGCAUAUCAAAAAUAGCAGAAAAGUGAAACAAAGCCUCUCGGAAUCGAGUAACAAAGAAAGGGGCAUUAUAUGCCCCAUUGACAAUGCCACUGAUGAAUAAGUUAGGACUAAUUUUGUGAACCAAUUUAAGAACAGUAUUUCUAGCACUCUCUGUAGAAACGCUCUCAUCAAGUAAAUUUUUUGCUCGAUACAAACAGUUAACAACUAGGAACUCGUCUUGAUCAAUAUUGAGAUCUUCAACAGUAACAGAUUCCCAUUUUUUUGCUAUAGCAUUAUACUCGAAUGGCACAUUGAAAGUCUCUGCAUAAGCCGCCAAACGACGACCUGUCUCCUCAACUCUCUCUGCAGGACGAAACCCAGGCUGGGGAAAUUCUAUUCCAGUAAUUCGAAGCUUCGGAGGUCCACCUUUUCUCCAUGACAAUCUCUGGAUUAAAGUAGGCCACUGGAAACCGUAAAGGAUACCAAAAUCUAUGACAUGAAGCCUAGUUGCGCUUUCUGCAGCAAUCAUUAUAGUCCUGUUUGAAGUAAAAUUAGAGAUCUUUCUAAAUGGGCAUGCAGCAAGGUACAAGUGGUAAGCUUUCAGUACAUCAGCAGCAGAUGUCCUUUUAUUAAUUAGACCUUUGUAAAUCUGGCUACCAGUACCUGCCAACCGUGCCUCCAGACCAUCAGCAAAACAACUAGCUAACCUCUGACUUCCAUCACCAAAAGGAGAAGCAUGUUGUCUGACCUGCUUUAGAAGUUCACUGGCAUUCCUAUGGUCAUCAGCUGCAACAGCUUGAGCACAGCUAAUUAGAAGAGUUCUCAAAUCCACAACCUCUUUUUUCGCACUCUGCUUCUUCCGACGACCCCUACCACCAUUAGACACUUUUAGCUGCCCACUCUGCAGCAUGCUUUUGAUUUUAGCAUCAUGUAAUUCCUGUCGAAAUGAAACUAACCGUUCAUGUCCCUCUCCAGCACUACAAAGCAACACAAUAUCAAACAUCUUAGAUCGCAGAGGCGACUCUGCAAAUACGGCUGCUUGCUUGCUGCUUCUCUCUUCUUCCAAAUCUCCAUUCUCAUCAUGAGGAUUCUUUCUACCACGUGAUUCAGGUGAGAAAACAUUCCUCUGAUCCUUUCUAGCUGCCUUCAAAUAUAUUUGGCUCGUACCCUCAUCGGGACCCUGAGUUGCUGACCCAUUUACCUCAAAAUCAAGACACAAUUUGUUUCCACCAGGUAAAAAUUUGCUUGCCUCUUCAAAGCCUUUUUGAAACUGCCAAAUCGAUUGGCUUCUGUUAUUAGGCUCAGGAACUUGAAUUGUAUUAUUAGAGAAGUCCACCCACCCAUCACCCCCACUAAUUACACUAUUUGAGGAACUAUUAGAUGAUGGAGAUAUGGUAUCACCUAAAGCGCUUCUGAUUUGAAAUACAUCUUCACUCAGAGUUUGAGGAUCAUCAUCGCCACGAUAAGAAGUACUACUGUAAUUACUCAGGUAAUUACUACUAUCUCCACAAAGUUCUUCGUUCAAGCUAUCGGUGUAUUGAUUGGCCAGAGAUCUAUUUACCUCAGGGGAAGGAGGAUACUUUUUUCCGAGGACCUCAUAGAAUGAUUUCUCAGCAGCUUGAAGAUCCAAAGAAUCUUGAAGCAUGCAAGUCUUGUCCUCCAUAUCUUCUUCCAUGAGAAUUUGAUUUAUGAAUGUCAAAACAGCAUCCGAAAAAUCGCAAUCUUCCAGAUAAUCUUCCUCAUGACUUGCAUCAUUAGAAGAUGAGGUUCUAAUGCUGGAACUUGAGGCUAUGUUGCUCGGUGAUGGAUUAGGGAGAAGGCAAUCAAAUUCUUGAAAGUUAUGACUAAAAAUGGUAUUCUGAAAUCUAGGCCUGCCAUGGGUGCCCUCUUGUGCUUGAAUCCCAAAAGGACGAUUAUCUAUGUACCGAUCCGACUUUCUAAGUUCUCUAUCUGGGGUCAUUACGAUAUUGCUAGUCAUGUGGCACCGUAAACAAACAACUUAGUCAUAUGCCCUAUACAUUCUUUUGUGUCUUUACCUACAAAUUUUAAGAAAGAAAGUGAUGGAGCAUUAGAAAUAACGAGUAACCUUACAGUUGGGGUUGCAAUCUUAUGAAAAUGUAAGCUAAAUAACUUUAAACUAGUGAGAUCUAAAGUUGUCUUCUUAGCUUUCACUAUGCUUCCAUUUUCCAGGAUAUGUGUCAAUUUCACAACAUUAGUUCAAUGUACAUCAAUUUCAUAGGCAUUGAACCCAAUGGAUAUGUAUCAAUUUCAUGCAUCGAUAUACCGCAAAAAUUCUAAGAGCGUCAAUUUCACUUGGAGCUAUUGAACUUGCAUCAAUAAUUUCAUGCCACAGACAUGCAUAAAUUCCAACAUAAAUUCACAUAACAUUUUUGUGAUGCUAAAAGCACAUCUGACCAUGGAUAUCGUUCUUAAACUUGUAUAGUAAAUCACAAAAAAAAAAGUUAUUCUCAAUUUACAUAAAUCAUACAUAACAUUCUCUUCGGCCAGCCAAAAACAUCAUUAAAUAAUUUUUCGCUGACACUACGGCAUUUUAGUAGUAGUGCCACUCACUUCAACUCAAGAAAGUUAAGUUUUUUCUAGGGUUACGGGAACCUUAACAAUUCUGAGAGCAAAUUAGUGACCCGAAGAGAUCAAUACAAAAGCUUAAAACAUGGAGCCUAGCUUCACACGAACGAUCUCGCUCUUGAAGAUAGCCUUACGCCUUAAUAUAUUUAAUCUAAACUAAACCAAGAAAAUUCCAGAAUUAGGACCUAAAGUAAACUCAUGCAAACUUGAAAAGGCUAAAGGAACCGUUAUUACCAACGAAAACUCACCCAACACAAUCUGAAUCCUUGCUUGAUUGACUACAAAAGGACUUGAUUUCACCGUUCCGAGCUCCCUGGAUCGUAAACGAAUACAAGAUCUUUUGGAUAGUGGGUCACGAGACUAAAGUCUUUGGAGACCCAAAAAUCACAGGUUCACUCGCCGGGACGAGUAUGUGAGCGUCGGAGCAGCCUUGCCGUCGCCUGAUCGGGAUGUGAGAGCCGCAGAUGGAAUCGUGGAGGUAUGAUGCUUCGUGCCGCGACCGAAGGUGAGACGGCGACCUGAGGUACGACCGGCGCAGGGCGGAGCUGUAGACACAAUUCGAGAGAGGUAGAGAGAGAGAGAGAGCAGUUCUCUCGUGAUAUAAAUGGAUACGGCGGUGCAGGGGGAGCGGCAGCCGGAGUGAGAGAGUCGAGCGAAAGAGAGAGAGGGAAAUGGGAUCGAGAGAGAGAGAGAUGCUGAGACCUGAGAGUGAUCAGGGAGAGAGAUCGUGAGACGGAAGUGACGGCUGGGGGUUUUUCAGGAAAAGAAAAAGGUUAUAAUAAUUAUUUUCUUUUAAAGCCAAAUCCUAGUAGACUUAGUCCACCACCAAACCAAAACUCACCCUUUUUAAGUACAAAACUCUACUCGGUUUAACUUUACAACACCACCAUAAAUCAACCACUUUAUAACUCCACCAUAAAAGUUUUAUCUUUUAUCUUCUUUCCUAACAUCAAAAUCAUUCAUUACAAAGUUACCAUAAAUCUAUCCAAAUUUUCAUUUUAACUUAAAUAACUAACUCCUAUCAGAUUCAAAUGUGAAACUAUUACGAAGCAAAAACUAUAUACAAAUCCAAUUUUGAAAAUAGAAAUUAAAUUUGACUUAACAAGAAAGAAAAAGUACUUUUUUCUCAUAUAAAUAAAGCAAAGGCGUCCGGUCCGUUUGAACCUGUGAAAGAUGCUAAAACAAAAAGUCGUCGAUUUUGAAGACCAAUCACGACCGUUGAUUCUAAUCGAACCGGCUUAAUCGGUUGUUCCAUUGAAAAUUGACCGAUAAUCUCCGUUUUCUCUUGAUAAACAUACACGUGUCCAUUUCAAAACAAAACUCAAUCCGCAUUAAUCACACGGGUUUACUAAAAUACCCUUGACUUAAAAGUGUGUGUCAACAUGUACUAAACCACUAGUCCACACGUGUUGGCACGUGGAACAAAUCAGACGUGUACGGUGGAGGGAAUAUUAUGAUUUUUUUAGGAAAAGGUUUUGUAAUAAUUUGGAGUUGGGCCUACAAAGGAAAAAGCACCAAUUGGACGAAGAGAAAGAUGGAGAAGUCUCCAGUAAAGUGCAAGAUCAUCGUAGGUUUGACUUGUUUUUUGAACUUUCCCGCAAUUACGGGUUUGGUGCCAACCGAAAUCGGUUGCUUUGGAUCUCUUUUUCCCACUAGCGGUCACGGUGAGCGACUCCACCCUUAACGUUCGGUUCGAUGCAUUGCUCGCAUUGAAUAAGAUUAGUCAUAAGGUGAUCAGUGAUGUCCUCUGUACUUCUAUUUUGUUUAUUUGUUUUUAACAUCAAUUUGUAAAGGCUACAUUUUCAAUUUAUGUCAAAAUGGAUACAGAUUAGCUGAUAACAACCAUAAAUUUACUUGAAAGAAAAAUAACAUAAUUGUAGUUGUAGAACAAACAAAAUUUACAGCGGAGCAAUAUUUUUGAAGUACAAGUUAUAUUAGAGUAUUUAUAAGUAAAAAUAUAUUAAGAGUAUUUAUUAGAGUCUAAGUACAAGUUUGAGGGGAAAGAUGAAGUCACUCAUUCUUGAAGUUAUAUUAGAGUAUUUAUAAGUAAAAAUAGAAGAAACGAGGCUUGAAACUAAGCUUACCGAAGACUAAAAGACAGUUUUAUCAUUCUAGUUAUUACUGUUAUUGGUACUUUGAUUUUAUAUUAUAUAAAUAACGUAAAGUUGAGGGGUUCAAGCCUCCUAUAAUUAUAAGAAAGUUUGGUAUGUGUUUAUUUUCAUUUUCUUGAUAGAAUGCGUUAAUUGGAGAAAUAGUUGAAUCAUGCUUGGUGUGAACAUGUUUGGGGCGAUUUUAUUUUGUCGUGUCGUUGGAUUAAUUUUAAUAUUUUGGAUCACAUUUAUCUAUAAAACUAUUGACCUCUCAUUUCUGCAUUAUGUUGGUCUGGAUGAUAUAGUGACAAAUGAAUAUGUAAAUAAUCUUCUAUAGCCUUCCUAUAUUGGUUUUUAGAUUUGGAGAUUGAUAAAAUAUAAGACACACUUGUAAGAAAUAAAUAAGUAAAUUCAAAGAAACGUUAAUGGUUAGUGAAAUUAUAUUGCACUUGCAUGGUCAUUAUAUUUCAUUUUAAAUGAAUGCAGUAACAACGUACUAGCAAGCAAACAUGUAAGUAGUUAACUAAUUAAUCAUUAGUCAGCGAUAAAAAAUCAUAUCAAUAGUUCUUAGUCUUACUGAAGAUUUACUGACAUAGAUCUGUCGCUAAUACAACUUGCCAAUAGCUUAUAGUUAAUGUUAAAUAUUUAAUUUGUUAUCGAUAAACUCAUGACGUUUGUGAUAACUUGAUAGAUAUUUUAUAAUUUUGACAAGUAUACAUUUGAAAUACUUAAAAAUAUUUCAAACAAAUUGUAAUCGAUUAAGACUAGUUUUCUCUCGGCUUGCUCAAUUGCUUUAGUAUUUGCAUCAAUGAUUUCUUGAUUUCUUUCGUUCAAUAUUGGCUGUUCAAAUGACAACAGUAUCUGCAACGUCGAUUUAAGACAGCUUCCUUUCAGUUUGUUUAACUUACAAGUCAAAUGAAAGAGAUGAAGCUUAAGAGCUUCCUAUUUCGCUCUGUGAAGCAAUAUUUCUUACUUUUUUAUCAAGGAUAUCUAUUUUGGUCUUUACAAUACACUCACUUUUACUAAUACUUAUUUACUUUGGAUGUAAAUCCUAUUAGUUUUGCCUUCCGUCUUGUUUCAAAAGAUCUCGUACCAUUUAAGAUAGUUAUUGUCAAUCAUUCCUUUACCAAUGGAUCUAAGACUUUGGUUGCAUUUCCAACAUGCUAUUGUUCAAGAAACAUGGUUUUCUUGAUAUUUUUGUUGUCCAGAGGUUUAAGAUUUAUCUAUGUGGACUUGCGGGUUUAUCUGCAGGAUAGGUACUUGAUAGCCUUGAAGCUGAAAAGGGUUUGCAGUCAUUCAUUUUGUUGUUGUUACUUGUUAGUUUGACACUCAACAAUGAUUGAAAAAUUGUUGAUUGUGCACGGAGGCCUGAAUCUUGAAUUGCUAUGAAAUGCUGUAUGAUCAAGUGAAACUCUAUGUUGUUUUUUAAGUUUCUUUGCGCCAGAUUGGUAAGAGUUUGAAUUCGGUUUCAAAUGCAAAUGGUUCACUUAGGAUAGAAAAAUGCAAGUGUUUAUCUAUGAAUUUCACAUGUAGUCGGUUUCAGGCAAAACUUGUAUACUUUUAGUAAUUGGAAAAGGAACGGAGACAAUUGACAGUUAGUACUUUAAUAGCUCACUUGGUACGUUUUGCGUUGGUUUCGGUUUAUAUUUAUCCAGCCUGCUUGUGACAUGAUGUUGGGCACUGGGGAAAGACAUCUGGAAGACGAUGCCAAUGAAGCAAUUGAUGACAUAGAAAGCAAGAGCGCACAAGAGUCGACCACAGCCUUUCGUUGGAAAAGGUGACGAAGGUGUCAAUAACUGAUUCAUCAAACACUAUCCAUUGCUCUAUAGUCACGAGCAUGGGGGAGAUUUUCAGGUGCUCUUUCUGAAGUAAAUCAAGUGUCCAGAGAGAGUCAACACAGCACAUAUAGAGCAAGAGGAAGUAUAUGAAUUAUUAGCAAGAGUUGAGGUGAGCGACUAAACAUUUUACUUGGUGUUUACUUUCUCAUCAUGAUGGACAACAGAGUCAAGAAUUGCUCUCUAGGUUGACUGCAAAAAGAUGUAUAGUUUUCCACAGGCCCAUUAAACUUUUUUUAAAAAUCCAAAAUCUUGAUUGCUAAAGCCCAGUCUCAGGUCCAGUCCUUUUGUUAUUUUUACUCAUCUAGUUCAGAUGAUCUGUGAAUAUUGAGUCAAGUGUAUGACAAAUAAUAUCAUCUCCAGUAGACCCUUGCAGCAUGAAUUAAUUAUUUAAAGUUCGUUAUCUUGUGAAACAAAUAACAAACAUCUUUGAAUUAGUUAUUUUAUAGUUUAUUAUUGACUUUGAUUCUUCUUAUUUAGAGUAGGUCAACCAAUUCACUUGAAGAAUCUGAUGGUUGAAGUUUUCUUAAAAGGGAGUUGCUAGCUCAACUGCAACCGCCUGAUUGUUGAUGUGUGUCUAUUAUAGAAAAAACCAUUAACUUACUGAAAAUAAUUGUGUAUUUCUUUCUUAAUUAAUUGGUAAAAGCGUUUGAUUGUUGCAAGGAAUCAUACAACCAAAAAUUUACAUAUGCAUAAUAUCAAUUGACGUAUUGAAGACUACAGCAAAUAUGUAGCCAUUAUACGGCAUAUUAUAUUUUAAUAUAUUUGACAAUUCUGUUUCUGUUUCAUGCCAUACACAAGCUAUAGUUUGAACUUAAUAGUGAUUCAUGAAGACAUACGAAAAUUUCAAUUCUUGUUAGUCGUGGAAAAGGAAAUAAAUAAAACGAAGUUAAUUGGGGUCUGAAUUUUCUUCUUGUUUGUAUAUGACUAUCUAAGCAGCCAAAAAAAGAAGUUUCUUUGUGUGAGAGAAUUUUAACACAAGCCAUCUCUCGUUAAGAACAGUUGGGCGUCUAUCAAAUAUUAAGCGACCAUGGUAGGUGAUCUUUGACACUUGCACCCCAAACCAUCAUUCGUUAAGCUUCUAUCAUUGUCUAAAAUAAACAUACUGUUUUCUUCCAUCUUUUUCUCUUUUGGGUUGUUGAUCAGGUUCAUCCCACCGUCUCAUCCUAAACUUGAGAAGAGCUUCAAUGGCAGAACACCAUCCUUUAGAUAUUCAAAUCAAUUCCCGGCAAGGUACUGCAAUCCACCCUAUAGAGGCGGAUGGCCAGUCGUUACAGGCAUCAGGUUCAGUUGCUUUUUGGGAAGUCAAGCAAUUCAGGAAAUGGAUACCUUGGUUAAUUCCAUCAUUUGUUAUAGCCAAUAUUGUUACGUUCUUUAUCACCAUGUCCGUUAAUAACUGCCCUAAGAAUUCAGUCUCUUGUAUUGCUCGAUUCUUGGGUAGAUUCUCUUUCCAGUCCCUAAAAGAAAAUCCUCUGCUUGGACCUUCAUCUCUAACGUAAGUUGCUUUCACUGAAUUCUUCCUUUUUUUUUCUUCCAGAAUCCAGUUUGUAUCAGUUAAUCUUAAACUUUUCAUCAUUCAAGUGGUAUAAAUUUUCUGGGUUAUUGCAAAUUAAUAUGAACUAUGCAUCUUCCACUGAACCAGUUAUUGCUUGUGUUUCAGGCUACGGAGGAUGGGUGCACUAGAAGUUAAUAAAGUUGUUCAUGGAAACCAACUAUGGCGUCUUAUUACUUGUAUAUGGUUACAUGCCGGUGUUUUUCAUUUAUUGGCAAAUAUGUUAAGUCUCUUGGUCAUUGGAAUUCGUCUUGAACAAGAAUUCGGAUUUAGUAUGUAUCUUUUAUCAUUCUUUCUUUUUCUUUUCUGGUGUUGGUAGCAGAACUAUUGUUGGGCACUUUAUUAAGAGUUAUGUUUGUUGUAUUCUCGGAUAUGGAUUCUUUUAUGUUUAUAUAUUUAGUGGAUUUGAUCAUCGCCAUUCCACCCCUUACAAAUUCGUUUGUGGAUGUUUUACAGUACGGAUAGGUUUGCUAUAUGUUAUAUCUGGAUUUGGUGGGAGUCUGUUGUCUUCACUAUUCAUCCAAUCUAACAUUUCUGUUGGGGCUUCUGGUGCCUUAUUUGGGUUGCUCGGAGGAAUGCUUUCUGAACUCAUCACUAACUGGACGAUAUAUUCUAAUAAGGUAGUCUUCAAAACGCAUUUGUAUUGGAAUUUUCAUAUGAAUCCUGACACUUGUCUUGGUUGUAUUUUCUCGUCUUGUUGCCCCUUCAGGUUGCAGCUCUUGUUACUCUGUUGGUUAUUAUAGCGAUCAAUUUGGCAGUAGGAAUUCUUCCUCAUGUUGACAAUUUUGCUCAUAUUGGAGGAUUUAUUUCUGGAUUUCUUCUGGGGUUUGUAUUUCUCAUUCGCCCGCAGUUUGGAUGGGUUAGCCAAAGAUAUACUUCUCAAACAAAUUCUUCCUUUGGUGCCAAUCAUAAAUUCAAGAUAUAUCAAUGUGUAUUGUGGAUCAUUUCGCUAAUACUUCUGAUUGCCGGGUAACCAAAUCACUCUAUAUUUCUACUCCCUUCUACCAAUUCUAUUGAGAGAGCAUACAAAAUUAGACGUGGAGUCACAGGGUAUACCACAAGUAACCACGAACUUGUCCAAAUAUGCUUAUAACUCUUGUUUUGAUGGUGAAACAAUAUUCCAGUGUCCUAUUUAACAUUCUUUAGCUAUUACACACGACGAUAAUCUUCAGAAAUGUUUUUGUAAUUAUGGAAGGAAUGAUCUUGGAAAAGUUGUUAGGUUACUCCACGCCGUUUGUGGGUUUUGCCCUAUAAACUACACUGGCAAUUCUGAAAUGUUGGGUAAUUGGUUGCCCACUAGAAGUAAAUACACCUUCACUCUAUGAUCUGAACACUUUAUUCCUUCUAAUGCCUUAAAACUGGACUCAUGAAAUGAGACCAUGUUCUAGAGAGAUUGUCUGUAAUGCAACCUCAGAUUCAUUGUUGGUUGUAGUUCUUUAAUUCCAAGGUCUCUUAUUGACAGUAAAACUAAAAGAUUCUUUAUUUCAAAGAAGUUAUUGAGAGUAUACCUAUCUUGUUGGCCUAUUUGAGCAAAGAUGUAGGAAUUUCGAAACUGAUUACUGAUCUAAGAUGUUAUUUUCAGGUUCACCGUUGGUAUGGUUUUACUUAGUCGAGGAUUUGAUGCAAACCGUCAUUGUUCUUGGUGUCAUUAUUUGUCUUGCGUUCCUACUUCAAAAUGGAGCUGUAAUUCAGAACCUACAUACUGUUUGGUAAUAUUUCCUUCUGCAUUCUCUUUUCUCUGUUAUUUUCUCCUUCGUUUUUUCUUGCAGAGUAUUUUCUAUAGCCUUUCCUAUCAAAAUUCAAGCGCUACUUAACAAGUAUUCAAGGCCCUAUCUUAUAGUCAUUUUGUUGUGUCUAUUUUUUGGGAAAAAGUCACUUGACCCUACCCUAAACUUCCCAUUCUAGGUGUUAAUUUUACCUCUGUUCAAUUGCUUUCUAAUUUGUCCAAUUUUAAUGGAAAACAGUAUACAAAUAUUCACAAACGCAUUAAUCAAUCAAAUAAAAUUUACCAAAAAAUCAAAUUAGUGAUGCACAAAUUAAGCAUCUAAAAUUUUUUAGUAGCAACUCUUUUUUAAUCUAACUGUUUGGUAGUAGCAACUUGAAUCUAAACUUUUUCCAAAUUUCCACUGUGGUUUUCAGUCACAGCAAGUAGGUAACCAGUUGAAUCUAACAUGCUCAAGCAACGGCAAAUUCAGGACGUAUAUUCUACCAAAUGCUUCAAAUUCAGCGAUACAAGGUUUGUGUUCUAGUCUUUGCAAUUGAUUUAAUGUAAACUAGAUCACUCGAGAUUUGAGAAAAUCACCCUUUGUUGGACAUGUUUCAUUGCGAAAUAUGCUUCUCUUCUUACUUCUUUUUGUAUAUGAUAUGUUUUUUUACCCCAAAACUCUUACCUAAGUCACAGCCAUGGAGUUAUUUCAUCAGGUUUCACGAAUGCAGCUUCAAAUACAUAAUUAGAAGUCAAGACUUCGUACCUAGGAAAAAUAGUAACUCAAAAUCCAAAGUUUUUUAAUUUGUGGUUGCCAAAUGCCCAUGUGCUACAAUCUUGUUGCAAAUUUUUAUUAGUAAUGCUGAGAUAGAAAAAUUAAUGGUCCAAGUCUUAAAUCACCCGUUUAAUUUAGAAGUCUAGACGUGUAGAAAGAAGAAAGCAAGUUUAAUAUAAUAUUAGGGGAGGCAUAUUAAGUAUAAUAGUUUGCAACUUCUAUGGUCUAUUCUUUAAAAUUUGAAACACAUAUAUGCUCAAAUAUGAAUUUCUAACAUAUUAGUGCUAUGUAUAUAGUUUAAGAAGACAACAACAUCAAUAACAUUCUGACUCAUGCUCUGGUCAUUGCAUUAAAGUGUGUUUGACAUACUAAACAGAUGUCUCAUCAUAAUGAGUUUAUUAACAAUAAGUACUAAGCGGUUGUUAGUUAUUAGAGGAAUUGAUACAAAUAAGGAAUUAGUAAGUAAAUCUUUUUAAUUAAUGGGUAAAGCAAAGAUGGAGUGGGUGUGAAAAAGGGAGAAAGGAAAUCUGGAAGGGUAUAUUAUUUGUUGGCAGUAUCGUUAAUUCCAAUGGAGAGUUUUAAGGCGGGUGGUGGGGCUUUAUAAAGCCAAACAUCCCAAAAAAUUCCACGUGUCCACACCAUACCACAACUUGGGUGUGGGCCUUGGAUUUGUCUACAACAACAUCCCUACCUCUAGGCCUUAUUCUCUCACUAACAAACGUUACAAACACCAAACUAAUUUCUUUUUUAAAAAGUUUGAAAACACAAUAUAACCAACCACUACUACACCGCCGUCUGUGGGAAUCGAACCCACGACCACAUGGUUAAAAGCCAUGCGCUCUACCGGCUGAGCUAAGACGGCUUGACGGUAAAACAGUAAAAUUGCAAAAUAAAACUGUUUCUAUUUCUUAAAAAGAGAAAGGGCAACAUGAUCGUACUGUGUGGUUGGUUGUUUGUGAGGUGGUGGGUGGAUGUAAUUUUAGUUAGAGGGCGGCGGUGUUCCGGCGAAAAUGGGCGGGUGAGAGUGUCCCUUUCGAAAUGGGAGGCGAUGUUCAAUCUCGGAAUGGUUCAGUGUUAGUCGGCUUUUGGCAGACUGAAACUGAUUUUGGGUUAAAGAAGAGGAUCCCCCUCAAUUUCACGGCAGCUUUGAAACAUCAAAUCCCACUUUCCUUUUCUUUUAAUACUAUUUUCAUAGAUACCCCCAUUUUACUUUCUACAUUUCUUUUUCUUUUUCUUUUGUUUUGUUGUUAUUGAAAUAAAUAAAUAAAUAAAUAAUAAAAUGGGGGGGGGGAAUGAAAAAGAAAAGAAAGGAAAGAGAAGUUGAGAAGAUAAAAGGGAGGUAACGCAUCACUGACAAAAGCAGAGGAGAGGGGGAGAAGGUGAAGGUGGUACAGAUUUACAGAGAAAAAAGAAAAAGGAAAAAAAAGGUCGAGUCUCUAUCAAACUCCGUCACCUCGGGCCGCGAAAUCCGGACUACAGUCCACUCUCUCUAUCCUUCCCAUUUCCAAAAACUCUCACAAAAUAAAAGAAAAAACAUCCCAUCUUCAUUUUCAUUUUCAUUUUCGCUUCUCCGGGGCCACCGCAACCCAACCAUUCCUACCUCCCCUCUUCUCCUUUCUCCCUCUUUCCUCUUCUAAUUCUGCGCCCUACCCUCUUCCCUUUUCUCUCCCUCCCUAAACUACCUUCUUGCCUUCAAUUUUACGCCUAUAAUCACAAGACUUUUUAAUUCUUUUUUUAAAAAACAAUUUUCAUAAUUCAAUCUUUUUUAAGUAAAAUUUAAAUUUAUUUCUUAAAUUUAGAAUUUUUAUAAAUUUAAAUCUAAAACCAAUAAUUGUAUAAUUUAAAUAUCAACCUUUUAUCCUCAAACUAAUAAGUAUAUUAAUUUAAAUUUUAAAUUUAUAUAAAUAUAUAAAUUUGAAUGGAACUUUUUUAAAAUAACAAAAUAAAUUAAAAUAUUUACUAGUUAUAAUAAAAGUUUAGAUUCUAUGACCUAUAUCAAUAACUAUCAGUAUUUGUCGUAGGUUGUAAAUAUUUUGUAAAAUCUACCGUUUUAAAAAAUUCUCCAAAAUUUAAAUUUAAAAAGUAUGGAAUUAAUAUUUGUUAACUCUUACCCGUAUUAUCUACCAACAGUUUUAAAUAUUGUUUGUUAACUUUAAAAUUUUAUUGGCUAAAAGAAUUGCAACUUUUUUAGAAAAAAAUAAAUAUGAAAACUAAUUUUGUACUUGCAAGAUUUAUUUUCUUAGGAUACCAUAGUUUGGAGGUUAACUUUAUAAAUUCAAAAGUCACCACGUUAAUGCUAUCUACAAUGGCUGUCUUUUUUACAGUAUAUUUACUAUUUUUUGACAAUAGCAUGUACCUCAAUUACAAACUGUUUUCUGUAUUCAAUAUCUCCAUUUCAAAAACAAAUUUUAUAGUAUUGUAAUUUUUUUAGUGCAAUAACUGUGGAAAGAAAAAUUGAACACUUUACUUUUUUAUUAAAAGACAUAUGCUAAACUCAUUUUAAUGUUAUGUUAAUGCUACAAAACUUAAGAGUUAAAAUUGAACUAUUAUGGGCAUAUUUAAUCAUAUGAGUAGAGGAACCAAAUUGAUUAGAGUAAAUGAGUGGGAGUGUGGAGAGUGGCGCAGGUUAAGCGGUGAAACCAAGCUUAAAAGCUCUAUACGCCAUUAAACGCCAAGCAACACCCACUCUCUUCUUCCCUUUCCCUUUCUUCUUUUUUUUUUUUCCUCUGUGCAGCAGUUUCUGAUUCUCAGCUGUUUCGCUCUGUCUCAAUCGUCCCUUCUGGCUUUAUACAUAUAUAUGUAACAGUGACUAAACGAAAGCCUAAUGCUGCGUGCUGUGGCCUCUGCCCCUUGCCCCCAGUGGAACACCCACUCUUUCCUCUUUCUAUCUCUCUCUCUCUCUCUCUCUCUCUCUUCAUUAUAUUUACCUCUUUAGCCUUUUCAAAUUCCAUCCUUCCCUUCCUCCUUCCAUUCUCUCUCCUUUUCUAGCUUCUUAAACGAAUUGGGUUUCCUUUUCUCUCUUUGUUUCUACACAUUUUGAUUCUCUUUUGGCUGUGGAUGCUCGUACUUACCACUCCCAGUGUAUUUCCUCUUCUCUCUUUUCCCUUUUUUCUACUUUUUAUUGUGUUCUCAAGGACUGAAAUUGUUCUGAUGGUUUGGUUGUAGUCCUUUUUCGAGAAUGGAAAUUCUGGGUUGCUGUUUUUGUUUAAUUCUGUUGAAUUUUGCUGAUUUUUUUUGGAUGGGGGACAGUUUUUGGUGUAGAAUUCAACUGGGUUUCGUUUGAAUUUUGGUAUUUGUAUAUUUAUAUACUGUUUGGUUGUGUCUGGUUUGGUUUGUUGUUUAGUUGAGGUUGAAUUUAUCUUUCUGUUAUCUUCAUGGCACAGUGAAGGAACUUCUUUUGUGGAAUGUAUGAACUGUGAAGUAAAUUUUGGCCAAGUUUUUGUUAUGGAUUGCUGUGUUUAGUCAGUCUUUUCCCUGAAUUUUAUUUCCAUUCUGUUCUCUUCUUAUGAUCAGUCCUUUUAUCUUACAUAUUGAAAUCAUUUUUUAGAUACUAUAAAGAAGAAGGCUCUGGGAAGCUAAUAAAUGAAGCACAUAUGAACUAUUGGUUUGUCCUUGAAGGCUUGAAUUUAGCAGUGAGUGGAUGGAACAAUGCUUAAAAAUUGUGGGAGAAUAUAGUAGUAGAAAGAAGAAAUUUUACUUUGAACUUACUUGUAAGGCUAUACAAUAAAUAAUAAUAAUAAUUAAAACAACUUACUUCAUGGCCACUUCCAAUGGGGGAUUUCUUCAAACUGAUUCAUCCACUUCACCACCAUCUCUUCCUCCUUGGCUUUCCAACUCCAACGGUGGCUCUUCGCUCCGACCGCCUUCCCCAUCAGUCACCUUAACAUUAUCUUCCCCCACAGUUCCAGCCUACACUCCCAUCCCCUGGUUGCAACAGCCAGACAGAAUGCCAGAAAACAUGCCUCUUGUAUUAGGCAAUUUAGCACCUCAAAUGUCAAUGCCAUCAUGUGGUGGUAGCCUCUUUGCUUCUGAGCUCGUCGAGUGCUGCCGAGAGCUCGACGAAGGCCACCGUGCUUGGGCAGCACACAAGAAGGAAACAGCAUGGAGGUUAAGAAGACAAGAGUUGCAAUUGGAGUCGGAGAAGGCGUCUCGGAUUCGACUGAAGAUGGAAGAGGUUGAAGGGAAAGUAAAAGCUCUUAGAGAAGAAGAGAAGAUUGCUUUGGAAAGGAUUGAAGCUGAGUAUAAGGAACAAUUGGCAGGGUUUAGAAAAGAUGCUGAGGCUAAAGAACAAAAGUUGGCUGAGCAAUGGGCUGCUAAGCAUAUGAGCCUUACUAAGUUUCUUGAGCAUAUGGGAUGCAGGACUAGAAUUGCUGAGUCAAGUGGGAGGUGAGAAAACCACUUGCCACAGUUUCAAGUUUUGUGAUUGCCUCUAUGAAUUUCUUCAUGGGAAAUUCUCUUUCCUUUUCAAUCUCUCUUUUCUUUAUAUUUUUACUUCCAUUUUGUAUCCAUUGACAUCUGAAAUUAUGCAUCAAUGUCAUCCUAUAUUUGCUUUGUAAUUGAUACUCUUGCAAGCAAAAUGUCAAGUAUUUAUUUUGAUUCUGCUUAACAAGUCCCCUCACCUCUUUUAAUCUUACUAAACAUUUGUUUAGGAUAUGACAUUAGAAAUAGCAUUGAACAAACUCGAAUUUGAAGCAUUAACACAACCAAAUCUGAGUUGACUCAAACCUUUAUAAUCAGUCCCAAAUCAACUAACUUGUUUUACUUUACAAAAGAGAAGAUAUACCAAUGAAAUUUCAUCGACGAUGUGUCAGAAAUUUCAGAAAAUAUAUUAGUAAAAAACUUAUGUGAACUUAGGUAAUAUCAAUUAUCACAUGAGUGAUCAAUAUUAUUGAUCAAUAACCGACUAUUUCCUCAUUCACAUUUUAAUAUGAAUAGCUAGAAUAAAGACUAUCUCGAGGUAGUUAGCGUAUACUCUAUUACUCUAUUUUUUUUGGAGUUGAAAGUCUUAAAAUUAUGGAAAUAUGACGAUAUUAAUAACAAUAAAAUAAAAUGUAAAGUUUUAUCUAAGUCAGUAGAAUGCCAAUGUGUAUGAACACCAAUUAAGAAACACUACACAACCACUUUCAUGAUGUAAUUUAUAAUUUAAAAUCUAGAGACAUUUUGUGGUUGAUAGGGUGGUUGGUCAUAUUGGAUACCACAUUCAGUAACCUAUCUUUGAAAUAUUGAUGUUCUCACUGUAUUGGAUGCAUAAUUUAAUUCCUACCUAAUCUUUUAUAAUAACAUAUUUAAAUGCUACAAAUAUUAAUUAAACACAAAAGACCAUAGUUCUAAUGUCGUAUCUAAGAAAUAAUGCAUUAUGGUUGUUGGUUGCACAUUCAAUACUUUAUGUAGUUAAUUUUAUUUAGUGAAGAAGUAAAACUCAGUAUCAAUUGUGGUCUAAAAACAAAUUCGUAUCCGAUUCUAAGUUAUAAAUUUUGCCACAUAAUUUAUCACACUGGAGCAACGUUUCAAAUUUGCUACAUAGUAUACUAGAUAUCUACAUGGGUGGAACUUAAGAUUGUGGACCAUAUAAACGACUUAGGGUAGCUUGAAUACCAAGUCCACUGUUUAUUUAAAUACACGUGGACUAGACACACAUUUUCUUAUAAUCACAUAUCAAUUUCCUUUAAUUCUAUUAUUUUCUAUCAACUUUAUAUUCAAAAAAUGGAUAAUUACAAAAUGUAAUUAUAGGUUUCAAACCAACUUAACCCCACAAAAACUGAAUGACUGACGGACUCUCUGAAUGACUGACGGACUCUUACUUAUAGAUAUUGAACUCAAUUUGAACCUUUACUAAAUGAAUUAUCAAUUUUGUGAAAAGAAAACAGAUAGCUAAGGAUGAAUCCUAAUAGACAACGUAGACUAACUAAUAUAUAUGGAGGAGGAAGAGAGAGAGAGAAUGAGGUGGGCCAGGAAUGUGAAAUGGGCCUGGGCUGUUGCAAACGAGAGUCAUUUUGUUACAAUUCACCGACUCUAAGCAUUGCAUGAGACAAAAAAUGAUAUGAACUUUAUAAAAUUGAAAGGAAAAGAAAAAAAAAAAAGGAACAAUAGUUACGCAACCGAAGAAGAUACGAUCAGGAUCAACUACUUCGCUUCGAAGGGUUUCUGCAAUUUUCUUUUUUGUAAUUUUCAACGACUUUGGACGCAAAUUUAUUCCUUAAUACUUACCUUCUUCGAUGAACUUUUCUGUGGACGAUGUUUAUUUCUCUCUACGUUGUUUCUGGUUCUGAAAUUUUGUGAAUACACCCAACUUUUUUUUUUAUGCCAAGAGGGACAAACAAGAUAAUCUCAGUCUUGAAUUUCACUCCUACGAGAUUGAAUGAUCGAGGUGGAACGAAUUGGAGGAUUGAAUUUUAGGGUUUCGGAUUUCUUGUUGAGGAGUAGUUGUUGGCUGGAGUUGAAACCUGGGGAGUACAACCUCUCGGUUACGGCGCUGUUUUUGUUGCGCUGACUGGCUGGUGCCGUAUUGGCGCUCUCGGAGAAUGGAUGAAAUGGAUAUUGGCUCCCCUUCUGAAUCUGCGCCACUUAAGCCGCGUGAUCGAAUUCUACGGGUAAUGCUAGAUUUUCUUUUUUCAUUUCUUGUUUGUACAUUGUAUUUGAAAUACGGCGCUGAUUUAGAUGGGGUUGUUAUUUUUUAGUCCCAUGUAUUCUGUUGCUCAUCCUGCAACUAGUCGUUUAUGUUGUUGUGUUACUUUGUAAACUCGUUUAUCGUUAUCUGUUAUUGGAUUUUCUGUUCAAUUUCGACUUGGAUUUGGGAUUGUGUAGUGUGUCGAUUAAAUUAUGGGUAUCAUCGCUUUGCCUCGUUUAUAAUUCUGAUUCUCUUUAUCAGCGGCUUGCUGUACUUGGAGUUCCUGAUGAGCUAUUGGAUCAACUUUUUCGCGGUCUAGUUACUUUUGUUAAGGACAACAAGUUUCUUAUACCGGAGCUGGUAUCUGCAAUUUUGCCUACUGAUGUCGAAGUGGUAGAAGUUAUACGAGAUGCUAUACCUGGGGCAAAAAAAUCUCUAGCAGGCCCAACCAUGAAAGCUAAUUUCCGUGAAAGCAUGAUGUGGUUACAGUGGUUGAUGUUUGAAAGUGAACCAGCUUAUGCUCUGAAGAACCUGUCAAAAAUGAGUGUUGGCCAGCGUGGUGUAUGUGGUGCUGUUUGGGGACAUAAUGAUAUAGCUUAUAGAUGCCGAACUUGUGAACAUGACCCAACUUGUGCAAUUUGUGUCCCUUGCUUUCAGAGUGGAAACCACCAGGAUCAUGAUUACUCCAUAAUUUAUACAGGUGGUGGUUGCUGUGACUGUGGUGAUGCCACGGCAUGGAAGCGGGAGGGGUUUUGCUCAAAGCAUAAAGGUGCAGAACAAAUACAACCACUUCCAGAAGAAUAUGUUAAAUCUGUAGGGCCUAUACUUGAUGCACUCUUCACAUCUUGGAAAAACAAACUCUUAUCUGCAGAAGAUAUUAGCGUGGAAGACCCUAAAUUGAGUGACCGUGUUACAGAGCAUAAAAAGGUUGCAAACGAGUUAACAUUUGCUGUGGUUGAGAUGCUUUUAGAUUUCUGCAAGCACAGUGAAAGCUUACUCAGCUUUGUUUCAAAGAGAGUGAUUUCUUCAGCUGGCUUGUUGGAUAUUUUGGUGAGGUUAGAGAGACUGUUAACUGAUGGCGUAGUGAAGAAAGUCCACGAGUUACUUCUUAAAUUGCUGGGAGAGCCUGUAUUUAAAUAUGAAUUUGCAAAAGUUUUUUUGAAUUAUUAUCCUACUGUUAUCAGUGAAGCUAUAGAAGACAGUAGUGACCACGCUCUUAAAAAGUAUCCACUAUUGCCAACUUUCUCAGUGCAGAUAUUCACUGUUCCAACACUUACUCCUCGUUUGGUGGAGGAAAUGAACUUAUUGUCUAUCCUUUUGGGAUGCUUAGAAGAUAUUUUCAUUUCUUGCGUAAGCGAAGAUGGUCGCUUGCAGGUAAAGCACCCUUAUUUUCAGCUCUGAGCACACAGUCAAUUGUUGCCUUGCUUAAUGUGUUUUUAAUAGAGGAUAGAUGUGGUAUCUUCACUUAUUUAGACUCAGGCAACUAAGUACCAUUGAAUUUUGUAAUUAUAAUUGAGUUAUUAAUAAGUAUCCUCCCCCUUAAGGACUUCCUAUGUUAACAACCACAACAAGAACAAUUUUCAAUUAGUCUUUUUGGUAUAGUUCUGCCUUUUGCUUUCAUAUUCUUAAUCUUUUUCCUUUUCCUUUUCUUUUCUUAUCCAGAAAAAUGAUUUUUCCUUUCCGUAUAUAGGUUGUAAAGUGGAGUAAUUUGUAUGAAACCACCAUCCGUGUAGUUGAAGAUGUCAGAUUUGUUAUGAGUCAUGCUGUAGUGCCCAGAUAUGUAAUCUAUCAGCAGCAGGAUAUCCUAAGAACUUGGUUGAGACUGCUGACUUUUGUGCAAGGAAUGGAUCCUCAGAAGAGAGAAACAGGCCUCCAUAUAGAAGAAGAAAAUGAAAAUGUCCAUUUGCCUUUUGGUUUAGAUCAUUCUGUUGCUAACAUUCAUUCUCUAUUGGUGAAGGAAGCAUUUUCUGCUGCUAGUAGUAGUAGUUGUGAAGAUUCAGCUGAUGCAAUGUAUUUCCAAACGUACAAGCAGAACGUAGACGACAUAGAUAGUGUUAGACAUGCUAAAGUAGGACGUCUAUCACAGGACAGUGCUGCAUGUAAUGUAUUGGGAAAGAGUAGUGCAUCCACAUCUGCAUCAAGAGUUGAUGACGUGUGUUCAGAUGCAAUAUCAUCAACUAUUAUGUGGCUGACUUACGAGUGUUUGAAGAUUAUUGAUAGUUGGUUGGGAACUGAAAAUAUAUCUGGAAGCAUUCCAAACAUGCUUGAUGAGAGCAUUAGUCUAGCCCCUAGUUGCAAAUUUUAUUCAUUGAGAAAAACGUCUGCCCUGGCAUCAAAGAAAUUGUCAUACAAGAUGGAGAAGGGUAAAUUUGAGAAGCUUUCUAGAAGAAGCAAAUACCAUAAUAGACAAUAUUCCUCUCGUAUGUACAGUGGCCUUCAAAUGAGUAUUGACAAUGAGCAUGGUAUAAGUCUUGGAGAAGACAACCACUUGAUGGAUGUGACCAAUGAUACAGUUACUGAUGAAGACUAUGCCAUGGAGAUCGAUGCUCUACAUUUCCUAAGCUUAUCUUCUUGGCCAAACAUUGUUUAUGAUGUUAGUUCACAGGAUAUAUCUAUUCACAUCCCAUUACAUCGGCUACUUUCCUUGCUUUUACAGAAGGCGUUGAGAAGCUGUUUUAGUGAAUCUGGGGUGCCAAGUGCAACAGGUGCUAGUUCCUCAAAUUUGUCAUCUGAAUAUGUGGACUUCUUUAAAAGUGUUCUUACAGACUGUCAUCCAUUCGGUUUUUCUUCAUUUGUUAUGGAGCAUCCUCUACGCAUUAAAGUUUUUUGUGCUGAGGUUAAUGCUGGAAUGUGGCGGAGGAAUGGAGAUGCAGCCCUAUUGUCAUGUGAGUUGUAUCGAUCGAUCCGGUGGUAAGUUAACUUUUAGGGAACAAAGCACUUAUGUUCUAUCUUCUCAUUUUCACACGGUUUAAGGAAACUUGCUUCUUAAUGGCUUUGCAACAGGUCAGAACAAUGUCUGGAGCUUGAUCUCUUUCUAUUGCAGUGUUGUGCGGCAAUGGCUCCACCUGAUCUUUAUGUCAGUAGAAUUUUAGAACGCUUCCGAUUAUCAAACUAUCUUUCACUGGAUGUUGAACGCCCUAGUGAGUAUGUACUCAUCUAUUACUUCGACUUGGAACAUAUUAUUUUCUAAAUUCGGGUGCAAUUCAAAACCCUUGUUUAAUGCUGCUAGGAAUUAUUGAUUAUAAUAUCCAUAUCUAUCUAUAUAUUCAUAAUUUGUAAAGAAACCUAAAUUUCAUUGAAUUGUUAAAAAUUUGCAAUAAUACAGAAAUCCAAAUUUCCACACAACAUACUCGAAUACUCCAUGUACAUCAUUCAUUUGGAUUUUUUUAAACAAUUUUAAGAGCUUGGUAUUAUUCUUUUCGAUCGAAGUUCUUUAUUCUCAUUUAGGCCUCCUUUGUGUGCUUGAUUUUUUGUAUGGCCUUGGGCAUUCUUUCAUUUUUCUCAAUAGAAGCUUAGUUUCUCAUUAAAAUAUUAAUAAUAACAAUCAUAGCAACAACUCUCCCUUUAUAUUAAGCCGUAGUUUAGACAUUCCUUCAUGCACAGAGGUGUUGAAGAUACUUAUUAGGUUAUAAUACAUUUGACAAUAAUAACUUAUCAUAGAAGUAACGUUAACAUUCAUCUCCGUUUUUUGGUAUUUGAACUACUCCUUAUAAAAAGUUCUUAAAUUUUUGCAAUUGUAUGAGAUCAAAGGAAUACGUUCUGUAGAUGUGAUAAUUCUAUGAGACAGCAAAAUACAUCACAAAAGUGUUGAGAAAAAGAUGGAGCAAUAUAUACUAUUUGUCAAAUUAUUUGGGUGUUGAUAAUUGUAUUUUAAACAAAUUUAUAUAAUGGUUGGGAGCGGAAUUGCAAUCACGUUGAACUAUAUGUACUUUAUAAUUAUCCCUUUCAGAAAGCAAAUGUUUUGUUUUUAAAAUUUUCACAUAAGGUAUGAAACAACUAUUCUUCAGGUACGAGCCUAUUUUAGUGCAAGAGAUGCUCACAUUGAUCAUACAAGUAGUCAAUGAAAGGAGAUUUUGUGGACUUACAGUUGCUGAAAGCUUGAAGAGAGAGUUGAUUUACAAGUUGGCAAUUGGAGAUGCUACUCAUAGUCAACUUGUAAAAGCACUCCCUCGUGAUCUUUCCAAAUGUCAUCAGCUGCAGGAAAUUCUAGAUACAAUUGCUGUCUAUUCCAAUCCCUCUGGAUUUAAUCAGGUUAUGCCCUUCACCAGUUUGGGAUUUCUGAUACUUAUUUUUGCUCAUUGUUAUUUCUCAAGGUAUAAAUUUGUUUCAGGGGAUGUAUUCUUUACAUUGGAAGUAUUGGAAAGAGUUGGAUCUGUACCACCCUCGUUGGAGUUUACGGGACCUGCAGGUUGCUGAAGAACGAUAUUUGAGGUCAUGUGGUGUAUCUGCUUUGACCUCACAGCUACCUAAAUGGACAAAAAUCUAUCCUCCUUUUAGAGGAUUGGCUAGAAUAGCUACUUGUAAAACAGCCCUUCAAUUCAUUCGUGCUGUACUGUUUUAUUCUGUUUUCUCUGAGAUAUCAACUAAAUCACGGGCUCCAGAUAGUGUCCUGUUAAGUGCUCUGCACUUGCUAGCGUUGGCAUUGGACAUCUGCUUUCAGCAGAAGGAAUCAAGUGACCAAUCAUUUGAUGCUCCAGAUUCUAUUCCUUUGCUUCUUUUUGCCACCGAAGAAAUUGACGAGGGUUUAGCAUAUGGUUUUGGCAGACAAAGCUUAUUAUCUCUUCUUAUUUUGUUAAUGAAAAUGCACAAGAAAAAGGAAGGUCGAGAAAACUUGUUGGAGGCUGGAAGUUGCAACCUGUCCUCUCUGGUUGAAAGCUUGUUGAAGAAAUUUUCAGAGAUUGAUUCUCAUUGCAUGGGAAAAGUUCAGCAACUUGCCCCUGAAAUUCUUGGUUACUUGUCUCAAUCUGUACCUACUAGUACUACCAGUAGACCGACCGAAACUUCUGAUAGUGAGAAGCGGAAGGCAAAGGCUCGAGAGAGACAAGCUGCUAUAUUGGUAAGAUGUUUUCUUUUUGUUAAGUACCUUUUUUUUUUGUUUAUUUCUAUUUUUUUAAAACGGAAAAUGAGCCUCUUUAUUAAUACUAAUAAAUGAGACUAAAGCUCAAAGUAAUGAACCUUUUCUUUCAAAGAAAAAUAUUGCUUUCCAUUUGAUAGAUAAUUGUCUUGUAUUUGGAAGGCUUCUUUUUGUUCUGACCUUGUAAAGGUUAAGUUGAAGUUAAAUUUUCUUCGUAGAUUGUAAAUUCAUUGCCCAUUGCCCUUUUAUGCCUUGUCUACCUUGGUAAACUAUGGCUACACUUAAACUUGGGGAUGAUGUCCUUUUAUGCCUUGUCUACCUUGGUAAACUAUGGCUACACUUAAACUUGGGGAUGAUGUUUAUUGUACUUUCUCUUCCAAAUGAACUUCAUUCUGAACUCCUUGGGUGGUUGUCUGCAGGAAAAAAUGAGAGCCGAGCAAUCAAAAUUUUUGGCCAGUGUUGAUGCCUCUGUGGAUGACGAUGAUACAGAAUUUGGGCAAGAACCUGAGAAACCCAAUGUCAGUGACAGUGCUGAACAAUCUGAAACAGUUUGCUCGCUUUGCCAUGAUUCUAGUUCCAGUGUUCCUAUUUCUUUUCUGAUUCUUUUGCAGGUAUGCAGUUAGUUGUUUGUAUUGUCUGUCAACUUCAUUUUAUUUCCCCAUUUGGUUUCUUUUCAUAACUUGAUACAUCCUUUCCAGCUUUCUGUUCUGAUUUUAAAAUUAUAUCUUUCUUAAACAAGAAAUCGAAGCUUGUGAGUUUAAUUGAUCGAGGUGCUGUAUCAUGGGAUCAACCUUACUGCAGAGAUGAACAUACCUCAACAACGUCAAAAAGGGAUCUUGAUCAAUCAGGAGUAAGCACCUCCUCUGCAGGUUCAGUAGUGAUUUCAUCACCACAGUUUUCAGAGCUCAUUCAGAAUGCUGUAAAAGAAUACACCAAUCAUGGACUACCUGGGGAAGUUGGCGCUUUCCUGGAUUUUGUGAAGUCUCAUUUUCCUCCCUUACGAGACAUCCAAGUGCCUGGUACAUCAAAUGUUAAAGGAGAAAAGAUAAUAUUCAGCUUUGAUACUUUGGAAGAAGAUAUUUAUUUAUCUGUUUGUAAAGAAAUGCAUGAUACUCUGCAUUCUAAAUUCAACGACGAUGAAAAAAUUUCUAAAGUUGCAAGUGGAGGAGAUUCUAGGUCUGUGCUGCAUGUAAAAUAUAUAGCUGCUCUAUCAAGGGAACUGGCAGAAAAUCAUUCAACUUCUGAAAGCGCUCGUAACAUUCACAUGCCUGUUGAAUCUUUACAGCCUACCAUAUUGAAUGAAAUUGGUCCUACAGAUUGUGAUGGAAUUUAUCUUUCUUCUUGUGGGCAUGCUGUGCAUCAAGGAUGUCUUGAUAGAUACUUAUCUUCAUUGAAGGAAAGGUAUCCUUUUCAACAUCAAUCCAUUUUUACUCACAACAGAUGUUUGUUUAAUUGUUUUUAUUUUUCGUUGCAAUUUAUGGAUUUUGUCAUUUUUGGCCAACCUUAAUAUCAUAGUCUGAUGUUUCUAAGUUUGAGUUUUGUGGCAUUAUAGAGCAGAGGGCAAAAGCAGGAAAAACUAGUUGUAGGAAAAGGGAACUUCUUGUAGCAAUUUGUGAAUUCCUUUCUUUAGAAAGAGAAAAGUGAUGGUUAAAUUUUGUUCUUCAACGGAUUGAGAAUUGAAUUAUCCCUUAAAUAGACUGUGGGUAGUUUGAGUGACUAAUAGUAUAUGUUAGCUGUGUCUGUUUCCUCUUCUUUUAUCAUAUAUUUUGACUGUAACAGUAGUUCUAGGGCCUGGGAGGGUUUACCAGCACUCUCAAACUUCCUGGGUGUUAUCGUUCUAACUUUGAAAUUGUAAUUGUGAUAUCUUAACUUUUUGAGGAUCAAAUCAAUUGCAAGUAUUAGGGAAACAUCCUUACAUUCCUGCCUCGUUUACAUGUACUUGGGCCUUUUUAGGGCAAGGUCUGAAGAGGACUUUGUGCCCUUCCACUGUUGUAUAGCUAGAAAUAGGACAUUAUAAUAACCUUGCUUGAACAAGAUUCAUUCUAUAGGUUGUCUACGUUAUCCUUGAGUUCUGAGAAAUAAGGUAUCUUUAGUUGUAUGUUUAAGUGCAACAUUACGUAUUUUCGUAGACUGCUUGUGGUACUUUUGGUUCCUUCUGUUCCAAUAUAUAUUUUAAUGUCAAACAUACGUUCUUUUGUUGUACUUUCAGGUUUGCUCGUAGAAUUGUAUUUGAAGGAGGGCAUAUUGUUGAUCCUGAGCAGGUAUGUGCUUGUCUCAUGUAGUUCUUCUUUCUGUGUUUUCUUCGAAUAAAGAGCCAGAAAUUUUAAUUAACCUAAUCAUAAUAUCAAUCAUCUUCAUUGAAAGUUCGGUAUCCCAACUUAAGUCAAAGUUUGAUGCUUCAAUUACCUGAUCAGAUUAUCCUCUCAAUCCAAACCCAGAAAUUUUACAUCCAAAAAUUAACGUUGUGGCUUUUAUCUAGUUUUGUAGUCUCUGUUCUAAAAUAUUCUCUCUCGACCUUAUGUAUGAUUGUACAUCACAAGAUCUAGAUGCUUCAUGAAAGCAGGCAUAUACAUGGUUCUUAUUAAAUGGAGCUAUAUGUUUCUUCAAGUAGUAAUCUUCAUUAGUCUUUAUUAUGCAGAUUUAGUGGUUAGGAUUGUAGGUUUUUCAGAGGCGUUUAGUAAGCACUAAGCAACUACAAACCAUUUGUUUAUAAUCAAUUGUCAAGUCUAUACUUGGACUAAGAUAUAAUCCGUUUGAUAUUUGGAUGACACCUAGCCUGGUGCUAAUCAUCCCAACUUCUGAUCACUUGUAUGCUUGACCAUGUAUUGAAAUAGUACUAUCUUUUGAAUUUUAGGGACAGGAUGAUGGUAUGGUUUGUUGUUUUAUACAGGUUCAUAGUUAUAUAUAUUUAUAUAACUAUAAUAAGGAAAUUUGGUUUUAUGUAACAGGGAGAAUUCUUGUGCCCGGUGUGCAGACGUCUUUCAAAUUCCACUUUGCCUGCAUUUCCUAGGGAAUUUCAAAAGAUUUGGAGCCCGAGGACGAGUUCAGUUGGGACUCUUUCUCAUGUUUCAGGUCAUCUUAAUAAAUCAAAUGAAAGAGUGAAUCCACUUUAUAUUCAGGAAGCAGUAGCUCUCUUGCAAUCUGCAGCUAAGGCUGUUGGGAAGAAUAACGUUCUUAAAGAUAUUUCUGUACACAGACAUAAGAAAGUGAGUCGCAAUCUCGAAGCUGUUUCACUUGUUCUGUCUAAGUUGUAUUUUUCUUGGAAACAGGAUAAGUUAAUAAGCUCCUCCCGGGUUAAUCCAUCAAUUCUUAUGUGGGACACUCUCAAGUAUUCCCUCGUAUCAAUGGAAAUUGCUGCUCGUAGUAAGACUGAUAUGAAUCCCAGUAUUGGCCUUAAUACAUUGUAUAAGGAGCUUAAAACUUCUGGUGGUUUUGUGUUGUCUUUAUUGCUAAAAGUGAUCCAAAGCGUUAAGUGUGAGGAUUCUCUCCUUUUGCUUCAAAGAUUAUGUGGUAUUCAAAGGUUUGCAGAUUCCAUCUGCUCUGGAAUGUCAAAUGAAAAUGCUAGUGACUCAUGUGGACGAGGUACAACUCUAGGGCCUAGAAGCAUUUUUUUCCUCUUAGUCUUUCUGGGUUAUUUUGGGUGCUCCUAUAUUGGAUUUUAGUUGUUUCUUGCAUUUUAGGGACUGAGCUGAUUGGAUAGUUGAAAUCUUGUUGAAUGUGUUUCUAAAUGUGCAUCCAUAUUCUGUUUAGGGCAAGUCCUUUAUGAAGUAGUUGUCGAGGAUAUUAGAUACAAUGGCUCUUUACCCGUACAUGAACUUCCAAUAAAUGCUAAGAUAGAUUCCCAUCUGGAACCCUUUCUAGGAGUUUUUCUAUAUAUAUCUUUAACUGUUCAACUUAUAGUUUGCUAAUUGAUGCUAUUGCAGGUAUCCUCCACAUCUUGACCAGUCUUCGUUCAGAAUUGCCACAAUUUGAUAGCCAGUUCUUGAGCAGAGGAUCUGAUCCUGUUAUUGCCCAUGAUCCAUUCGCAUCGUUGAUGUGGGUUCUCUUUUGCCUUCCUUUCCCCUUUUUAUCGUGUAGGGAAUCCUUGCUUUCCCUUGUGCAUAUCUUCUACCUAGUUUCUGUGACGCAGGUAUGUAUGAGGCCUUUAAAGUUCCAAUGUUGAGUAUGUUUUACCAAAUCUAGAUUUGUAAUUUUUAAGUAUUUAUUUCAGGCUAUAAUCACAUAUUUCAUCAAGUCUCAAUGGGAGGUAGAUGGGUUGGGUUCUAGUGAUUGCUUGAUCACUGAUAUCUGCAAAAUUAUGGGAGAAUCUGGAUAUGCCCGACAGUAUUUUGUUUCAAAUUACACAGAGCCAUCUUGUAAUGUUAAGGAUACAGUACGUAACUUGACUUUCCCUUAUCUUCGGAGAUGUGCAUUACUUCUACAACUACUAAGUUCUUCUGCACGAGUGCCAAUUUUUGAUGGAGAGACUGCUUUGGAAACAUAUCUUGUGGGUAACAAUAUGAUUGACAACAUCACAGUGGAACUCAACGAAGUUGAGAAGCUCCAGAAAAUGUUUGAGAUUCCUCCAUUGGAUAUUGUUCUUAAGGAUAGAACCUCGCGGUUACUUGUUUCAAAAUGGUUUUGUCAUUUUAAUAAAGAAUUUGAAUUUCAGAGAUUUAAAAUUAUAAAGCACUGCACACCUGCAGUAGCUUUUCAAUUAAUUCGUUUACCUCAUGUCUACCAUGAUCUAUUGCAGAGGUAUGUUCGACAUCUAUUGAAUUUCUCUGUUUUUUUUGGUACCAUACUGAAAGUUUGGCUAACAAAUUUUCUGCUUGAACAGGUACAUAAAAAAGCGGUGUGCUGACUGCAAACAUGUCAUUGAUGAUCCUGCAUUAUGCCUGAUAUGUGGUAAACUGUGCUCACCAAGCUGGAAAUCAUGUUGCAGGUCUUUUUGCCUUUUAUAAAUAAUUGUACUUUCAGAUUUGACUUAGAUGGGAUGCAGUUAACAUCAUCAAAUGUUUUAUUUGUGCUUUACUGUUAGCUAUGAAGUUCUGAAAGUUAAUUAUGCUUGUCUCCAGAGAAAGUGGAUGCCAAGCUCAUGCAAAUAUCUGUGCUGCCGGCACUGGUGUAUUUUUGCUGAUUAGGGUAUGUCAAAAUGUCCUUUAAUCUUGUGUUUAGGGAUCCUUCUGUGGUACAUAUUUUUUUUCCUGCUGUGGGUUCACUAAUAAGAUAUCUUUUUCUUUUGACAGAGGACAACAAUUCUACUGCAGAGAUCUGCACGUCAGGCUCCUUGGCCAUCACCUUAUUUGGAUGCUUUUGGUGAGGAGGUAAAUCGUCAUCAACAUUUACUUUUAUUUACUUGAUUAUAUGAUUGCUUUAUGGUUCAAGGCAUGAUUGUAAACUAUGAUGGAAUGAUGAUGGAAUCUCUUUAUCAUUUCAAAUCUAGUAUUCUAUAGCAUUUUUUUUGGUCAUAUUCAUAUUCUGCCUUAAUAUUUAGUUUCCUCUCAUGCUGCAGGAUAUUGAAAUGCGUCGUGGAAAACCAUUGUAUUUGAAUGAAGAACGUUAUGCUGCCCUAUCAUAUAUGGUGAAGAAAACGAACUCUUUAUGUUUUGUUACUCUACAAUAAAAAUAUUUCCUCACCUCCUCAAGUGACCAAGUUUUCUCUGGUUUGGAAAUUUGAAAUGAAGCCUCUGUUAAGCUAUCGAACUCAACUAUUAAUCUUUAAUGGCGUAGCCAUCUAUCUAAUUCUUGUUUACUGUUGUUUAAGGAGAUAGAAGAACAAAAAGAAACAUUUAUUAUUUUUGCAUCGUAGUUCACUUUUUUAUUUGAUAGUGUUCCUUUGACUUCUCAAACAACUUAGUGAACUUGUGGAGGAAGAAAUUUUGUAGUCUUUAAUUAAAAUUAGAAUAUAAACUAUAAAUAGUUAAAGUAUAGAAUAGAUAUGCUUGAAUAUUUUUUAUUCAAUUCUUCAUUGUAGAUUAAUAUUUUUUUUCUUUCUUCUUUUUCUUAGGUUGCUUGUCAUGGCCUCGAUCGAAGUUCCAAGGUUCUAGGGCAAACUACAAUUGGGUCUAUCUUCGUGAUUUAAUCUGGAGUAUAUUUUGAGGUGAUUCCUUUGGCCACUACCACGGUUCAGAUUUUGCACUUACCUUUUAUAGUUUGUGCUUGAGUUCCUCGUCCUAGUUUGCUUAACAGAGAAGUAUUCUACACCGUGGAGGCAUUGAUAGGGAUACCGGAUACAGGUAUAGUGAAUAUGGAAACCCCCUAUAUUCCUCUUGACGUAGAAUAAAUAUAUUUGAAUAGAAUUUUAAUUAUAUAUGUAUGUAUCAUGUAUCAUGUAUAUAUGUAUAUUCGAUGAAAUCUUUUUAUUUAUUUUUCAUUCUUUUUAUCAUCAAAACAUAUUAAAAUUCCAUCACAAUGUACCUAGCCUAUCCUCUUGUCACGGUUUUCAUAUUAAAUCUAGAACGGGUUGUAAAUGAGGGAUGAAUGAGCUUUUUAAGUUCAUGUGAGAUGAGUAAGCCUUUUAACAUUCCAAUGUAAAUAAAUUCAUCCUGCUGCUCUUUCAUCCCGCCAGGUUUUGCUUCUAAAGCAGUAUUAUUCUGGAUAUGUUUUCAUGUUGUAGGUUGUGUAGUUAUUGGUUUUCAAGUGUCCGCCCUACAAGAACAAAUUCUCGUCCACAUGUCAUUUCAUAGGUGGUGAGAAAUGGCCCUUGACUUUCACAUGUUGAAGCCAGGAUCCAGUGGCCCAGAGGACAUCAAAAAAUGUUUCACCUUUCAAUGAGCAGUGUGGUUGGAAGUAGUUUUGAAGCUGACGUUUGUAAAGCGCUCUUGUAAAUAGCGAGGUCGCCCAGUAUGAUAAUUUUAGUGGCGAAGCAUUGUUUUCAAGUUGCCUUAAUUUCUGAAUCAAGGUCGGUUGUUGGCAUCUUUCCUUUCUGGGGGGUUGGUGAUUGGAGUGGUGGUCUUUUUGUACUUUGUCAAAUCUGGCAGAAUCAGUUUGGAAUCAGUUUCGUGCAAAUUAAUAUUUGGAAGGGUUGUUCUGCCUGUUUUUGUAUGUAGCUUUGAAGUUUAAACCAAUUGUUAGAAAUCAACAUAAUGAAGCGCUUCUAUUGUGCAUAGGGAAAAAGUAGAAGGGGAAACUUAAUUGUGCAUUUUUUCCAGUCCACUCAAUUUUUUAUUUGUUAAUCUUUAUUGUAAAAUAUCAACGUUCACCUCUUCUUCCUCUUUUCAACUUUUAUCAUACAUCUCCAACUUGGUGCACACGAUUUGAUUUCUUACAACAAGAUAACUCGUAAUAAGUAACAGGCUUGUGAUCCUGAUGCACGACAGGUAGUCAGAUUCAUCUCGUCUUGUUAUUAAAAUGAAAAUGACUUCGUUUAUUUCAAAGGAAUGGAUCUUGUCCAUCUUGUGAUUAAAAUCAAUGCCUUUCCACUAUCUGUAGCUAAAAAAUUCCUUUAAGAAGAUGGGGAGAAGGAAGUAUACCUACACAUGUAUUUCUACAUAUAUAUUUCCUUAAGAAGAUAGGAGAACGUUCAAUCUAUGCUAACAAAGCAACCCUGUUUUAAAUUGUCCAUUAAUAACUUGUGAUGUGAUAAAUUUUGUUUUCCUUGAUAUAUGUGCGUCAUGAAAAAGAAUCAUGCAUUGGUGCAUAGAAUGCAUCCAAGUAUUAUCUUGAAAACAAUAAUAAUAAUCCUUUUCUUUACAAGGAUUUACUUUUUUUAAGUCACAAGACACGUAACAACGGUAACAAUGCCUCCAAGAUGAUCGUUUUCAAACAUAUAUAAAUUUUUUCCCUUCAUUGAAAUGUGAGAGAUUUUACAGUUAGAAAAAUCAAAUUUUAUUUCAUAAAUAUCAGAAUUCUAAAUAUUGGAAUCUCGUCAGUGUAUAAUGAAACAUGUAUUCGUGGAUACUAAGAAGGAAAAACGUUAGGCCUAUCUGCAAUUUUAAAACAAAUAAAGUUCAAAAAAUUAUAUGUACGAAGGAUCUAAGUGAAUCAUCAUCAUUUCAACGAUUAUCGAUAGCAGUUGCUGCUUCAAGAAACACUGAAGAUAUGGACAGCAAUUUUCUCAAUAAAAACUUGUUGGAAUGGGGCAUUCCAUCGCCCAGGCUGUCAAAGAUGGAACUGUAUCAGUAAGUUUACAGAAAACAUCUCUAACAGUAUAUCUCAUAACAUUUAUAGGUAGAACGAGUAAGGUCGUUAAAAAUCAGAUGAAAUGCUUUGUUCUAGAAAAAAAAAUCUCAUAACAAACCAGUAGUGGUAAUAUAAUACACUGGUGUCAAUUAACUUAGAAUGAUGCACGGAAAGGUGUAGCGCUGAACUUGAUAAUAAUGACAUCCAAACGUUAAUAAAAACCCCUUUCCUUAUUCUGAAGGUUGAUACACAAAAAAAGAGUCUACUAGAAAAAAUUUCAUUCACAAAGCAGAAUAUUAAUGACUUAUAAAGUAUCUCCCUAAUAAAAUAUAAAAAACAAAGAGGAGUAUAUGACUAAAAGAAGCAAGAGUUUCAAGAACUUACAGUACAGCCUUUGCCAUCUUAAUGUCUUUGCCAAAGACUCCUUUAUCUGGAGGAGAUCUCAUCUGAUUCUAGUGACUUGAUAGUAUGGUUGUUCUUCUCCUUGUCAAAUGCAAACUCAAGUUGUUUUUCCACAGAUCUCGAAAUAGCUGUUCGUUUGGAUGUUAACCGGUAUGGAGGAGAUGCAUUGAAAGCCUUGCUGUUUGAUCUGGUGGGGCUGUGAUCAUUACUGGGACUAGGACUGUCACAUAAGCUUCCAUUUGGUGAACCCAAUCUGCUGUCACUAUUAUUAAGUAUUUCAUCAUGACCAGCUUCACAGGAGACGUCCUUGACUGUUUCUGAUUCUACGUCUUGCAUCUCUUUAAGAGGGAGACAAGUUUGAGUUUCAGUUUUUCUCUUGCGUAGUAUUGAGGGAGUGCUCGGGAAACUUCUAGCCGCAAUUCUUAAUAUUGACUCUGGACUGUGUAUACUCAAGUUUCUAGUCUUCACACAAGGGGGAGUGAAGAUACCAAUAGGCGAAGUGAUUGAAUUAUUAUUUGUCUCGAGCAGGUACAUGCUUAAAAGUUCUGAAUCUACUGGAAUACUAGUUUCUAAUUGGGGUGGCUCGUAGCACAAAGAACCAUACUUUGGGGAUUCAAAUCUUGAAGGUGUUCGUAGAAUUUUAUCUUCAUCAAAUUUGCCAAUAUCAUUCUCUGCUUCACCGUGAGUUAUAGUCCCAUUCUUUCGUGCUGUCCCAGAUUUCCUGCAUCUUGGAUCCAUGAUAUUUGAAGGUCCUACCCAGCGUUUGACAUGUCUAGAAUUAGCAGACUCAUUCAAAACCCCACUUGUUGAAGCAACCAUAUCUUCAUCGGGAGGUGCUGAUGACUCAAUUUGGUCCUUACAGCUUUCGUCCAAUUUGUACAAGUCUGUGUUACCUGAUGAUGUUUGGGCAGUUGAAUCCGAUCCCUUACUUGAGUAAGGAGGGAACCUUUUGGCAGGUGGAGUCUUAGUAGUGUCUCUAGCACCAUUCUGGGAACUAUUUUUUGCAACGGGUGGAAGCUUACCGGUUGCCAAAUAAAAAUCUAGCUUUUUCUUCAAGGAACUAUUCCAAUGAUUUUUUAUCGCAUUGUCCGUCCUGAAUAUAGAAGGAAUAUGCCAUAGCAUAUUAACCAUGUCAACCAGACAAAUUCCAAAAGACAUUUCUAUUUCAUAUGCAUGAUAAAGAAUAUCCAUAUUUGUGCUUGCUAUGUCAUAGCGUAACAUAUGUUUUCACAUUGUUUACCAUUCAUUCAGCUUAAUAAAAAUUCUUUAAAUACGAGACAACAUAACUAUUAUAGAGCUCCUUUUAAAUGACUACUAAGAAGACUGAAGAUCAUGAUGACAUAUCCUAAAGGAUAAAAAUGGGAGAAAACUUCAAGAAUAAAAUCUCAGUCUUCAUUACAAAUAAAAAGUUACCAAUUCAACAAGACAAAUUUUUUAUUUAUAGAGAAUUGGAAAAAAAACUAAUCCUAAUCCCAGUUAACCAAGGAAACAAAUCCUAAUCCUAAUCCUAUUCAAACAAGGAAACUGAUCCUAAUCCUCAUCAAAAAAGGAUUUGACUAAAAUACCUUCAUUUACCUAAUCCUACUACAUUAUAUCAUAUUAGUACACUUUAUGAAUUUAAUUAGAUGGGGCUGAACACACGGUUUACAUGUGCUCAUAUGUCUUGUCUCUCUAAGUGCAUUUCUAUGUCUGUUCAUCUCUUUCUUCAUAUUUCCAUUGAGGUAUUAAACUUUACAAAAACAAGAAUACUCACCUUCCAGGUAAAACCCUGGCUAUUUCAGCCCAUUUGUUCCCAUGUAACCGAUGUGCAUCCAUGAGAGCCAAUUCCUCUUCUAAUGUCCAAGCAUCCUUCUUUAUAUCUGGAUUCAAAUGAUUAUGCCACCUAGAAAUAAUAGAUCACUACUUUACAACAGAUCCAUAAAUCCACAUACCUUCAGCAUUCAGAAAGGUCAAAACAGAGAGACAGUAAUGAUAAAAAAGGCAAUUUAUCAAGCAUUAAGCAGAGGAGAAAAAAGAGCACGCAACUUUCCAGAAACUUGCAAAUUGUAUUUACGAUUAAAAAUCAAGACUUCAGCUAACAAUUAAUCAUAACAGAUUCAAGGGAGAUACCUCUCUCGGCAUUGUUUCCCUAUGCGACCAGGCAAAGACUUUGCUAUCAAAGACCAUUUGGUAGGUCCAUACUUCGAAACCAGCUCAAUAAUUUUAUCAUCUUCCUAUAAGAAAGAAAGCAAAACAAUAAAUUUUCGCUAUACAUGCAAUAGCAGAAAGCAUCCAAGGAAGAAGACACCAAAUACAAACCUCCUGAGUCCAUGGUCCCUUAACAAGAUCCGGAUUGAGAACCUUCUGCCAUCUAUGCAGACAUUGAACUUCUGAUCUAUCAUGGAAGUACUCAGCUGCACGCAAAUUUUUUCUAAUGAGGUCAAUCAACCUACCCAAGUUGUAUAAAAAAACGACGACCAGGCAACCAACUCAUCAUAGGUAAGAUCGAUAACGAUACUAAAAAACAUUCUGAAAGUUGAAUGAGAAAUAUAUAUCUGUUCAACUAAGACAAUGACCAUCUAAAUAUUUUGACUUUCAAAAACUUUCAACUGUAGCUUAUAAAACUCAAACAUGCAAAAUGCAUAGUACAGCUGGAUAAAAGUAAUGCCUUCUCUACAGUACGGAGCCACAAAUUUAAUAGAUGUAAAAAUAUUUAACAUAAUUUUUCUAUUAGUUAAAUGAACGUGUAAAAUGCUUCAAGCCUACGUUCACAGUAGAAAAUAUUUCAAUUUGUCACAUAAACAGAGAAAUCAACUGAAGCCAAAGAUUUAACUCUAUAAUCAUUUAUUCAAAAAAAAAAAAAAAGUGAGUCCCUAAGUAAAAAGAACAGAGAGAAACCUAUUUUCUUCCAAUUCUUCCCUUUGAAAGCUGCAACGGCAUUUCUCAAUGUUUCAUCCUGAAAAAGAAGUCACCAUCACAAGUCAAGAAACUGCUCCCUAUUAUAUAAAUGUUCCUAUAUGUUAAGAUUCUGCAAAUCAAAUCUUCCUUAUCUGACUCAAAAUUGAGUUUUUUUCCAAGUCUGGCAGGUCUAGAAAACAUGGUAUAUGCCAAUUACAGUCAUAACUAAGAACUAUACAACACUAGAAACUAUUAGAAGGGGUAAUCAAUGCUUACCUCUUGAGGAGUCCAGCCACCCUUAGCUCGACGAAUGGGGCCACUGGUCCUCCUGCCAAGUCAAAUUACAGCAUAAACGUCUAAGAUCUUUGAACUGAUCAUAAGCAGUGUAGAAUCGACGCAUUUGUCAAUUCCUUUAGCAGCUAACGAUAUAACUGCUUUGAAAAUAGAAUGUCCAGAAAUCAACGAAAUAAGUUUAAUAAAAUUACCUAUGAGAAGGAGAUGUCGAUGCUGGACUACACAUCCAAGGAGACUUGGCAGUUGCGCUGCCACUACCUUCAGAAACAGAGGAACUCGUAGCAGCAGUAGAUUGUUUAUUUUCAAGACAACACUCUUCUUGUUUCGCCUCUUCCAUCUACUCCUAGAACCAUCUCCAAAAUUCAAAUUCCUAAUAACAGAAUAAAUUUCACCUCAAAUUGUAACCGAAAAGCCAAACAGCAAAGCACUAAAGCAACCAAUCCCAAAAAAAAAAACCCCAACUGCUAUCAAGUUCUCGAAAACCCACUACCUAAACCGGAAAAACGAAAACCAACAAAAGAACUCAGAUCUUGAAACCCACAAUCAGAUCGAAAACAGGGGAGGAGAAUCAGAAUUGUAGGGUUUUAGAGACGAAAGAAGGGGAAAACUGAAACAAUCUUAGCCCAAUCAAGACAAGGUCGAUACGAAUACGAAAACAACAGAUGAUCAAACAGUCGACAAAAUUGAAGGAAAAUCAAGUAAAUUAGAAAAGAAAUUCGAAAUAUGUGAGAGCAAAGAAUGAUACCUACGCUGGAAAGGAAGUGGCGGGAAUCGAAGUGGAGCUGAAGGAAGCGAUGAAAUUAAGUUCAACACCGAAGGAACCACCGUUCCUUUCUUCAGAAACAAAAGAGUUCUCUUUUGGUUUCGAAAAUCGUCGCCCGUUGAAACAAAAAAGUAAGACGCGAAACAAAUAGAGAGUAAAAAUAAUAAAUGAUAAAUAAUAAAUAAAUACCAAAAUUAUUAAUUUCCCAAAUUUUGUAAUAUAUUUGUACAUAACGAAUAUAUAUCGCCACCACCACCGACGUCUCCGUUAACUACCGUUAUUGAAGGCUAAAGAGUUAAGAGUUUUUUUAAAAAUAAAAUAAUAAAAAGUGAAACCCUAUAGCUAACGGUCAAUUAACGAUUAUUAUAAAGGCGUUAAGAUAACGAGGUUUAAAAUCUUAAACGGCACUUGAGAUUUCGUGCGUUAAAGGUCGAUGUUUUUGGGGAUCGGAUUCGCGGGUGCCGAUUCGCGGGCAAUUCUUGACCGUUCGAUUGGAAAUAAAUGACUAGGAUUUUAACUGAUUAUUUGUAAACAGAUAUUGUGCGUCAAUUAAAAUAACAAAUGUUGAAAUUAAGCUGCUUAUCGAAUUUGCAAAAUUAUUCUUUUUGGAAAAUGAGAGGAAAUUUUCCAUUUACAUUCCUAAAUUUUGAAGUUAUCAAUUGAGUCUAUAAUGUGUGAAAUAUAUAGUUGUUUUAAUUAAUUUUUUAAAUAACAAUAGAGAAAUUGAUUUGGGUCCAUUUAAUAUAUUAUAGAUAAUAUUUGGUGUCUAUGCAUCAAAACAAUUCAAUAGUCCCUUUUGGAAAGAAAAAAAUAAGUUAUUUCGUAAACUUUUAAUCAAUCUUUCUAUGAAGAAAUGACUGUGUAAGAUAAAUUUUGUAACGUUUUCGUGAAUUUCUUUUAUAAAAUUUCAAAUACAAUGCAUCUUACUAGUAUUUUGACUCUAUUAUCAACCUCUGUAACUUACAUAAAAUGACAAUUACAUUAGAGUAUUUUCCUAAUAUAAGUGAGAAAAUAUAUAUAUAUAUAUAUUAGCACUUAAAAAGACAUUAAUCCUAAAUAGACUCCUAGUCCGAGUUUGAGCAUACUUGGCUUAACGAGCCAAUCAGAAAAUAAUGAACCAAAUGUGGCUAUAGUAUCUCUAUCUCAAUUUGUGAGAUCGAAAAGUUCUUGUAUGUUGAGGUGAUGAAAUAAUCUCAAACAUCCCAAAACUUUAGUCCUUGGAUGAGAAUGGAAGUUCGUCCAUCAGAAGCCUCUAACAAACAAACCCAAAUAAUUGCAGUUCAUCUAACUGUUGAAGAUUUGUUCUGCAAUCAUUUCUAACAAAUUGAUUGAGGAUGAAGAAAAUGGCAUAUUACCAACAAAAAGCAAAAAAGUUAAACCAGCUUCGGUUGUACUGCUACAAGCUUGAGUAAAUAUAUGUUAUCAUCCUGAUGGAUAUGGAACCUCAAACAUUUAUUCGAAGUCUCCUACUAAAACUUUAAUUCAUAAGUCAAAUCAAAUUACAACUUAAUCCCAGUUGUAACAGAUAAUGUAGAAAGAUACUUUAAAUUCAGAGGUGAAGGUUUCAAGAAUAAGAACACACAUACUACAAUUCCAAAGGUGAAAGAACUGAAGGUCUCAAGAAUAUGGAAGAAACAUACUAAAAUCCGAACUGAAGGUCUCAAGAAUAUGUCCAGAGUGGCCUCAUGCAACGUUAAUCUGAGGUAGCGGCUCCUUGGUUGAGCUCAGCAAAUCUCAUUCCAACGCGCAUUGAGUGCUUCAAGAACUUCUCGGCACACCUACGUACACAUGUUUCCUCUUGCUUGGUCAAGGAUUUUCGCUGGAAGUUAUCGAUACAAUCUGUGAAGCAUCUCUCAACCAAUGAGUUGUACAUUCUCAGACUGCAAGUUAUUAGAAGGCAAACGGUUAUGACCAUGAAUGUGUUCUUAUAUUUUUGUGGCGAAAACUUUCUUCCUGUCACAUGCAGUAAUUUACAACACUGGGACCAGAUUAGAAUAGAAUCGUAGAAAUAACACAAAUCACGCAUUGGAUACUUGCAUAAAUUAAGGAGAAGCAAAAGAGCUCCAAACUGCUGUAUAAUAAACUUUUGAAGACUUCUUUCAAUAUAAAUUACAUAUGGGCACCUUAGUUCAACUUAGAAAAAUACAUUGUCAUUCAUCACUCAUUAAUCAAGAUCACUCCAAGAACACCAUUAGUUCUCUUAUUUGGAGUAUAUUAAUAUUGAGGAUCCCAUAUUGAAAAAAUGGGAGACCUCAAAAUGAUAAAAAAAAAACAUACAUGGUCUACUCUUCCACAUUGAAAAAAAUGGUUUUAGAAUGAAACCUUGUGUUUAUCGAAUAUGGUAUCAAAGCUCAAGAAGUCCAAAUUGAUAUAUGAAUUUUUUUUAAAAAUGAAACUCGACCCAAAAGUGGUAAGCCCAAACAGACGCCAUCUUGAGGGGUAUAUUGGGAUCACACAUUGGAAAGAUAAAAGAAAGAGACUUCGUAGUUUUUUAAAGACACGAUGUACUCCUUGUAUUGUCAAUUGAUUUUGAGAUUCACCAUCAUGUUUAUCUAAUAAUUUAGGAGCAAAUAAUAGUUCCAAUGAGAUAUUUCUAUGAUCAGCUCUGAACAACUAAACUUGUCCCGGAAAAUCCUAAAGGAGCAGCUCACUUGGGGUGCUGUGAGGUACGAACCCCCUGAGUUCCUAUGGCCAGGGUUGGUCACUGAAUAGACUACCGUCAGUAGAGGAUACAACGAUCAUUCAAAAAAGAAAUCAAUAAGCAAUACUAUCAUAAUGUGACUUUUCUCAAAAAUAAAUACAUAUAUGUCCAUGAGCAUUUAAAUCACCUAACUACAUUUGGCUGCUAACGUAAUUCACAGAAUAUUAAACACUUUAUUAACCACUGUAAUUUGAACCCAUCCCCUUAUUGACCAAUAAGUCAAACCAGAACGGUUAUCUAAAGGUGGUGGUGUAAAACUUCAGCAGAAGUAUAAUAAAUUAUACCCUAAAAGACAUGCCCAAAAAAACAAAACAAAAAACCAUAAGCAGCAUACAGUAAAUAGGCUCCCAAAUUUAAGUAGCUUGAUCUUUCUCAGAGCAUGUCACGUAAUGACGUUGAAGCUGCGGUACCGCGCCAUAAGCUCUUAUCCUGGUCACACCAUAAUCACAAACCCCACAGAACCAAAAUUCCAAAUUGCUACCCCCAAAUUGACCUGUAUCUAGAAAAUUUCCAAUCCUUCCACUAUUCAUUCAAAGAUGCACAAGCGCAUUCCAAAAAUCUCCAAUCAGGUAAAUAUCAAUUUUCGCGCAAUUCAAAACGCUCCCAGGUAGUAAUAAUAUUUAAAUCAAUUGAAGGAUAAAAAUUCCAGAAACAACUUUCAACCACGCCACAACAUGUACAGAUAGAAAUAACAUACAUAAAUACCAAAAAGAAAGAUCAAACAAAUUAGUUCAUUUUCAAAACUCAAAAGAUUUUAGAAAAGUAAAUAGAACCUGUCUCGGAUCUGAAGCUGGUCGAUCAUGGUGGCCAUUUUGAUCUUGUCUUCUUCAGGAAGCCCAUCCAAAUCAGCAAGCAUGUUCUUGUCCAUCUUGAAUUCCAAUAAAAGCAAAGGGUUUAGGGUUUAACUUCUCUGGUUUCUUCUUUUGUAUCGCCGCCUAUAAUAGCUAACAAAUUAGAACAGUAGGUUGAAGAAACUGAAUUUGUGGUUUUCUUGCUAAAUGGUCCUUCAAUGUUUCAAUAUUUCCGAACUUGUCUCCCAUUUAUAAUACAUUUAAAUGUAAAUUAAAUACAUUUUAAUAUCUAAAUUUUAUCAAAUCAUAAUUACUUCGAAUACACACUAUUUUAAGGAUAAAAUAUUUUUUAUUUUAAAAAACAUUAGUUUGAUUUAAAUAUUUUAGUUUAUUAUAUAUAUAUAUAGGAUGUUUGAAGUAAGUAAGUUAUUAUAUUCUUAAGUUAUAAUAGUCUGUAUUUAAGAUGUAGAUAGUUCGUAGUUAUAAUAGUAUAUGUUGAUGUGUAAACUAUUUUAGUUUGAUAAGAGAAUGGUAAACUUGGUAAUAGAUGAUAAAAAAAUAAUAAUGUUAAAUAGUGAAAACGAUAAAACAUUAAGAGUUUUAAAAUAAUAUUUAUCAUAUCUAAUUGAAAACUUACUCAUAAGAUGAUUAUUUAGAUAAUAUUUGCCGUUAUAAAUUUCUACAUGGUCUAUCACAAUCUACCUAAGCUUUUUAAAACAUAUCUAAUUAUCAACAUCUCAUUUGCAAUUAGGAUAAUUGCAAUAGAUUAUCAUUUGAAAAAUAAUAAUUAAGGAUAUAGCAACGUUUAAAAAAAUUGUAAAUAUAGCAAAACUAUCGCUGAUAAACUUGUAUCACUGAUAGACUCGUAUGAUCUAUCAGUGAUAAAUCAAUUUUUACAACAUAUUUUGAUAAAUUUUUGCUAUAUUUACAAUUAUUUUAAAAUGUUGAUAUAUAUUUAAUUACUUUGAAUUUAAUUGCUAAAUUUGUAACUAUGUGCUGAUGUUUUUUUGUUGGGCUGAUUUUUAGGCCCUGGGCUCAACAGGCCCAACUCACGAGGGCCAUGAAGCCUGGCCCAAGGAUCAUUCAAACGAAGGUUUCGACUCAGAUUCAAAUGGUGAAAAGUUUUGAAAUGAAAAAAAUGGGAAAAUAAAAAGUAAAGUUCAAAUUAAGAAGCGGAACUCUGCCACCAACGGUCUUGAUUUUCAAAAUUACAUCUCUCCUUCCUCUCUUCCUCUCUUCCUCUCUUCCCUUCACUUGAUCUCUCGCCACUGCUUACGCGAACAAUCUUCCACAUUUCAAUGGCUUCCGAAAUUCUUGCACCUGCUGCAUCAACAAAUCACUCUGCAAUCUCAAAGGUCAGAGUGGUCGCAAGGGUUCGUCCAUUUCUCCCCUUAGAAGGUUCAGUAAAAAGUUAUAGGGUUCCAGUUUCAUGCAUUUCUGUCUUGGAUCAAGCCCAAAUCUCCCAAGAGGAGGUCACCGUUCAUCUAAAAGAUCCGGAAACCAGGUACUUAUUUUUUGUGUCUGUUUUAACUGCUGUAGAAGAAUCGUCUGAUUCAUUGGAUUGAUUGUUGUUUGUGAAUUUUCUGAGUGUAGUCGAAACGAGUGCUAUCAAUUGGACUCGUUUUAUGGCCAAGAAGAUCAUACGGUGAGGCAGAUAUUCGAUAAAGAAGUUAAUCCUUUGAUUCCUGGACUCUUCCAUGGAUGCAACGGAACUGUGUUUGCUUAUGGGGCUACUGGCAGUGGAAAGACUUACACAAUGCAGGUUAUGUUUAAUUAGCGGAGGAUUUGUUCUAUUCAGCUGAAUUAACUUAAACUCGACAGAAGAAUUUGGUUAUUAUUCACGAAAGCUUGAUCUUUCCCGAUUGAUAUAAAACAUUAAAGGAAAUGGAAUGAUUAGCACUCUGAACUGUGUUGAAUUUGGUUGAGGAUGCAGGGUACUGAAGAGGAACCAGGUCUCAUGCCGCUAGCCAUGUCUAGAAUUUUAUCACUUUGUGAGGAAACUGGGUGUAGAGCAGAGAUUUCAUACUAUGAAGUUUAUUUGGAAAGGUGUCACGAUCUUCUGGAGCCCAAAGCUAAAGAAAUUGUAAUUCUGGAUGAUAAAGAAGGACAAAUUCAUCUUAGGGGAUUGUCUAAGGUUGCUGUAAAUUCCAUGUCUGAAUUCCGGGAGACAUUGGCUAUAGGAUUUCAGAGGCGGAAAGUUGCUGAUACUGAUCUUAACGAUGUUUCGAGUAGAAGUCAUGGGGUUCUUGUAAUUGCAGUUUCAUCGCCGGUUUGUGCUGAUUCUGGGGCUUCUGUCACAGGGAAGCUCAAUCUCAUAGACUUGGCAGGUAUUUUCCUUAAGUUUCAUGGAAACCGAGCCCUAACCAUCAAAUAAUUUUAAAAGUUACAUGAUAGAAAGGGAGAUUUAUGCACCCCUCAAGAAUUCAUGUUAUCUGGAUAGUUGUUAUUGUUGCUACUUCGGUUAAUAUCUAUAUGUUCAUUACCAUCCAUGGCAGGUAAUGAAGAUAACAGGAGGACUGGCAAUGAAGGGAUUCGCCUUCAAGAGAGUGCGAAAAUCAACCAGUCUUUAUUUGCACUUUCCAAUGUGAUAUAUGCAUUAAACAAAAACCUUGCUCGAAUUCCUUACAGAGAAAGCAAAUUGACCCGCAUAUUGCAGGAUUCGCUUGGUGGAACAAGCCGUGCUUUGAUGAUAGCUUGCCUGGUAAAGUGAUGCUGAUUAAAUAUCUACUGUAAUCUAAAACCACAUUCGCUCAAAUUUUCUUCUUUUUUGAUAACAGAAUCCCGGCGCAUAUCAGGAGGCUGUGCAUACAGUCAGCUUGGCAGCUCGAUCGCGUCAAAUUUCAAAUUUUGUUUUGCCGGUCCAUAAACACGGAACUCCACAGGCUAAAGUUGACAUGCAAUCGAAGCUGCAAACUUGGCUUGAGUCAAAAGGCAAGACCAAGAGUGCACAAAGAAUUGGAGGGUUUGGUUCUCCAUUUUCUAGUAAAACUCCUUGUUCUACUGCUUCAAAAUUGAGAAAACCUCUCUUCAACAGUUCUGCCAAAGUUAAGAAAACUGCUGACCAGAGUGCUUGGAAACAAGAAAAAGAAAGGUUUGGCAACAAUAUGGCCUGGAUUUAUCGACUUUUAAUACCCUCUGCUAACGUCUUUUGACUAUAAUGCAUUGAUGAUGUUCAGGAGUGUAACCGUGGCUUUCGGAAACUUGGUUGAAAAGGAAGAUGUAGUUAAUUCUAUCACAACCAAAGAUCACGGUAUUUUUCUAUUGCAGCUCUGUUCUCUAGUUCACUCAAAACUUGUUCAUUUCUGCCACCUUGUGUUUUGGAUAUGAUUGAAUCUUCAUCUUUAGAUGCAGUAGUCAAGGUGAAAUUUAAUAGUCCAAGAAAGGCUCUAUCACCACUCCACAAUAACGGAAUCCAAAAGCCUAUGCUGGAAGUUUCGCUUACUGACCAUUUACUAACAGCAAAUACUCCAAAAACACCGCUCCCUGCAAAUGGAGAACUCAAAUCUUUUGGGACCCCACUGGAUAAGUUUGGUGCCCAAGUAUCAACCCUGAAGGUACUCACAAGGCCUAUUUAAAUAUUCGUUAUCUUACUUCUUCAUUCAGUUUGGAUUCCAAUAAUUCUGGUUUUUCUUGUCAUUUUAAUCAAUCAGAGUUGCGUUGCACAAGAAUAUGUGGAUUUCUUGAAUACAGCAAGCAGGUAGCUCUAUAAUCAUUUACUAUAUUUAUCAUUUCAGCACAAAUCCACAUAUGUGGGUUUAUCCUUUCAGUCCCAAACUGUUCAGUUUGAAAUAGUGAGAAGUUCAAGUACUUAUUCAUUGGCUUUCUUUGUUUUGCAGAGAGGAACUAGUAGAAUUGAAGGUACUAUCAGUUGGACUUUAGACCACAACUGGGAUUUUCUUUUAAUGAAAAAAGUAAACCUCUUCUGUUUUGUGUUCUGACUCUCUGUUCCCUUUGAAUCUCCAGGGCAUCGGAGUGAAAAUGGCUGAGUACAUUCUUGAUCUCAGAGAAACUAGUCCAUUGAAAUCGGUAGGAUGAAAUCUUUAAUUUUUUCAUAAUUAUGCAUGAGGGACAUUCUUCGGCAGUUUUUAGCUCUCAAAUUCCAGAUAAUUUUAUUCCACAGAUAUUUUUGCGUAAAUUACUUUGCUAUGUUAAAAUCCCUAGUGUGAACAAGAGAUUAUUCAAUAAGCUCACCACACCAUGGUCACCUCAUAAUAACCAUUGGAUGUUGAUUCACCUCAAAUCUAAAUACGAGAUAUUUCUCUCUUAUACGUUGAUCAGUGAAAAUCUGUAAUCCACGUUGUGGGAGUUUCAUCUAAUUAUUUUUCUUAGUGAACAACCAUGGUCCCCAAAAUCCAUUAAUUUGUAUCAUCCUCACUUGGGACCUAACUUUAUGCCUUUUUUCUCAUAGUCCAAUCCGUGCUCUAAAAGUCGUCAUUUUAGUGUCUAGGAAUGUGCCAAGAGCUCUCAUUUUCCUUUAACUUUGACAAAUACAGUUCAAUCCCACACACAUGCUUUUGUUCAUUUCUGAUAAUCACUUAGCAUCUAUAAAACAUCACAAAUAAAGUUAAUGGAAAAAUGAAAUACAAGAAAACAACAGUACACAACUUUUUUUCCUGAAUACUUUCUAAUUGGGUGUCAAAAUGAUGAGCUUUUCUUACCUUUUUCUUUGUUCUGUGUUUAGCUCACUGACUUGAAGAAACUAGGACUCUCAUACAAGCAGGUAAUGCUUCAGUAAAACAUAAUAACACUACCAUUUUAUUUAUUUCUUUUUCACUUUAGAAAAACCAAUCCACUGGAUGUAAGUAUGAGUUUGUUUCUUUCUGUUCUUACAGAUUCACAACUUAUUCAGCAAAGCUGCAAGAGGGAUGUUUGAUAGAACAGAAGAUUUACCAGAAACAACAUUAUCCACCAAUGAUGAAGAAAGAAGAUGUAAUAAUGUAUUGGGAAGCGUGCCAUAGCAACAUCCUCCAAGUUGCUGUAUGUUUAAUAUUUGUACUGAGUAGAGAAAAUUGUCUAUGUGUGAUUUAGGAUUGCCGACUGCCGUGAUGGGCUUCCUUGAUGUUCUAAGCCCCGUCUCUCUGUAUUAUUUAAUAUCCAUUUGUAACUAAUGUGAACUUAUGGCUGAUCAAUUUAAUUCAUGCUGAAAGUUGUUUCCAUGUACGUAUUAGAAAUAUUUGGAUUUUUUCUAUUAGAAAUACUUUCAUCAUUAGCAACAGAAUUAGGUUGCGGGUUUAGAAAGUAAAUUGAAUUACCUUCUAAAUUUCAUAAUAAACAAUAGAAGUACAACUAGGAAUUGGAAGUGGAAGGUUAUAGAACCACAUUAAUUUCUGUAAUGACAAACUUUGAAUCCAAUAUUCUAAUUCAUUUUAUUAUAUUUUAAAAUAAUUCAACGAAAAUCAGUGGAAAAAAAAGAUAGUUCAAAUUAAUUACGUAAUAAAGUAGUGGACUUUCAAAUCUUGUUCGUUUUUGUUGCGACUAUAUGCGUUGAAGUAAAUAUAAGUUUGCAAAGAAUGUGAUAUUUUCCACAACACAUUCAACCAGAAUCAGCGGUAUGUCUUACAAAUCAAAAAUAGUUUUCUCAUAGCUUUCUCUCCGUUGUGUUUGAUCUUAAUGUGGAAAGAUUCUAAGAAUGAUGAUCAGAAAAGUUAAUCCGAUUCCGAGAUCAAUGAUCGGAAAAAACUGUCCGUUGAUUCUGUGAAAACGCUACACCGCGCACUUGGCAAAAUUCUUUGUUGGAUUUCAGUUCUAAGGUUAAGAUUCAGAUUUCAAACUCCGAUUAAGUUUAGUGAAAUUGUUUAAACUAUAUACUGGGAUGAUAUUUUGAUUAUAUUUAAAAACGUCCAUUUAAAGAAAAAGGAUGAGAAGAAAAAAUUGAUCUCUAUAUACACCGACUCAGUGUUUGGUAACGAUAAGUUUAACAAAAACGGAGAAAUACUUCAAAUCUUCAAUAAAGAAACAACGAUGUGCUAACCAAAUCCUUAAAAGCAAGAGGACAAAACUAGACAGAAAAAAUUGAUCAAUUUUCAAAACUAUUAACCAUUAAAAAGUUCGGCCAUCAGAGGAAAGAUUCUACAAGGACACGCAAAUACGCAUUUAAUUUUUUGGAUGGAUAUACAUCGAUUUAGAACGAAUGGUGCUGCUUAACUAUUCAAUCGUCCCCACCACCGAAAAUGUGAGAAUUCUGUUCUUCAUUUCCAAAUAUUAAAAUUCAGGAUAAUGAUUGAGAUCGAGAUUUGGAGAUAUUUAUCACGUCAAGAUUUUUCAUCAUUUUCAACCAUAGAUUAGAUAUUGAUGAUGAAAGAAACUCUGUAAUCUCUCAAAUUAGCACGUACUAUUUCUUAAAUUUCUUACAGAGAGAGAAGCAAAUACUAAACAGACAUGGAUGAACACAGGAAUCUUCAGCUAAAAAGAUCACUGACUGAACCUUUAUAACAACAGCAUAUAAAGUUUUUCCACAACUCCAUGACUGCUAUUAUUCAAAAGGAACGCUACAAUCGACACUUAAAAAGACGCAACACAACGGAGAACGAAAGCGCUUGGAGAUUUUAUAAUUGUUAUUAAGAUGGAUGCAUACUAUUAGUACUCGAACAUAAUCUCCACCUGAGACGGUUCGAGCUGCUCUUGAUGCUGCUGCUGCUCAUUUACAGGUGCAUGGAUCGCAGGUGCAGUUGUCACCGCACUUGCAGCCGUUCUCGGCUCCCAUCUCUGCUACCUCGUAGGACCUGGUAUCGAAAACGCCGAUAUUGUUAAAUAAAAUCAUCACUAAAUACCGAAACCUCUCUUGAAAAAUUAGGCUUGAUUGCAGAAACUUACAUCUUCUGAGGAGCGAAACCGACUACGAAAGUCUCGAUCGUAGCAGAGGUCUCUGAGAAGCUCAAGUCAGGGAAACUCUUGCAUCUGCAUGACAAAAUAUCAAAACAUCAGAAUCAUCGCGAUUAUCCUCGGGUGAAAUGAACACCGUAGUCAUUUUCAGAAACUUCACAAGAAAAUCCGCCUUGAUCGUACGAAUGAAGAUAAUCGGCAAGUGAUCGGAUCGCCGUCGAACGAGGGACAAAGAUAUGUAGAAGAUUAAGAAAUCGAAAGCGAUGUAAAAGAAAACAGAAGAUCAGAUUCUCGAGAGAUCAUGCUCUCCACAAAAUCAUACGCGAACUAAAAGCAAUUUCACUCGAUCAAACUCAAAAGAGUUAAUUGGCGAGAGGUUACUCACCCUCCACAGCCAUUUCCGCACUUGCAGCCAGAGCCGCAUCCACAGUUUCCGCCACAGCAAGACAUUUUGGACGAUGAACAACAAAGAACAGAGAGAAUUGGAAGUUUGUUAGGUAAUCAAAGUAUAACUUAUCGCGAUUGAACGAGCUUGCAAGAAGAAAUGGUGAUGAGUCCUAUUAUAUAGAGACGGGGUGGAGAGAAGGAAUGCAUCCACCGUCCACGUGUCGAAAUCGUAGAGGAAGGGAAAUUUUCGUGUAUAGUCCCGAAGCUGCGGCUUUUCUCUUCCACGUAUCUCUCGUGUUAAUCACUCGUAUGGUUUUCAGUUGUAUGGGGCUUCUGUGGGGUCCGCAAUAGACGGUCGAACGACGUUCAUACGUACAUCCAUCUAUUCAAGAUCAAUCAACGGUGGGCGUUUAACUGAAAGAUUCUUCCCUUUUUUAAAAAAAAAUAUUUCAAUAUUCUAAAAUCUCUAAAUUAGGGAUAGUUAGGGUAAUUGUAAUGCUAGUUAUGGUAAUUGUAAGGGAUAGUUGCAAAUUUAACAAUUAAAUUCAAAUUAAUUAAGUAUGUAGCACAAUUUUAAAAAAAUUGUGUAAAUAUAGCAAAAUUUGUCAAAUAUUUACCUAUCACUGAUAUACCAUAUGAAGUCUAUCAUCGAUAGUUUUGCUAUAUUUGCAAUUUUUUUAAAAUGUUGAUGUAUUCUUAAUUAUUAUUGCUAAAAUAGUCCUCUAUUGUAAUUUUUCUAAUUGUGAUGGUUAGUCAUUUGAGCUAGUAAUAAUUAAGGAUAUAGUAAUCUUUAUAAAAAAAUUGUAAAUAUAACAAAACUAUCACUUGUAUCAUUGAUAGACUUGAUCUAUCGGUAAUUGACCAAUAUUUACAACAUGAUCUAUCGCUUGUAUGAUAGACUUCUCUUCUUGAUAUAAUUUGACAAAUUUUUCUAUAUUUGGAAAUUUUUUAAAAUAUUGUUAUAUACCUAAUUAUUUUUAAUCUAAUUACUAAAUUUACAACUAUCUCUUAGUUUAAAACAUGAAUUUGGUUGGUUUGAAAGUUUUGGUUUUUUUUGUUCGAUUGGGUCUCAAGUUAGGGGUUGAAAUUUUUUUGUUUAGCUCAACCCAAUCCAAAUCAGUAAUAUAUUUAUUUGUAUUAUAUAUUAUAUUUUUUUUUAUUUAACAAAAGUAAUGUUAUAAGUAUUUUGUUAAACGAUCACAUGAAAAGUUAUCUGAUCCGUAGAAACUAAACAAUCAUUUGAAUAUAGAAAAUUAAACGAUCGUGACAGAAGAAAAUGAAGAAAAAAAACAAUACAAUCUGACAAUCCAACUCACAUUUUACUGCUUGAGUUGUGGAAUUAAUUUGGUUUAUUCGGGUUGUUAACUGAAUUAACUAAAAAAUAUGAAUUGGGUUGAGAAUGUCUGUCAAUCCAUUUAUACCCCUACUGUAGAUUUAGUAUUGUUUAAAAAAAAAUCAUAUUUACUUUGUAAAUUUAGAAAAUUAUUUAUAAUAUAUAUAGCAAAAUUCAUCCAACUCAUUAAUUUUUAAAAAAUAUAAUUAUUAACCUCUUGUUAUUGUAUAAAAGUUAUUAUUAAACAAACUCAAUAAAAAUACAACUUCCAUAAACUAUAUUUAAAAUUUGUUCGAGAGUAUUUUUCUAAAAAAUAUAUAUCUAUAUUGAAAGUAUACAUAGACUUUUAAGAAUAAGAAUGGUUAAGAGUGUAGACAUUCUAAAUAAAUUAUUGAAAAUGACAAAAAAUGCUUUAUAAAUUUUGUAAAUUAUAUUAAUGACGAGUGAUAUACAUUGACAUAUAAUGUAUCAUAUAUAUAAUUUGAAAAUAUUUUUAUUAUGUUUUGAAAAUAAUUUAAUUCAUUUUGUUAUAUUUAAAAUUAUUCUCAUGGAUAGUUAUGUCAAUUUUAAAUUUAAGUUAAAUUUAACACAAGCGAGAGUAUGAAUAAGGAGAUCUAUCAACUCAUAGUAUACAUGCUAGUUGAAACUAUUUAAACCAUUUUUAAAGAGCAAACAAUGUCGUUAUUGAAAUUAUGUUAUCAAAUAAAAAAUAAACUAAACACAUCUGUACAUUAAAAGUAAUUACAGUUUUAUGAAUAAUAAUUAAGUAUAUAGUAACAUUUUAAAGAAAAUUGCAAAUAUAGAAAAAUAUAUCGGUGAUAGAUAGACUUUUAACUUAUAGACCAAUAUUUGCAACAUGAUCUAUCAGUGAUACAUUUCUAUCAUUAAUAGACUUUGACAGGUUUUGUUAUAUUUACACUUUUUUUAAAAUAUUGUUAUAUACUUGAUUAUUUUAAACAUAAUUGCUAUAUUUGCAACUAUCUCGAACAUUAAAUAAGUCAAAUAGAGUUUUUUUGUUUUCUUAUCAAAACAAAAAUGUUGUUUUCAAAACAUUGAAAAAAAAUGUUGUAUUUAUUAUAAGUACUUGCUUGAGAUUUUAGCCUCAUUAUGUUUUUUCAUUAUUACUCCUUUAAGAGAGAAACAACAUCAAAAUCAAAGUAACAAACAAAAAGUCCAAACUACCCUUUUCUUUGACCACUUAGGAAAGAGAUACUAAAAAAGGUAAGCAUUGUGAUUGUUGUCAAUUGUACAUUUACUCAUCUCUUUCUCCUAGUACCUUGUUUCAAAAAAUAAAUCUCAACAAACAAUAUAUAUACACAUAUAUAUAUAUAUAUUAAACUACAAAAUCAUGUAUGUUGAUUGCAUACAACAUUGAACAAUGAAAUUUGUAAGAGAACCAAAUCCACCGACUAAGUAAUCGAGUCACGACCAUACCAUUUUAUUUUACAGGAGCAAGACAUAAACCAAUUAAUUUUCAAAAUGGUUCAACUUUUUCGAUAAUUUUUAUAAGAUUUAAUUUAAAACUAAUUACUACCUACCAACGGAUCGAUAGACAUCAAAUCUUAAAAUAUAGCAACAUCAAUGUUGAGUUUUAAAGUAGUGAAAGAAGAUAAAGUUUAGUUAUUGUUGAACGUCUUCAAUUAUUGUCUAAAUUUGAGACACCCUCCUAAAAACUCAAAUUGGAUUAAACUAAAAUGAUCGUUGUUGAAGAAAAUGUUCAAUUAAGGAAGUAUGUCUUAUGGAUUGAACCGUUCCGUCACCUACGUUUAUAAAUUAACAAAAAAAAAAUCCUAGAAAAUUGAUGGCAAGUUACAUUAUAUUUUAAAUAAACCUGUCAAACUAUAUUCUAUUUUCUAAUAUUCUUUUUUUAAAAAUCAUUAAGAAGGAUAAUAUUUUUUCCAAACAAAUCUAACAAUGAAAGAGGUAGUACACAAAUGUGUCCAAUUAUUAAGUUGUAGUACACUCGAGCAUCAUAUAGUAAAUAUAGUACACUCAUGAGUCUAUGAGAUGCACUACUUAUUCUUAGAAUCUUUUUUGCAAUGAUUUUUUUUUUGUUGUUGUUGGUGAUGUUAAAUAUCAUCAACUACUACUAUUUUACUCAAAUCAAACCAUUUUGAUAAACUUUUAUAUAAUUUUGAACUUCCUUCUAAACCAUAUGAAUUCAUUUGAAUCAAUAACUAAAUUACUUUUAUCAAGAUACAAAACUAUUAUGAACUAAAAGGUUUGUGCUUUUAAAAUUUCACUACUUUUAAUUGUAGUAACAAGCUAUAGAACUUAUUAUUGGUGUUAAUCGUCUUUUAUCUUUGUGACUAAUUGAUAACUUUUGUGUGUAAACUUCUCAUUUCAAAAUCUAUAAUGCAAAUACAUCAAGCUAAAAUAAUUAUUCAUGCAAUAAAAUAAAAUUAUGGUUACUUUAAAAGUUAGGAAUGAAUGUGAUAUACCAAAAUAUUAAGUUGAUCGAUCAAAAAAUGAGAGGGAUUGAUCAAGAUCAAUUUUAAAAAGUUUCAAAUCAAUUUGAAUGGGUUGGAUGACAAUUUUAGAAAACUAAUUUGGAGGCACCCAUGGACGCCAUAGUUUGUAAAAUUGGAUUAAAGGUAGAAAUGGAGAAUAUGGAGGGGGGAUUUGUUUAGGGAAAAGGAUGGCACAUGGGUCAUUCAUUGUGCGGGGGACCCAUGAAAUUCACUAUUUUUUAUUGUUUGUUGAUUUAAAUUUGUAAAACAGAGAUAGGGUCCCACGUGAUAAAAAAUAGAGAGUAAAGUAAUGGGCCCAGACGGAAUUGUGUCCAUUUGCGGUGGAUGUCCAAAGUCGGAACGCCGUGGCCCAAAAGUUCCCCUCAUUCCUAUUUCCUACCUCUGCCCUUCUCUUUCGUCUUCACGAAUCUACUUUUCCCUCUUUCUCCAAUAUUCUUCAUUUUAAUCCCUUCCAUUCUUUUAUUUAUUGUAAUUACACCUUCAAUUCCUAAAUUUAAAAGCCAAAUUGGAAGAAAAGAUAAAUAAAAAACCUAAGGUUAGUCAAACGUAAAUUUGAUAAUUUUUUAAUUAACAAUUGAAUCAUUAUUUAGCCAUUUUAAGUGAUGGGAAAAGCUUGCUUUUAUAUAUUUCAUUCCCUUUUGUUUGUUAUGUCUAUUUUUUAAAGAGACGGGAGAAUCAUGAUUGUUUUAAUGGAGUUGAAGAAUAUAUAUUAUCGUAUAAUUUGAUUUUUAGAUUUGGAAUAGUUGUAUUUAUUAAAGAAUUUAGAUUCAUUGUCUUUUAAUUUCACGUAAGCAUACAGUGUCAAGUUGAUUUAUAAAUAUUAAUAUUUUUGUAAUUAUCAAAUUAGAUAUAAAUCAUUUUACGUAUAGAACGAAAAUUCAUUUAUUUAGUAUGUAAUUGACAUGUUACUGGACUACGUGGAGUGGAUUGCAAAGUUUAAGAAAAUGACUAAAUUGACCCAUUUAAAAGAUAGGUCAAAAUGAACCAAUUAUUCAAACUUAUAGGGACAAAAGGGUUAUUUUUCAAAACCUAUCUAGAAAAAAUACAAAUGAUAAUGUGAUGAAAUUCACUGGUUGCAAAUAAAGCUAGCCAUUUCAAAUAAAUAACUUGAUGAUCUAGUUCAAUAUAGUGUUAAUUUGGCAUUUUGUUUUGAAAAUGUUAUAAUUAAAUUUAUUAUAGUUUAGGGCUUAGCUUAGGUUCUAAAUUAGUGGAUUUGGUUCCUCGGUGUAUGUAAGAUUAGAGGUUUUCGAAAAUCAUAUAUUAGCAAAAUACAAAUAAUUUGUUUUUUAAACAGAUCUAUAAAUUGUUACUUAUUGACUAAAAAUUAUACCAACUUAUUUAUUGCUACGAUUAACUAAAAGUGGUAUCCCAUAAUUAAUAUUAAGACAAUAAUUAAUGGUUUAAUUUGUUCUUAACACAACGAGUCGAUAUGUCCGAGUGGUUAAGGAGACAGACUUGAAAUCUGUUGGGCUUCGCCCGCGCAGGUUCGAACCCUGCUGUCGACGGUUUUUUAUUUUCUUGUUCUAGAACAUAACAUAUACAUAAAAAAUUCGCUGUAUUUUUUAAAAUUAAUUAAUUGACAAACGAGCAAAUCAAUCUUUAGAAGGAAAUCUAUUUAGGAUGGAUGAUCUUCCAACAACAAUGACGUUAUAUGAUGUAUUUGAACAUUGAUAACAAGUUGAUUUUGUGAUUAAUUUAUUAUAAACUAUAAUAUGAGUCAACGACAUACUAAAUCUCAUUGCAACAACUUGAAAAUUCAUUAAAAAAGCAUAUAAUCAAUAUCGGUCUAAGGGCAUUAGUAUCAACCUCAACGGUGUUAGAGUUGGCUUCACAAGAGGGUCAUAGCCCCUCAUCAGCUUCAACAUAGUCGAUGAAAGAUUGGUUAUUUUCUAAAGCUAACAAGGGUUUUCGCUUUUGGAAUUGCAGUUUCAACUCCAAGAUUCACACCAUUGCUUAUUAUUAAUGCAUCUUAAUUUACUUUGAAGAAGCCUCGAACGGGGAGCAAUUUGUCAUCAACAAGUGUAGCAUUAUGACAAAAAGGUUGUUCUACUAUCAAAAGAUUCAAUCACGAAAAGCACCAACAUAUUGGAUCCGAAACAACGGCCCAUAUACUGGGCUCGUGGGCUUAUCUUCGUUCACAGACGGCUGACCCAAUAAUCUUGCAGGCCCAUCCACGUGAAUAGUGGCUUCCGUCUCGUCUUCACCAUCCAACGAUGCCGUUUUGGCAGCGUAUGCAUAAUUCAAAUUGUUAAGUGCCCGCUAUUUUAUUUCCGGGAGGGCGGUCGCUUCAGAUUGCUCAGAUGGAGCCGGAGAUGGCGAAUGAGCCUUCUCCGAUGGUUUCAGCUUCUUGACUUCUGUAUGUACGUUUUCUUCUUCUUCUUCUUCUUCUUGAAUAAGUGAAGUUCUUAUUAAAGUCGCAGUUCCGAAGUUCAAGCUUUCCCUACAAUGGCGUCUCCAGUCACGUACUCUGCAAUCGACGACAAAGAUUUCGACGAUGCAGCUUUGUGGGCUGUAAUUGACUCUGCUGCUGCAGCUGCAGCUUCUUCCUCCUCGUCCUCUAAACCUCGCAAGUCUCUAGCACUUAAUUGCAUCAAUAAAUCAAACCCUUCUCCGCCGCCAAAAUUCCCGAAAAGCCCUAAAACUCCAUAUCAGGCGCAGCGGAAUUCUAGGGUUUUUAUCGAGGGUGAAGUUGUGCAUGAACCAUGGGUGUUUCAACCUCCUCGGAAAAUUGCAAAGACACGUGCAUCGGAAGUGAGCGAUAGCAGUCCUCUUGCGGUUGUCUGUAACAACGCGUUACGGACUCCGCCUGCUCCGGUAUAUUUGUCUCCUGAAGCGUACUUGUCGCCGCAGAUCGGUUCUGGUUCUGAAGGUUCUCCAGGUUGUAGUAGAAGUGGGGUGAACGCGGAAAGGGAAAUGUCGAGGCAUUGCCUAUCUGGGCAGUUUCCUUCAGUCUCCCUCUUUAAGGAGUAUCAAAAUGCGGCAAUGGCGGUAUUUUCUAAUUCCGUUUAGUUAUGCCUUUAGUUUUCGUUUUCACAUGAUGCAUUCCCUGCGAAAACCUAGCCUCUGUUUGAACAAAUCUCAAUUGAACAGGAAACUCUGGUAUAGCCCGAGAACAAAAGUUAGAUACUUAUAGAAUUCAUUGCUAUCAGGAACAUGUGUUUUGCGUUAGAAUAUACAUUGUGGGAAUCAAGGAUUAGCUCCCAAAUCGUGGGAAAUACAAUUCAGAUCAAGUCAAGGUCAUUAUCUCAAUUAAUUUAUAAUGUUGAGCGACAGUUUUAUUGCUGUAGAUUUUUCGAGUUUUAGUUAAAAGACAAUAGAAAAUGUUUUGCUCUCUCAUUUGUCUCAGAGACUACGUUAAACCUUUUAAAGUAUCGCAUGUUACCAUGUCUCAACAAUUCAGAUCAGAUUUCUGUGAAAUAUUUCUAAGUCAUCAUUAGCUAUUUUGAGUGAAAAAAAUAGAAAAACGUACUGUGAGGACUGAAAAAGAACCUAAGCAAACCAAAUCAUGGUUUAAUUAAUGCUAAAAUCCAAUUUGAUUUUUGCUAAGCCAACAUGAAAAUGCAUUUUUUCCUUUCUUUUUUUUCAUACCACUUUUAAGGUAGCUACCCGAAUGGCAUACUGUUAAUAUCUCUUAUAUUUCCAUUCUAAUACUCUAGCAGCUACAUUUGCUUCUAUGAAUAGUUAUACUCUUAAUAAUCAUACUUGUACAUGCAUUAUGGGAUUGAUUUAAGUUCUGUGGUCAUGUUACUAUCUUCCUUUUUUUCGUAUUGGCUAGUAAAUUAAGCAAUCUGGCAUGGGUUUUUUAGCUCUCAUUAUCACACGCUGAAGGCACACGUUUUUUUAUGUUUAUAUAUUUUGAUUGGUACUUUCCUUUCUGAAAUCUUGUAAAUUGAUUUAUUUCUCUGUUUCCAAAUAUUAUUUAAAUCCUAUAUUCUUUGGCAAUCCCAAUAUACAGAUUUUAGAGAAAUCAGACUUUACCAUGAUUGCCGGGAACCCUUUCAUAAAAAAAUCAGGUUGAGUAAUGUAUUCUAUGCCUUCUCAUUGCAAAAUGGAGAAAUAGAUGUAACGGGGUAAUUUGCUUUACACAGGAUGGAGGAAGAUAUCGUUUUAUUUCAAUCUCUCUUUUGAAAUUAAGGACAAGACAAUUGAAUUUGAUGAGAACCGCAAUGUCCAGCGCGCUGAAUUUGUUGUUCGAGCGUAUAUGCAGUAUGUUCAUGGAUGGAACUUAAUAACUUACCCAUUUGUUUGUCUAUUUGCUCUUUUUUUUUUCUGCAAUGUUAAGCUGUUUACACGAGAUAUGAUCUUAUACUGAACUAUGCCCUUAAAUUCAUUUUCUCAAUGAUAGAGGUGGUAGAUUUUGUGAUGGAUGGGGCUCGUGUGAACGACGCGAGAAGAGAUUUGUAAAACCAAAUCAUGAUGUUCCUAGCACAGCAGAAACCAGGGCAAAGAAUAAGGCAUGCCAGGUAAGUCACUAAUUCUCACAACUGGCUUAUCCAAAUUUAUUUUUCUAAUAGUUGCUUAAUUUUUUUGAAUCCCCGAAUGGAGAAUUAGUUCAUUGUACCUUUGCUUCGGUUUUAAAUAGGUCAAUAUUACAAAGCUUUAAGUUUAAGUAUCACUAAAUGUGCAAAUUUUACUUUAUCGGUUAGAGCAUGUACAUCAAAUAUCUUUUAUAUAUUCCUAGUUAGUACUUUUCUAUUUUGUGGACCAUAAUGUCUAACAUGCGAAUUAUCAAUAUCUCAUAUCUCAUAUCUAUUAAGAAGGAAACACAUUACAAGAGUUUUGAACACUAGACCUCCUCCUAUUCAGGGGAAAAAAGUCCUUACUCGUCUGUCGAUUUUUCCAUAAUCUUUUCUACAUAUUCUCAACAGUUUCACUCACUCAGUAUGUAGAAUGAAUCGAGUUGGAUAAAUUCUACAGUUUUCAUGCUUAUGCUAAAUCCAUUUCCGAGUAGAGUAGAUGAGAUUCUACUGUAAGCAAUUACAUAUUUAAACAUUUCCAGGACCUGCUUGGCAUUGGAGAGUAUCGACCUGGUGCAUGCCAAGGGCAAAAGUAAAGACUUCCCAGAUUUAUCCCCUAAUCUAACUUGUAUUGUAAGGAGUUAGAUGAUAGCAAUCUUUAACAACAACAACAACAAACAUAAUUACUACAAAAGUUCAUUGAAUGUAAGUUGUAACCAAACUGAGAUCUCAAGGAACAGAAGUUAGUAAUGGAGAAACACCAUCUACCAGAGAGAAGUUCAUGGGUUAUUGUAAUGUUGUAGGCAUUUCCUUAUAUUUGGUAAAACUUUCAUAUCUUUUUAUAGAAAGUGAUUUAGAUGGUUUGGUUAUACUUUUUCUUAAUGUACUGGCAUUGCAAUAUGUAAUAAUAUAUGAUCUUAGGUCCCACUGCCCCAGUUUGGAGGAUCUUUUGGGUUGUUGAGAAGUCACAAUUUCUUGGAUGCCUGGUAUGGGCACUUUAUCAUUAUUAUUUCUCAGUUGGUGGAGGUCAUUGGUUUACUAUUUCAUGGCCCAAUUUUAUUAAUGGAUCUCACAAGAUAGUUGGAUAUUCUAGAAAAUGCAAACUUUUAGGAGCUUUUUUAUAAUCUAGCCUAAAAUUAAAGAAAAAUGUUAAUUUCAACAUAGAAAUAAUUAAGAUUUAUACUUUUUUAUUAAGAUGUUAUAGGUUUGAAACUACACAGAAUAGUAUUUUUUUUUUCCAUAUUAGGCUAAAUAUACAUUACUCUUUUUUAUUUAAAGUCCACUGCUUUUAUUCUUUCAUAUAGGACAUUAUUUGUCUUUUUCAUUUUCAAUAACUAUUAAUAUAUUUUGAUAUAAAAUAUGCAAGUUGAAAGUAAUCUAUGCUCUAAUUUUAGAUACAAAGGAAAAGAAUAUUUAGUAAACUUUUCAUUUACUUCAUAUCUAAAUAAUUAGGUUGCCUUGUAAAUGAGAUUUUAUUACAAUUUACAAUUGAAAUUUUUUACCUUCCAAACGUAAACUUGUUUAAGAGUAUAUGAGAAGAACUAGUGAAGUUUCACGUAAUUGUCAAAAUGACCUAACUUUUCAUACUAGUAGAUUAUGUAUAAAUUACAAUGGAUGGUAAUAGGAGGAUUUACAUACAAUUUAAUAUAAAAAAGUUAGUAAUAUAUGGGUCUGUUUAGGACAUAGAUUCUAAUCUAAAACUGUUGGUUAGAAGAGAUAUUUUUGGUAAUAGAAAUUUAGAAUGGGUGUUGAUGAACAACAAAAUGACAGCAAUAAACCCUGGAGAAAAAACGGAAGAAGAAUAGGAGGGAAGGGUAUAAGAGUAAUUGAAGUAAGAAGAAAAGAGAAUUUGGUAGUUUCCUUCUAUUCCUCUGGCCCUCCAUUGAUCGUUAGUCCACCUUCAAAUCGUAUGUCAGUACGAAAUUAUUCUCUCACGUCCUUUCCCUCCACCACCUUCCAUGUCUGCUCCUCCACACAAAACUGCAUUUCUUCACACUUCAAAUAUUCACUCAACCUGCUUCUUCCACCGCCAAAUGCCAAUUCCCGUCGUUUUUCACAGCCAGUUUUGCAGUACAUUAUUGUUUUCUCUCAAUAAUUCCUGCCUAUUUUAUCCUGGUUUCUUCCUUGUCCAUUCUUGUUCGUCGAUUUCUUCCGUUUAAUUAUUGCUCCUUCCUCCUCCUCAAUUCUAUUACGGUGUCAUCGGAUUUGACUCGUCGUCGUACCUCUGCAACUCUGAAUUAAUCUCUUCCUCUUUCUUCUGCUUCAUUAUUGCACUUGAUGCUUCCAGAUUCAACUAUGGCUCAGCAGGUACCUAUCUCUCUCUGAUUUUUUUUUAGUGUUUAAUUUUUCCGUAAUUUUGCGUUUGAUUUCCGAAUUUAGGAAGAUGGAUGGCCAUUAGGCUUGAGGGUUAUGAACGCCAGAGUUGGUGGGGUGGCGGGAAAUCAUGAUCUCUCUGCUUCGGUUUCUUUCAAUACUUUGCGUACUCAUUCUCCUAGUUCCUUCACUGAUUCUUCCUCAGAUCUUGACACAGAGGUUUGUUACUUCCAUUUUUUUCUUCUUCUUCUUCUUCUGUAUAACUGUAUGCUUGGGAUUGGAGAGGCUGGAAAUUUAGUACAUUAAGCAAAUACAGUGCUUUGGGUUGUGUCAUAAUUAGGACUGCUUUUCAUAGUCUUGUUCUUCUGAAAGUGAUUGAGUUGAAGUAGUUGCAGCCUUGCAUGUUGCCCUUUUUCAAAACGUUUCUUGAUUUUCUUUAGAGCUUUCGUUAGGCCGCCUUUCUAAGAGUUUAAAAGAGUGAUAUAGUAAUUUGAAUUGAAAUUGUUGUUGGUUAGUGAGUUCUUUUUCUUCUUACCUUCCCUCUCCUUCUCACCAUUUACUUUCGCUUCUUAUUUGUCGCUCUUGUGUCCUAUCACAAUAAGCGCUGAAUUGAAAGUUCAGCCAUAAAAUGUGAGUGAGGGGAAAUAGCAAAAUCAAGAGGAAAUAUGGGUAUUGGGUAGUGAGAGCUAAAAAAUUAAGUUAAAAUAUCAUUUUGAUUUAAUGUAUUUUUUGAAGUUUGAUCAAAUUUAGUCCAUAUACUUAAAAUUGUCUAAUUUUAGUUUCUUAGUUUCUAUCAAUCUUAAAUUGAUUAUUUUUCUCAAAAAAAAAAAAUUUAUCCAUUACAUUUUUACUUCGAAUAUUCAUAUAUUGUAUUUUUCUGCAUGAAAAACUAAUUUCGGUAAGAAUUAACUUUGGACGAAAAUGAUGUUUUAACUCUGAUGUUAGAAUUUUUUUUUUUUUUUUUUUUUAGAAAUCGAUUCAAAUUUCAUAUUUUCAGUUUGGUCUUAAAAUAUUCGAAGGCUUUUGGUAUGGUAUUUUUUUUGUCUCUGUUUUUGCUAAAUUCCAUCAGGUAAAUGAUUUUUAGUCAACUGGAUCAUUCUACCCUGACAAGAGCAUCACGCUAGGGAGUCUCAUUGGCGUCUCUAGCAUUCUUGAGCUAUCACGAAGAUCAACAAAAGGAAACAAAGUGGAAAUACUCGAAGAUAAGAAAAAGUACAAGUCCAAGCCAGGGUUGUUUUCAUUGUCUUUAUGCAUUAAACUCCGUCCUGAUGCUGUCAGCUUCAGCAGCUCUCCUUCACUUCAACACUCGCUUGAAGCAGAAAGAAAAGCUACAAGAAAUCGCAGGAAUCACAAUCCGACCCUUUACGGACCCAAUGAUUACUCACCUGUUCCUGGAGCAAACUCUUUGUUUUCCAGUGAUCAAGUUGAUCCUGUAUCUUUUGAACAGGCGGGCGAAGAAGAAAGCAGAAGAUCAGAUGGAGAACUUGUUCGAAAUGGUAACAGUCAGGGGAUUCCUCUACUCUUUUCAUGUCUAUAUUGCCAACUGAUUAAAUAAUUCUCUCUUUGAUUUGCUACAUUAACAUUUGAAUGCAACUUGUUCUUCAUAAAAAAUGAUGCAUUUCAAAUGUUAUAUGGUCAUUUCUUUCAUUCUACCAUUUCAUUUGUAGGAGACUUACUUGUAAUAAUCAUCAUCCAGCCAUUGUGUUUGGGUCAGAUAAGUUAGUGAACCACAUUGAUCGAUCCAUAAAACCAUAACCAGUAAGUUGUAACUUGGUUAGCCUUUUAAUAUCUGUUAGCAUAUGAUAGAAGAAAAAACUUCAAAUGCUCGUAUAGAUGUGCUAUAUUUGAUAGUAAAUAACCGACAAUGAUAACUCUGAGCAAACAAACCUUAUCGAACGUUUGCUCACAUUGAACUGGAUAUAUCCAGAUGAUAACAGAUGCUCAAUAGGUGAAGUAAAGAUCAUAGACCCAGAUGGAGCUUACUCUGUUUUCAAGUGAACCCGAGGUUGCCGUAUCCGCUGGAUCAUCUCUCUGAUAAUGGCCAUUUUUAAGGCUUGAUACACGUCCCUGCAUUUUGUUCGCUGAACUUCCCAAACAGGGCAGAUAAGCUCUUCAAGCUGUUGUUUUCUUCAUUAAAAUUUGAAGUUCGCAAUCCCUUCAGUUUCAAGGGGGAAAUUUCUUGGUCUACACUGUCAUUAUUAUUCUUCACCUCAGCAACGAGAAGCUUAGAGAUGCUGCUUCUGCAAAAGGGGCAAACAGGGGCUGUUGGACAAGCUGUUGUUGGAUUAGGCUUCUUGUGGCAGCACAAAGAUAAUGUGCAAUGAGCGCACAUUCUAUGGCCACAGGGUUGGGCUUCAAUAUUGCACAUCUGUUCAAAGCAUAUGCAGCACAAAUCCGUGUCGCUUGCCUGUUCAGAAGAAUUUCCACAAGUAAUAUAAGAAUGAUGCAUACAGAAUUGAGGAGUAAUAGUCUCAAUCUAAUUAACUACUGAAAUUGAAAUGCAAAGUAACAUAGAACCAUCCCAAAGAGUAAAACUAGAACACUUGAAAAGGAAAUCCCAACAGUUUAAGCACACUCAUUACUUAUUUACUAGUGGAAGUUAUUUUAACAAAAAACUGAAAUGAACAGUGUGGAUGUAUUACCUCAGAUGCUAAGUCAUUGUCGACAUAAGCAUCAAUGUCAACAUCAGCUUCCAAAGGACAUUGAGAUGUGAUGAAUGUUUCCUUCAAUAUAGCCUUCUCUCUCUCCAUGUUUGCAUCCAUUAAAGCCUUUUCUAGCAAAACUUUUGCAUCUGGAUCUAGCUUAAUUAUUAAUUUCAAAGGUGAAGGCCAGAUGAGGGGUUCUGGUGAUGAAGGAUUCAACAAAGCUGCACAAGUUUGAUGCUUAUGCUUUAAAGCAACCGUAAAUGGUAUUCUCCUGCAAAUGGCCAAGCUCAUCCCUUGAGAAAACUUUAUUAGGAGGUUUAAUGUUUACUUUUAAACGGUGAUUGCUAUAAAGGAAGCAUGGAAAUAACUUGAUUACAUAGUUGCCGAAGGCUUCUAUUGAUAAUGAAUGGAGAAGCAACAAUAUCAGGAAAAGAAAGUCUAGAUGUCUGAUAUUUUCAAUCCUACAUGAUCACAGAGUUUAAAUAGUUAAAUCAAGACAUCCUCAAUCUUCAGUAACGUCUUGAUCUUUUUUUCAUCACACAACUCUGAUUUUUUUAGCUAGCAUUUGCGUUCUUACAAGGGCAUCUGUUCACAAGUGGAUUGUGGUAUUUAUGAAUUCGAGAAUUUGAUAACGACAUUAAUUGAAGUAAUCACGAAUCUUUCUUGAAGCUUACCCAUAUGAAUCAAACUGAAAUCUGUCAGCACCCCAAGCAAGCAAUUCUCGAACACACUCCAAUGAACCACCACGGGCUGCUAAAUGAAGCGGCGAACUACCUGCACAACUGCACAAUACAUUCACAAUAUAGUUUCUCCAUCAGAAACAACAAACCACUAUUCUUUGGCUAAGAUCAAAAUUAAAAAAUGGAAGAACAUUCUUCAUACCUGCAAGUUGAUACAGAAACAAGAGCACCAUUGUUAAGAAGCAUACGAACACACUCAAGUUGGCUCUGCCUGGAUGCUAGAUGCAAUGGAGUUGAGCCAUCUCCAUCUCUAACGUUCACAAAUCUUGCAAAACCCCUUCCAUUUUCAUUCAAUCCAAAUAAGAAAAAAUCAUCAUAUGAAGGCGACACUCAAAAUGGAAUGAGGCAAGAAGAAGAAGAAGAAAUCAUCUAACCAAGAGUCGGACACAGGGGUGGAAUGGGCAGCAGAAAGAAUCGCUUGCAGACAAUCUGAAUGUCCAUAAAAAGAUGCGUAAUGCAAGCAGGUUCUUCGAUGUAUAGAAUCGAACAUCAAUAUCUACAGAAAAUAAAUAGACACCGUUAAGAAAAUUUUGAUCCAAAACUAGAAACAGAGGCGAGAAUCGUCCAAAUCGGAAUGCGCACAUUAGCUCCUGCUUCGAUCAGCCUUUGAACACAAGCUAUUCUCCCGCUCAUUGCAGCCAGCAUCAGAGGAGUCUAAGUCAACCGAAAAAACAAACCGAUUCAAUGAAAAGAACAAUCGAACUACCAAGGAGUUCAAAAAUCAAAACACACAUUCAAUUAAACGAAUAGAAAACCUGAUUAUGCCGAUUGAGAAUAUCAGGAUUCACAUUCCGGUCCAAGAGCAUCGAAAGAAUCUAAAUCAAGAAAUACACAACUAAAAACUCAAGAUGCCACAUAAAAAAAGAAACAGAGAUCAAGAGUUCGUUGAACUUAAACUAUAACUCACAUCGAUGUGUCCAUUGGCAGCCGCAGCAUGUAGAGGCGUUGAUCUUUGAUGGUUAAUGGUGUGGUAUAAGACAGAUGGAUCAUUGUCCACCAUAGCUCGAACAACAUCCACAUCUCCAUUAUGCAGAGCUCUGAAGAAUAAUCCAGUUUCAUGGCUGUGUGUACAGCUCAGGCCCUGACCCAUCGCCUCACCCCUCCCUCGGCAACCUGAAAUCAACAAACGCGUCGUUGAUUGAACAUGGAGAGGAGCUCAAGAAGAAGCUCACUCAGAGUCACCGGGGUAGGCUUCAAUGGAAGCCGUAGAAAGAAGAAGAAGAUGAGUGGGGAUGGUGAAUUGGAAGAGAGCGAUAUUUGAUGGAAUUGAAUUUGUAUUGAAAUGGCCUCGGAAUUUGAACCUGCCCGCCAAAGGAGCGGGCAACUUCGUUGUGUGGGUAAUAUGGGAAUACUCCCUUUUUUCUUUCUUUCUUUUUCCUUUUUGAAGAAUUGGCUUCAUUGUCCGAUAUUUUGAGCAAUUUGUAUUAUUUUAUGUUAUCUCCUCAUCCCCAUGCAUUAUAUGAUUUUGCUGUCCCUUUCACAAUUUCCUUCAACUCUUAUUAUUUUAUUUCAAAUCAAUUCACCUUUCUUCUCAAAUUAAAUUUUAUUUCCGUUCCUAAACUUUAUAUUUGGUGUCGUUUUUUUUUAUAUCUAUAGCUUAUGAUAUUCGUUCGAAUUUGUAUAUUUUAGUUCUUAUCGUUAAUUUUAAUUGACUUUCUAACUAAAUGAUGGGUAACUUGUAUGUUUGAGUGAUUAGCUACGAAAUAAGAUAAUAACUCUUAAUAAUUCAAGGUUUUAGUUUUUAAUUAAAUGUUGUAUGAUAAAGGAUAAUUCAAAAAGUAAUUAUCUUCGACAUUUUGAUAUUCUACUUCGUUUUCUCAACUUACAUGCUAUAGAUGCAAUUCAUUCACACAAAAUCAUGUUGAUUACCGCUAAACUAAACUUAAUUGAAAAAAAAAACUUUUAAAUUUUAUAUUUUAAUCGUAUAUUGAGCGGAGUCUUGAAGAGUAUGUUGUUAAAUUAUAACUUCGAUUUUGUUUCAAUUAACUAUUAUCUUGUUAAUUGUUUGAUCCUUUUGUGAAUUUAAUAACUUUCUCGAAACCAAACAGUGAAUGAGAUAACAACUCCACUCUUCCAUUAACUACUUGCCAAUUUAAACACGACUUAAAUGAGAUCUAGAAAAAAGUGUUUUGUAAAAUUUAUAACAAAGAUGUCCGAUAUACUGAGAUGUUGUACAUUUAUACACAAUGACACUUCUUAUCUUACCAUAACAAAUAUUCAAAGUAAAAAAAUGAAAAUGUGUUCCUUUACAACAAUAAUAUUCAAAUUCCUUACUUUAGCAUAUACACAACGACUUGAUGGAAUUUAUAAAGAAGUUUUAUUGUCUCAAAAGAAUACAUAGUUUAAAAUUUUCAAAACCAAUGAUUUUAUUCAACCUUUUUCUUCGUCCAAUGGAAGGUGCACCGCUAUUGUUAAUUGCAUAAAUACAACUCAUACUUAAUGCUUAAUUAAAUGCACUUAGAAGGUCUUAAUUAGCUAAUUUAUUUAAAUUUCUUCUUAAAAAAGAAGAAAAAAAAACACAAUUUAAUUUUCCACCGAUUUUCUUUUGUUAAAUUUCAAAAAGGAAAUAGUAAGACGUGGGUUUAAUUAUAAUGAUGCCUUUGUUUUUGGGGACAAAAGACUGUUGUACGUUAGACCAAUUUCCCCCAUUUUAGCCAUCAACCUUCCUUCUUCACCUCUUUCCCUUUUCAGAAACUCUUUCAAUCAUUCGUCAAUUGCUUACGCCUCUAAAAGUAUAAAGCAACCCACGGCCGCACAGUGUAGAUUCUCCAAUUAUUUGCAAAACUUUCCUUAAUGGGCUAUCUUUCUCAUUUCAGCCCAACACCACCUUCCUUACUGGGCCCCAGGCCCAUUCCAGCGGUACACCCCUCCCGUCCCAAAUACAACAAUUAGAUUAGCAAUAUUUUAAGAAAAUGAAAAACAUAUAGUAAAAUGCAAUUACCUAUCUUUUAAUCAUUUUUCUAGAGAAGAAAAAGUUUAACAAUCCAAAUGUUUUGAAAGGCUAGAUUUCUCAAGCUUUAAAAAGAUUUUGUACUGCCAAAGAAAAUCAUCACAAAAUAUUUAAGAGGUUUUAAUUAAAUUAAAAUGAAUUUAUUAUAUAUAAUUACUUAGAAAAAACAACAAUAAAAACAAAUAUAUAUAUAUAUAUAUAAAAGGACCAAGAGUGAUCUUCGGUCGGUCGAAGUUGGUAUUUUGAAAAAACCGAUUCCAAACGGACUCUGAACUCAAUGAGUAAUAGUCGGCUGGAUUGGUUUAACAGUUAAUAAUACUUUUUAAAAAUUUUUAAUUUGAAACUUUUGAAACCAAUCCCUCCCGAUUGCUGAUCGAUUGGCUUAGUUUUUCGGUCUAUCAUGUUUACUUGGUAAAACAGUAAAAAUUAAUUCUUAAUAAAGUUAACUCCUGGGCAAUUUUUUUCAACAGCGACUCCAUGGCCCAAUGGAUAAGGCGCUGGUCUACGGAACCAGAGAUUCUGGGUUCGAUCCCCAGUGGAGUCGUUUCUGUCAUUUUUUUUUGCCUUAUAGCGUGGGCCACGGUAUGGAUGUAAUGGGCUUUGCCUCUUAAGCCCACUUGUCAACCAAUAAUGACUAACCACGUUUGCACUCCUGAAAGGUAAUCGGCAAAUAGCGGGAACGCUCCCCCUAGUUUAUUUCCAAAUGCUUGAAAUCUCGCGCGUUUCUUCCUCCUCUCCAUUUCUCCGAUCAACUAUGGCUUCAACAUCUUCUGGUAUCUACAUUGUCAAUAUCAUUAUCUUCACAACUAUGUUCAUCCAUUUUGUUGUGUUUACGAAUGUUAUCUUCAGCAACUGCCAUGUAAUGGAUCGAAUUCAGUUCACUAAUUUAGGUUGGUUAAUUUAUAUGAUUACUGCGUUUUGGGAAUUCGAACACCAGAGGUAUCUAAACUUCGUUACUGAUUGAGUAGAAGUCUAAUUCCGCUUUAACUUUUCUUUUAUUAUUGAAACCAGCCAGCCGAUGUUUUGAGUUUUACUGAUGCAUGAUUACAAACUGAAAUUCUCGAUGAUCUCUGCCCCGAUCUGCGGCUGUAAAUUAUUUGAGCGUACUUUUACUAAUUGGAGAUGAUUUAAUUUGUUUGAAAUAAAUCAAUAAGGAUUUUGAAUCAACGCAUUUUUUGGUUCUUGAAUUUUGAUUUCUGUGUACUUAAGACACAAUUCUACCUGCCGAAUGUGCAACAGUAAUCUAAUCGAUUGUUCUGUUUCGAUAUGGUUCUAUUUGAUAGAUUUCGACGUACCACAGCCUUUUCAUCCUUAAACCUUGAUUCUCCUUAUAUUGAAAGGGAACAGACUGAAACGAUACGAGUGGUUUUUGAUUGUGGAAGCGUGUGUCAUCAACCUUAUAUUCGGCAGUGCCUACAUCCACUGUCAAAGGAGCGACACCAAGAUUCUUUAUCGACGACCAGUCUGACGAAUUUUACAAGCUACAAUAUGGAAAAAGAUAUAGUAAGUUGGCCGUUUAAACUUGGCAGAAACCAGUUCUAAUGGCUUUAAAAAACGUCUCUGUUUCUUCUUAUUGCAAAACCGUUUUGACGAAUUUUCAAGAAUCUUAUCAAAUCCAAAUUUCCAUGACAAAUAUCAGUUCUGAAUUGGCCGGUGUUUUUCCUUACUCUACAGGAAAAAUGUUGUUCUAUGUUACGUUAUUAGCUCCCUAAACUGUUAUUUCCAGCAAUGCAUUCAGGAUUUAGUUACCGGAGAAUGUUAAGUAUUCGGGAUAUAAAGUCGGUGUCUUCGGCGCCAAACAUUUUUUCAGGUAGGCAGCUUACACUGCAGUUUCCACAUUCUGGUAAGCAGGGAUAGCCUCUGCAUCUGCACGCCUGAUAAUUAUACAACUGUUAACUACUGUUUAUAUACCAGCUUCUAGCACUAACAGUGUCUGUCCGUAUACUUCCUAUAAUGUUCUGAUCAUCCGUUUCUUAUUUGGUUCCAGUCAAUAUGAUUCGAAGAGGUGCAUUUAUCAAAAACCAGAUCUAACCAGUUUGGUGUUGCAGCGUUGUGACCAUUAUUUGUGCUUGACGUGUCAGGUACAUUCUAUUCUUGUCUUUUAGCAAGUGUUGUUUAAAUGUAUGGGGCUGGUCAGGCAGACUUGUAUCGUGGUUUAGACGGAAGAGUGUAUGACUUGACCUUCAUUCUCAGUUUGCAGUUAGAGGAAGAGCUAGGAAGGACAAUUUAGGGGUAACCUUCUAUCUAUUAGUCCACAAUUUUCUUGUCUUAAUAUGCUGAAUAAAGUGUUUUAAAUCAAUUCAGGGGAAUAAUUUUUUUUUGAAGUAAUCCAACAUAUAUUUUUCCCAGAAGAUUGGCAUAGCCCUUGCGCAAGGAUAACACACAAAUCAAAAUAAUCUAACAUAUAUUCCUUACUAACCAGAAUAACAAUAAAGAAAAUCCGUUAAUUUUUGGAUUAAAGCAUAUUGAUAAACGUUGGCUAUAAAGAAGACGUGUCUCCUGUAAUUAUUUGGCCCUGCAUUCCAAAGUCACAACAAUUCUUCAAAAGACUUCACCUGUAACCAAGUCCUCUUACAAAUCCUCUAUUGCUUAGAAUUCAAAAUUAAAGAUAGUCAAGAACAAAACUUCAAUAAGAAAAAUUGAGAAUAAAAAGAUUGAGCAUUUGUAGAUGCUACUGAUGGGGUUUUUUUUUUGCUAGGGGGCAGUUCCUUUUAGCAGGAAGAUUUAUUUAACAAGCCAGUAACCACUCUGUCGUAUUUAAUAAGAAGAGUGGAUUGACCAAGUUAAAAGAUUAAAAUCAAUAAUUUAAAAACAUAAAGGAUCCUCAUAGUUAUCGCAGUUAAAAAAAGUUCAAACUAAUGUAUAUCCUCCAAUCUUGGUUCUAAAUAUAGCCAAAUUUAAGCCACGAGCAUUCACAACCUAAAAGAAUAGACAUCCAAACCUACAACUUCUAAGCAACUAAAGCAACAAUAAAAUUAAGACACGGUUAGAGAGGCUGACAUAUAAUUUAUACUAAUUCAUCCAAUGUAAACCAUGAUUCAGUUCUCGGAUGUAGGUUUACUAAAAUCGUUCAAGAAUGGUUUCUAAAAGAUCUCAUCAGUCACUCAACAAAGCUUUCUCAAAACUCUUCCUUCCAUGGAGACUAAACAGACAUAUUUCCAUCACCCGUAAACGCCCGUGAUUCCUGCCAAUUGAAGAAAAGUUGCUGUUUUAUAAAUAGCAGCGGCGCUGUGGCGCUACAAACGGAAAUUUUAACCCGUGUCUUUUUCGGAAUUCCAUGGCGCUCCUUGCUAGGUAUUUCUGGGUCUCUAAAACAAUUUGUGUUAGUUUGGCUCCACUUACUCAACAUUUGAAUGGUGUUUAGUACUCUGCUUGACGGUAACUUGAAGCCAAAUCAACAAUUGACUUGGCUUUCAAUAGCUACAAUUUUUUCUUCCACUUGAAUGUUUAUGGGUUUUAGUUUUGAAAUUUACUAUUGUAGUGGAAUGGAGCAUUUGUUUCCAAGUCAAUAUUCUAUUUUACAGGAGUAUUUGUGUUUAACUCAGUGCUUCCGUUCAAAUAACGUGUCCGCAACUACAAACCAUGUAGGUUUUGUUUCUAUCCAUGACUUUAUGUUGAGUGGAUACUUUGAUUGUUGUUUUGACGUUCUUCAAUAUGCUUGCUGAUAUUUGUUCCAUUCAUUAACUUGCUUAAAAGUUCAUCGAACAUUUUAGGACCCCAAAGUCUAGUAUUUUUUUAAUCUGACGAUAAUUAUCGCAGUACUAGUAGUAGGGCUGUGAAGGAUGAUUGACUUUUACCUUUUAAUUUCGAGAUUUCCCCCAUUUCUGUUACACUUUUGUUUUCUGAUAUGUCAUCUUUUUGGAAAUAUUCUUUUUUAAUAGGAUAAAAAUAGAAAGUUUGAGCUAGAUUGUUUGUGCUGAAAUUUCAUUGAAUAGUAUCCUCUUAAUUUUGAUAAUUAAGUUCACCUUAGGAAUAGUCAUUAUUGUUUAACAACAAACACACAUUCUUUGUAUAGAAUAGUGUGCCUUUUUUUUUUAAAAUUAUGCGGACAUUUAUCUUGGACGGACCCCUUUAAGACUAAUCUGUAGGUAAAAGCGAAACCUGAAAGUGGUCUUCCAUUAGCUAAAGACUAAGCCUUAAUUGGCAUUCCGUAGCUAAAGAUUAAACCUAAAGUGGUCUUUAAUUAGCUUGACGUUAGCUAGAUAUUAAGCUUGGACAGGUCUUCCACUAAGAGUUACUUUGGCUAUGUGCAUGGAGCAGCCCCUGUCGGCUUUCAUGGAAUAUUUUAACAAAUAAAGGAGGUCUUCUCUCAUAAAAUUCCAAAAGAUAAGUUGGGAAAAUUGACUUCUCUCUUGAUUGACGAAUAAUAUUGGCAUAUUAUUUAGCCUUCACUCGCAUAGUCGCAUGUUCAUUUUAAUCGACAAUUCCAAUACUAUAUCUUUCUUUUUCAAUAUAUUUUCUCUCCGUAGACUACCCUUCUCAUGCAGAUUGAACUUAGUUAUGAAAAACAAAAGAAAUGUUGAAUCUCUCGUCAUAUUUUGUUUGGUCAUACACCUCUGCAUCCUCCAUAUAUGGUGAAUUCCUAGUAUAGAGUAAUUUAUUUUAUUAACCAUUAUCUAUGCCCUUUGACUACUGAUAAGGACAUUAGAGUCCUCCAACUAUCUCGACAAUGAUAUUAUAUUGUCGACGUUGGAUAGAAAUCCAUGUGGCUUUGCUUUUAAAACUACCUAAAACUACCUAAAGUGUUGUGUGAUUACUUCCUUGAACAAAGUACUACACCUUGAGUCUUCUCUUAUUCAUCCACUCCUAUCGUCCACAAGAGCUUGCUCUUAUCAAGGUCAGUUGCAAAGUCAGACAAAGGACGACCCUAAGCUUAUUUUCGAGGAAUAUACUUGGUUUCAACCACCUGUCACACCUUUAAUCUCCUGACCAUGGAUACUCCUUUACCAAUGAACUUGCUAGGGUCAUUACUUGCUUACCGCUAUAAAUACUUUUUCUCAAAUAUGAGAGGAGCAUGACCUAUAAUAUCCACUACUCUUGUUCAAAAUUUCUGAGAAUCUCAUUUACGUAGCUAUAUUUAGACCAUGACUCUAAUACCAAUUGAUAAGAACAACAAAAUAUUCACAAUGAUGAUAUUGGUAAUUUUAGGCAUAAAUCAUCACGACUUUGUUCUUGGAACAAAUCCAAAAGACCUCACACCACUAAAGAUAAUUGUUCAUGCCAUGAUCACUUUAUUUUCUAACCAACAUGAGAUCUUGUUCGUACUCCCUAACAUACUACCCCUUAUAUGAUUGGAUGAUGGUUGAAGAUCAAAAGUUAAUUUUAUAUAAGUGUCUGAUCUAGUGAAGGUACUUAGUAUUAUUCAAGAUACCUUCAAGGUACUCCCUUAACAUACUACCCCUCAUUUACAAUAUAUGACGCACAAAUAGCUUUAUUUGGUCCUCCUAAGCAAUUGUUUCUGAUUUAGUGACGGUACUUAGUUAUAUUCAAGUGUCUGCAUUUUGAUGGGUUUAAAUUUGCAGUGUAGGGUUCAUCCAUUUUUGUAGCUUUUUGACCUUUUAGCCAUAAUGAUUAUUUAAGAUCCUAUAUGUUGGGAUUGGGAGCUUGAUUGAUUCAUAUCUUGUUCUAGUAUUUGCAAUAUUAUAUCUUAUCCUUUCCUUCGUGGGAACGUUAAAUUAGAAAUGAGGUGGUUUAAUAGAAUGAUUCAAACCUACCGAAAGAAACAUAUAUCAAUAUCAAAUUAUCAUUAUCUAAAAGAAGGUAGUCUAGAAUUCGUCAUCAUACAUAUACAAUGGUAGUUUAGAGUUGACAUCACAUACUAAAAUGAUUGUAGUGGCGAGAGUAGUCUAGAAUUGAAAGGUUCAAAGUAGAACUUUCCUGUAAAUUUUAAUCCUUAGAUUUUCUACCAUAAAUUUAAAUUUAUAACAUUUAUCUAUUUGAAUUUUAAUACUUUUAAGCACUAAGAAGAAUCAUAAUAGUAUUUUUUUUUUAAUUUGACAUUUCUCCAUUGGAGUAUAAACAUACUUUUGUCUUUUGUUUCUCCUUUUCUGUCUUUUUUAGUGGGUGGUAACAUUUGAAAUUUUGGCUGUGCUGACUUCGAAUCAAAACCAUCACUAUAAAAAUAUAAAAGGUAACGUAUUAGGAUAUCAAAGUCCAUGGUCUUUUUUUUAUUGGCCUUCAACAAGCAGACCAAUUUUUCCUUUUCCUUUUGGUGUGAGAAAGUUUGCUUCAAUUUUUACCCUCAAUUCUUUUUAAAAGGAAAGGAAAAAAGAGAGAGAGAGAGAGAGAGUUCGGUAGAGUUUAUCGAAGGAAAAUAAAUAAAUUUGGAAUGGUUACUAAAACGACGUCGUUUCUUGGAUACCAUAACAAUCCAUUCGCUCCAAACAUGGUCUUGUUUGGGCACGUAGGUCCCACAUAUAUUCCCAUGCAAAAAAUAUAUAUAUUUAUAUAUAAUAAUAAUAAUAAUAAACGGAAGACUGUCGUACACCACAAAAGCCCCCAUCUAACUUCUUUUAUUUAUGAUCUUAAUUUAAAAAAAAAAAAAAAAAAUCCCCUUUUUAUGUUUUAAAAAUAAAAUAAUUAAGAGAAUAUGGGAUUUACAUAAUUCCAUUCUCCAAACUUCAUUAAACUGGGUCACCACUCUCUCGCCUCCCAGACAUGUACACCAACUUUUUCUCUUUCUCUUUACAUUUUUUCCCCAAUUUUUAAAAAUGUAUUUUUCCCAUAAAACAACAAUAACAAAAAAACAAACAAACAACAAAUAUCAUUUGUACAUGCUACAGUAUUUGAUACCAUAUAUUAAAGUAAGCAUGGUUGAAUUGACCUAGAAGACAUGAAUUAGUAAGUAAAGAGAUUCUUUGUGGUGUGAAAAUUCUUUUACAAAUAGUUGAAUAUUGUUUCUCAAAUUUUUAAAAUCCUCAACCCUUCCAUUUGAAAAUUUAAAUAAUUAUAGCGUCUGAAAUUCUUUUCUAGUAGAGUAAGAAAAUUUUAAAAAAGUAAUACUUACUCCAUCCCAAAAUAAAUCUCUUUUUCAUUACUCACACAAAAAGAAUUAAAUUAUUUGAAAGAAAAGAGAGAAGAAUUUAUGACAUGAUGAUGAUGAAUUAUGGUUGAAUAAUUUGAAAGGAAGCAUAAAAUUGAUAUAUUUUUGGAGAUGCAUCUAAUUAUUUUUAAUUAAUAAACUUUAAAAUUAUUUAAAAAGACAAGAAAGAAAAAUUAUAUAAACAAUUAAGUUAAACUAAAGGUACAUGUAAGUAUUAAAAAAAAGAAGAUGAUGAAAACCACACUAAUCUCUCUCUUCUCUGAAUGAAUUAGUAAGCAGCAAAGAGUGAGGGAGAGAGAAUGUGAAAGUAUCAAAAGAAGCUUAUGGACUAAGAAACAACAUCUCUUAUGCCCUAAAAAAGCAAUAGAGAACAAAAGGAAAGGAGGGAAUGACAACUACUAUUUUAUUUUUCUUUUUCUUUUAUAUAUUAAUUAUAUAAUUAUAUAUAAAUAUAUAUAUAUAUAUAUAUAUAUAUAUAUAUAUAUAUAUAUAUAUAUAUAUAAUAAGUUCACUCCUUUAAUUUUGCUCCUCUUCUUCAUUCCUCCUUCUUCCUCUUCAACCCUCUCUUCUUUUUUCUCUUGAUGUGAUUCUCCACUAUUUAUCUCUCCCCCAAAACCCAUCAAACUUUACAAAAGAGAAAGAUAACCCAGAAAAAAAAAGAAAAAAACCAUGAAUUUUUCCUCCAUUCCUCCUUAUCUUGAUCCUUCCAACUGGCAACAGGUAAUAAGGGUUUCCUCCAUUUUCUUUUUCUUUUUCUUUUGGAUUAAUUUUCUUUUUCUUCCUUUGCAACUAAAGCUAAAGAAAAAAAAAAAUGGAACCCCCCUUGAGAAAAAGAUAAAUAUUCCCCUAUUUUGCUUUCUAUUGUUGUUGUUGUUGUUUUUUUUCUUUUGAAUAUACUUGAGAUAUUUGAUUUCAUUCCCCCUUAUUCCAAUAAUUUUACUCAUCUCAGCAAGUCACCCAUCAGGUGGGAACCAGUAGUAGCACUGCACUUAGUUCUCAGCUUCUUCCUCCUCCACCGCCUCCUCCUCCACCUCCUCCUCCUCCUCUGCCUCCUCAUGGCGUCGGUGGUGCCGGUUCGAUCCGCCCUGGUUCGAUGGCCGAACGAGCUCGAAUGGCUAAUAUUCCCAUGCCUGAGGCUGCAUUGAAAUGCCCAAGAUGUGAAUCGACCAACACUAAGUUUUGUUACUUUAACAACUAUAGCCUUACUCAGCCUCGCCACUUUUGCAAGACUUGUAGAAGGUAAAUUCAAAAGAUAUAAAAAAUAUUCUUUAUAUAUUAUUCUCUAAAUUUUUUACAGCUAUAUAGAAGAUUAUUAAUUAAGAUGUAAAAAUUUAACUUUUUUUUUUUUUUUAAAUUCUUAAUUUUUAUUCCUCUCAUAAAAAGGGUUGGAACUUCACAAGGGCACUACUUAUAGCUUGUUGUUAAUUCAAAAAAGUAUCUAUAAAAUAUUGAAGAUAUUAUAUUUUCUCUCUAAUCUGGGCUCCGCUCGAGAAGGUACUGGACCAGAGGCGGGGCCCUACGGAACGUACCGGUCGGGGGUGGGUGCCGGAGGAACAAAAGAAGCAAAGGGAGUAGUUCGAAGUCGCCACCGGUCAGCUCGGACCGACAACAAACCAGCGGUUCAGCCAAUUCUUCAUCAAGUGCAAUAGCUUCCAACAACAGUGGAGGUCUUUCCCCACAGAUCCCACCACUCGGCCGGUUCAUGGCUCCUCUCCAUCAACAGUUUAGUGACUUUGACAUCGGAAGUUACAGCUACGGGGGUGGCCUUUCAGCUCCCGCCUCCGCUACCGGUGACCUGAGUUUCCAAUUGGGCAACACUAAUUUAGGUGGAGGAACAAGCAUUGGAUCUCUCUUGGGAUUUGACCACCAACAAUGGAGGCUCCAGCAACAACCUCCUCAAUUUCCCUUCUUAUCUAGUUUAGACCCUUUCGAAGGCGGUAAUGGUGGUGGCGGAGAAGCACCUGGAACCGCGUGGCAAAUGAGGCCAAAAGCACCAUCAACAAGUUCAAGGAAUAAUUUAACCCAAAUGGGGAAUUCAGUGAAAAUGGAAGAAACCCCGGAUCAAGUUAAUAAUAAUGUUGGAAGACAAUCUAUUGGGAUUAAUGAACAAUAUUGGAGCAGUGGAUCAAUGGCAUGGUCAGAUCUUUCUGGUUUUAGUUCUUCAUCUUCAACAAGAAACCCAUUAUAGAGAAAUGUCGAUCAAAUUAGUUAUUAACACUUUGGGAUGAACAAUGGGGGUUUCUUCAUCAUACAUCUUCAUUUCUUCAUGUGUGUUAUCAUGAUCAUGUUUAUCUAAAACCCUAGAAAAAUAUGGUAGUUUUUCUUUUUCAUCUUUUGUUUAAUUUAAUUAGUUUUAGUAUUUAGGAUUGGAGUUGGGAAUUAUGAGAAGUGAGAACAUUAUUUUUAUUUACCAUAUAGACUAAUGGAGAUCACUUUAUGUGUUCCUUCCUUGACAUAUAUAUAUAUCUAUAUAUAUAUAUGAUCAUAUCAGUUUCUCAAAAUGCAUGCCUUUUAAUCUACAUAUAGAAAUAUGUAUGUUUUGUGUUGGAAAAUCAAUGCAGCUCAAGCCAAUUUAUAAUAUAAUAUAUUAUAUGUUUUUUUUUUUCUUCUCUUAUAUUAUAAAGUCCUCAAGUAACUCAAGCUUCCCCAAUUGUUGCAUAAUAAUGACAUGUCUCAGUAACUUAAACACAUGUGUCAAAUUUUAUUCCAUACUCAUAAUUUACAAAUAAUCGUCACUCCCCCAUUAGAUUUAUCGUUAGAAAUGAUAUAUGAAGUAUUAUUAAUUAAUUAGUAAUAUAAUGUUAAAUCCAAUUUGAGUAUAAAUCUUAUCAAUUAAUUAUUGGUUUAAUUAAAUAUUAAUGUAUUAAUUAAAAUGUAUGUUUCUUUUAUAAGCUCAUGGUUCUAAAAUGUGCCAAAUUGGAAGUAAAAGCUACGAAAGCUUUUAUUUUUGUUUAAAACAUUUCCCAUAAAGGCUAUAUAUUAUAUAGUCAUGGGAAAAUGAAGUUAUAUUCUGCAAAGUGAUUUUUUGUUUUCUAUAAAAAUUUAUCUUCACUCUAGACAAAGGGGUUUUGUAGUAAAACAAAGGGAUGUCUUUUUUUUUUUUUUUUUUUCCUUCACUUUUUAUUUCUUUUCAUUUUUCUUGAAAACAAAAAGAAGAAGAAUAAUGUUAUAUACCAAUGCAGUUUUGACUCUGAAGAAGGUGCCUAUUAAUCUUUUUCGAUAUCGAAAAAAGUCGAGAUGUGAAUUGGAAAGACGUUUUCGAAUUGAAUACCCAAAAAAAAAGGAAAAAAAAAAUAAACUUCCCAAAAAGAGAUGAAUGAACUAAACUUGAUUUAUGCUUUUAGUUUAUCCCUCAAAAUUAACCAAAGGCAUUGAGUUAUUUACUCACUUGGACUUGAGUAAAUACAAAGGUUAAAAAGUACGAAAAACAGUGUGUUUUGGUCAUUGGGUUAGUACUUCCUAUUACAACAACCAAAAUUAGAGAGCAUAAAAUUAGGUUUCCAUAGGGUUGUUUGUUGCUUUGUUUUGAUGAUUACGUCAAAUUUUGAAAUCAACAAAUUUUGAGACAAAGAUGUGAAAAAUUAAUUAGCCAAAUUUGUUGCUUGAAAAUUUUGGUGUAUAAAAUCUGGAAGAUGAUUGGUUUAUGGUGUUGACAAGUCUUAAUUUGCAUCAGUUUGUUAGUUAUUACUUGGAUUAUAUUGAGGAUUAAUCAUCAAUUAAAGAAAUCUAAAAAUAUAUUUAUAAUGUAGUUUUUGUUUGGAUUCAUAUAGUUUUUAAUAAUAAGAAGAAUAUAUAUAGGCUAUAGCUAAACUACUACCCUAGCAAGCCUAAAAAGGGCAGGGUUUCAAAACUUAGCUUAAUUAUGAAUCAAUAAUUAAUUGAACUCUACAUUUGGAACAUUAUCCAUAAUUUUACAAAAAAAUCAAAAUCGAUCGAACCAACGAAAAAAUCAAUAUAAUCGAUUGAACGAGUUGUAAAGAAUUGACAUGGUUCACAAUAUUUAUAUAUUUUUAAUUAGGUUUGAUCGGUUCAAGUAAGAUAUUGAUCAAUUUAGCUUUGUAAGAAUAAUGUUGGAUCGUUUUAAUAUGAAAUCUUUAACAUGGCUUUCUAAAAACACAACUCUAUGUUAUAUUCCUCCUCUAUAGAUACUCGGUUUGGUUUUCGAGAACGUAGAUAUUGACCCAAAAAGGAAAGACGAAAGAACAGGCCUACCCACUUACAGUCCCCUCAUGAUCAAUUAUGAUUAUUCCUUGUGUAUGUGUGAGGGAAGUUAUAAGAAAAUUUUGGAAACCCCAAAUGUUUGAAUGAGAGAAAAGAGAGACGAAAAAGGGGUAUUAUAUAUAUAUAUAUACACAUGUGUGUGUGUGAGGAAAACAAAAUCCAACACAUAUAACAAAAAAGCCAAAGAUUUUGCCAAAAUCAGUGGUUAACUUCAAAAAAACCAUUCAAACUGAUUUUGGGGUUUGGUGCAUUUAUGAAGUCUUUGUUCUAACUUCUCAGUCAGAAAUAAUCAGAGAGAGACAGAGAGAGAGAGGAAGAUCGAGAGAUUCAAAUUAAUAAUAUUAAAAAAUUAUAAAUGUGAUAUUACACACUUCGAUAUGUGUGUCUAUAUAUAUACACACAUAUGAUAUUAAUUAAUUAAGGUAGUCAUUGUUCCAAUAAUUUAGUCUAUGCAACAAUUCCAAUGAGAUGGUUUGUGCAUCAAUUCAAUUGGUUUAUAGUACAAACCAAAUGAUUAUGAAGUCAAAAAUUUUAGCACAUUUUUUCAAGUACACACUUUCUUUUUAAAUAACCAAACUUCGACUUCGUCCAAAUAGUUGUUCUUACCAUCUUAAUAUAUAUAUAUAUAUAUAUAUAUAUAUAUAUUAUUUAAUUUAACUUUAUCUUUAUACUAAAAAGAAUGUAUCAUAAAUAUUUUAGUUUGGAAACUUAUGUCAAUUUAAAUAGUAUUGAUUAAAAUUAAUUGAAGACUACAAAAUAGUAUUUACUAUGUUUAUUUAUGGUUAUUAGUUGGAUCUUUUGAUCUUGUUGAAGACCUUUUUAGUUGAAUUUUGGUCGGAACACAAUAUACUAUAAGUUUUAGCUUAACUUUAUAGCAAGUUUCCAGUUACAUUAUUUAUAUCUUCAAUUUCAUUUCAUUUCAAGUAUUGGAUUUUAUUUCUUCAAUUUCAUUUCAUUUCAAGUAUUGGAUUUUAUUUUUUAUAAUGUAUUUGUAUGUAAUAAUUAUUAAUUAAUUGUGAAGAUAUUCAUACAAGGUCUCAUUCUCAAAAUAUAUAUAUAUAUAUGGUUGAUCCACCAUUUUUCUAUACCUUUAUCGAACUUGAAAAAACACAAAAGGUGGUGAAUACAUUAUAUUAUAUUUCUUUUGUAUUAAUUAAUUAUUUUACACACCAAAACAAGAAACAAACGAGAAAAGUGAUUGUUUUAGUACCCAAAAUAUAGAACAAAGGAAAAAUUAGGUCGUCCCAAAAAAACCUUAAAAGAAAGAAAAGUAAUAUUUUGGAAGUCAAGUGAUAGGAAAAGAAAAUAUCAUUAUUUAUUCAAUUACAAAUGUUUAAUCUUAGUACUGUUAGAGAGUUAUUUAGUGUGAAGUCCACGUUGUAAAAAGUUACAUAAUUGAAGUUUUGAGUAGAUGUUAAAGAUUGAACAAAACAUAUAUUAAACUUAAUCUCUACCACAACUUUUUUUAUCACCUUGUAAUUGUUUUUAUUAACAAAAGAAAAAGAAACUACCAAUUUUUACCCGAAAUUCUACACAAAUGGAUUUCAAAGCAAUAAACUUAAAAUGACUUAAUCCAUUACACAAAUUUAAGAUAAUAUAAAUUUUCUAAAAUUUAUUUUUAUUCAUGUUGUAAAUUUAAAAGAUAAAGAAGAAAGAAAGAAAGAAAGAAAAAGAAUAAAUAUUUAAACCGAAAGAAAAAGAAAAAAAAAUGGUAUUUAUGUGUUGUGUUGUGACGCAUGAGAAGGCGACAAAGCUCUGUUUUGUCAGCAUUGUUCUGCGUCCCAACUUUUUUUAAUUUCUCUUUAAAAUGAUUUUUUUAGUUUUAAUUUAAUUUUCCCGCAAUGUUUGAAUUGGACGAACUUUUCUACUUCAUCUCUUUCUACUCUACACUACACUACACUACUCAUCGUUUCGUACACAAUGAAUGCCAUCUCCCUAAAGAAUUCCUCUAUUAUAUUCUACAAAUCUCCCUUUACUUGCACAGACCAUCCCCCAACAUAUUACUUCUUCUUUCUUCUUCUUCUUCUUCUUCAUCAUCAUCAUCAUAUUAUAUACAUAUAGAGAGAAAGAGAGAUUUGUUAUUUGCUGAAUGUGUCCUUCCAAGUAAACAGUACUGUUUUUCUUCAUUUUUGUGCAUUACUUAAAAAGGGUAGUAGUCAAAAGUUAGUUCCCAUUGAGUUUAAAGCUGAUUCUAAGCUGCUUUUCUUUCUUUAUUUCCUUCUCUUUUUUUUGGGUUAAAUGUACUUUCUUUUUAUUGUUUCCAUUUCUUUUUUGGUAUACAUAUAUAAAAAAAUACGGUUCAUUACUCAUAUUCGGGUUAUGUGCAUAUAAGUUCUUCAUAUUUUCAAACUUAAGAUCCCUUAACUUUGCUUUUAAUAGCACUUUUGGUGGUCAUUCUAUCAAGUUUGUUGUUCGUCUAUAAUAAAAAGUUGAUUUGAUGUUUGUUUUCAUUAAAAAAAAAUAUUUUUCUUCAUUUUCUCUUUCUUUUUAUUUAAAACUAGUUGAGAAUGGGAUGAAAUGAAAAUGGUAUCAUUAAACUCAAAUCUCGUAAAAUAAAGAGUUGCAUUUGAAAAAUUAUAGAUAAGUAAACCGUCGAAGAUUAAAAAUGUAAUAUCUUUUUAUGUAAACUUAUUCUCGAGAAAAUGUGUUGACUAGAAAAUAUUUGAAUUGUUUGGAUUAGUUUAUAUAAUAUAAAAGAAAGUUUAAUCAUGAUUAACGACAAGAUUACAAGUUUUAAUGAAUAAAAAGAAAAACAACCCUAACUUAUACAUAUGUUACAAAUCCUUAUUCAAAUCUAAUUAAGAGAAUGAAUCUACUAUAUAUUUUAUUUCUUAAUUAAUUCAAAUUUUAUAUAUCUACUAAAGUGUUGUGUUAGCAUCUAGUGAGUCGAUAAUAAUUAACAUCAAACAUUAAUCAAAGAGAAACAUAGUAUAAUGUUUAGGGAUGUAAUAGAAAAGGUUUAUAUUAACUUAUAUUAAAGCUAAGGGUCAAAUGUACCCUUUUGUAAUAUCUUCACAUAUACAUAUUGUAAUAUAUAUGAUUGCAGAAAGACUCUUAAUAAGUGAGUAUAAAAUUGAUUUUCCCACAAAUUUGUUGGAAUAACAUGCUUUGAGUUUUUAGCUAACCCGGUGAUUAAAAAACAUUUUAGCAUAUAACCCUAAUCGUGUAAUUUUAAAAACGAGAAAAAAACUAAAGACUUGAGAUUGGAGUCUGAAAUAUUAUCUAAAUUGAAUGGAUCUGGUACUAACAACAAAAUAGGACAAAAACUACUUAUAUGAUUACCAUUUAGUUAAGCUUGUUAUCUCAAUUAGUACAAGAUCUUCUAAAAAGUGUUGAUCAUUGAGAAAAUUCCAUGUGAUUUGUAUGGAAAGAGAGAAAGAAAGACAGACAAGUAGGUGGUGGAUAUUUCAAUAGACGUACGUAUUGAUUGAUAAAGUGUAUCCUCCAGUCUCUCUUCAAUUGUGUGUGUAUAAUAAAAUACGCAGAGAGAAGAAGCUUUAAUUUAUUAGUUUCCCAAGAAACUAAAGAUAUAUAUAUAUGUAUGUAUAUAUUGCCAUGCAAAAAGCUGAAAUGGGUUUGAUUGAAAGGUGAUUUGGAGAUAUAUAGUAAAAUAGAAUUAAAAUCAAUUAAAGUAUGGAUAUAUAAAUUAGUAAUUAGAGAUAAGAGAGAGGGAAUGAUAUAUAGUAUAUGAAUUAAUUAUAGAUAUAAAAAAAGAAAAAGGAGAAAAGGAAGAGAGGAGAGAAAUGGGCAUCUAGAAAGAAAGGAAUCUUGAGGGGAGCUGUUUGGAUUUUGCUUUUACAAAAAUCGAGGCUGAAGCUCAGCCUGAGGCUGUGACCCUAACCCUUCCUACUAACAACGAAUAAAGCAACAAACACACACUCUGGAAAUAUAUAUACAUAUAUACAUACAUAUACACACACACACACACACACACAUAUAUAUAUAUAUAAUUUUCUAAAAAAAAUCUUUUCUCUCUCUCUCUUUCUUCCAAGUUCCAACAGUGUUAAGAGAAAAUAUCGUGCUUGGUCGGCUUGUCGAGGGAAAUAAAUAGUUUUUCAUCUUUUUUGUUUGAAGGAUGGAAGAAUGUUAUAUUUGUAUUGAUUUUAUUAAAAGAAAAAACUUCUCACAAACUACCACUAAAAUAUACAAGUUGGUAAGAAUUGAAAUCCUAGUUUGAUAAAUUAUCUUUACGUUGUUUGUUGUUUGUUGUUUGUUAGAAUCAAAUACACUUAGCUUAGACAUAGUUAAAGGGAAAUUUUUCUUAGCCAGUAAACAAGAGAUAUGAGAAGUUAUUGUUUAAGGGAGCUCUUUGGUAGGUUUAGAUGGUGGGAUGUUUGAAAGUGAGUUUAGUUUUCAUUUGGGUAAUAAGCAUGUAAAGAUGAGAAUGGGAAUAGGAAAAAAUGGGUCGGAAAUCCAAGUGAAAUAUUAUUUUGUAUUGAUCUUCAAAAAUAAAAAAGAAAAAUGUGUGUGUGUGUGUGUUUGAGUGUUGUGUGUGAUUUCUAUGUUGGUCGUCACACAUCAUUACCAACUCCUCACAUUGAUCCUCGUGCUCUGUGUUUCACAUUCAUCUUCCAUUCGUUCCUCUCUCUCUCUCUCUCUCAUUUCCCUUUUUCAUCGAUUCUCCAAACAAGAGUCGAUUGACUUAUGUUUGGAUCUUGUAUUUACUGUUCUAAAUAAGUGAUAUGAGUGUAAAAGAUAAACAAUAUCGCAUCCUUGGAAAGAUAUAGUUAGGUGCAUGUCCUUCAUUAAUCCUAAUUGUUGGAUAUGGAGAGUGUUUGUUGUGAGCCUCAAAAGAUAUUUAUACUAUAGUACUUAACAUCAAUAGUGUGCUAAUCUCGUUAGAUAAUUAAGAAAAUUAGUCAAUUUUAAAUAUUCUACCUAUUUCAAUAUUAUAUCAUCUAACACUUCCUUUAAUUUAUAAACUUGAAAUAGGUAGAAAAACUCAACAAAAGAAAACCAAUAGUAUUUUUUAGGAAAGGAAAUAACUAUUUGAAACAAAAGUUUAGUGGUUACCCUUAAUUUAUUCAAGGAAGAGUGAAAUUUAACUUAAUAGUAAUCUUUAUACUAUAAUAUUAGUCGUUUCAUUGAAAUUAAAUCGAUUAAUACUCCAUCAAUAUUUUUCUAAUAACAUGAGAUGCGAUCAUUCGAACCAAAUUCACACGUCCCGAGUAAAACAUAUUUUUCAAAUAUAGCUACAAAUUGUACAACUUAAUUUUCUAUGUGUGUGUAUAUAUAUAAUGUACAGUUGGUUAUGCAUCAGCUUUCACUUUUUUGUAGAUAUAUAUAUAUAUAUAUAUGAUCUCUCCUACAAAAUUGAUUUGGUAGAGAGAGGAAUGAAGUAUAUAUGUUUUGGUCACGUUCUCCCACAUGAACUCAAUCAUGCAAACCAUAUGGCCCAUUUACACAUUUUUAGAUUCCCAAUUUAGACAUCACAUACACCAAUUUUUGCAUUUUGGUCCCCCAAGCAUUAGUAAUUUUGUGCAUUGGACCUACCUCCCUCUUUCAAAACCUAUAAACAUUUCAAUCCCGUCUCGUCUCGUCUCCUCUUCCUUUUCUAAUUCACUUUAUUAUGCUCUUCAAAGGCCUCGUUUCAUAACGAAGCUUAUCUCUCCAGUGCUCCGUUUGACCACAUUAACUUAAGAUCUAAGCAAAAGACUAAAAUUAGCUACUGCUUAUUUUCUUAUUUCAUAUAAUAUAUAUAUCAAUGAUGUGAUGUCUAUUGAAAAAUUACAUUAAAUUGUUUAAUCGAAAUAAUAUAGGAGCAUACCUAUGUUUUCUUUAGGCUAUAGUUAGACUAGCUAAUUUGAAAAAUAUAAUCUUUAAAACGUUCAAACAAAAUGAAAAUAAAUGUAUGAGUAAAAUCAUACACUUUUAGGGUUUAACGUUUUUUUAUAAGAAAAAUAAAUAACCAAUUAAUUUUGUAUUUUUUUAGAAUAUGUAUUUGAUACAACCUCUCAAACUCUUGAAUACAUUCCAAUCAUCUCAUCUUAAAAAUAGAAAGAAAAGAAUUGAUGGGAAUUUACAAAUGGCUUUGUCAAAAAAUAAUAAUCUUUAUAACACAAGUUGAAAGGGCCUACUUAACAUUAGUAUCAUCAACUUUUCAAUAUAUAUAUAGUUUUUUUUUUUUUCUUCAUUCCUUAGCCCAUUAAUUUUGACCCAUAGCAUCCAAUGAAAAACAAAACCUUUCUUUUCUCUACUCUUUCAUUUCUUUGGAUCCUUUUCAAAUUUAACUUUUUAUUUUAGAAAAAAAAAAAAGGAUUUUGAUUAUUUAUCUAAAUCUUUUUGUGUCAAAUCUUUUUUAAAAUCCAAAGAUUAAAAUUUUAAAAAGUAGAAUCAUCUUUUUCGUCAUUAAUUGUGACAUAAAUUCAUAAAGAGAGAGUGGAAGAGUAACAAAUUAUGUCUACACGUUUUUCAUUUACAUAUAAUUUAUUAUAUCACCACUAUGACCAAUAAUUAAUUAAGUGAUUCUUUUAACUAUUAACAUUUAAAUAUAUAGUCUUUAACACAUUCCCUAGUGUUUAUAUACUUAAAAAACAUUGUCAAGAAAUGUAUCUUUUUUCCUUUUUCUUAAAUAAACAUUAAAAUCUAAUAUUUUGUUAUAUCUAUCAAACUAUUUAUUUUUAGUUUUCAUAAUAAAAAAAACAUUAAAUCAAGCUUAAUUUUUGACAACUUUGUUACUUAAUAUAAUAUAAAUUAAAAGUAAUAGUUAGUGAUGGGUAAAGAGAACAACUUUGGGCAUGGUAUGUAUUAUUAUAAUUAAACACAUUUGAGUGAUGAAUGAAAACAAUCAAUUAUUUUUUUUUUCUUUUUCUUUUUUCAUAUAUGGAUAUGGUUAAGGAAUUUGACUGAGUGGGAUCUCCAAUCAUUGUUCAGUUUUAUUUAAAUUAAUAAUGGAUAUUUAAAAAUGAAAUUUAUGGAUGCUUGCGUGAGGAAGCACUAAUAAAACACAAAAGAAAAGAGGAAGAAUAUUUAUCUUUCUUUAUUGGAUUAUAAUUGAGGGAGACGACAAGACCAAAAGCAAACCCCUUUCUUCAAUCAAUCGUAGAACGACACCAAAUCCCUCAACGUUUUGCUGCCUCUUUCCAUUUUACAAAACGACAAGUCGUUUUAAAGUGAUUCAGACUUCAUAUCAAUUCUAACGAGCCCAUCAACUAAGUCCGGCCCAACCUUACGACAUAUUUGGGCCUAGCCCAAACCCCAUUUCUAUUAGCUUCGUGCCAAUUUUAGGAUUAAUACAUUUUUUGUGCCAACUUUAGGAUGAAUACAUUUUUUACAAGUGAUAGACUAAUAUUUGCAACAUAAUCUAUCAGUCAUAAAUUUCUAUCAUUGUUAGACUUACACAAAUUUUACUGUAUUUGCAAUAUUUUUAAAAUGUUGCUAUAUAUUUAAUUAUUUUUUAAAUUUAAUUGAUAUAUUUGUAAUUAUCUCAUUCUGUUAGUAUAUAGAUACAAUAGAAAAGAAUUUCUAAAAAGUCUACAACUGUAACAGAUAAAAAGUCUACAAUUAUUCUUGAAAAUAUUUUAAUGUGAAUGAAUGAGAUAUUGAAGAAUAGUCCAUAAGUAAAAUCAUAACUAUUGUUACAAUAGAAAAAGUGAUAGGAAUUGUACAAGAAGAAGAUAUAAAUGUCAAUGGUGAUAUCGUUUGAAAUGGUUUCACAGAAGCCAUUGUCAUGACCAUGAGAUAUGGCAACUAUUUUUUAUAUGGAAUUAGUCAUUCGUCCACUUUAGCAUCUUUUCGAACAAAAAUGGUGAUAUUGUUUCAAGGAUUUCGAUUUUUUGAAAAGUAUCACAAUUUUCUUUCCUGUAAUUAAGAGUAGAUGAAGAGGCCAAAUUUCUCAACCAACUAAUUAAUUCGAUGAUUUAAUAGCAUAUAAGUAUAGAAAGGAGACAGCACAGGUUGACUAACAUUACCCUCUUGUGUAAAUGAUGGAGAAACACGUGUGUGUAUAAUAACACAUCCGGGUGUGAAAUUGUGUUUCUAGAAAUAGAUCUAUGGACAUUAAUUUAAUGUGAAUGAGAUACCCAACAAGUCCUAGAAUCUUUAGAUUAUAUCAUUUAUGAAUGAGAAUGAUAUAAAACCCUUAGCAUUUAUAUGCUAUCACCUUCAUACUUUAACUGUACACAGGAAUCAUUCAUAGUGGGAAUAUCGAUACCUUUGCUACGUUAUCUACAUUGUCUGGGUCUGAAGUUCUCAUGAUCAAGAAGCUUCAUCAGAAGCUUUUCCAGCCUCUUUGAGUUACUAGUUGGUUUAACAGCAUGGGGACUACCAUAGGCCAUACAAGGACCCUUCUCCGAGACCGAGCUCUUCAAGCACCAGCCACCCGGUGUGAACUGCCCCUUCGAUCUCUUUAAGAGUUCCUCAUCUAUUCUGUUAAGUACUGAACUAUUCUCGGCAAAACUUCGAGCAAAAGGCAGACCGCUUUGGACCAUGUCGAUGAAAUGUUCAGAUGUUAGAUUCAUGGGGUGUUGGUUUGGCGGAUUGUCCCACUUCAUAUAAUGCAAAUCUUGGUUCACAGUAGUGUUUUGGUAGUCCUUGUGAUUGCAGAUGAUUGUGUGGAAGUAACCCUCUGGUGAAGAUAAGAAAUUGGUGUAGUACAUGAGGAGAGUCCGAGGGAGAUUGUCCCAUCCCCAUAUGCAGAAUUCCAAAAAUGGUUUCGUGAGCACCACCCAUGAAGAUCCUGGCAAGAGGUUUUCACAUCACUUCCAAGAAUAACAAACCAUUUGAAUGGAUCACUUAAAAUCAGUAAACUGUGAAUAUCUAGAAUUUUUCAUCUCAUUGACUUGAGUCAAGCUCGACUUAUAUCUCGCACAACCAAAGUAUCAAGAAUGAUAAACUAUCAAAAGAGUGGAGAAAAAUGUUGCAUAGAAUUAGUUGUAGGAAGUGCCUUACCAGUAAACAGCUUGAAUGAUGAUGGUAUCGAUCUUCUCUCUUUUGCCCAAAACACUCCCGAUUUUUUUGUAUGAUAUAAGGCAGGAUCUAUUAUUAUGGUCCUUGCUCCCAUGUCCCUAGUUCAUUUUAUAAAACAAUUUAGAUAACAAUGGUGACAUCCAAAGGGAUAUUAGAGAAUUAUGAUGCAAUGAAGACGAUCGGGCUUACUCUUUCCAGCCAAGAUUACUUGAGUGAUCGACGAAGUUCAAAUCCCUUGGCAGGAAGGAGAAUACGUGUAAAAGAUCUGGAACACAAACAUAUAGGUUACAUGAGCGAAAAGAUUAUUAAACUCACAAAUCGCACAUAGCAGUACUGUGAAUUCGUUUAUUCUUCCAAAAUAUCACCAUGACAGAAGGAAAAGAGUUCACGAGUUCUUGCAACACGAACAGAAUAGUUCACUCGAACUUUCUUCUUGUUCGUCGGUUGGUAAAGCAAAUGGCUGCUUAAUUAGGGAUCAAGAUCAAUACAAGUAUCUUAAAAAUAUGGAAACUGAACAAUAUAUGAGUUCUAAAACUUAUAGACUUCAUGUAUAUAAUCCACCACCGAGUCAGCAACAGUUAACAAUACCUAAGCUAGUUUAUGAAUUGAACACCAAGAACUUCUUAACCCCAGGACAAUUUACACGUAAAUUAAUCAUUUGCUUAUUGAACUUUCAGAUUCACUCACGGAAAUAAAUCGAAUGGUACUUAUGUAUAUAUUCAGAAUGGGAGGUCAAAAAAAUCACAAGUAAAAUGUUAAUAUCAACAAAACUAACAGAAAUAUCGUUGAUUUCUAUAAUUGGUAGGCACUAUAUGGAAAUACUCAUUCCAAAUUUAGAAUUAACGUAUAAACAGGAAACAUGCCAAAAUAAACUCAAUGUCGUGUUUAAAGUCGUUUAGAAUUCCACUUGACCAAAACUCAAUGAACAAUAAAAUUGAAUACCAGGAAUUUCGUUCUUAACAAACAAAUACCAGUUAGAAUAUCGAUUAAACAUUCAAUUCGAGGAAAGAUAGUAGAAAUGAGCUGAAGAAACUACCGUCUUGCGGGAGCAGAGGAUAAUCAGAGGCGCUGAGAUUAAUGAACCAAUCCCAAUCCUUAGCACGCUUCAGUAAUAUGGCAAUCGCCUGAAGAGUAGACGCAAUCAUAGUUGGACCUUUAUCAGUGAUCAAAUUGGCCUUACCCACAACCAUCACAUUCCUGAAUUCUCUAAACACACUCUCCGAUUUCACAUAUUUCGCAAGUUCGAGUCUCUCGGAAUCCGAAGCUUCAAGAUCAAGAUGAAGCAGAUAGUAGUUCCUUGGGUGAUAUGCUGCCUGAAGAAGCCGCCUCAUCGAUCCGCCAUCUCCUUUAGUUCCUGAUAUCAAAUACGCAAAUCUCGGUAACGGCGGAAGCCCUAGCCCUAGUAUUUCAUUCGCAUUGGGUUCUAGUACGAAUCUCGAUGCGGAAUGAGAAAAAUCAGCGUCGGAAGAAGAUUUAGGGUACUCGGAAGUAACAAUUAGAAGGAAUAUCAGAAAGAGCAAACAAAAUACACACAAUGGCAUCAGCCAUUUCCGAUCUGGAUAAUAGGGAAUGUGAUUCUUCUUCAUUUGAACCUCCCAACUUCAAAUUGGAAUGCGAUUUCUUCAGAUGAACUGACGCAAAACCAGUUGCUACUUGGGAGCUAAAACCCAAAACCUCGAUCCGAAAGUUACCAACCUAAAAGAAGUUGAAUCGAAUUGUUGAACUUGAAUCCGAUAAUGAAAACUGCGGUGGUUUUUGAUGGAUUUACCGCCCUGUCCGAAGAUUUUGAUGCUUGAGAAAGAGCCCGGCAGGUGAAAGUGAGCUGUCGGUGCGCCGGUCACGGGCAGAAUUGGUUGGUGGGAAAAAUAAAAUAACUUAAGACAUUAUAAUAUAUAUCUCAGUACUAAAAUGGAAAUAUUGAAACUUUAUGAACAAAAGUGGAAUAAAUCUUAAAAAAUAAUAAUAAUCAAAAUAAAAAUACAAGAAAUUUGUUUUUACUUUCUUUUAUCUAUUAAUUUAUUGCAAAAUGAAAACAUUAUAAUAAAGAAAAAAAAUACACCAGUUCUAUAAGCCUAGGGUAUAAUCAUGAAUUAUAUUUUCUUUUAACUUUUGUAUAAAUUUCUUCUUAUAUUUUAUGUUGGUCUUUAAUCAAGAUUAAAAUUUUACAUUAAAUUGAAUAAUGUUACUAUAGGGUGAAAUAAUAUAUUUUAGAAAUUUAAAAUUGAAUUAAAGACGUAAGAGACAUAGGACUGAGACUGACUGAAAGCUAUAACCAUGUGGAAAAGUAGAUAUUAAAAAGAUUGUUAAAUCAAUUUUCAUAGUCUUACCGUUAUGUUAGUUGAUAUGGGUUUCAUUUUCAUUUUCCUGUUAAAUCAUUUUUCAUUGACUUUCAAGUAAUUAUUAAGCAAUAAAAUAUUAUUUAUUUAUUUAUCUUGAGAUAGUAUAAUUUUCUUUUGAUUCAAAAUUUUCGUUAAAAUUAGAGAGACGAAAUGCAACUUUUAAAUUUAUGUUAUUUCAAAGUUUAUUUAUGUUUAACGAUAAAUCUUCAACCACUUAAUUAAAAGUAUAAAUUGUUUGUUUAUCUACUUUCACAUUCAUCUUUUCAACACAAAAAAUAAGAUUUAUAAAAUGGAUGGAGCCAAGAUUUGGAUAAGUUAUAAUUAUUGGUGUUUAAUACAAAGUUUCUAUAUAAUAAUAAAGUUGAAGCUUUAGGAGCAUAAGCAAAUAUAGAUAUACUCUAUUAAGAUUGAAAAUAUAUAUUCACAUUUAUGAUUAAUUAAGAAAAAGAUCAAGAGAGGACAAUGGAAUCAAAUGACGACGACACGUGUAACAGAAGAAAUAAAAGGGAAGGAAAUUUCAUAAAUCAAUUUCUCAUCACCCAAAAAGGAAAAAGAAAAGAAAAAGAUCUAAUCCUGAAUCCUAUUAAGUUUUUGGGAUUUGAAUUUCAGAAUCGAAAAUCAUUCCAAUUUUUCCAAAUUCUAUGAAAUAAAAACUAUCUAAUUCCAAAUUAUCCACAAAAUAUAGGGAAAUGGAGAUGAAACUUGAACGUAAUUUUUCGAUCUGUGGUUCGAAUUUGCAUAAAACGGAAGAACAAAGAGAUGGAAGAAGAAGAAUUUCAAACUAAAUAUCCGGCAUCCGGCAGUCCUUGGUGGAAAUCGUCGCUUCUAGAAGCCGCCGGCCGUCGCGGCGCGUGGUUGUGAAUCGGCCGCUUAACAGUGACGGGGACGGCGGCUCGACAAACAGGACAAUUAGGGUGAGAAUAGAGCCACAUAUCGAUACAAUCCACAUGAAAAGAGUGUUUACAGACGGCGAGUUGCCGGAUCUCUUCACCGUCGUCGAACGCCGACAGGCACACUGGACACUCGUUGCCGACUUCCUUGCAGUGCUCGUCUUUGUUGUAUUUAACGGCAGCAGCAACGUCACUAGAAGGAGUACGAUUUCCGACCACAACGGUGGCGCCGGCGCCGGAGAGCCUUGUGGAUCUUUGCCGCCAGAGGCGGAGGAAAUUGGGCGGGCACUUGAUGGCGAAGAUGAAGGAGUAGACUAGGGCAGGGAUUGUGAUGACGGCGACAAGGCCGAGAAUGAACUCAAUUGGAGAGAAAUCAACGGUGCGAUGUGGCGUUGGGUACGGCGGCGGUGAUCGAUUCAUGGAGGAGGCUGUGGCGUCCAUGGCGGAAAAAUGAAGGGGAAAGGAAGGCUGUGGAAUUGGUUUCUUAUCAUUAAACAGCUCAGGUUCAUACAAGAUUUUAGUUUUAUUGUUUUUGUUUGGAUUUGUAGGAUUUUUUUUGUUCAUUGAGACAAAUUAAAUUAAUUUGAAUAAAGAAAAAAUGUAAUUGUAUUUAUUAUUUAAAAUGAAAAAAAAAAACUAAUUAGCCUUGUGAUCUAUUAAAAAAUAGUUUAGAGGUUUAAAUUGUCAAAAUUUUGCAAUUGUUUUUGUAAAGAAAAAAAAAUGUAUAUCUUAAUUCUCGUGUCAACCACGAGAGUACUGAGGUUGAGAAUCUCACGUUAUAAAAAUAAGAUAGAUUCACACUCUUUAUAAAAUAGAUGAGUUACUUGUCUCAUUAUAAAUUGGUUUUGAAAUGAAACUUUAACUAGUUAUCAAAUAAUAAAAAUGAAAACAACUAUAUUUAAUCUAUAGUAGAGAUAUUUUUUAAGAUCGUUAUUUCUACAAAAUAAUACGUUCAAGUGCAAUGUAGAUUGAGAUGACUAUUUAAGAAACAUUUGAAAGGUCGAUAUCUUCAACAGCCUAACAUUUUGAAUUUUCAAUCUCUAAAGAAAACAUUUAUUUUCUUUCCACAACAUAGUUCAUAUAAAACACUAAAAAUUCAAAACUAUUAUUUUUAAGUAAUCAUAAGAUCGUACUAUAAUAGAUUUUAUUUAAACUCAACUUUUCGAAACCUAGAAUUCUUUUCUUUUUGGCUUAUGAGAGAGUCUAAGGAACAACAAACAUUAGUAAAGCAAUGGUAUGUAGUGCUGAAUUGAAUGAGGGAAAAAUGAAAGAUAAUUUUAGUUGGAAAAAGAGUUACGUAUUCUAUUGAUUAGGUAUGGGAAAAUGCUUUCUUUAAUAAAGAUGAAGAGAGCAAUAAUUGAGAGGCUGAGGCUGUCAUCAGCUUGAUGGCUAUCAAACUUACCUAAGUUUUUGCAACUUGGAAAUGUGGGCCAAAGGGAAGCCUAAAUACAAUACAUCAUGUAGUUUUCUAAUUGUCACUUUCUAUAUUCAAAUUUUCAUUCUAUGUUUAUUGGGAUUUUCUUUUCUUGAAAUUGUUGGGGUUAACAAUAUAUUUCACUCUCCAUCUUGUACCAAAAUCCGGUUCAAUUGACGAGAUACCUAUUGGCUAUUGAUGAUUAUUCUCUUAGUUAUAGUUAAUCAUCGCAUAUCUCAUAUUUGUUGAUUAAAAAAAAGGUAAUGCAAACUCUUUUUCAUUUUUAGAACUUUAUGAAAAUAAUUAUAAAUGUUUAGAAUUAUAAAAAUUAACCUGAUUAAUUUAUUUUUGUAAAUAAAUUACAAUUUAGAUGCAAAAAUGGUCAUUUCAUCGAUAGGUUGCAAAAUUUAUGGGCCUGAGCCCAACCUCAAAAGCACCGGCUCAUUUUCUGCUGUUUACACUCAACUGGACGAGACAGUACGUUGUGGCCCAAAUUUUGUGAAGGCCCAUGAAGAUCCAAAAUAUGUAACUCAGCCAUUCUAAAUCCUAAUUAACGAGACAAAGUGAAAACAAAACAGAUUUGUGAAUAUUUAUCAACUUACAAAUAUUGUAAUUGGAUAAAGCUCCCUACAUGAUAAAUAAUGACUUGAGUUAGUUGAUAGAGACAUGUAGGGUAGAGAUAGGCCACUCUUUUGUCUAAGUUUAAAAGUUUUUGGUGAGAGGGAAUCUAAUGCUAAUAGUCUCGAAUAUGGAAGAAGCGUCACUUGAGACUUAACAUGGAGGACUAGUACCGUAUACGGAUGAAAAUAUUCUAUGCCAGUUAAAGUUUUUGCAUCUUCUUUUAUGUUUACUCGUUGGAGCUCCUGUUGUCUAUUAGUGGAGCUUCAUUUAUCAAAUCCAACCAAAUAAAGUCUUUCAUUAACUCCAUCAUGGUAAAUUUAAUCAUGUGCUUAAAAUUUUGUAGAAAACCUCGAUAGAAAUCACUAAAAUUUCCAAAAUCUCUUAGAUUUGAUGAGUUACAAUAAACACUUGGCAUUAAAAUUUCCUAUGGUGUAGCAUAGACUUCAUUCUAGUUUAAUUAAACUAUUAUAUAGAGCAUUGUACCUGGUAAUUUAAAUAUUAGAUUUAAUUUCAAAAUGAGAACAAUAAACAAUUAGUAUUAUUGUAUUAUUAUUAUUAUUUAAUGUGAAUGAUUGUGAAUAUUUUAGUGGGCAAACUAAGCCAAGUGAGGUGGGCAGUAGAAUAAAGAUAAAAAAGGGUUAGGCAUAAGGCAGGCAGGUAGGGUUCAAUAAUUAAGAUUAAAAAAGAUUUAACAAUUUUGUUUUGAUAAGUUUUGAUGUUAAAGCCAUGAGCUAAUUACCAAACCCACUUGAUGAGAACUUAGAUGUUUCUUUGACAAAAAAAAAAAAAAAACUUAGUGAUGUAUAUAUAUUUCUCGUUCUUUGAUAAUAUUAUUCGGUAAUCAAAAUGAACACACAACAAAAUGAUAUACUUUUGUGUAUGGGUAUAAUCUAAAGUAUAGAUUUAAAACGUCAUGUCUAACGAUGGAGAUAUGCUUAAACGACAGUUACAUUCUUUGUCACACUAUAUACCUAUCUAGGUCGAAAUGUAAUAUCUUUUCAUGUAUGAUUGUGAUCAAGACCACACAUGUAUGAAAUAUCAUAAUUGAUCUAAUGGUGGAGAUAUUCAUGAAUAUAUAAAAUGUCACGUUCUUUGUCAUUUGUCUCUUUACAAUUAUUCAAGUGAUUGGAGUGAUUACAAGACAAAACAAUGUAUCAUUUAGUGUAUUAUAUGUAUGCGAUCUAAACCAUAAACACGAAACAUCACAAUCUAACAAUGUAAAGAUGCUCGAACAAACAAAAUCACACGCAAGAAACAUAUACUAGACAAAAAAAAAAAGGGUUAAGAUAGUUCAAAUCUUCCCUAAAAUGCAGUUAUUUGAACUCCUAAGAUAAUUAUAUAAAUCAUAUAACAAUGACACAUUAAUCUAACACAUCACAUAAAACAAAGAAAUAAUCAACAAAAUUAUAAAAUUAAAGGCUAAUAUUUUAUAAAAUUCGUCCUUUUUACUUUUUAUUCAACACAUAAGAAAGUACUACGAAACAACAACAAUUUAAAAAAGGCUAAUCAUCCUUUUAUUAAUAAAGAAAAGGACAUACAAUGCAUUUCUUAAUCCCCUUUUCAAUUUAUAUAAACUUAACAUUUUCCUUUAUAUUUAGUUGCCACUUUUGAAUUUAUAAGGGGAGGAGGGAAAGAGAAAAAAAAAAGAGUAAAAUCCAACCAACCAUUUGAAAGUGUUUAUUACAAAGAAUGCACUAAUAAUUUGACAUAAUUAAGAAAAAAGUUGGAGAUGGAUUAAUUAAAUAUUUUAGCAAAAUCUAAAUUAUGCAAAACUAUAUUAUAUAAUCUCUUCACACUCAAUUAAUAAUUUAUAAUUUUUUUUUACCGAUAUUUAUUUUUAUAAAUGUAAACAAGAAUAAUUCAAUUGACAGAUAUCUAAACAAAUAAUGAAAAAAAGAGUAUUAAGUUUUGAUUUGACAAUAUUGACCAAAAUAUUCAAUUAUUGUUUAUGGCAUUUUAAAAAAAAAAUAAUAUUAUCGUUUUUUUAAAAAAUAAACAAAGAAAAUUCAAAAUUUAAUGUGAUAUUCGUUUGAAUUAGAUGCUACAAAUAAUUGUGGUAAUUAAAGGCAUGUUUAAAUUGAUGUUUAAGUAUUUUAUUUUAUUUAUUUAGAAACAUUUAUUUAAGCAGACGAAUCAAAUAAGAAAAAAGAUAAGCAUUUAUUUUUCCUUUAAUAUUUAAAGAAAUUUUGAAUUGGGGAAAAAAUUUGAAUAUCACGCUAUCUAAUUCCUUCAUUGUCAAUAAUGUUAGCAUGCUUUAAAAAAGAAUAGUGUGUAGUUGCCCAUUUUCUUUGUUAAUAAUUAUAAUUCGAAAAACAAUUAUAAUAAUAGAUUAUAAAUUUAUUAGUAGAGCUUUAUUUUUAAAGUAUUAAGGAAAAAAUGGUACUUAACAUCUUUCAUUAAUUUCAAAUUUCACGCGACAAAAAAUGUAUUUUGGUCUAAAUAUUAAUUUAUUAUUUCUAUUUUUUCAAAAAUCGAACAUCUUAUGUUGAUAAUAUUAAUAAUAUAUUUAUUAAGAUAAUUAACAUUAAUUUUCUUUACAAAAUUUGAAAUAUAUACCAUAACCAAAAUGAAAAAAAAAAUUUAUUAGAUUUGUUGUUUUUAAUUAAAAAUAUAUUUUCAUUUGGAAUGUUUUAAAAUUUAAAAAAAUAUUAAUAGAAUAAAAUAAAUUAUUGGACUUAAAAUAAAAGGAAACUAAAAUUACAUAAUUUGGACAACAAAUAACAAUUCACCUACAAAAAAUUGUAAGACUACUAGUGAAGGUUCAUCUAAGGUAAUUGUAAUUUGUGAAAUAAAUUAUUGUAAACCAAUAAUAUAGAUGGAGAUUAAGCAAUAAUUGAAGAAGAAAAGGAGAAAGGAAAUAUAAGCAAAGCAUUAAGUUAAGAAUUAAGAACAUGGUAUUGCCAAAAUUAUCACCCACUUAUCAUAAUGGACCACCAAAUUCAUCAUUAAGAUGUAGACUAAGUGUAAUAUAGUGCUCCAUUAUACUUUCUUUAAUGAAUAAUUAAGCACAUUUAAUUAAAAACAUAGGCAUCAUUAUUUCUUUUUUAGAAAAGGAGAGGCUGUGGGACAUAUACGAAUAACUUUUAGUCAAAUCCAAAAGGAAUCACAUUUCAAAUACCAAUAUUUACAUAAGCAAAAAUAAUACAAAGUCAAGCAUAUAUUUGAUGGGUGAAUUUACUUAUCAUAUUACAAAUUGUAUAAAUAUAGUAGAUAUAAUUAGCCAUACAAAAAAUAACAUUAGAAAAUUUGAAACAUAAGUAAAAAAAAAACGUUUUCAUUACUAGUUUUGAAAAUUAAAUCAUUCCGGAUUAACGUAUUAUUUAUGAAAGAUAGACCCUAACAAUCCCAUAAUAUAUAAUAAGUCAAAGAUGUAAAAUGGUUUGGUGUUUGUAAUUUUGGGAUAUAUUAUUGCUUUGUUUUGAGGUGGAAGAAUGGGAGAUAUUUUAUUUCGAUAGGAAACCUCAGCAACAUAUAAUAUAUAUUAUAUAAUAUAUAAUGAAUAAAAAUGAAAUGAAUAUGCACCACAUACAACAUUAUAAAAGCAAACCAUACCCUACUUUUCCAAUUUCUUUUUAGGGUUUGAGAUCAAAUUUUCUAAUUACACUUUGAGAUAAUUAAUACAAACUUUAAUAUUAUCUUAUCAUCGUCAUCUUUAUUUUGUUAUUAGGCGAAGUGUUGGUGCGGCCCUAAAGCCCUCAACAUGAUGCCUUUGCUUCUGCACUGCAGUUGCUCUGGCUUAGUGCCCAACACAUGUUAAGUUUAUUCUUUCUAAUAACUUUCUUUUCUUCUUCUUUCUUUCUUACGUUAAAGUUUGUAUAACUAAAAUUACUUUAAACAUAUUUUAAUUUAGAUAACAAAAUUUGAAAAUAACUUAAGAAAGCCUACUGUAUUUGUAAUUUAGAAUAGUCAUGGAUUAUGUCCAAACAUGGUUUCUUUGUUUUACUCUAUUGUUUAGAUUAUGAUUGACGAAUAGACAUGUUAUAAUAUUAUUUAGUUAAUUAUGUCAACAAUAUAAAAUAAGAAAAAUGAAUUAUCGAAAUUUAAACACGUGAUUUAAAAAGUGAUGGAUGAGGUUUGUGGGACAAGUUUUAGCUAUUAGAUCGAGGGGUUGAGAAACUUAGGUGAAGAAAAAACUGUGGUUUAUUGGGUAGGUUUUAGAAAAAAAUGAAGGCAAGUUUUGAUUCCAUGACCAUUGUUCAAUUUUGUUGCUAUUUCUCUUAAUUAGAUUUGACUACCGCUCAUUUUGAUAAAUUUAAAAAAUAUGUUUGUUUUUAGAAAAAUACAAAUGAGCAUUAAAUUAUCAAAAGACCAUACUUUUAAUUCAACAUUUAUGAAAUAUAGAUUAUAAAAUGGUUAAUUUGACUCAAUUUCUAUUUGGAUAUAAUUUCAUAUAACAUUUCAAAUUUUAAACAUUAAAUUAGUGAAUGAAAUUCACCCCAAAAAAGAAGGUGAUGGGUUAUAAUCUAUUUAUAAUAGAGUUUAUAAAAAAGUAAUCAUUGAUCCAAAAUCAACUUUUUUUUUUCUUUCUUUCUUUCUUCCACCUUUUUAGUGGCUAAUGGGUAUUAUGUUUUUCUGUAACAAUACUCUGCACUUUCCCCUUUCGCUUUUUUGCCUUUCUGGGUGGUGAUUAGAUUGCUUAAUUCAAAACUUUAGCUUUUCUUUAUAUGAAAUCUUAAUAAAAUAACAAACUCCAUAAUACUUUAUGGGAAUUGGGAAGUGAUGAUCAACAAAAAUAAAUAAAAAAAAACUUUGUUAGAAAAUCAAAAGUUCCUUUAGGCAUUAAUAAAUCCAUAGUUGAGUUGAGAAGAGUUGUUUGGGUUUCUCUUGUUUGAUUACAAAUAUUUCCUUCUGUAGUAAAAAAGUGGAAGAAUAAAAAGGCAACACAGGGGAGAUUUUUCAAAGUGGGAUAUGCUGUGGUGGUUGUUUUGACCAUCCAAUUUUUCUUUUUUUCUCUCUUUAAAACUAGGCUGCGGCAUUUCUCUUCAAAAUCCCUCGUUUCCCAUUUCAUCGUACUUGCCGCAGCCCUAUUUGGCUCCAUUUUUUUUUUCUGGGUUUUUCUUGGGGUUGGGAAGAAAGGGGGGAGGAAGAAGAAGAAGAUAUUGAAGAACUGAGGUAUUAAGGGAUGGUUGUUGACGAUACGAUGGAAAUGAACGUUGUUCUUGGUUUUGGAGGUCCUUCUACUUCUAGAUUUCCCGAUGCCUAUCCCAAAAGGUAUGUAUAUCUCUUUGGAUUCCUUUUUCUUUUUCGAUAUCUGGGUUUUCUUUAGAUUUUCAUGAUUGUUGCUUAUUUUCUGUUUGUGGGUUAAUCGUAGAUUUCUUUGAUGGGUUUGAUUUGGGGGAUUUUUGGGAUCUGAUAUCGGUGUUUACGAGUGAUUUGAGAGUGAUUUGGGGACUUUUUUUAAAGUAUGGGUUCGAUUCGAUUCAGUGUAUUGGAGAUUGGACGUUGAUUCUCUUUUCAUUUGGGAUGUUAUUGCUUUGUUUAUCUGUUGUGUUUGUGAGUAAUUUGUGCUCUGUUUGGUUAAUCUAGGGUUUUGAUGGAGGGAAGAUACACUGGAGAUUGACAUCAUCGGAGUGUUUUUCAGGGUUACUUUCUUCAGUUGGUGUUGUUUUUUCCUUUUUCUUUUUCUUUGUUUCUUUGUGUUUUCCCUUCAGCAAUGGCAAUAUUCAACUUCUCAGAAACAAUUAGGAUUCCAUAAGAGAUGAGUUGAAAUGGGAGAUUCUCUCAUUACAGCCCUUUCACUGGAGAAUCAUCAUCCAUCUACACUUUUAUUCAUGGAUUCGAGUGCCUCAUCUCACGAAGAAUUGGAUUUGGAAAUGAAUAGACAGAUCGUUCUUUCCCGUCCGCCUGAUAUCAAUUUACCAUUGUCAACUGAAUGCAGCUACACUCUGCAGCCAUGGAAUUCUGAUCACUGUAACAUUUUAGAUGUUGGACUUGCUUCACAAGUUUAUGAGACCGAAAGUUUUCUUACUGUUCCAAAAGUUGUAAGGAAAUGCACCAAACGGGUAGACAGCAUUUGGGGUGCAUGGUUUUUCUUUAGUUUCUACUUCAAACCUGUGUUAAAUGAGAAAUCGAAGGCUAAGAUUACCCGCGACAGUAAAGGUGUUUCGGGAUUUGAGAAGUCAGAUCUUAAGGUUGAUGUUUUUAUGGUCCAACAUGAUAUGGAGAACAUGUACAUGUGGGCUUUCAAGGAGAGGCCAGAGAAUGCAUUAGGUAAAAUGCAGCUUAGAAGUUACAUGAACGGGCACUCUCGCCAAGGCGAGCCUUCUUUCCCAUUUGGUUCUGAGAAAGGCUUUGUUCGAUCACAUAGAAUGCAACGAAAGCAUUAUAGGGGUCUCUCAAAUCCUCAGUGUGUACAUGGGAUUGAGGUUGUUGCAUCUCCAAAUCUAAUGUCUCUCGACGAAGAACUACGAAAAAGAUGGGUUGAACUAACGGGUAGAGACUUUAACUUCACUAUACCACCUGAAGCAAGUGAUUUUAGCUCAUGGAGGAACCUUUCUAGCCCAGAUUUUGAACUCGAGAGGUCAGUUCCUUCUGUCAAAAGUGCUUUAAAUUCUCAACCAAAGAAAUUGCUCAACGGAUCUACCCUAAAUUUGUCAAACCACAACAACUGUGAUAUGAUGGAUUUAUCACCUGUUACCAGCAAGAAAAGGAAGAGUUCAUCUCCUAAUAUGAAUGAUGAUGAUUGCUUAUUGAUGGUCAAUCCCCCCGACUGGAUUUCAGAUAUGGACAAGCACUCAAAUGGUUUGCAGUGGUUGAACGACUUUAGCGGAGUUAUGAAGAACAGUUACGGGCCUGUUACAGCUGCAAAGACGAUAUAUGAAGAUGGUGAAAGUUAUUUAAUAAUCAUCAGUUUGCCCUUUGUGGAUCUACAAAGGGUCAAAGUUUCCUGGAGGAAUACACUCACCCAUGGUAUCAUAAAGGUUUCUUGUGUGAGCACAUCUUGCGUACCGUUCGUCAAGAGGCAUGAUAGAACCUUCAAGCUUUUAGAUUCAUCUACUGAACAUUGUCCCCCAGGUGAAUUUGUGCGAGAGAUUCCUCUUUUGACUCGAAUUCCUGAAGAUGCUAAUAUCGAAGCAUACUACGACGGACCGGGAUCUGUUCUUGAGAUUAUGGUCCCCAAACUCCGUGAAGGUUCAGAAGAACACGAGGUUCAUGUUUGCCUUCGACCGCUCCAUGGAGUCAAAUCUAAUGUAAUGUUGAGAUAGGCAGUGUUCUGAAAGGGAAUUAAAGAUGGUGGUUGUCUUGAUGCCAUGGUUGAUUAUAUCAAUUUACUAACUUUAUACCACAAGAUAGAAUUCUAUGAACCUCAAUCUGUUUUUCACAUUUUUCUUUUACAAUUUACGUCAUUAGUCUUAUGCAUCUGGUCUCGCUUUGAUAGGACCUGACACUGGUUGUCAAAGUCAUAAUUCUUGAGAAAUGGCUUAUCAUUUGGUUGAAUAUCAAUACCUCAAAACUUAUUUUUACAUCUACUGUAGUGUUACCAGAACUUCAUUCAGUUUAACUAAAGAAUGCCAAAGGAUACUUCUGUGGUACUUCAACCUCAGAAACGUUAGCCUUUUAUCCUACUUAUCUUCUUAGAAUUGUAUCUAUUUCCCACUUUGUCGGAUCAGGAAAUUAAAUCUCAAGGAGGUUGAGAUCCCUUUAUGGAGAUCUUACAAAGUUGUAAAUUGUUGAUGUUCUUCCCUACUCGAGUACUGUAGUUUGCACAUCUUUUCCCAUGAUCAAAGAAAAGAAUUUUAAUAAAGCAAAGUAGUGAGGGAAUUUAUAUCAAAAUACAUCAAUACUCACUUGAACUUGGAUGAAGAGUCCCACCACAAAAAAUUUGGAAAAACAAUCUCAUUUUUUUCGAAGACUAUCAGUAUAACAUAUGGGAUUACAAGGGACAAAUAACAAAAUGUAGCAAACAUAACUUUAUCACGAAGAACAUACGAUAAAAAUUUUCAUUUUGUUGGACAGUCUCCAAAAUUCUGAACCAACCAAGUCGGAUGGAUGAGUUGAAUCUCCUUACAAGCAUCAUUUAUCAGAAUGGUAAGAUGAAUAUCCUGGGGGACUUCUAGGCCUUGCAUAUUCUGCAAAUAUCAUCCAUCCAUCAAUAAACUGCACCGUACAUUAAACAAUUAUAAAGGUUUAGAUCUCUUUUUUGUCCGCGAGAAAAGAAUACAUUCCAUAGUUUGUGGUUCAAGGCGAAGAAUCGAAGAGAAUAGAGAAACAAUUGCCGGAUACGAACAGGAUCGUGGAAGGAAUCAGCUGAGGUUUCCAUCUCCGUAUCAUUAUUAGAAGUAUCAAUGGAAGGAAAAGCACCGGCGGCCACUGCAGCUGGCGGAUUGUAUAGAAAAGCUUGAAAUUGAAAGAAUUCGUCGGAAUAGUACAGCUUUCAUCGCCAUUUUUCUACUGAAGAAUCUUCCUCCAAAGAUAUUUGAAUUCUCUACUAAUGUGUUGUUGAACUCAAAACACUUUCUUUCAAAGUACUUUGAAAUAAAGCAGUGUGAAUGAAUAAACUAUAUCACUUCAUUAUUAAUAAUAUACAAUCUAAUAAUCUAUAACUAUAACAUAUUUAAAUGUGGUUGGGAGUAAUUUUAGCUUCCAAUUUACCUUAUAACUUAGUACUUACACAUCUAUUUUAUCUUUAAAACUCUCAGAGGACAUGGUUGUCUGCACAAUGCGUUAAUUGAGAGAAAUAAUACAAAUAACUUGCAAUUGCAUAUAAAUGAAUGAUUGAGUUGUGUUGUAUUUAUACUUACGCCAAUCUUCAAAUUAUUAAAACAUGUAAUCGAUGUUGACGAGACAUAUACAUGAAUCACAUGAUCGUUCGAAUCAAAAUGUUCAUUGAGAAAUGUGGUUCAUUUGUUUGCAUAUAAGUCUGAUUGAGACUAGAUGUAAUCAUCGUGAUCUAACAGUUGAGAUGUGUUUGUAUGAGCACAUCCCUUCACACAACCAUAUCCAAUAGUUAAUUAUUUGAAAAGUUCUAAUUUAACAUUGUUUAUAUGGACUUCAAAUAUUUUAUUAUUUUUUUUCUGAGGCUGAGAAAGUGAGUAUUAGGGUUUGAAAGUUCGUUUACAGAAGGUGUGAGUCUAAACAAACGAGUAUAUUUAUACUAUCGAUACGAAAAGUAAAAUCUAACAGCUAAGGUGUGUCCUUUUACAAAAAAAAAUGGGAGUAACAACUUUCCUUUGGUAAAAAAAAUGAAGAAAGCUUUCUUUGAUAUCUACUUUUACGUGUAAAUUAAUAUGUUGUUUAAAAUGAACGGUAGCAAUAGCAUAUUGGUAGACAAUAGUAUAAUGUUAACACAUGUAAAAAUAUUCCCAUCUUUAUUCUUCAAUAUAUUACAAUAAAACUUGGUGGUGACAGAGGGAACAAGAAAGAUCAUCCCCUACCUUAUCUUCUUCAGCAUAUGGACGACCCUAUUAAAUUUUUGUUUGUUUCCUGUAGUUCUGUAGAGAGCACUUUGAAAAAUCACUUUUGGAAGUAUUGGUAAAGGCGUAGACGUAUUAGACACUUUCUUAUGCUUUAACUCAGAUCUCUAGAUAUCAAAUAGAGAUGGACUAAACACAUAUAUUAAUUUAUUUUUAGGCAAAAUUCGUUAAGAAACUACAAUUGUACGUUGGUAACAGAGAUAUCCUAACCAGUUAUCUCAUAGAUUUUUACGAAGUUUUAGCGAGUGGGUAUCAACUUAGAUCAAGCCUCCAACUGAGAGUCUCCAUUGAAAGAUUGUAAUUUGUAACAGAACAAUCUGAAUGAAAUCAAAAUCAAGAUUACCUAAUCGUUCUACACAUCUCAAAACAAAAGAUUCUUCAAUCAAAUAACAAGAGCAGGUCCCCCUUAUGAGGAUGAUUUCAAGUUCAAUAAUGGUAAGAAAUCACUCCCAAAAUUUGAUUGUUCAAAGACAUGUUUCGUGUAUAAAGAUAGGCACAAACUAAGAUUCCAAACUCGACAAAGAGCUACCACAAACAUUCAAGUAUCCUAAUGUUCUUAAACAAUUGAAACGGAACAAAUUCUAUGAGAAAUCAAAUCAAAUCAAAUUCUUGCUCAAUUGCAACCAGAAAAACAUACACGAGGAAUGAAUGCCAUUAACUUCUAUUCAUUACAAAACAGGAAAAAAAAAUCAACUGUGAAGUCGCAAAUUAUGUUCCCAACCACAUAAUAAACAGUGUCUAUAAUUCGGGUUUACCUCUAUGGACGACGUUUUUUUGAUGAUACAGCACUUGCAAACACAACAUGAUCCCCCACCCCCCUCCCAAAAAAAAUGAAAAAAAGAAAAAAGAAAAAGUGAAAACUGAAGAUGUACUGACCUGAAACAAACAUGAGUGGGAUUUGAUAUCCACUUCCAUAAGAAUCUUAUCAGCUCUAUUCUAUAUGUUCCUGUAAUCAUCAUCUUUAGCUUUACCAAUGUGUUGACCAGCCAUCUGUAUGAGCUACUCCAAGUAAUUCAAAUUUUCAUCAUUUGAGGAAACCAGGAACUACCUUGUGGUGUGUAUUUCAGAUGCUACCUAAUCAUACAACCAUCUUUUUAUUACUUGGGAUAAAGAUGUAAGGAUAAUGGAUUCAGGAAUACAAUUGUUUCUUUCAUACGUAGCCAAGUAUGCAAAAUAAACAAAAAUUACAGGUCAUGUGGCCAAAGAAGAAAUGAGUUUCGACUCUAGAGGGUAUAUUUAUAAGGUCUUUAUGACAAUAAAACCAUGUAAGUAUCAUUACUCCCAUGGAGAUAUGGAGAGGAUCCAAGAAGAUCCAGACAACCAUUGAGAAUUAGGUUCAUUGUUACAAACCUCAGAGAAAGCCUCCCUCUGACCAUGUACCACCACCUGCUUUUCCAUUUUGACCAACGGUUUUCCGAUCGGAUGCUUGAUAAUAGUGAUCAUAUCCAUCAUCUUUUUGGUCAUCCCAGCCAGCCCAGCCAUCAUUGCUAUUAUUAUUGUUGUUGUUGUUAUUGUUAUUAUUAUGGGUUCCACUCACUUUGGUUGUUGUUUCCUCUUUCCUGUUGUCUUUGGUAUCCCAAUCAUCCCAAGAACUUGAGUUGUAAGAAUUAUUGUGAUGUCCACUUCCUGAUGACUGACCUGUUCCAGAAGAAGAAUUCCAUCCUUUGUUAUCAUGCUCAAAUUCUUGAUAAUAUCCAUUUUUCUCAUUCUCGUUCCGUUGCCAUCCAUCAUUCUUCCAGUUCAUGCCAUCUUUGGCAUACUCUUCAACCUUCUGUGAAGCCAUUGCCAUUACACCUCUCAUAAUUCCCCAUGUCCUUUGCCCAAUUUCUGUUGUUUUUGCUGUGACAACAUUGACGGUUUCAUUUACUUUGUAAUCAUAGCCACCCUCCUUCACCUGUAAAAAGAAUUUACAAAUGUACAUUUGGGAGAAUAAUAACUUCAGUACCAAACAGAACUUAGCUCCCAUAGGGAUCCCGUAACAAAUCAUUGCUGCCUAUAAGAUACAAGAAAAAAUGUGCAUACCAAACAGAAGCAAAGUACUAGUAGUCACGAAGAUGUAAUUGAAGGAUUUUCAAGGAAAAGAAAAGGCAAACUAGGCAAAUACCAAAACUAAGUCAUUUUCACACAUAUAACAACGGUCAUCUCCAUUUUUUGUAGUGUAAGAUAUAAACAUGGAUAAUAUCUUUUCAAAAGCAGGAGAUGACAUAUUCAAUAUGAAGUACCCUACCAACGAUACAACUCUUGUAAUUUGCAAUAUCAUCUAUUUCAAUGGAAGUAAUCACGACAUGAAAGUGCUAACACCAAUCUGAAAGAAAGUACCUUGGUAGUCAGCUCUUUUGUGCCAGCUUGAACAGCAUUUGCAGCCGAUUGAGCAGCAGAAGCAGCAACCAGAGAUAACUUACCAAACCCCUGAAAUGAAACGAUGCAUUCAUUGAUCAACCUUAAAUGAAAAUCCACAACAUAAACACAAAACCAAGCAGAAAAUAUUGAUCACACAACAACAUAAUACCUGAGAAACAACAGAGAAAACAUCAUUUUGUGGAUCGUUCCUUCGAGCAGGUGCAGGACUCGACCCAAAUCCAACAUACUUUCCACCUUGUGAUGGCGGAAUUCCUUCAGGCCUUGAAUCAUUCUCAGCAAUUUUCUGGGCAAAAAAAUUAUCUUUAUUUGCAGCAGAAGCCUCCAAUUGAGACCGUGUAUAAAUAUCCUCAGUCGAUCUAGACCUAGACGGCAUCCCUCCGCCGCCCAUACCUCGAACAUCGCCUGUUGAUUGGUUACGCCUCAUAUCACUAGAAGAUCUAAAAUUAUCUUCGUUAUCCCAACCUCCAUUAUUCACCUUACUCCCUCCUCCACCAGCACUUUGCGCUAAUGGAGGCCUGGAUUUUCCUACUCCAAUAUUCUCCUUCACCGCAGGUGGAUCCUUCCAAGAUCGACCCUCAGCAAGAGCUUGAAUCCGAUCCCUAUAAACCCCAGCCGCACUGGUAUUGUAUUUGGUUACAAUAUCAGUCUCCUUAGGUAUUCCAUACUGGGAAAGGAAAGCAUUAAGCUGCUCAUUACCUCCAGCCUCCAUCUUCUUGAUCUGGAUCUCAGACCAAGAAUCCAUAGUAACAGAUCUAACAAAAGAGAUAUGAACACCAAGUCCACGAUGCUUCCCGGAACAUUCCAAACACAUGAAAACCCCAUAAGAAACAGAAGCCCAUUGGGGAUUCUUUUGGGAACAAUCAACACAGAUCUUAUUCCCCGGCCGUGAUUGAAGGUCCCGUAGCCGCCGUGACGCCGCCAUUAAGAUCAGAUCCAAUUGGGUAUUGAACAAAUUUAAAAAGGUAAAAUCGGAAGAAAAUCCAAACUCAGAAAAAAUGUAAAAAUCGAAAUCAAAACUUGUUGAAUAAUAAUAAUAAUGUUAAAACAGAAAGAAAGAGGUGGGAUUGAUUAUGAAGGGAAAAGGGCCGCCGAUUAGGGCGCAACCUUAAAUUUCAAAUCAGUUUCUUCUUUGGUUGCUUCAACCUCUUCCUCUUUCGCCGCGACACCGACACCCUCCACAAAUCGUCAAAAGCUCCUCCUUUUUAGCAUUCUGUUUUUAUAAACGAAAGAAAAUUAAGUGAACGGAAUUCAACCUUUCAUAUACCCAAAUAUUAUAAAUAUAUAUAUACAUACAUACCUAUUUGUCACUUUAUUAUAAAUAACCAUUUUCAAAAAUUUUCCUAAUUUUUGAAUCUCUCUUUCCAAUUCCUCAUUCCUAUUUUACUUUUGGACUUCUUGUUUCCUUUCCCACUCUUAAUGUAUUUUCCUAUCAAUUCCACUUUUUUUCCUCUCUUUUAUCAUAAUUUCCUUUCUUCCUUUAAUUGAAAUUGAUUCAAAAUAAAUCCUAAACUUAUGUUCGUCUUCUCUUUCAAAUUUUAUACCUAUCUAACUGAUAAGGAGACAACAAAUAUAUAAAUACAAAAUAUACAAGAAAUAUGUUUUCUUUCUAAAAUGAUGAAUUUAGCAUUUAGAGAACUGGGUCUAGAGAAAACUAAAAACACUUUAACCAUUGAGCUAGCUUAUGAAACUGUGUCUAUUGAGAACUAAAAUACAGUUUUAUCAUUGGGCUAACAUGUGAUAUUAUAUUUUUUUCAAAUUUUUUAUACAAAUAUUAUAUAAAUAGCACAAAAUUGAGGGAGGGAUCAAACCCGCGAACCUAUACUAAAUCCGAUUGAUUCUAUGAGACUAUUCUUUCCUUUAAAUUCUUCCACGGUGUUGUCCCAUUGGAUCAUUUUCCCUAUGUGUGUGGCCUUUGUGUAUAACGAAAGUCAGGUAUAACAAUGAGCCUGAGCCCAAUCCAAUAGCUAACUGGGCUGAAGGGCUUUAUAUAAUAGGUUUACUCUUGGGCUUUCUUCCAUAUUUGGCCCAAUGUAUGACCCAUUAAUUUAAUAUGUGGGCCUCAUACAUUUCAUCAUCCAAAAAUAGGGUGGAUCUCUCUCAAUCAAUAUAUAUAUUUGAUUUUUUGUAGAAACAAAGUUGAGAAUAUAAGUGCACGACAAUUUGUAGAUGUUGUAUAUGUACAUUUUUUCAAUAUAUUAUCAAAUGAAAGAAUUGAAUAAUUAUAAAUUUUAUUUAUUAUAAUAAAAGCCCAUCUUUGUAAUAAAAAAAUUAUUUACUAUUAUUCAUAACAUUUUCAAAUAUAGCAAAAUAAAUGAAAGUUUAAAUUUUUCUGCAUUUUAUAAAUAGUUUCAACCGUUUAAUCAUUUACAAUAAUUUUUCAUACUAUUUGUUACGACUUGAGUAGAUUCAAAUAUUUGAAAUAAUUAGCCUCAGUUAUCAUGUCUUCCCUCCACAGUAAGUUUUUAAUUAUUUUGAAACAGAAAACCAACUGUACGUAAGGCUUUAUGCAGUCUUUACUCACUUUUCUUCUUCUUCUAAUGUUUAGUACUUUAAAUUAUUGGAUGUUUUUCAAUUACUUUCACCACCAAGCCCACAGGUGAUUUCACUAUAAAGUUUUUUCAUACAUUUAUUAAUAUAUAUAGUAAAUGGAAACUAAAUUUCAUCCAGAAAUAAUAUAUUAUUUUAGAAUGUUUCCUUUGCUGAAUUUUUUUAAUUAGGUCAAAUUAUAACAUCUGCUUACUCUCUAAACUGAUCUCAAUUAGAUUAAUGUUAUGUUAAGUUUUUUUCUUUCAACAAACACUAGUCAUACUACGUUAAUAGCAUCUCUCUCAAUUUAUACAUCUUUGAAAAAAAAAUUCAAUUUCAUGUUUAAUGAAUUCAUCUUUAUUGAACAAAAACAAUAUGUUGUUAAGGUCGUAAACAAACCUUCUAUACAAACUAUGUGAAGUUGUAUCGUCAAUAAUCAUUAGAUAAGUGACUACAAUGAUAAUAAAUCUUAAAACUAAAAAACAAUGUUAAAGCAAUUUUCUUGGCAAAAAAGGUAUGUGGUUUGAUGGAAAUCCAAACCUUUGUUCUCAUUUAUUAUUAUUGCUAGUAAAGUAGUUCAAUUUCAUUUGAAAUAAACAAUCCAAACUUUUGUUUUUCUAUUAUUAUUUCAUAAAGUUUAUAUCAUCAGGUUUGAUUCACCUACCCAUAGUGUGAUCGUUCUCAAAAUAUUAAAUUUUCUAUACUUAAAUUUUGGGCUUAGUUUCUAUUAUGUCUAUAAUCUUUAAGUUUUACCUCAAGUUUCCACUAAUUCAUACGUACUUUCAAUCAUUUGCAAUAAUCAUCUAUUUAUUAAAUUAAUUUUAAUAACUCUUAAAAUUAUCAUACCAUAACUAUUCCCCGAGAAAUUAUCAACUUACAAACCCAUAAACUUUAAAGUUUGUAGCAUUUAAAAUCUUAACUAAACUAGAGUACAUAAUUAGAUACGAAAAUAAAACAUCUAUAACAAGGUUCAUUCCACCACUCCAAAUGAGAGAGUAAUAUAAUAUAAUCUCAAAACGAGAGACUGAAACUUAAUUACUCAAAGAUCAUAAUGUAGUAGACUCGACUCGAGAUUAGAUUGAUAGGAAAAUGUGUUAUGGGUGAAAGGUGAAAAGAAAGAAGAAGCAUGUGAAGAAGAGAGAAGGAAAUUGAGAAUGGGAGAAGUUGGUUGAAAUCCCAUGUUGUGUGAUUAAUUGUUAGCAUUAAGUAAUGGGACGGCUUAAGAAAGCACCGCCGGUCACGUGCAGUGCACGUCCCCGUUUCAAUUUUCCAAAACAACUUGCUCUCAUCUUCUCAUCUUCUCAUCUUCUCAUCCUCUAAUGGCAAUGCCCAUGUUCUGUUGACUUGAUGCAGCCCUCGCCCAUACUUAGCUUCCCCAAAAAUAUUCAUAUUAAUACUCAAAUCAACCCUCACUAUCUCAUUCUUCAUUUCUUCCUAAACUAUAUCCAAAAGUAUAUACUAAUCCCUCUCACUUAUGUCCUUAUCAGAAAACCAACACCCAAUUCUCUAUAUACAUUGAAUUCAAUUCAAUAAUUUUUCUCAAUAACAUGUUCUUUUCUACUGCUGUGAUAAUAUAUUUAAAAAAACUCACAUUAGUUUUUGUUUACCAAAAUGUCAAGUCUAAAGUAAUUAAUGAUAUGGCAUAGUGAUCUUGAAAACUUGUUAUAAAUAGUAAAAUAUGUCUCGUACAAAAAUAAAUAAAUAUUGAAUAGUAAAGGAGAAAAAUUUGGUGUAUAACGAUCAUUUUUAAGUAAGCUGUAAGUGUAUCAUUUCCUAUUUCAUACAAAAACGUAAGUAAUUAGUAUAUGAUAAUAAAUAGGGAAAAAAAACCAAAGUGUCAAAUCAAAUCACAAGUAAUGAAAACUUUGGGUUCUAAUUAAAUCAAGUGAAAGUGAGGUAAUGGAUAACAUAGCAUAGCUCUAGGAGAUGGCCAUAAUUACUGCAAUGUUGUGUAUUCACAUAACAAUAGGGACAAUGCAUGACUUAACUUUCAUCGCAACAAAUCACAUUAAAUGAUUGAUAACAUAUUUUGGUGUCCAACCUUACCAUUUCCCAAGCUUUAAACAGUGAAUAAUAAAAAGAUAUAGAACACUCCCCCAAAAGAAAAUUUUAAAAUUAAUGCAUUAAUGUAGGACCACAAAUGACUUUGUUUUAUAUACAUACACACUACAACCCAUUACCCAAAGUAUUGAGUGGUUCAUAUCUCAACUAAAUACUCACAUUUAUGAUUGAAAGCUUCCCUCCCUCCCCAACUCUAUCAUAAAGAAAAUUCAAAGUUUACUAUGGAGGAUGAACAUCUCUCUACCCAUAUAUAUAUUUUGACGAGACAACAAAGUAGAGUUUGUUUUCUUGAAAUUGACCUGUGAAUGUAUAUAUUUGUUUUUGUUAAAAGUUAAAGAAUGAUUCGAUGGACAACGCCAUUGCGUGAAACUAAAGUUGUAUCGAAACAGACCACUCAUGCCAAAAUGAUUACAAAGUCGGCGAUAAGCGUGGAUAUUUAAUUGUGUUAAUUAUAGUUAAUUUCAAUAUAAUAUAGGUUAAAUUACAAAUUUUAAUCUCUAAACUUUCAAGUUUGUCUCUAUUUAAUUAUUGAAAGUUUAAAUUAUAUAUAUUAGACAUUUUUAAAUGUUAUAUAUAUAUAUUACUUACUUCAUGAAUUAAAUAACUUUUUUAAUUUAACUACUGCCGAAGGUAGAUGGAAGAUUUGUUUAAGUAUGUAUUACUUCUAAAAUUUAUAAAACAACGUUAAAUUGGGGUAUAAGAUUCCAUAAUUAGUUAUCGUUAAUCAAGUAUAACUUAAAUAGUUGACAUGCAUUAAUUAAUUUCGAAACUAAUAAUUGUGGUAUUUUUCAAAAAAAAAAAAGAAAGAAAGAAUGACUAAUUAUUAAAAUUAAUAAUUAUAAUGAAUAGAUUUAAUCACUUUUUAAGAAUAGGUUUAAUAAAUUUUAUAAGAACAAUUUGGUUUUUAGAAAAUUAAAUUAAUAAAUAGAUGGUAAUUUUUGCAUUCACAUUCUCACCUAUAAAAAGCAGUAAUUAUAAUUUUCUGUACAUGUUUGGUUGGAAAUGACAUUAUAUUGGCAUUAAAGUUUUAUCAAACUUGUAUUAAAAGUUGCAUGCAUCAAGAUAUGAUUUUGAUAAAAUAUUGAAUGAAUUCAACUUAAAGUAUCAAUAAAUUUGGUCUACCACCAAAAUGUCCCCAGUUUCUAAUUCAACAAUUUAAUGUAUACCAUUCUUACCAAAUUACUUUAUAAAUUAUUACUAAGAUUCACAUAUGUUACAAAUGUAAUAUAGUACUUUCAAUCCAUCUUAAAUUUAAUUGUUAUGGUUAGUUAAUUCAAUUUGUUGUGAAAAACAUAUUCAUGCAGUGAAUAUUUAUUCAUAAAUAAUAAGUCGUCGAGCAAAUCUCAAAAUAUAAUUAAAAUUGGUUAGUUUUCGUUUUAUUUUUCAAAUUCUUUAAAAGAAUUUUUCUUGUUGAAACUUUAACUUGGUUUUUUAAAUUAUGUUUAGAAAGUUGAUAGCCAAUCAUAAAUGUUUUUUUAGUAAAAAAUAAUAUCUAAAAACUUAUGAAAAUUUGAAAAAAAGAAGGUUCAUAUCCAAAAUUGAGUAGUAGUAGUAUGGGCUUCUAAGGUUUCCAUCCCUCUCUUGUCAUUAUUGCAUAACAAACAAAUUCUUAGUUGAUUUUGUUCAAGUAGAAGAGACAGUUGAUGAAAUUGGAUAAUAAUAAUCAUGGUUUUCAACAAUUUGUCAAGUUGAUAAAAUUAAUUUCUAAAUUUUGACACUAGUUGACUAUUUCUAAGUUGGGAUUUUUUUGAAAAAGAAAAGUUAAAAGUUUGGGUUGAUCAAUGAAUUAAUAUCUAAGGACUAAAAUUAGGGUUUGAAAGAUGUAUAAGUUUAAUUUACAUAGUCACUUGAACUUAAUUUUAUUUUAUGUCUCUUUUUUGUCUUUCAAUUCUAAUUGCACCUUAUAUGAUUCCACGUGUAAUAGACACUUCAUCCAUGAAGGAGAUUUUCAUAAGAUACACCGUAUCAAUGAUUUUUGUAAUACAUGAAAACACCAUAAUUAGCUACAUGUAUCAAUCUUAGUUAAAAUGGUAAUUUAAAAACACAACUUAACAUGUUAUUUAAAUAAGAUAUUUAUCUUUAAUCAACAGUUAUGUAUAUAAACAUAAGAAAUAAAGUGAUUUUACAUUUCUGUUUAUUAAAGAAGUACUUCGAUUGUAUAUAAUAGAGGGGGUUGAAACUAUAAAUGCUAACUAUUAAAUGGGACAGUCUGAUCAACAAAAAGCCUAUGUUUUGGCUUUAAAUUCAUUGUGAAAUUUGUUAAAAUUGCAACCGUUUUUUGUACUUAUUAUUAUUAUUAUCUCAAGAUUCCAAGAACUCAUAUCUUUGCCCUAACUCUCUUUUAUAUUUAUUUAUUAAUCAACCCAUUAUAAUCACUUCUUUAAACACACAUUCAAAAGUAUUCCAACCUUCCCACCAAAAAAAAAUAGCAUAUUCUUUCAAAAUUAUUGAUUAAUUUUGUAACAUUUAUCAUAUGUGAGCUAUACUCGAUAUUGACAAGUAUUUAUUGGUUAACUAAUUUACUUCUUUUAUUUAUUUAUUUGAUUGGUUUACAUGUGAAGUAGGGUGUGAAUGGCCUAAAAUUUAUUGCAUGAAUUAAUGUCACGUAUAAUUGAGGCAUUAUUUUAACUACUAACUUCAUCAAAAUAAAUUAUUUUAUAGAAAAGAAAAUUAAAAUAAUUAAAUUUUAAAAAAAAAAGUUUAAUGAAUUUUAGAAAAUAGAAUAAUUUAAAAAGGAAACAUAAGAGAGAGUAAUGUAUUUUACAAAUUCAAACUAUGGAGUAAAUUAAAAAUUGAACAUAUUUAAUUCUUAGGAUAUAAGUGUAAUAAGGACUUCAUUCAUUAAACUAUAUGUAAAUUGGGAAAGCAUAGUGAUCUCUAACAAUUAUUAAUGAAUUUCAAAAGAAAACUAAUUGGAUUUCUUUAUAAAUUGAAAAAAAAGAAGAAAAAGAAGUUAAUACUUGAAUUUUAUAACUAAGGAAUUGCUCAAAAUUUUCAAUUUUGUACAAAAACAUAACCCUAAAUUUAAAAAUUACAUACCAACUAAAUUAAACGAGAUAUUUUAAAAAGACGACUUAUAUAAAACAUGGAAAAACUAUUUAAGAAUAAUAUGUUCGAUAAACAUAGUAUAAAUAUAAACGAACAUUGACAUAUUUUAUUAAUGGUUUCAUCCAAAUUUUGUAAAGUAGGGUUGAUAUUUAAAAUUUUGAAAUAAAAUGAGAUUGGUUUUAGGUUGAUUUAAGAAAAUAAAAGAGAAUCGUUUAUAAUAUAUGAAAAUGAAAAGUGAGAAAAGAGAUGAGGGCAUAUGGUACCCCUAGCACUAUUGGGAGAGGGGUAACCCCUCCUUUUGCUACUAAUUUAAUUGUUUCAUAAACCAAAACGAGAGUAUGUGAAACAAACUCACAUUAUUGAAGUUGGCGUGGGGUUAUACCCCUUGUUAGCCAAUAUACGUAGGGCACCCAAUAAUGCUUCAUCACACUUUAUAUAUAAAUUUAUUCACACAAGGUUCGAGUUUUAGUCUCCUUCCAUCUUAUACUUUUUAUAUAAUAUGUAUGUAAUAAUAUAUAUACUAUGUGCUCGAUGAUACAAUUGUGUCUUUGAACCCUCUUUAGACCUACUUCAAGCCUUACUUCAUUAUUCAUAUAGUUUUUUUUUUCUUCUUAAUUAUAAGUAUUUGUCAACAAAAAUUUUGGAUUCACCACUAUAACUACAUCGAUCUAUAUCUAUAUAUAAAUAUAUUUAAGUUAAAAGACUUACAAACAAAUUUUAAACACGUGGUAAAGAUAAACUACAACCGUAACUUUUAAUCCUAAUGUUAUUAGAUAAACAAAGCACUUUAUAAAGCUUGUAAGGUUCCAUCAUCUUUCCAACUUAUCUAUAACAUGACCUUGUUGUCUUUUUUAUAUUCACUAGUUAUCAUUUUUUUCCGAUCAAAUACCUGUUAAAACGUAUUGUGGAUUUGAAUACCGUGUUAAAUAAACAUAGAUUCUAUGUCAAACACAAUAGACUUAUAUAUACAUACAUAUAUAUAUAUAUAUAGUGAUAUAGGUCGGAAAAGAUAUUGAAAUCUUUAAUUUCCAUCUUUUUAAUGUGGAUGGAUUUAAAAUUCCCUCAUCUAAAGGUUACAUAGGGGGGGAAAAGUGGAUAGAUAAUAAAUAAAAAAUGUAAAGAAGGAGGCAAAAGGUGAAAGGAAAAAAAAGAUAAACCAAACAGCGAGCUAUUUACUAUCAAAAACCUGCCAAAUCCCCAUCACAUUAAUUCCCUUCUCCACACUUUUUUUUUAAUUUGCAUACACAUCCCCUUCCCCCUCUUCCCCCUCUAUAAAUUUCCCUCUUCUUUACUUUCUUCUUUGCCUCUCCCGUUUCCAUCGUCCUGUUGUGUUGUGUUCAUCCAAAAAAUAUAUAUUCAAUUCUUUUUAUCAUCAUUCCACCCUUGUUCGUUAUUCUUUGUGAGAUUUUGGGAGGAAAAGACGACAUCAAUAUAUAAUGUCCAUCAUUUCCCUAAUAACUGGAUGGCCCGGACCCAGCGGCUUCGGCUCAGCCUCCACCGCGGAGGACGUCACCCAAGGGAUCGAUGCCGGCUGCCUUACUGCCAUUGUCACCGGUCACAUCUCUCUCCCUUUUAGAAUUUUAUUUUGUGGGGGAUGGGUAUAUUCUUUUGUUUUGUUUUGUUUAGAACUUAUUUUAAAACAAAAAGGACUUUACUUUUCUUUAUAUAUAUAUAUAUAUAUAUAUAUAUAUAUAUAUAUAUAUAUAAUCUUUCAUCCUAUAUCUAUUAUGGAGUCUUUUAUUUUACAUGUUGAAUUACAAGUUUAGUUCUUGAAAUUUUAAUUUUUGUGGGAAUUAAUUUAGUUUCUUAACUUUUAAUUUUCCUUUGUACAACUCUGAUAGAUCUAUGGCAAUUUCAAAUCCUUCAAUAUUUUACUUUUUCCAAAUUUUAUUUUAAAUAUUUUGUCCUCACGUGGGAUGUGACUAUGACUAUCAAUUUUACUCUGAAGGGGUGCUGUGUAUUAACAUGAAAAUCAGAAUCAUUUGCAUUUUCAAAGUCCUUUUAAGCUAUUAUUCUUUUUAACUUUUGAUCAAAAUUAUAAAAUUAUAUAUAUACAUAUAUAUCAUUGUAGUUUCCAAUUAUGGAAAGAGUUAUUGAAUUGGUGUAGUGUAUCACGAGAUGGGGCAAGGGUUCAUUUGGUUUGAAAGCAUUAAAGUUAGAAGCAGGUAGAGCCAAAUGGAGAAAUAUUCAAACUCAAACAUAUUUAUCACAUACAUACAUGACCUAAAUUUGUUGCAUUUUUUCGAUUUCUUUAACUCCUAACUUUCAUUUCAUCCAAAAUAAAAUGUACAGCGUGGAAUCAAUAAUAUGUCAAGCAUUUUAUGGAUCGGAACAACGACAUUGAUGAUUCCAUUGAUAUAUGAUUUGUAGGAGGAGCAAGCGGAAUUGGGUUAGAAACAGUAAGAGUAUUAGCGAUGCGAAAAGUGCACGUGAUCAUAGGUGCAAGAAAUUUGGAGGCAGCAAAUAAAGCAAAACAACAAUUACUUGAAGAAAAUCCAAAUGCUAAAUUGGAAGUUCUUAAACUCGAUCUUUCAUCCAUCAAGUCCACUACAGAAUUUGCUCAUAAUUUCCUUCAUCUUAAUCUCCCUCUCAACAUUUUAAUGUAAAUUCCUUUCUCUUUCAUCCCUUUUAUUUUCUCGUUACCAUUUUAUUUUAACUAAUUAAAAUUAUAUAAUAUACACGAUCAUAGAUAGACUAUAAUAUAUUUUUCUAUAUUUUAUAGACAUAUCCAUCGAUUAAGGUUAUUGUGUUUCUCAAAAAUACUCCAAUUACUUAGAAGGAUAAUUUGAAAUCAUUUAAAGAAAAGAAAAUUAGUUUUUGUUGUUGAUUGAUAUAAUUAAUUCAGGGUUUUAUAUACUAUAAUAUUUAUGAGAUCCAUAUUAUUUUUUGGAUGGAAUUUCAGAAACAAUGCUGGUGUUAUGUUUUGCCCUUUCCAACUUUCUGAAGAUGGAAUAGAGAUGCAGUUUGCUACCAACCAUCUUGGUAAUUUAUACAUACAUAACUCAUCCAAAUUCCUAUUUUAUUCUUACCAGAUUGGAGUUUUGUUUUAAUUUAGUUAAUAAACUUCAAGAUUUACCCUUUUAAUUUAAAUUAUUUGCUAUCAAAUACUAUUACUCACACUGUGUUUAAUGGGUUUAGAGUUUAAGUGUAAAUAAAACUCAAAUUUCCAAAAACAAAAUUGUAACAUUUUAAACUCAAAAGUUAGAGAAUAAAAUUUUAUUUAUUUUUCACAUAUAUUUGUAUAUGUUAUAUAGAUAUAUAUAAUUAUUCGUAGUUACAUUUUAUUUGUCUAGGUCAUUUUCUGUUAACAAAUCUUCUAAUUGAGAAAAUGAAGAACACUGCAAAAAGCACAGGAAUUGAGGGUAGAAUUGUCAAUUUGUCAUCUAUAGCUCAUGCCCAUACUUAUGGUGGUGGAAUUCGCUUCAAUAAAAUCAAUGAGAAGAAUGGGUAUUCUUUUUUAUUUUUAAAUUUAUUUUGUGUAAUUUAAAAAAAGAAAAACAAAUUGAAGUUAUUAAUUUGUAGGUAUUCUGAUAAAAGAGCAUAUGGGCAAUCAAAAUUAGCCAACAUUUUACAUGUCAAAGAGCUCAAUCGUCGAUUCCAAGUGAUUCUCCUAAUUUCUUCUUCUUCUUCUUAUUAUUAUUAUUAUUAUCUGUGGUUAAUAAAUAAAUAACCCACCAUUAAGAAACUAAAUACCAAAAACAAUUUGUUUUGUUUUGUGUUUUUGGAUGGUUGUAGGAAGAAGGUGUGAACAUAACGGCAAACGCAGUGCAUCCAGGGUUAAUAAUGACGCCUCUUAUGAGGCAUUCUUUGUUUCUUAUGAGUACGACAUGUCGACUCUUUUUUUUUGUUUCCACUAAAACCUCAUGUCGUCACUUACCCACCUUCAUUUUUCUUUGUCUCUCUUCUUCUAGGGCUCUUGCAGGCUUUCACCUUCUUUAUCUGGAAGAAUGUCCCUCAGGUAAAUUCAACAUUGUAACUUGGAGAAUAUUUGAUAAAUGAGCAUUUGUGUUUCUUAGAUGAUAUAUGUGUGUUGUUUUUGUUUUUAGGGGGCAUCCACGACGUGCUAUGUGGCGCUUCACCCGAAUUUGAAGGGAGUGAGUGGGAGGUAUUUUUUGGACAACAAUGAGAAGCGACCGAGCUCAUAUGCUAGAGAUGAAAAACUUGCAAGGAAACUUUGGGACUUCAGCAAGGACUUGAUAAGUUCAAAGUCUAAAGUAUGAAACAGAAGUGGCAUUUAGACCUACACUACUACUACUACUACUACUACUGAAGCCUCAAGUCACAUGCUUGCUUAAUUAAGUUUAUAAAGAAUUAAGAGAAAUUCAAUAAUGUGGUUCUUUAGGAGGGGAAAUAUUAUAAAUAGUAUUCUUUUUUCCAAAAAUGAAAAGGAUGGAAGUGGUGUUAUGGAGGUUUGGAAGCUCCUAGUGUUUGUGUAAUAGUGUUUGUGUGAGAAUUCCAUUCGUAUUGUUUUGCUAAUUAUGAUAUUCGAUCUAUUACCCAAGUAUAUAUGAUUUCUAUUUCCAACCUUUCACGGUUUGUGAAUGGUAUUUCUUUAGAAAUAGAGUGUGUAUUUGAUUUUUAGUAGAUUUGAAAUAGAAGGUUUGAAAUGAGGUGUCAAAUACUUAAAUGUUUUAAAAAAAUAGAACUCAAUGAUAACAGAGAGGAAAUAAUUUUGUUAUAUUUAGAGUUUUUUGGUAUUUUGUUAUAUCGGCUAAUAUUGUAGGCUUGAUUGUUAUAUUUAUCGCUAUCUCAAUUGAAAAAAUGGUAAGAUUGAAAUAUGAUUCACGAUGAAUGAAUGAAUAAAAACUAAAAGUGGCAUUCAAUUUCCCAAUUUGUAUUGAAUAGAUACAUUUUACACAAAGAUUGACUGGCAAAGGAAAUGAACAGUUCAGAAAGAAAACAAUUGGGGAAAGGGCAGAUUUCUUUCGCAGCAAUAAUAACAUGAAUAUAGACAUGCACACAUAUAUGAUAUAUCCAGCGUCUACACAUUAUAAUCUUGAGAAUGAUUUCUCUACCCCAACGGUUAAAGUCAGAAAAGCAACAUAUGAGAGACAGAGAACAGAGAGUAUAAUCACCAGCAUUGUGUGCAAUGAAAUGUAUGGGCUGAAAAAGAAGACGAUCGCAAUAGUCGCACUGUGCCAGACCUUUAGCUGGGCAAACGCUCCUUCCUAUAAACCAAAAGAUAGCACCAAUUUGAAGAAACCCAUUAGUGACUGCCUUUUCGAAGAACCGGAGAUUAUAAUAUGAGAAUAACAACGGCAAUGGAUGUAAUGAGAUUAUAUGAAAUUGUUAAAUAAUGAGGUCGCCAAGUAUGGAUAGAGAAUAGAAAGAUCAAUGAUCAAUUCACCAAUUCACCAAUUCCUAUCUUGAGAAAGCAGUGAAGGAUGAGCGACUACCAUGUCGUGUUUGAAAAGUAUUCCGAGAAGAGCAUUCAGCUGUGGAUACAAAAAUCCAUCACCAAUUCCCAGAAAGGCUGAUAUAAGAAGCACGUAUACGGUGCCAAGUGUUUCACUGGUUUGAAGAGUUGUAACAGGGCAUUGCAAGGUUUAAUUAGUAUACUUGCCCCUCGUGGUAUUCAUUACAAAAUAAUGCCAAAUGUAAAAGGUUUUCCAAUGUUACUAACCUCUGCCCUAGUAGAAGCCAAAUAAAAACAACAGCUUGAAUGACGGCCCCACCAGAUACUAAGAAAGUGAUUGAUGGAAGACCAGAUGUAAGACGGCCAGCAAUCAAUGAGCAAUAGAAAGACCAAAAAAGGAAAAUAAUUAACACUCAAAUCUCACUUUUUUCUAUUAUCACUAGCUCCGAUUAAAGACAAAUACCAUUUUAAUCUACCUCUGCAAGUGCGAGCAUAAUGAAUAUUUCUAAUAGGCAUGGCAUAACAAUGAACACUAUAUUUACAAUUUGUUGGGAAAGUUGAGCAUUAUAUUAGUUCGUGAAUUAGGACUCUCGAGAUAUAUUUUGGUUUGUGAAGGGAGAGUCCAAUGCCUCAAAACACUUAAAAUUUUGUGGUUCAUCUUAAUUCAAUAGGGUUUGGUUUGGUUUAGAGUUCUUAUUGGCUAGUUGAAUGGAAAACCGAGGGAAACAAUAGGAAAUAAGUAGGCAUACUUACAACUGCAUCAGCAGCCCCAUAAACUGCCAUUGCACCACCGACCCCUGACACACCAAGUGAUGGUGUGACAACUUCUUUUGUGAACUUGGCCCUAUGUUUGAAACUCUAUAAUGCUCAGUAAGGAAAAACAUAGGCUACUGCAACAAAAGAGCAUGCAAUACUUCUACUUUAUUCCAGUAAUUACCAUACAAAUGCCGCUUGUAGUCCUGAAUAUGAAAUUAGAGGAAUGGUCAAAAUCAUUCUUAUGUCAGCCAGUGGAGCAACUACUGAUUUUGAUAGAGAAAAUAUAGAAGAACGUAGGCUGGACGAGGACAGUGAUGGUUCUUCUUCUUUACUGUCUUCCUUUCUUAAGAACCCCAUGAGUAAGAUACCUAACGUCACAACGCAAAGGAAGAUAAUGAACAAUACAGUUGUGCCAUUGGUACUUCCACCCUGCAGCAGUUAUGAGGCAAAGAAACAGGAUUCAAUCUAGAGAUGUUAUUAGUGUAGACUAUUGAAAGAAGAAAUGUGGUCAAAGCUGAAACAGAAUUGCAUGACUCGGAAAUUGCCUGCUUCAACAACGUUACGGUUGUUUCCAAUGUGACUGAACAUCCAAACUUUAAAAUGAAACUCUUUAAGAGAGUAAUUAAGUGGAGACUACAUACCGCUUCAUCUUUCAGCACAACGAGGGAGAUAAUAUUUCCAAUGACCUGCAAUAUUUAAAUCACAUAAGAAAGGUAUGAACCUUACUGUUAAGUUUAAGUAUUUGUUUUCCAGAUAACAUUUCUAGAUGAACCAAAGUUUGUAAACUUGAAAUCCAUGAAUUCACCUGGUGACUUGCAAAUACUGCCCAAAAUUCUCCAUUGAAGUUGCCGAUGACAGUUCCUUCAUGUAAGCCAUUCUUUCUUGCAUGAUUACGUGCAGUUGAAGUGAGAUAUGUACCCUGAGCAUUCAUUACAUGGCAAACACCAAGAUGUUUUCACUCUACAGUUAUAGUGAUUAUCCAUUACCAUAUACUCCAAAAAUAUUUACUACAUUUCACCUGCGCAACCCAAAUUAUAGAAGCAGCAAAACCAAGGUAGACAGAAGACGGAACCAUUGUAAACCUGAAAAGAAGUGAUCAGAAAAUCAUCUCCACUUUUGCAAUCACCUAAACAUUGAGUUGCAGUGUAUUGUAAAGUUCAAGACAGUAUAACACUACUGACCUAAUUAAAAAUGACAUAAACAUUCAAUCUGAAGAAUUUUUAAAAAUACUUGUUAAAUCACCCAUUGAUCAAAAGUUUAAAUUGAUGCAUGAAAGUCUAUAUUAAUUGGAGAGGAAAUAACUGUCAGAUAUCAUGUUAAAUUAUUGAUUGAUCCAAAAGCUUAAGUUUAAAUUUACAUAAUCUAUCAGUAACAGUACUCUUUCGAACACUAUUAAACACAGCCAGUGAUUGCUGAAGAACUGGCAUACAGUCUAACUUUUAUUAAUUCGUGUCUGCAAAACGCUUUGAGUAAUUCGCAUUGCCAGAAUCAGCUCGAUUACACUUUGUCUUGUCAAACUCCCUUCAUUGUAUUUUCAAAGCAGACCAUCAAAAUCAGUAAAAAAAAAUACCAAGUCGGCUUCAAAUUUGCAGCUAUGAACAACCAAUAACCAGUAGUCCCAAGAAUCAAAGCGUUCUUAGUCCCCAAUGCUCGAACCACCAAAGCAGCCACCAGAGAGAAAAACGUAAAAGAUAAAUACAAUAUCCCCAGCGAAGUAGUCCCCAAAUCCUCCUCCUGAAUCAAAAUUCCACAGCCCAAAGUCAAACCUAAAGACGAUAAUAUCAAUUAACCACAAAAAAAAAAAAAAAAAAAAAAAACCCAUCAAAUACAGAAUCCAAAUUUUCCUCUAAGAGGCACAAAUUAAGGUUCCUCCUCCAUUUCUUCAACAUCAUCCAGAAACACCUAGAGAAUAGUGAAAAGAACCAAAAACUUACAGUAUUAACAGUACUCUCCAAGUUCUGGGCAGCUCCAUAAGCAAGGAAAAUUAACCAAAAAGCAAAGCUCAAAACAUGAACAUCUCUCGUAUAAUUCACCGGAGCUGAAAUUGGGGCGUUAUUAACUAACAACCGCGCCUCUUCGUCAACAGAAUCCAUGGCGUGUCGGCUUUUCAAGCCGAUUUAGUCGUAGAAACGCUUAAAAAGGCGGAAAGAGAAAAACCCAAAUGGAGUGAAGUCAGAGGUGAAGAAUCGUCGGCUGAAAGUGAAGACAGUCAAAACUCAAAAGGGUUAAUAAUUCGAUUAACUUAAAGGUGGAUCGAGCUCGAAAUUUUGUAUUUGUUUGAUGCGAAAAAGGAAUAAGAGCUGACCAAUUACGAAUUUAUGUACGCCCCAUCUAAGGAAACAUUUUCCACAUUUUCGCAAUCGCUCGUCGCCCCAAGGUGUGGCGUUGGUGUCCUUAUCCAAGUUCUUAACUUAACCAACGGUAUCUGCUUCGAACUCUGUGCGAUUCGGAAUCUUCUCAAAUUAUAACACUUUUUAAGUUCUAUCACUAUACUCUCAGCUUCCAAAAAUAGCUUCUACAUUAAUUGCGUUAUUUUAUUAGUGAAAAAAUGUUUCUUUUUUUUUUCUAAACUUUGGGUGUACGUGAAUUUAAAUGUUAAACUUACAGGUAAAUAUAUUAAUUAAUACCUCUAUCACAUUUCACUUAUGUUAUAUAUUAGUUUAUACCUCCUAUUAAAAUAGGUUUCAUUUGAAAAAACAUUAUGCCAAAAAUAGGAUUAUUUCUAUUAAAUCUAUAAUUUUUCAUGAAUAAAUCAAUCUAAGUUUUUAGAUAAACUUUUUGUUAGAAUUCAUUCAUUUGUUUGAAAAUUAAUCAGUGUCCAAAUUUAUUGGUUGUAUGAGAAUUUAGUUCUGAAAUUAGAAGUUUGCAAAGUUUAAGUGUAGGGGUAUAUUUUAAUAUUUAUCCAAUCUUUUAUUAUAUGGUUCUUUCAUACUAGUCAAUAAAUUGAGGUCAGAAAAAGUAUCCAAACUACUAAAUGCUACAAAAUUUUCUCACCAUGGUACAAAAAUUUGAGUGUUCGAUCUGUUAAAGCUAAAAUAGUGGACAGAUGGUGUUUGCGUGAGUAUUCCAUUCAUAAUGUUUUGCUAAUUAUGAUCUGCAAUCUAUUACCUAAAUAUAUACGGUUUCUAUUUCCAACUUUUCAUGAUAUGAGAAUGGUAUUUCUUUAGAAAUCAAGUGUAUAUAUGAUCCUUAGUAGAUUCGAGCUAGAAUGUUUGAAACAAACCAACAAUCCACAAGUCGAGCUCUUAAGAGAUGUUGAGAACCAAAUAUGAAUUUGGUUAUAUUUACCAUUUGUUUGCAUUUUGUUAUAUCUACUAAUAUUACUUGAUGAUGGUUAUGUUUGCAGCAGUUCCGAUUAAAAAAAUGGUAAGAUUGAAAUAUGGCUCAUGAUGAACAAAAGCUAAAAGUCGCAUUCAAUUUUCCAAUUUGUAUGGAAGAGAUGCAUAUUACACAAAAGAUUGGUUGGCAAAGGAAAUGAACAGUUUAGAAAGAAAUCAAUUGGCGAAAGGGAAGAUUUCUUUCGCAGCAAUAACAUGAAUGUAGAAACACAUAUAUCCGUCUCUACACAUUAUAAUCUUGAGAAUGAUUUCUCUACCCAAACGGUUAAAGUCAGAAAAGCAACAUAUGAGAGGCAAAGAACUGAGAGUAUAAUCACCAGCAUUGUGUGCAUUGAAAUGUAUGGACUGAAAAAGAAGACGAUCGAAAUAGUCGCGCUCUGCCAGACCUUUAAUUGGGCAAACGCUCCUUCCUAUAAACCAAAAGAUAGAACCAAUUACUGACUGCCUUUUUGCAGAACCGAAGAUUACAAUAUGAGAAAAACAAUAGCAAUGGAUGUAAUGAGAUUAUAUGAAAUUGUUAAAUGAUGAGGUCGCCAUGUAUGGAUAGAGGAUAAGAAAGAUCACUGUCAAUUCACCCAAUUCCUAUCUUGAGAAAGCAAUGAAGGAUGAGUAGGUACCGUGUCGUGUUUGAAAAGUAUUCCAAGCAGAGCAUUCAGCUGUGUGUUAAAAACUCCAUCACCAAUUCCCAGAACGGCUGAUAUAAGAAGCAGGUAUACGGUGCCGAGUGUUUCACUGGUUUGAAGAGUUGUAACAGGGCAUUGCAAGGUUUAAUCAGUACACUCGCCCCUCGUGGUAUUCAUUACAAAAUAAUUCUAAAUGUAAAAGGUUUUCCAAUGUUGCUAACCUCUGCCCCAGUAGAAGCCAAAUAAAAACAACAGCUUGAAUGACAGCCCCACCAGAUACUAAGAAAGUGAUUGAUGGAAGACCGGAUGUAAGACGACCAGCAACCAGUGAACACUGGAAAGACCAAAAAAAGAAAAUAAUUAACACUUGGAACUCGCUUUUUUUCUAUUAUCAAUAGCUUUGACUAAAGAUAAAUAGUUGAAAGUAACUUCCCUCUACUAACUUGGAAGAACAGCCACAAAUAAUAUGUGGAGAGUUUAAAGAACUUUCAACAAAUAGACAAAUACCAUCUAAAUCUACCUCUGCAAGUGCGAGCAUAAUGAAUAUUUCUAAUAGGCAUGGCAUAACAAUGAGCACUCUAUAUUUACAAUUAGUUGGGAAAGUUGAGCAUUAUUUUAGUUCAUGAAUUAGGACUCUUGAGAUAUAUUUUGGUUUGUGAAGGGAGAGUCCAAUGCCUCAAAACACUUAAUUUGUGGUUCAUCUUAAUUCAAUAUGGUUUAGUUUGGUUUAGAGUUCUUAUUGGCUAGUUGAAUGGAAAAACGAGGGAAACAAUAGGAAAUAAUUAGGCAUACUUACAACUGCAUCAGCAGCCCCAUAAACUGCCAUUGCACCACCGACCCCUGACACACCAAGUGAUGGUGUGACAACUUGUUUUGUGAACUUGGCCCUGUGUUUAAAACUCUACAAUGCUCAGUAAGGAAAAACACAGGCUACUGCAACAAAGAGCAUGCAAUACUUCUACUUUAUUCCAGUAAUUACCAUACAAAUGCUGCUUGUAGUCCUGAAUAUGCAAUCAGAGGAAUGGUCAAAAUCAUUCUUCUGUCAGCCAAUGGAGCAACUACCGAUUUUGACAGAGACAAUAUCGAAGAAUGUAGGCUGGCCGAUGGCAGCGAUGGUUCUUCUUCUUUACUGUCUUCCUUUCUUAAGAACCACAUAAGUACAAUACCUAACGUCACAACGCAAAGGAAGAUAAUGAACAAUACAGUUGUGCCAUUGGUACUUCCACCCUGCAGCAGUUAUGAGGCAAAGAAACAGGAUUCAAUCUAGAUAUGUUAUUAGUGUAGACUAUUGAAAGAAGAAAUGUGGUCAAAGCUGAAACAGAAUUGCAUGACUCGGCAAUUGCCUACUUCAACAACGUUACGGUUGUUUCCAAUGUGGCUGAACAUGCAAACAUUAAAAUGAAACUCUUUAAGAUAGUAAUUAAGUGGAGACAACAUACUGCUUCGUCUUUCAGCACAACGAGGGAGAUAAUAUUUCCAAUGACCUGCAAUAUUUAAAUCACAUAAGAAAACAGAUAUUCACCAAUUUAAAAAGGUAUAAACCUUACUGUUAAGUUUAAGUAUUUGUUUUCCAGAUAAUAUUUCUAGAUGAACCAAAGUUUAUAAUCUCGAAAUCCAUGAAUUCACCUGGUGACUUGCAAAUACUCCCCAAAAUUCUCCAUUGAAGUUGCCAAUGACAGUUCCUUCAUGUAAGCCAUUCUUUCUUGCAUGAUUACGUGCGGUUGAAGUGAGAUAUGUACCCUGAGAAUUCAUUACAUGGUGAACACCAAAGAUAUUUUCACUCUACAGUUAUAGUGAUUAUCCAUUACCAUAUACUCCAAAAAUAUUUACUACAUUUCACCUGCGCAACCCAUAUUAUAGAAGCAGCAAAACCAAGGUAGAGAGAAGCUGGAACCAUUGUGAACCUGAAAAGAAGUGUUCAGAAAAUCAUCUCAACUUUUGCAGUCACCUAAACAUUGAGUUGCAGUGUAUUGAAAAUUUGGCGUAAAGUUCAAGACAAUAUAACUCUACUGACCUAAUUCAAAAUGAUAUAAACAUUCCAUCUGAAAAUUUUGUAAAAAUACUUGUUAAACCACCAAUUGAUCAAAAGUUUAAAUUGAUGGAAAUAUGUAGAAAACUCAACAAGUGAAGAUCUAUAUUAAUUGGACAGGAAAUAACUGUUCAAACACAGCCAUUGAUUGCUGAAGAACUGGCAUACAAUCUAAUUUUUAUUAAAUCAUGUCUGCAAAACGCUUUGAGUAAUUCACAUUGCCAGUAGUCCAUCAAAAUCAGAGGGGAAAAAAUACCAAGUCGGCUUCAAAUUUGCAGCUGUGAACAACCAAUAACCAGUAGUUCCAAGAAUCAAAGCGUUCUUAGUCCCCAAUGCCCGAACCACCAAAGAAGCCACCAGAGAGAAAAACGUGAAAGAUAGAUACAAUAUCCCCAGCGAAGUAGUCCCCAAAUCCUCCUCCUGAAUCAAAAUUCCACAGCCAAGCAAAAAACAAUCAGCCCAAAAUCAAACCUACGGACGAUAAUAUCAAGUAACCACCAAAAAAACCCAUCAAAUACAGAAUCCAAAAUCUUCCCAUAAGAGGCGCAAAUUAAGAUUUAUCGUCCAUUUCUUCAACAUCAUCCAGAAAUGCCAAAAGAAUAGUGAAAAGAACCAAAAACUUACAGUAUUAACAGUACUCUCCAAGUUCUGGGCAGCUCCAUAAGCAAGGAAAAUUAACAGAAAAGCAAAGCUCAAAACAUGAACAUCUCUCGUAUAAUUCACCGGAGCUGAAAUUGGCGCGUUAUUAACUAGCAACCGCGCCUCUUCGUCAACAGAAUCCAUGGCGUGUCGACGUUUCAAGCCGAUUUAGUCGUAGAAACGUUUAAAAAGGGGGAAAGAGAAAAAAAAACCCAAAUAGAGUGAAGUCAAAGGUGAAGAAUCGCCGGCUGAAAGUGAAGACAAUCAAAAGGGUUAGUAUUUCGAUUAAGUUAAAGUGGAUCGAGCUCAAAAUUUUGUGUUUGUUUGAUGCGAAAAUCGAAUUAGAGCUGGCCAAUAACGAAUUUAUAUAUGCUCAUAUGGGUAAACAUUUUCCCCGUUUUCGCAAUCGCUCGCCGCCCCAAGGUGGGGCGUUGGUGUCCUUAUUCAAGUUCUUAGUUUAACUAACGGUAUCUGCAUCGAACUCUUUCCGAUUUGGAAUCUUCUCAAAUCAUAAUAGUUUUUUUUUUUCUCUCUCUUUAAAGUAUCAAUUUCUUUUUAAAUGCUAACACUGCAUCGAGAAAGUUAUUUUAAUCACAACACGUUCAGCUUCCAAAUUGUAAAAAUAGGUCACCAUAUUUUCUAAAUCGUAAAAAGCGGAGUUCAAAUAUUGUUUCUAAAAAAAUAUUAUUAUCUAAUUCAAAUUUCGUAAUAUUUUAGCACAUUUUAGUUAAUUCUACAUUAACUGUGUUACUUUAGUAGCGGAAAAAUUGAAUUUAUUUUCCUAAAUUUAAAUCUUAAACUUACAGGUAAAUAAAUUAAUUUAUACCUACAUCAUAUUAGGUUCCAUUUCGAAAAACAUUAUACCCAAAAUAAUGAUUAUAUAUAUUAAAUCUUUGAACAUUUAUAAAAAAAUCUAUACUAAAUUUUUAUAUAAAAUUAUCGUUAGAAAUCAUUGAUUUGUUUACUCCAAUCAUUUAUUUCGUUAAUCCGAGUAAGCAAUUUUCUUACUCACGUUUUGAGAAUCGUAGAAGAAAGCUACCCACGUUUGAAAAUCAUUUUAUUCGUUGUAUAGAAUUUUAGUACUCAAAUUAUAAGUUCACGAUAGUAUACUUUGAGUGUUCUCUAUUUAAAUUGACUCUGUUAAAAGCUAAAAUAGUUUCAAACUAAAUAGUUUUCCUCGACAUUUUAUUAUCAUACAAUUAUUUUAGGAUAUCUAAACUAAUAAAUUGAGUUUAGCGCCUACACCUUUUUUUUCCCUCUCUAUUCUCUUGUUUCUGAAAUAUUUUGAUCGUCGGGUGGAGAUGAGAAUUGAUCCAAACCUCUCCUCGACUGAGGAGAAAUAACCGAAAAUAAAAUAUCACAAUCUAUAGAACAUAUUUGAGCAUAUUAAAAUAGUAAAUAGCAAUGAUUAAUUAAAUGUAGUCUAAGGUCCACUUUUCUACCAAUCAAAUAAUACCUUUUUGGCUUCUAAAGAAGACAAAGGAAAAGUACAUCAAUAGUUGUUCACAUACAAAUGUUCACUCCUUUCGUGUAGUAAUCUAUGGAGUAAGCAGAACAGAGCAGAGCUCAAUCUCAUAGCCAUCCUGCUCCAAUAUCUCCCUAAAGUAUAAAAUUAUGUUGUUGUCAAACAACUAAAAGACGUUUUAGCAAAAAAGCCAUUUAGAACAUAAAUCCAAAACACAUUAUAUACCACAAAGACAGGACCAAGACACUCGUUCACCUUGAAAAGAAGACGUGGAAGGAAAUUGGAUACUAUUUUACCAGAAUUGGCUGUGUCAAAUGUUCGAAUAAAAGUAUAAGCGUCAGCCAACUCGGCUUCGAAUGACAUCAAGACCCAUUUCGGUGGGAUCGGUGGCUUGGAGCUCGACCUGAAAGCCAUCCAGCUCUCUCUUGAAUCUAUCUUUGGAGCUUGCGUAUAUCAUCUUGCUUCUGACUCUUGAAGAAUCAGGGGACCUUCAGUUCAUACAAUGGCGUUUUUGUUAAAGUGUGUGAUAGUUGGAAAGACAAACAUGUAAGGAUGUAGUGAAGCGUAAAGGAGAUUGUUAACUAUACCAGGCAAUAAAGAAGAUUCUGCUCUUUUGACAGUUCUCUUCCGUAACGAAGUCGAAAUCAUAGAUAGCAUAACGACAUUCGUCUGAAGGGAGGCUUUUAGCAAAGUCCUCGUAACUUUGCGUUGGCUCACCGACUUUCUCUACUACAACUUGCUUUUGUUUCUCCUCGAUCUUAAACACAAUAAAGCGAUAGGUUCUUUUUGCCUUGAGCUCCAAAAACUUCAGCUUGCAAUCAUCAUGCACUGCUAUUCCCGAUGCUGCAUUGGCCUAUAAAAAUCCAGAAUGAAACUACUUAAAAAAGUUUCAAAGUCCAAAAUGGAUGCAAACAGAACUAGUUGAAAAGGCUGAACAAAAUUGGAAAAUAAAAUGUUAUUGAUUGUAAUAUAUCAUACAGCUAUAAAAUCAAAAGCUGCAAAGCAAAGCAGUAAGUUGAAUGUUGUUUAACCUAACAAUGGAAAUGCAGAAAAUUGGUAACAAUAUAAUCUGUCUGAUUUUAUCAUAUUUAACAAAUUUCCAACAAUCGUUCUAUCUCUCCCUUGGGAGCCUUGACUUAUCCAUCAAUUUGUGGUGAUAUUUAGUCAAAUUUUCCACCUCGUAGCCGCAAUUAAGCUCGAGCUCUGUGCCUUGCUUCAAAGAAGCCUCUCAAGCAAAGGCUCCUAGACGCCUUAGUACUUGUAGUGUGUGCCUCAGCUCCUUGAGUUUGAUUUCCUACUCUCCCUCUCUCUUUUUUUUCUUUCUAAUCUUUAAGAAAAAAAUGCAUAAACAUUCUUACAAUCUCAAAUGAAAUCUCUAUUUUCUUCUUAUUCGUCCUAUUAUUUUUCUACUUGUAUUACAAUUCAAUCUACAAAUGUCUAGCUAUUGUGUUCAUAAAACCUGUAAGUUCUGAAGGCUAUUGCGUUUUAACGCGCCUCGAGCUUUAACAGAACACUGAGCCAAAGUAAGAUUAUCUCCUAACAAGUAUAAACAGUAUGGAUUCUGAUUUUUGAUAGCUGAUAAUGGUUUCCACCAAAAUUUAAAGCAGAAUCACAACUUGACUACACAUGCACGAGAAGGAUUAACAGCAACUCAAAAGGAAGGAAUACACGAAUAUAAGUUAUAUAACUUGUAAUCGAAAUCCUCGACAUAAAUAUUCAAACACAAGUACAAAAACUAAAACGAUGAUCACAAUAGAUCCCACGGCCACCGGAUUACUCGAAGUCGACAAUAAUUUAAAGAAAAUAACGUUUCACUCAAUUAAAGAAAAAAAAAUCACAGUAGAAUAGAAAUCGGAUCUCCUAUGCAGCACAAUGCAUUCACUUCCCACUCGGAAAACUUCAUACGGAUUACUACUUCAAAAUCAUGCACAGAGAUUCAAAUAACCCACAAAUUGCAAGAAAACUCUCGAUCGCGAUUGUAGUGAAAUUCAAAAUGGCGAACUAGAAAUACAACAAUCCUACUUUCUGAAAAACUAACCGAUCAUCAAACCAUGAAUAAAAGCAGAAAUUAAGUAAGUAAGCUUCAGAGAACUCACCAUUUUGAGAGAAGAGAUAAAAAGUUCCAACGAAGAAGAAGAAGAAGAAAUGCAGGUUCAGAAAUGAGGGAAGAAAAUGUAGAGUGGGUUUUAAUUUUUAUAGUGGUUUUUAUUAUUAUUAUUUUGAUUACUUUUUAUUUAUUUAUUAUUACGAUUAUCUGUGAUGGUGCUCGGGAGCAACGGUAUCGUGGCGGUGACUUGUAUCUGACAGUUGGCGGUGGGAUGAUGUCUGACCAACCAAUAUAAGCCACGUAUACUAGGAGCGUGGGGCGGUACCUUUAGCUGCGCCGCACCUUUAUAUAAGCCGGCUCCCUAGUUAACUUUAUCAUCUUCUAUUUCAAAGCUUUUUUUUUCCUUUUCAUAAUUGUUACUCAAAUUUAAUUUGACUUUAAAUAAAAUAUACCUUUUCUUAAUAGUAAAAUAAAAUGAAACUAGUCAUAAAUAAACAAAUAAGUGUGACUUUAAUAAAUAUUGAAACUAUGAAAUAGAGAUAUUUUUAAAUAUGAUAAAUUAAAUUAAAAUAUCGAUCUAGCAAAGUCAUAUUGUGUCUAUUAUUAAUGUAAUUUGAAUUUGUUGUUAUAUUUUAUAAAUAGCUCCCUUUUUGUGUUGUUAAUAAUCAUUUUAGAAAAGGUAAUAGUCAUUUAUAAGAUAUAACAACAAAAAUAAUGUAAUUAUCUUGUUAUAACUUAUAAAUAUUUUUAAAUUUUUGUUAUGUUUAAAAAUGUGAUUGUCAUUUUAAUUUAUAUUAAGUAAUGUAAUUAUUGUUAUCCGCUAAUGAGAAUAAAAAACAAAAAUUAAGAAUACUUAAUAUCCAAUAUAAAAAAAUUAAAAUUUGACGGAAAAAGGGGAAAGUAAAAAUGAAGUGAGAUGAUCGAUAAUUAAAAUAGUAGAUAUGAAAAAUAGGCCUAUUAAAAUAGUUCAUAUAGUUGUUGUAUAAAGCAUAUCUCAGCUUUUAUUUUCUAAGGUUAUCUCAAACUUACUAAUUUGAAUUUGAAUUGAAAUGCAAUAAUGUAAUUGUUUAUAUAACGUUAUAAAAAGUAGUAAGGUGAAAAUCGGCUAAAGCUCGGAGAUAGGCACGGCGAGCAGCUGGGCGGAAUUGGGCUCCGUUUAAAUCAUCGCCGACGUGUUUUGGUUAGUUAGUUGACAAAUAUUUUUAAAAAGAAAUACAAAAUAAAACGAAAAGGAUUUAUUUAAAUUUUGAAAAAUGGAUAAAAUAAUUGCGAUUUCCCUUUCUCGAGAUUCCUUCCACUGCUUUGAUCUAACGCAAUUCUUUUUUCUCCUUUUAUUUUAUUUUCUUUUAUUUUUUUUUCAAAAUUCUAUUUUAUUUAUCGAAACAUAUAUUCAAAUUAUUUUAAAAGAAUACACUUUAAUUCUAAUUAUUGUUUCACAUGAAUCUACAUCUCUCUUUUCUUUCUUUAACUGUAUAAUCUUUAUUUUAUUUUAAAAUGUUUGAGCCUUCAAUUUGACAAAAUUAGGGUGAUGAAUUGAUUUGAAUAAUUUGAUAUAUGUGUUGAAUAGUGGUGCAUUUUGAAGUUGGUUUUAGUUCUUUUUUUACCUAUUACAAAAUCGAUUCGUACGUGUAUAACUGACUAAAUUGUAUAAAAUAUACAUGCAUUUUGUCCUAUGUUUAAAGGAAAAACUAACCAUACGACCUCAACCGUGACUCCCAAAACGGGGAAUGGGACCCUUGCUUCACCCUCCCCAUUGCCAACCCUACCUUCCUCUUAUAUAAAUCAUAAUUAACAAUAAUAAAUGCAAAAAGAGAUCGGGGAUGCGAAUGAUAUUUAUUAAAUAAUCGAUCGCUUUUGUUGAUUUUAAUAGGUCACAUUAUUGUUUUCCCCCUCUUUUUCAGUGGUUGACUUGGUUGGAUAAGUUGACUUUAAAUCAAAAACGUAUACAUAUAAUGUUUUGAAAUAAUUACACGUUUUCGAUUAUAAAUACUUGAUAGAACUAUUCAUUUACUUUUACAAUAGCACGUAUUUUCCAUAAUAAUAAACUAGCAUCUUCCAUUUUUGUUAAUCGAAAACAAAAAACUUACUUAACGGUCAUUUUACUUAUUGCAUGUCAUGCUUUCACAGAUACAGUAACCCUCCGACAUUAGUCUAAAAUUCAUUAAUAUUUGUAACGUGAAUAAAUAAAGUACGAUAAUAUAAAAAUUAUCUUAUUUUUCUUCCAUCCAUUCACAUAAUAAUCGUUGAUCGAGUAAAAUAAUUACUACCAUCAUACUCAUGAAUGUUUGUUUUAUAAGAAUAAUUGUAUUCACACUUCUACCUCACAUUUUAUGCGCAUGCGCUAAAUUAUCCGAACUAAAAACUUUAAACAUUAAGAUAUAUAAGUAUUCAAUUCUCUGAGUUAUAUUAUGAUUUUGAAAUAGAAAAUUUAUUAACGAAAAAAAAGAUAUUGAAUAGUGUAUUGAAAUUUGUUUAAAAAAUUAAUGUGAUGACUAUUCAAAAUUAGAAGACAUACAUUAUUGUUAAAUGACACCAUUAGGGAUAUUUCACAUUUAUAUAUAAAGUGAAUGCUUAUAGUGAUUUUAUUUUAUUAUUACCAUCGUAAAUAAGUAUCAUUUUCUAAUUUACACAUUAGAUUACUUUUCACCAUUCGGGGAGAUAUUUAUUUUGAAACAUUAUAUUUUAUAAACAUAUUAUUUAAAUUACAAUAGUUAGAAAAAUUAAACUUCUUAAGGUUUAAGAAGGUUUAAGGCCCAAUUAAAAUCUAAAUUGGUAUGAAACUUUAGAAAAUACGUCUUCUACAAUUUACCCAAACAUGUUUUAAUGGUAAUUAAUCUUAUAGAAUAAAUUCACAACUAUAUACAUUAUAUAUAUAAUAUAUGGUUAAUCGUAUAGGUUUAGUAAUUAAUCUUUGACAACCAUAUACGUCUUUAAAAAUUGUAUAAAAAAUGUUGUGGAAUCAGAUUCGAACACUUCCUCACGAUCGCUUUUCUUUGAGACUGAAAUGGGUUUGAUGAAAUUAUAAUUUCACCUUAAAAAAUGAAAACAAUUUUAAAAAAAAAAUAAUUAAGGGAACGCAUGAACUGAAGAAAAAUAGUCAGAAAAUGAAAAAAGAAACUGAGAUAUUAUUUUUCUUCUUCUUCUUCUUCUUUUUUUAAAUUCACAAAGGAAAGCUGAGAUUUAGCAGCAAAUUAAAAAAAGGAACGAAACGACAGAUCGAAAACGAAAACCUGAUUCCACAUAAUCUCCAUAAUGCAAUCGAACGAAACGACAUCGUCGAGUCUCUGGUGCCGCUAGCUCGCCGGAUUCGGAGCAUCAUUAUUGGCCACCGCCGGCGGAGCAGGAGGCCUUGCGGCUACCGGAUCAGCGCUGCGGCUCUGCUGCGUUGGUCGAGUAAGAAGAGUACUCGAGUGCGGACCACCAGAUUCGACCGUCGAUCCCGGUCCAACUGGCGGUGGGGGGUCGGAGAGGUAAUCGGCGGGCAUGAAAACGCCCUGCGAAGGCCUCCUCUGGUGCCUGCUGGGUCGCUGCGACAUUUUACGGUGAGAUUUGGGAAUGGAGAAGAACAAAGGGGCGGAAACAGAGAGAGAAAUAGUGAGAGUUCGCCGGCGUAACGGUAGAGUUGACUGCUUUUUCUUUUCUUUUCUUUUCUCUUUUUCUAUACGUUUUAGUUUGGUUUGUUUGAUGACUUCUCGAUCUAAGCGAGUCAAACUUAUAAUGCCAUCCUACAAUUUCCAACCUCUUCAUUUUUUACCCCUCACUGUUUCAUCCAUUGAUUUACUUCGACUUUAGUUCAAUUCGCAUCAAAAUGUAUUAAAAAAAUAUUUAACUAUAAUAUAAAAUCGUCUUAGAUUAAUAUUAUUAUAUAAUAUAUAGUAUUUUGAAUUUUGCCUCCUUAAGUCUAUUACUUCAUUUAUUAUUUAAUUUUUGUUUCAAUUUUAUCUUUAUACUUUUCGAAUUUAAACUUUUUUAAUUUUAAUUGAUCACUCUUUCUAUUAAAAAAAACAUAAUUAACCAGUUACAACUAAAUCAUAAUUUGAUAAUUAAUAGACUUUAAAACUACUAACAAAUUGGUCGGUCUCUUUUUUAUAAAUGAAACUUACAAACUCUCUAAGUAUAUAUGUCAUGUCAAUAAUUUAAACUUAUUUUUAGUUAUUAUUUAUUUAUUUAUCUAAAGUUAAUGGUAAAAAUGUUAGGUGAGUAAGUUUAUUAAAGAAAAACGGUAAUUAAAAGUUUGUUUUAAUUAAAGAUGGAAGGUUAUUUAAGAGAUAAGUAUUGGAGGUCCGAGAUUUAUGGAAAUAAUUGGGGUAGGAAAUUGAAGUGGGAAACUUCCUAACUGCCCCUACGAUUCAUGCACCAAAGAGUGUCAUUGUACCCAUCCAAUUUAACGGAACGGAACGGGCACUUACAUGUGUUUUAGAUAAGAUUUUAAAUUCCCAUCUAUUGUCCAAAUUAACCCUUCAUUUUUAUUUUUAUUUUUAUUUUGUUGGGUUAGGUAAGUAUAAUCAAAUAUUAAAUUCAUAAAUACAAAUAGAUUUCAAGGGUGCAUUCAUAUCUACCGACGAUAAAAUAUAAGUUUACUGGACUUCAAAAUGUUGGUUUUAUACUCUUUUAAAAAGUUAACAUUUAAUUGGUAGCUUUAUUUGCUGAAUGACGAAAAUUUAGUUUAAAAUGUCAAUAUUGAAUUUUAAAAUUACUUUUAAUUAAAAAUGAAUAAUGUAUUUAAAUUAAUACACAAAAUGUUUACAUAGGUAGAUAGGUUUAAUGUAUUUAUUGUAGUUAUGGUUUGUAUAUUUUUUUAUUAAUGGGAUUAUGAAAUUCUCACUGUGUCAACAUUAAGUUUAUAAAAAUGUCUAAAUAUUUCAAAAUUAAUAUGUUGACAAAUUUAAGAGAGAUGUGAAGACAUAAAUCAACACGACCUACUAACCAUUCAAUGAAAUAGGUUAAUUUGGUUGAAUUGAAUCGCGUGAUAUAGGGUCCUACUUAAUUCACCCUAUUAUUUGGCUCGAAAAGAAACCAGAUUGAAGUCAAAUUGAUUGGACUCAAGCAUCGUCAUGAAAGGUUCAUAAUUUUAAUUACACGAAUGCUCAUUUAAUUCCCACGUUCACGAAAUUUAGAACUCACUAUCAAGUAAAUACUUAAUAGUUUAUAUAUCUAUGGAAUGGACCAAACCUAAACAUGUACCAUAUUUAUUGUUUUUUUAUAUAUCUAAGAAAAUCAAAUCUACCUUUUAAGUAGGUUUUAAUGUUCACAAUUUUUAGUUUAACUUGUUUAACCAAACACUAAAUAAUAUAUGUAUCUUAUCAAUAGUUUGAUUAAAAUAAAGCAACAACAAUACAAUAAAAAUACAAAAUUUAAUAAUAUUUUUUAAAGGAAAACCCUAAAAUGCAAUAUAUUUUUGUAGGGAUAUUUGAUUGAAUACCAACUUCAAUUGCAUCUAAUAGGAUGUCAAAACAAAAUAAUAAUAAUAAUAAGAUUUAUAGCCAACACGUGUUGAACGAGUUUUUUUAAUAUGACAUUGCCCUAAGUUAAAAAAAAAAAAAGUCAGAGUAAGAUUUUAUCGUUUCAUAGUUGGAUGUUUAAAUCGCACGGUUUUCUUAAUCUAAUGUAAAUUUUAAAAUUAAAAUUCAACUGAUAAAAUAAACUUAUUAUCCACCUUGGUGUAAUUAAAUAUCUAUAAAUAUUGUUAGAUUUAAAAUUUAAAAUUCAAAUGAUUUUCUACCUUUUAUAAUUUAAGGUUUGAAUUCAUAUCUUUUCACUUUUCGGUAUAAAUCAAUUGAGUUCAAAACUGGAAUGCAGUUGAAGAUGAUUGUGUCCGUGAAAUGUGAAUAUCUAAUUAAAAGGUACGUGAAAAACUCUUACCAGAACAGUUAUCUUUUUUUGUAAAAGACAUAUAAAUAAAUUCGUUAGUAUUAACUUUUGGUAUAACUAGAGUUUUAACUAAGGGACAUAGGGAAUUAUAUAAAUACCUUAUAUCAGUUUGAUAUUUCAUACACAUCAAAACUAAAAAGAAAUAAUACAUUGUUCCCAAAGCACGGUGGAUGUAGGCAUUUGCCGAACCACUUUAACGCCGUGCGUAAAUCUUCUUCUUAUUUUUCUCUUCAUCUCACCAUCAUCCAAAGUAAAAACCAAAGAAGAAAACCAUACAUUACAGUAAAGAAAGAAAAAAGAAAAGUGUUGAGAGCUCAUUCAAUAUUAUGUAUACACGCAAGUGAAAGGAAAGGGAAAAAGUAAAACACAAAUAAGUGAGAGAGAACUCACCUCUACGUACAAUUAGGUGGCUUAUCUGUAUCCAUAAAAGUGUCAAUCCUUCAAAGUAGAUGUAAUUUUCUUUUAGUGUGCAACGAUUUUAACGUAGAUAAGUGUGAGUUUGUAAUAUUUAUUUUGCUACUUAUAUUGUAAACCAAAUGUUUUAAUAUCUAUGGUUUAAUCUAGUGACACAUCCAGAUUGUAGAUCCAAUCAAAACUGGACCCAAAAAGUUGAUUAAGAAAAAACCAAGCUCAAGAGUAAGGAUAUGGGCUUGAUUACUAAAGGUUAGGUUGGUUGGCCCGAAAGCAUCUGGGUUUGAGUGAUAUCCCACUUUCUAGACUCAAAUUCCUCCAACCAUAAGGCACCAUUUGUACAUAAAAAAACAAAAUUCAAACAUACUAUAAUUGACACGACCCCUAACACAAUAACUUAGAAACUUUGUUACACUCUAAAUUUUAUAUUUUCAAAUGUUGAAAUUUAUUCAUUAAAUUUCAAAUAAAUCUUAAUGGUAAUAUUUAUUACAAACUUGUUGUUGGGCUUUUCAAGUAUUUUAUUAAUAUUUUUAUUACAAAGUUCGAAAAUAUAUUACCAAAUUGUAUUUUUUUUCUCAUAAGAACAAUGGUUAUUAUUUAAGUAAAUUCCAUAAAAAUCAAUCUUAAUUACUAAGUUUGAGUUUUAUUAAAAAAAUAGAAAAAAACAAAAUCCAACGUAGAUUAUUACACGAGUGGUCCUCAUCCUGUAGUUGCGACACAUCAUCAGAAAAGCAAUCCACCUAAGCACAACAGCUGGCCAGUAACAAGACGUGGUGGUUCCUCAUUGGAUAGUAAAAGUAGACCCCAUUGAGAUUUCAAACUGUCGUCUCGUUUCCUUUAAAGAUUGUGAACCAUGACGAACUUUACUAUUUUUGUUGUUGCUUUUCUUUUUCCUUUUUUAAAUAAAUAAAUAUACAAAAUGUUAAUUUUUAAUUUAAUAAUAAUAAUAAUAAUAUUAUUAUUAUUAUUAUUAUCUCUCUCAUUGGAGCUUUGUUUCUCUUUCCAUCUCUAUCUCUUGGAAGCUAAAUAUUGACCGCGAACCCAAAGCUUCUUUUCCAUUUCGGUUUUUUGCCGCUCUGUUUUUUCUCUUUCAGGUUUUCCCGGACAAAACCCUAGCCCUAACUAAUCCGCCUCUCGUCGUAUUCCGAUCUGAUUCUACUUUCCACACGCCUGAAAUCUGUUUCCGACCGGUUAGAUCUCAGAUCCGCUGUUCUUAAGAAUUUAAUUGGUGACUAUCUUGCUCGUGGUUUGGAUUUCAUCACUCAUUUCCUUUGAUUCUUGACUUGUUCUCAUCGGAUUUUUCAUUUUUAGGUUUCGAGAAAGGUGUUGAGGUUAGAUUUCUUAAUUUUUACGCGUUAAACUCUCUGUUUUUUAUGAUGAUAACCGCUGGCGGUUAGUCAGAAUUAAUGUUUUUCUGAUGCUUUUAUUUGUUUUUUGUUUUCUUUUUUUUCAUUUUGAUGAAUUUAGGUUUUUUUUAAGUUUAGCAUUUGAAUUUGCAGGCUUCAAGGAAUUUUAUUCAGUUUUUCUUUUACAGGAUUUUGGAUUUUCAUUUCCACUCUGUUUGGGCUUUUUGGAUGCUGUCGAUUGGGUUUGCGGGAUUGUUAGCUACUGGCUUUGCAGAUUUGGAGGAAUAUAUAUUGGAUGGGAGAAGAAGCAGCUGGUUUGGCUGCAGUGACAAAUGAGACGCUGGGGAAAGAGAACGCUUCGAGUACUGAAUUGAAGCGAGACCAUCAGUGUCUUGAUGAAGAUACGGAACCUGAGUCUUUGCAUAACAAGAAGCAAGCUAAGGAAGUGUCGAAUGAAGACGUUCGCUCAGAAGUAUCGAAUCCUGUAGUUUCUCCGAAAGAGAAUCAUUUCCAUGAUAUUACUAGCCAGCCUGAGGAGGUAGAAAACACUACCCAAGUUGAGCGUGGGGAGCUUACAUCGGCUUGUUCGGGGAAUUCAAGCUCGGAGGAUAUCUCGAGCGGUGGAGUUCGUUGCCAGAAUGACAUGUCUCAAAACGACGUUGAUAUGUGUGAUGUCAAUGAGGUUUCUCGGGUUGUGAUUGAAAUUCCCAAGCAUGCUAGUUCAACUGGAAUUAGGAAAAUUACGUUCAAGUUCAGCAAAAAAAAGGGUAACAAUGGCGCAUCCGUUUCAGCAGACAAAGUCCAUUCUUAUGGAAACUCUGACAGGGACGGUAAACCAGAACCUUCAUUGUUGGAUGAUGCUUGUACGGAAACGUCUGCACAUAGCUGUGAAGGUUCUGCUGAGAGCAGCAGGUAUUCUUUAGGCCCAAAUAAAAUGGAAUUGAAAAUGUCGAAGAAGGUUUUACCCAACAAUUAUCCGUCGAAUGUUAAAAAGCUGCUGUCGACUGGUAUACUUGACGGAGCUAGAGUCAAAUAUGUAUCUACGACAAGCGAGGUAUUUCUUGUUUUUCAUACUUCUUGAUAAUUCCCAGCGCCAUUUUCUUCAUGUUCUGAUUAUUUUAUUUUGUUUUAUUUUUAUUGUACUGUUUCUGUUAGAUGAAGCUACAAGGUAUUAUAAAUGGCGGAGGUUACAUGUGCGGAUGUUCAACGUGCAAUUUUACAGCUGUAAGAUAUAAGCAAUUCUUUUACAUGAUUUCCGGACUCCCUUAAGGUGACCUAACGAUGAUUUUGAACAGAUCCUUAGUGCUUAUGAGUUCGAGCAGCAUGCUGGUUUCAAGACUAGACAUCCAAAUAAUCAUAUAUACUUGGAAAAUGGAAGGCCAAUUUAUAGUGUCAUACAGGAAAUUAAGAGUGCACCUCUUAGCAUAUUAGAUGAAGUGAUUAUGGAAGUAGCGGGUUCGUCUGUUAACAUGAAUUCAUUUGAGGCUUGGAAAGGUAUGGAUAUUUCUGAUUUCUUUUUAAUAAACAUCAUCUAUCUCCUUUCUGGAAAAUUAUUGGGGUGCUUGGGGUUGGUUUGCUUUUAUGUAUACAAUAAAAGAUUAGUAAAAAAAAAUAUUUAAAUGUGAGAUCAAGUUCUGGAUAAGUAAUGAAUUCCUUCCUCUGGAAAUGUAGGAGUUGGACUCUCUUCUUUAAUUGACAAUUUUAUGUUCUGCAGCAAGUUUCCACCAGGACAGUGCAAAUAUUGUAGUGGAAAAUCAUGAUGUGAAGCUUCCUAAACUGUCACAUCCCGUUGAGAGGUAUAUUGUAAUAAUCUGAUAAUCCCUUUCUCUGGCUGUUGAAUUAUAUAAGGAUUUGUUGUAUUGAAAAGGGUAGUUCAUUCUUUGUUAUUUUUUUUCCCUAGCUGGAUUAUGUCCAUCCCCUUCACACUCUUGCAGCAAACGCUGCUCUUUCUGUGUAUGUGUGUAUAUAUAUUCUCAGUUGGCAGUGAAAUAAAACUUGUAUGUUGUUGUGCCUCAAAGACUUAAAGUUGACUAAGAGUUAAUUUUGGUCUGAUUCUAGGGCUUGAGGGCAAGGAAUAUUUUAAGAUAAGAAACUCCCUAAAUUUUUGGUUAGCCACCUUACUGAUCAUACACAAUUAGAUUCUCUUGAAUGGAUUAGACAUUUUUUGUGUGUGUUUUGGAGAUGAAGGAAGAUCUGUGAACCUUUUGCUGUCAACAACUUAAAAUACUUUUUAUUAGCGAAUUAACAUUUUGCUCCUUGUCAUUGCACGAGAAACAUGAAGCUAUGAACUAGGGUUGUUUUGGGACUUUUAACUUUUCUCAUAAUUAUUAAAAUUUUGAAAAUGCCUUUUCUUUGUGAGAUUUCUAUACUUUUUAUUUACUCGAUAAAUAAUAGUCUCUGGAAGACUUUUUUGCUUUGGUCAUAACAAUACUUUUUGUUUUAUGCAGACCAAACCCUAAUUUUUCCAAUGCCGUCUUGCAACACAAGAAAACGGCAGAAAAAGGCACAAAAAGAAGGUAUUUUUCUCUAAUUGGAUAUAGCAAGUCCAUUUUCUAUUUACUCUUUCCAAAAGAAGUUUCUAGCAUUCCCUGUCACUGAUAAUUUUCCACUAUAUUUGCAGGGAUAAUGAUCUUCACAGAUUACUUUUCAUGCCAAAUGGCCUUCCAGAUGGGGCUGAGCUAGCAUACUUUGUGAAAGGACAGGUAAUUAAAAUAUUAGCUGAUGUAUGUAUGUGAUGAACGAGUUUGUUGAUUGAUCUGAUAUUUCUUUCUUUCUGUUUUCCCUACUUCCCAUAGAGAAUACUCGGAGGCUUCAAGCAAGGAAAUGGUAUUCUCUGUAGUCACUGUAAUCGAGAGGUUAGUUGCUGCGAAGUCCCAACCUUUGUACUGUAUUGAUUUAUUUUUUUGUCUAUAUUUAUCUAUUUCUAAACUAUUUCACAAAUUUGAAACAGAUUAGCCCCUCCCAGUUUGAAGCCCAUGCAGGGAUGGCUGCCAGACGUCAACCGUGAGUAUGAUGUUACGUUUUAUGUUAUCUUGAAAUGCUACUAGAUUGUCAUACUAAAAAUAAAAAUUUCUAUGUAAUGCAGGUACCGCCACAUUUAUACUACAAAUGGACUUACACUUCACGAUAUUGCAAUUUCCUUGGCUAGUGGGCAAAAACUUACCACAGGAGACAGUGAUGAUAUGUGUGCUGCAUGUGGUAAUGGAGGGGAUUUGAUUUUCUGUGAUCGCUGCCCUCGAGCUUACCAUACAGGUGAAUUUGUCUUUUUCCGUUUUUUAUAUCAUUCCUGUCUUAGAAUAAGGUUUCACCAGGUUGAUUAUUUUUAGUUUUAUGUUCAAAACUGCAUCCAAAAUUAUGUAAUAGGGCUGGAGUACGGAUUUCAGUCUAUCUCCACACAUGGGCUUAGCAUAAUCAUUUUUACCCCACUCUGGCCAGUAGUUGUGUUAUUUUCAUUCACUUGCCUUUUGCUAAGUUCUUUGAACUAUAUCCUGCUUAUUUUACAGGCUGCCUGCAUCUACAGAAUGUUCCUGAAGGAGUUUGGUCUUGCCCAAACUGUAGAGAUAAAGUAGGUUCCAAUUCGAAGGCUAUUUCUGGAGGUUCUUUGAGUUUUUCAAAGCCAAUUGUUUUUAGGUUGACACGAGUUGUUAAAGCACCAGAGUAUGAAAUUGGUGGUUGUGUUGUUUGCAGGUAGUUACCUUUUUUCUCCCGCUCUUCUCUGACAGCCUUCACGUUCAUUCUUUGGGCUCCCUUUCUUUUUAUAUUUUAUUUAGCUGAAACUUUCGAUCCAAUAGUUGCAUUUUUUUUAAAAAAAAGUUAUUUUGUUUGUUUGUUUGUUUUUAUUUAUUUCAUUGGUUUAAAAAUUAAGGCAAUAUUUACUAAUUAUGCUUCUUAUGAAUUUUUUUUCUUUUCUUUUUUAAAUAGAUAACUGCUUCUUAUAGAGUAGUAAAAAACCAUAAAUCGAGUGUAGUUGACUUUCUAGGUGUGUCCUUUGUUCAUUAGUCUGGAUGACCGGGGGUAUCAAUAAACUGGUGGGCCAGCAUAAUGUUGAUUUACUGUUUCAUCAUAAAACUGAAGCUUUCUUUACUCUUUACAUUGUUUCUUAUAAAUUUUUAAGGAAGGAAAUUUCAUAUCCCCUUAUUUCUUAGGUAUAAUUUACAUGACUAAAAACUCUAACACAACUUCUCCUAAUCUUGUAGGCGACAUGAUUUCAGUGCUGCUAAGUUUGAUGAUCGAACUGUACUGCUCUGCGAUCAAGUAUGAACAUUAUUUCAUAUUUUACUUUCGAAUGGUUUAUAAUGUGCUCUGUUUAAUUUGAUGUCUAAUUUUCUCUUUUCCAGUGUGAGAGAGAAUUCCAUGUAGGUUGUCUGCGGGAUAGUGGAUUAUGUGAUCUGAAGGUAUGUUUAAGAUUGAUUUCAUUGCUUUUAAUCUUAAAUGAUACUAUGAAGUUACUUAGGGGACCCUGAUCUUCCUGUAGGAACUCCCCAAGGAUAAGUGGUUCUGCUGUGACGAGUGCAGUAACAUCCAUGUGGCCCUUCAGAAUACAGUUUUGAAUGGGGCACAAAUCAUUCCAGAUUCAUUAUCAGAUUUGAUAAUCAGAAAGCAUGUUGGAAAAGGAUUAUUAGUUGAUGAAGCUCUUAAUGAUGUUCGGUGGCAAAUUUUAAGUGGAAAAAGUCGCUUUCCAGAAGACCUUCCAUUUCUUUCAAGGGCAACUGCUAUUUUUCGAGUAUGUUUCUCCAUAUUAGUCCAAUACUCUUCUUUUUAACUUUCUAUUGAAAUUUCAAAUCCACAACUUUGCAAGUUUAGAAUUUUUAUUCCGUUCCUGUUACAAUCCAAACAUAUGUAACACACAAAUCUGAGCUUCACGAACCUAAGUUUUCUUUUUUUAAGUCUAUGAAUCAAAUUCCCUUGAAUAAUUUUUACAUUUUGAGCUAAUUCUUUCGAGUUUGAUUGACAUUAUUAAUUUUAAAGUUCUAAUCACAACUCUUAUUCCUUUAACAGGAAUGUUUUGAUCCUAUUGUUGCAAAAUCAGGUCGUGAUCUGAUACCUGUUAUGGUUUAUGGGUAAGAUAAAUGUUAUUCCUUAUGCUUAUCCCCGUUUUGUUGGCAAGAUAAAUAUUUGGAGUCAUAUCUCUACUUUUCCUUUUAAAUUUUACGGAGUUUAGUUUUUUCUUUCUUUCAAUUGAUAAAUUAUGGAGGAACUGGUCAAGUCACCGUGGCCAUGUUCCCCAUGGCACAGCAGUAUUGUUCCUUCAAUUGACUCUAGGGUCCUGUUGAAUUCAUUCCCCAUUUCUCAUUAACUGGAUUGUCGAUUGUCUGUUUGUGUAUUUAUACAGUUAGAUAUUUCAUGCUUGAUUUUUAUAACUUUCUGCAGGAGAAAUAUAUCUGGACAAGAGUUCGGAGGAAUGUAUUGUGUUGUUUUAAUUGUGAGGUAUGACUUACAUUUUUUUAAAAAGUUAUCAUUAUUAUUUUAACCCUAUGCUGAUUCUGUCACUUUCUUUUCUUAGGUCAAUAGUUGUAUCGGCUGGUCUUCUUAGGAUCUUUGGUCGUGAAGUUGCUGAACUUCCUAUUGUUGCCACAAGUAGAGAACAUCAGGGCAAGGUAGGCGCUUAAGGUUCUUUUUAAGAAGGCUAUAGGUUUUCAUAUCUUCUACUUUCUUUCGCCCUAGUUGAAUCUUUUUCUUUUUCUUAUGGCUGGCUUUUUAUGUGCAGGGUUACUUCCAAGUAUUGUUUUCCUGUAUAGAGCGGCUACUUUCUUCCCUAAAUGUGCAAAACCUUGUUCUCCCUGCAGCCGAGGAUGCCGAAUCAAUUUGGACCAAGAAAUUGGGCUUCAGAAAGAUGAGCGAAGAACAGGUAAGUGAUAUUCCAUAAUGCCAUGGUUGCCUUUUAUAUUGGUGUACAACAAAAAAGUUGGUCACUCCAAUCAAUUAGCUUCCUUUAAAUCGUUUCUCAUCUUGUUGUCUGUGAUUGGGCAGUUGAUUAAGUAUAUGAGGGAGGUCCAGCUGACUAUCUUCAAUGGAACAUCAAUGCUAGAGAAGGUGGUGGAGCAAUCAACGUUAUAACGCAUCAUGAUUGAUGCGCAAGUCUCUAUAUGAAACAAGUCCAAGUUAGAUUCUUGUUGAAAGGAAGGAAGGAAGGAAAGGUUUUAGGUGAAAGUUGGAAUCACAUAUAUAUAUCUAUAUAUAUUUUUAAUUUCAUUCUUUUCCCCCUUUUAAUAUCCUCCAUAGAAAAUAGUUGUGAUGUAUAAUUGCUGCGAGUUCUGGUUUCUGACUGGCAGCCAGAGGAAACAAUCUCAUCUCCUGGGAAGGUUGUUCUGUUUGUACAAACUAGAAAUUAGAUAGUCAACUAAUUGGAGGGGUGCGAGUGAAAAAGGAAAAAGAAAAAAGAAAAAAAACAGUGCAUGCUGACCUUUUAUUAUGCAUGCUGGAGAAAUCUCACUUUGUUUUUGACUUUGAUUGAUAAUAUUUGAUGUAGUUGUUCCAAAAGUGUAAAAAAGAAGAAUAAUAGAAAGAAAGCCUAAAAAUGUGCCAGAUUCAGUUUGUGUUGCUGUUGCAGACAUAGGCCCCAACCUUGGGAAGAAGGGAAGGCUGUGUUUUCCUUUACUCUUGCUUGUUGCCACUUUCAACUUUCAACUUCCAACUUCCAACAAUCUCUCCAUCUCUCUAUCUGUAUGCAUCCUUCUAAUCUCUAUCCUCUUUUUUCUUUUUCCAAAAUUUUCACAACUACUGAUCAUCUUUCUGUAUAUAUUUGCCUUCAUAAAUUUUGAUCUCAUGUGAUUUUUUUUUUUGCAUCUAUGUCUAUUCUAUUAGUUUUUAUUGUUCUUUCUUUCAUUUGCUCAAGCCUGAGUAGUUAAAAUUCUACACAUGGAGUCAUCAGUAGGAUAUUGUAUCUGUUGUUUUCAGUUGAACAACAUACAAGUGAUGACUUCUUUUCCCAUCUUUUUAUUGUAUGGAGUGAGGGAGUUUUCAUUUUGGAUGGAAGGGUUUGAUGAACUAUUGAUUAAGUAGUGAGUAUUUUUAUCACAUUGUGACCUUUUAAAAGAGAUUAAUGAGAUAUUACUAAUAUGGAUUGGAUCAACACGAUAGAUAUUAUUGAUAUGGAGCAUGAUAAGAGAAAUCACGAGUAGUGAUUGAUUAAAGAAAUUUUUUAGUAGAUUUGAAGGGAGAAGAUUACAAGUGCAGUCAACAAAGAAGAUAAAUAUGCUUUUAAGAGCUUUGGAUGGAAUGGACCUUUCAUCUAGAGCACUGGCCUCAUCCAAGUCUGACGGAGCCGCCAUCCAUAUGGAAUUGAUGUUUAAUAGAAAACGUAACAACUUCAUGUCAAUGAUCUUGAUUUACAUAUCUCCGUUUAAAAUCGAGUUCACCUAGAAAGAGGGUUGAGGAACAAUGAUGGAUAUCCUCAAGGAUCAAAUUCCGAUAAAAGAGCUAACAGAAAGUUAGAUCAACAAUGUUAGAAAGAGUCAUUGAUGACCAAUGAGUCAACCAAAUUGUGUAAGAGUUUUGAGGCUUAAAAUACUAAUGAUUGCAUGUCAUAUUGCUUAAUCAAUUUAAAGAUGAAGUUUGCUUUCCAUUUGAUCUAAAUAGUUACUUAUUUAUUUACAUUCAUUUUUAUGGAUAUGUAUAUAACACACCUGUAUACAUCCACGAAAAUCAUGAAUAGAUUUGUUGAUAAAAGGGUUGAAGGGAUUAAUAAAAAAAAAACUCCCUUAGAUUUGUAAACUUGCACUCCCUCGUAAAUCUGCAGGUUUCUAAUAUAUUCCAAAAUAAAAUCAUAAGAACUCGUUUUUGGAUAUUGGAUAUUUUUACUGAAGUAAAUAUUUUCUACCAUAAUGAGCUAAUUAAAUAGAUCAAAUUACGAGAAUGUUUUAAAUUCAACACUUUUUUUUAUAUGAAUAGGGCGUAAAAAUCGAGUUCAAAGGCUCAUAAUAUCCUCAUUAAUUAAUAGUUUUUUGUAUUGAAAAUAUAUACAUGUAUAUUUAAUUAUUUCACACACAUAUAUAUAUAUCCUACAUUAUAUAAUAUAAUAAUAUUUAAUUAUUUCACACACAUAUAUAUAUAUCCUACAUUAUAUAAUAUAAUAUUACCGCAUGAUAAAUUAGAGCAUAAAAUAAGAUAUAAGAGGUCAAAUUGUACAUAUAAUCCGUCAACUUGGUGUGUAGUGUAACAGAACCAAAGUAGUGAAGUUGAAGUUUGAAUUGAUAGCCGUGGAUGGUAUCGAACUCAAGGUUUAAAUUGGAGUUAUAAAGUUCGAUUAGGGUUGGAGGCAUUAGUCGGUUGACAUGUUGUCAAUGGUUGAAGACUUGUGAAGUAUGAGUGUGAUGAUGUUGUGUGUUCUUUAAGUCGAAAGUGACAAUGAAUGUAAAUGAAAUGAGAGAUGAAAACUAACCAAAAUCGAAUGAACAAUGACACCGUGCAAUAAAACCAAAAUGGUUAAACCUAAUAUUAUGCGAAGAUCUUUUUUAAGAUAUAUUGAAUCUUACAUUAACAAACAUUUAAACAAAAUUAAAUGAAAAUACAAACAUUACUUGCAAUAUAUAUUCUAUUUAAUGAAUCCAUUUCAAUAAUAAAAAACAUUAUAAUUUAACCAAGAAUAUACAAUAGGAUUGUCUUCAUAAUAUCAAAAUCUUUAACUAUACAUAUUUUCCAAUUAAGCUAAAACCAUGUCUUACACAAUAUUGUGUUUGAAUUUUAGCUAGGUUUUAAAGUUUUCAAAUCUUCAAUAUUCUAUUUUAUUUUUCAUUCAAGAUUCUUAAAAGAUAAUAGUCUUUAGAAAAAUAAAAUGUUGAAGAAAAAGCAAAGAAAUGAAUAUUUACCUUUCUGUCCCAAUCCAUCAUUUUAUACUUUGUCAUCAGUUUGUGACGAACCCUAUUUGGUAUCUUCUGAUUCUCCCUAACAUUAUUAUAAAAUUUAAGAAGAAAAGAACAAAAUGAGAUAAAAGCAAAACUAGGUGGUUCUUAUAAACUAUUUUUGUUGCAUAUAAAUCUACACGUUGUAUAUGAUCUCUAAAACUUCAAAUGAUUUUUUUAUAUAAAAUAAAAAACAAAAAAUAUUGAGAUCAUUAGAUCAUAAUACUUUCGAGAAUAUUUACAAAUACAACCAAAUAUAACUAAUUACUUUUAAAAAUAUAACUAAUUACUUUCAUAAAUGUGAUAUUUAGUAUAUUUUAUGAAUAUUCGAUUCCUUCUCUAUCUUAAUCCAUCUAUUCCCAUUUCCUAUUUAAAUAGACAUAUUAGAGAAGUAUUUGGCACUUAUUUAGAUUUAUAUUUUGAUACUCAUACCUUAACUAAAGUGAGGUAUUUAUUAAAUCACUAAAUUGGAGUUUUUUCUUUCUUUUUUUUUUUGUUGAGCAAACACUAAAUUUGAAAUUCUUUUGUUGAUAACUCCAAGGAUCUAGACAUUUCUUUUUUUUGAAAAACCUUCCUUAUAUAUUGUUUUCAAACCUGCCAAAUUCAAAAUAAAUUACAUAAUAAAACAUUCAAAGCCUCUAAAUUAUUAAUAAAAAAAUAAUAACUAAUUAUGAUUUUGUAAUCCAUGAAAAUAGUAGGUUAUUUGAGACGUUUUUCUUUAAUGUAUAACCUAAGUUUUUUGUUUUUCUCAAUUCUUUGUAUUAUAGACUUGUGAAGUGUAAUCAAUCAGCUAAGUUGAAACUUGAAAGAGAAACACAAAAUCAAUUCUCCAAAUUGAAUCCUUCAACCUCCAAAAACCCUCAAAAUUCUCCUUUAAUUUCUCUUUUCAAAACGAUGAUCCAGUCCCCCACACGUGAUCCUCACGUGCUCAAACACCCACCUCUUUACCAUCGCAAUAGCCGCCGUCUGCCGAUCAUCAUUUGAACUUCACUCGACCCACUAAAAUCAACACACACUCAAACAAAACCCAUUUCUUUAUUUCCUUUUCAACUUUAUACAACGCUUCAUUGAUCCAACCAUCGCCUCCUUCUUCUUCACUCUCUCUGUUUCAUUAUUUUCAACAGAACUCAACCAAUGUAUCUCUCUGUUCCUCACUACCCAUCUCUGAAAUUUUCCACCUUUCAAUCCCACAAGGUUUGUUUUCGUUCGCCUCCAAAUCCCUUUUCGAGAUUGCCCCCCCCCCCCCCCCCCCCCCCAUCUGUGAUUCUGUUUCUGGGUCCAAUUUUAGCUACAAAUUUGAGCGCAAUGUUCAUACCUCUUUUUCCCAUUUCAGCUAAAUGUUUGAAUUUUCUUCGUUUUAUUCCAUUGCUUUUGGUGAUGUUCUGUUCGUUUCUGUUUUUCUCUAGACGAGUUUUCGAGUGUUUUCUGUGGCUACCAAUGAGACCGCCAAUUAUUUGCCGCAGGCUCCGAUUUUGAUUCCUGAUGGACCAUGGAAACAGGUAAGGGGCUGUGAAUUUGCUCUCUUUGCAUCCUUAAUGAUUUCUUGAUUGUUUUGAUUCAGUUUGAGUUUCUGGGGUUGGCCGAUUACUUUAGUGGCCUUCUUAUUCUUGUGUUCGUUUUAUUUUCCUUAUCUUCUCUACAUAAGUUUUCUCAGAAUGUCAAAUUUUAUAAUCUAAAGAACAUUUAAUUUUGUACAAAUGUUCUUUGGAAGCGAUCGAUAAAGUAUAGGUAUUGUCAGAUUUUCAACUUAUUAUAAGUUGUCGUGUAUCCUCAGUUUUUUUUACUUUUUAUAAGUUCAAACCAAAAGUAAACUUGUUUUUGUAGAUUGAUGGAGGAGUUAGUGCUGCAAAGGGGUUCAAAGCCGCAGGGCUUUAUGGAGGAUUAAGAGCAAAGGGAGAGAAACCUGACCUUGCACUUGUUACUUGUGAUGUUGAAGCCAUUUCUGCUGGUAUGAGCCAACUGUUGAGUUUAUCUGUGUUCUAAAUAACAACCUGUUUUUGGUUGUAAGACAAACUAGAGAAUGAUUGUUAUAGGAAAAGUUUUGAUGGUUUUGGCCACGUUCUUGGCGAACUUAUCCCGACUCAUUUUGAACUUUUUAUUCAUGCCGGUUAGGUUUUGGUCGGGCACAUGAAACUUAGCCAGCUGUGUCUAAGUUUGAAGAACAUUCUGAUACUGACUGAGUUUGCUCAUUUUCAUUUCCAGGAGCAUUUACAAAGAAUGUAGUUGCUGCAGCACCUGUGUUAUAUUGUAAAAAGGCGUUGGACUUUUCGGAAACGGUAGGUUUUCUAUCUCUUGUUUAAGUUAUGUUUACCUAUCAGCAAGACAUUAAAACCGUAACUAAACAAGUUCACUGAUUUUGCUAACUAAACUACUGUUUAACAAAAAGUAGUUUUACCUUAUUUUCUAACAAUGAUUUGAUUGAUUCUACAAUUUGUUAGGCACGUGCAGUGUUAAUCAAUGCUGGUCAAGCAAAUGCCGCUACGGUAAGCUGUUGUUUUGAUGACAUCAAUUGAAUAUUGUUUGGACUCAAAAAGAUAAAAGUCUAUGCGUAUCUUGGAUGAAUAUAUACAUAGCUAAGUGUCUUUUUGUUGUUGCAGGGGGAGGUUGGUUAUCAAGAUAUGAUAGAAUGUGUGGACAAUCUUUCUAAGGUAUGCACCUUCAUAGGGUUCAGAACAAACUUCUUAAUCUUUUUCUGGAACAAUUGUAAGUUGUAUAUAACUUUAAUUGUAGAUUCUUCAAAUAAGGCCGGAGGAAGUAUUAGUUCAAUCUACCGGGGUGAUUGGUCAUAGAAUAAAAAAGGUACGAAGAUACGUUAUGUAUUGUGUUUUAACAGAAAAUAUACCUACUGGAUGGUUUGUCUUGAACUCUAAAGUUAUCCAACUUCAAAUGCAGGAUGCACUCUUGAAUUCUCUUCCAAAACUAGUUGGAUCCCUUUCAUCUUCAGUUGAAAGGUAUUCCUUUAGUUAGUUUCAUUUGUACUUUUUGUUGUUAUAUGUUCGGCUUCGGCUUCUCUGCUGUCCAGUCUUUUCCUCAUUAACUUUUCUGGUUGUGCAUAACUUUAUCAGUCUGUUUACAGUGCAGCUUCUGCGGCAGUAGCGAUAACGACAACUGACCUUGUUAGUAAAAGCGUGGCUAUUGAGUCACAAGUGCGUAAAAACCGUUUUAUAUUACCUUGUUCUGCUUGUGAACUAUACAAUAGUCUUGAUCUAACCAACAUAGAAAGCACUUUCAACAUUGUACUUUGAUAAAAUCAUAGCAUAAUGGAUUAACAGUUGAUUUAAUGCCCAGGUUGGGGGCUCAACUAUAAGAAUUGGAGGAAUGGCGAAAGGUUCUGGAAUGAUUCACCCGGACAUGGCUACUAUGCUCGGUGUACGUAUCUUGAAACUUUGCAUUUCGUACUCAAACAAGUUAAAUGGCUGGGAUUGUUUGGAAUAAUGUUGAAAUGUUACAAUGUGGUAGGUUGUAACAACAGAUGCUGUGGUUGCUACUGAUGUUUGGAGAAAGAUGGUGCAAAUAUCUGUUGAUCGAAGCUUCAAUCAGAUCACAGUAUGAUUGUUUAACGUCUUAACAACUUUUUUACUGUUGGUUCUCUUUCACAUAUAAUAUGCUCAGGGAAAAUUUACUUGUCCUAUUGUACUCCAUAUGAAUCAAGUCAAAUCAAACUAGCUAGUCUUGAAAAUUGGUUUUAGAGUAAUUCAUUUAGUUUGGGUUUGUAAAUGAAACAUUCAGGAUGGAUUAUAUAUUAAAAAUUUAGGCACAUAGGUGGAGUACCAUACCAAAUCAAUGAUGCAAUACAAUAAUGUUACAUAGGUGAGGUGACGUUGGAAGUACCAUCAAAAUUGUCCUUUUUAAAAGAGAGAUGGGUUUGAUGAUGUAGGUGGAUGGGGAUACAAGUACCAACGAUACCGUCAUUGCUUUGUCGAGUGGCUUGUCGGGAUCCAGUUCAACUAUGAUUUCGUCCUUGAAAAGUCGAGAAGCAGGACAACUCCAAGACUGCCUUGAUGUGGUAUGUAUUUUUGAGAAUCAGAACAUCUUCAAAAGAAAUUUGAGGAAAAAGUUAUUUCCAUGUUAUAGGAUUGUUUCUCCUUUCUAUUUUCAGGUGAUGCAAGGGCUUGCCAAGUCAAUAGCCUGGGAUGGAGAAGGUGCUACCUGUCUAAUUGAGGUCGGUCUGCCAUUUCUAUAAGCCAAAAAAAUCUUUUACAUAGUCUAUGCAUUUUAAUUUCAAAUUACCAAUGCCACAGAUUACAGUGACUGGUGCAAAUUCAGAAGCCGAUGCAGCAAAAAUUGCUCGUUCGGUGGCAGGCUCAUCACUUGUAAAGGCAAGAUUUUCAAUCUUCAUCAUCUUUCUCCUACGCACUUUACUUUGUGCAAGCAUAUCUCAUCAUUGUUUUUCCAUGCUGCAGUCAGCUGUAUAUGGCCGAGAUCCAAAUUGGGGAAGGAUAGCAGCGGCUGCUGGGUAUGCAGGGGUACCUUUUGAGCAGACGAAACUCAAAGUGUCCCUAGGAAACAUUCUCCUUAUGGAUGGAGGAGAACCCCAAUCUUUUGACAGGUUUAAAAAGACAAAUCACCUAAUCCAAUUUUAAUUUGACCACUUUUGACUAUAAUUGUAUAUUAUUACUUUUUUCAGGGCUGCUGCUAGUAACUACCUUAGAAGAGCUGGAGAAACCCAUGAUACCGUCAGAAUUUACAUUUCUAUAGGUGAGAAGAUGAUUUAGUAUAACUCUGAAUGGCCAUCAUGAAAACUAUAAUAAAAGAUACUUUUUUUAACACCAGCCUCGAGCUAACCUAGAUAGUUGCUUUGAUCGACAGGUAAUGGGCAAGGAGAAGGACGAGCAUGGGGUUGUGACUUGAGCUAUGACUAUGUCAAAAUAAAUGCAGAGUACACUACAUAAAUUGUCGUCAAGCCAGCUAGCUAUGACAGAAUAAUUGUAUCUCUCGGUCCUUUGGGGGAAGAAGUAUAUCAAUCGAAAUCAUUUAGUUGAGUUCAAUUGAUAUCUCAUUAAACUUUAUCUUCUUUAGGACAAGAUCUAAAUUAUAAUUGAGUUUAUUCCAAUUUCAAAGCUUUCCCUAUUUUCUCUAUGAAUCUUCUAUUUUUUGGUAUUUCUAGAAAAGAUGCAGCACUUCUAAAUUCCGUUAGUCAUUACAAAGAAGCAAAUCAAGCAUAUUCCAAUAGAAAAGAGAAGCAGUCACAACCAUAUCCAUAACCAUAGUAACAGUGUCGAAAUUCAACAAACAUCAUCAUAUAACAAAAGGUAAAUCCUCAGAAUCUCUCGUACAAACAAACAACAAACGAGUUAACGUCAUACAAUUUCUUGGUCCAAGCAUCUCGGUCAUCAACAAUCACAAAUGAAACCAAAACAUUUUAUUUAUUUACAGAAUACAGUGAGAGAAGAUGAAAACUUGGACGAGUAACGCUCACAAGGCUUCAGUAACAGAGUAGUGCACCUUGGUGACUGAUGUUUUCAGGAAGAUGCUUCCACAGUGAGAGUCUGAGCUCCCGUCGUCGAAACUCUCAAACUCGUUGAGAGUAUUAACCAAACUUUCAUGAGAGUUAAAUGAUCUUUGAUACCGAUCAGAACUACCAACAGAUUUGCGAGCCUGCCUUUUGUCCCUGCCACCACUUCCGCGCGAAGAGUUGCUGCCCUUCUGUCCUUUCUUCCCAUUCUUCCUGUUCUUUGAUUUCUGCUGUUUCUUGUUGUUUUUGACACAAUGGCACAACGAUGUCUGAGGAGGGUCAUACACAUCAGGAGCCCAUGUCACACUCAUCUUAGGUGACUCCCCAUAGUGUUGUGCUCGGCUACCUUUCAUCGCAGAUAAGAGCUUUCCAGGCACCUGGAUGUUGGAAGUUAAGUCAGCAAACAGAAAGGAAGACAAAAUGCAAAUAUGCAAUGGCUUCACAAACAUUUACUUUUCACUAAUUCAUUAUCUAAAAUUGAAUAUAACAUAUCUACAAAAAACCUCAGAUUAUGUGCUGCUUUACGAGUAACAAACCCAAAUCUGCACUUGGGGUGAACAAACAGAAAAUGUAGUAUAGUUGUGUAAAGAGAAUUAUUUUCAGGUUAUACUAAUCAUCUAAUGUCAACGAAGAAACGGCUAAUCAAAUUAACUUCAUACAUCAGUAUUGCAAAAGGCCAUCAACUUAGAAAGCAAGCCAGUUUGCCAACAGCAGAAUUGCCUUCCCAAGAACAGAAAAGCAUGGCAUAGUAAGAAAGAGUUCACAUUUUUUUUCAUUUAUGGAGCAAAUAGAUGAUAAGCCACUAUAUUUUAAAAAAUGGGUUUUCUAUAUAAUACAUAGGAUCAAUCGCGUCAGCCAAACUUGUAAAGCUUGUCCUUAGAAGUUUUCCUUCGUGACCAGAAAAAAAAUUAUGAUAUCAAUAGUUUCCAUGGAAAUAAGAAUCAGAGAUAGCAAAGCUACGUGACUGAUUACAAAAAUUAUUAAACGCAGGACACAACUAUAAUUUUUCCCUAUUUAAUUUUGACAAGAAGAGAACUUACUGGUAAAGAAAUGGAACGUGAAAAGGCUUGAUGAUUAAACUCAUUACAGGACACAUCACCCAUCGCUGUUUGUCGUUCCUUAUCAUUUUCUGAAGUAUCAUUUGGAGGGGAUGUUACAACAGGGAGGGGAAAGGAUUUGGAUUUUCUUAAACACUUCUUAGAUAAGUUCGAGGGAAUUUCAAGCUCUUUUUGUUUGUUUUUAACAUUUGAAUUAUCGCUGCAAUUCACAUCACGUUUAAAUUCUGAACUUUGAGUAUCUUCAAUGCUCAAAGACUUCUUAAAAAACCCAUCAAGAUCACUAAACAAUGCAGCAUCAAUUUCUUUCAAAGACGACUGCAGAUCAUCCACCAAACCGUCUACACCGACAGCCAACUUCUGAUGAAUCGAAGGGAUGUCCAUUCAGAUUUAUGUAAGACACAAGAAAUCUGCUAGAACCUGCACAUAUAUCCAGAAUAUCGUAAAACAUGCCGGAAAGAAAUUCGAUCCUGUAAAAUUUUGACGAAGAAAAUAAAAAGAAUAAGGACAAUACCUCGCACAAUAAUCAAGAAUGCAAAAACCCUCUCAACGAGUAGCCAAUUGCAAGUGACUCGCUUUCAGAGGCUUCGAUUGCCAAUAAACCUCAAGAUCAAAACAAUAAAUCCUUACCGUACAAUUAAAAUUUCUCUAGGAAUUCCAAACCUCGAAUAGAACCAAAAGAGCAAGGAGGAGGAAAGAGAAGAUUGAAGAAUACGAAUAGAGCACGAAAUGCACUAAAAGAACCCUAUGUUAACUAAGAUUACCACGCCGAUCACCCUUUUCGAGCCGCUUCAGACGAUGCGAAGAGGAACCACCAUGAAAAGAAGUCAAAGAAGGAAGCAGAGGGCGAAGGUAGAGAUCAAUAGUUAACGAAGGCAUAUUGAAAUGCUCUCCGUAACCCUAAUUUUCGUAGGGUCUAACAAAGCCUCAGAUUUGCGAGCCAAGAGCUUGAAGAAAACUUUGAAAAGAAAACGAAAAUGUGCGAAUCAAUCAAACUCAGAGAUUGAGAACAUUAAAACCUGAAAUCAUUGAGUCAAAUGGAUAAACCAGAAAUCAUCUGAUCCGUAACAUGAUGAAAAAGAUAGGCGGAGAUACAACGUCGGUGGAGGUGGAGGCGGAAGCGGAUCGGAUAAUUUUGGGAGGAUGAGGUCGAAAAUGGUGGCGGAAUUGGGAUCUUACGGAACUAAUCCUUUGGGUCAAGGGGAACGAAUCGGUCGCGUAGAUAUAGCUGCCACACCCAAUCACAACUCUCCACGUUUAUUACCUUUGACAAUUCGCUGAUUUAAUUGUUUUUAGAUAUUUCCAAUCUUACCCUAUUGGGCCGGGCCUCUUACUCUAAAAGCCCAUUUCAAAUAUAUUUCCACCCUUUUUCUUUCUUACAAUUAAACAAAUAAUUCAUUUGGAUGCAAUGGUUCUUUUUUCCAAAUAUUUCCUCCUUAAUUCAACAAACCCACCAUUGUUAUAUUUAUGUGGUGUGUAGCUUAUAUCUUUUGUAUACACUUAGAUAUCACUUAAUCUAUUAUACAGAUGUCACUUAUACAGAUAUAGCUUAUGGGUAUGUCUUAAUUUGUUUUGUUGUUGCUGUUGAGUUUGGUAAUUUGGGAUGAUUAGUUGUUCUCUUCUUCCUUUAUCUGAGUUGUGUAGCCUAUUUUUGGUAAUGCUAUUGUUUCCCAUCCAAUAGUGUAAUAAACUCAAGAGAAGUACAAGUAAUGAACUAUGUUUGUUCAUCUAUACUUAGCUUUUGCUCCAACAAAUAGAACUAUAUGUGGCCACAUUCCUCCACACCCCUUAGAAUAGAAUUACGUCUCAUAUGAUUGAUCCUUUGAAUCACAUCACAUCCCAUUAAGAAUUCUCGAUUAUUUUGAGUGAAUAAUUACUUAGUUCAAAGCACUUAAUAUUAAUAUUUAAUUUUGCGCAACAGAACAACACCGCUUCGCUUCGCUUCACAUUCAAACACUACGUACGGUAUUCCAUUUAAUAUACUUAUAUUUCUUAUCAUCUUUCGCAUCACGAGUUGCAAAUAACAAAACCCUAACCACAUCGAUUCUCUCAAAGCACUUAAUGCUAUCUCACUUCACAACUGACAGAAUCCUGCUACAAGCAAACUCAAUCACAAUCAAAAUGGCGUUCCUGAAUUACCUCGAUUCUCAUCAAUAUUGCCUAUCAUCACCAGUUCGAUCGAUAGAUCGAUCUCUUGUUAAGAAACUUUCAACUCAGAUUAUGAGAGCAUGUAUUCUAUAAUCGAAUCGAGAACAAAAUACCAGUCGGAUCUUCAGAAACCCUAGUCUAUCACAUUAUAAUAGAAGCAUCGGCCAUUUGCGAAAGAAAAUGGAAGAGAAUAUACCGAUGAAAGAACUUUGUUAUCCAUUAAAACUAUUAGUAGUUCCAUACACCUGUAACCAGAGAGAAACCAAGAUCUACACAAAGGGUAACCAAAACGAAACCCUAAUUCCAAAAUUCGCCGACAACGGUAUCUAUCUAAGAGCUUGUAAAUUUGGUUACGGCCUUAGUUCCUUCAGAAACAGCGUGCUUUGCUAACUCACCAGGAAGCACUAAUCGAACAGCAGUUUGGAUCUCUCGUGAAGUGAUCGUAGGUUUCUUGUUGUAUCUUGCCAAUUUCGAAGCCUCUUGAGCAAGUUUUUCGAAGAUGUCGUUGAUAAAACUGUUCAUAAUGCCCAUUGCCUUGCUGGAGAUUCCAAUAUCGGGAUGAACCUGCUUCAAAACCUUGAAAAUGUAGAUCUUGUAAGUCUCGUUGCUCUUUUUAACCUUCUUCUUCUUAUCGCCACCGUCUUUGACGAUCUUCUUCUCAGCCUUCGGCUUCUUCUCCGCCGAGGAAGGGGUUUUCUCCGCUGGCUUCUUCUCUGCGGGCUUCUUUUCGGCUUUCGUUGGCGCCAUUGUUGGAACUCAGAGUAUAUUCAGGAAUAAAGGUGAAGGUGGUCUAGCAAGGUUGAAGACGGAGAGAGUGAUUCAGAGCAACUGAACGAUUGUUGUAAAUGAAGCGGAGGAGAGUUUAUAUAGAAGAUGAAGCGGUUUCUUAUUGGUUAGUGGGACUUUCUCGCGGAUCGACGACGUGGCGUAAUAAGAACCGUUGGAUUUUAUUUAGAGAAGUUGCGGUUGAGAUUACGUACUUAGUUUACGACUCGUUCCGAACUUCAGACGGACUCGACAUCUAUCGCCGUGGGAAAGGCCUAAGUGUUCAAUUUUCAUACUUAAACUGGAGAAUUUUAUUCUUUGUUAAUUUCUAACAUUUUUUUAUUUUAAUAAAAUUUUGAAUUUGUUGAUCUUUUUUAUAAAAGAAAGUAAUUAUUAUAUAAUAAUAAAUUAAAAUAUUUACAAAAUAUUAUUCAUGUUAGUCUGUGAAGUUUUAACUUUUAAAAUAAUUUAUUUUAACCAAUACAAUAUAGAGGUUGAGCUUGGAUGGUUAAUGGUUUGUAUGGUUUGUUUGGAUAUUAUUCUUUGUUAGUUUCUUUUGUGUACAAGAUUAGUUUCUUCCUUCUUCCAUACAGUGUUGUCGUAGUGAGACAAAGGUUUAAGCGAAAGCUAAGAUUGCACGUGAUCAUUAACAAUUAACAACUACUAAGUGUGCUAAUAAGAUAAAAGUUUAGAAUACUCCCUAUUAUUGAAAUAAAUUUAAAAGAUAAGAAAAUAGAAGAUUUUAGAACAUUUUUACUGAUUCACAACUAAAUGAUAUGUCAAUAUUUUAAUGUUUUGAGUAAAGGUUGUUUAAUCAAUUGUAUCCAGAGUUAAAAUAUUGUAGCAUUUAUAACCACUGAGAGAUACAUAUCAAUGAGCAAUAAUAUAUGUGAAUUUCUCAUAAACAAAAAGGAUGAAAUGGAAAAAUCAAGCAGCAGGCAAAUAAUCCUUGCACAGUGGACUCAUAAGAGCUAAGAGCAAAUGUUAAUUAAAAACGAUGGAGAAGAAACUCAUCAAACAGAGAGAAUGUUAUUAACUCUAUGUAUUCAUCUCCUUUACUUUUCAGAACACACAAGUUCAGUGUCCUAACUGCAGAAACACCCAGGUGUAAAUUGUAAGACAAUAGUCCAUAGCAGCGUCCUUAGGUAUCUGAACUUAUUAUACUGAACCAAAAACUGCAACUCGGCUCAUUAAAACCUGCCCCUGACAAAAUGUAUAACAAAAUAGAUUACUUGUCUGAGUAUCAAGUUAAAAAAGUAAACUGAUCAUCAUGACAAAGGAAUAUGGAUUCAAUCUAAUCAUCGAUCUCAAUCAAGUUUGAAGUAGUCAAGAUUUACAAUAACAAAGUUAAUUGUGCAAGUGGAUCGAUCUAGUAGCAGGCCCAAAGAGAUGGAAAACCCAAAAAAGAACCAAGGAAUAGCUUGUAAGACUCCAAGUUUAUAGCACAAUCAAGCAACAAUGUGGUCUUCUCAUAUGCGACAAGCACAUAAGAAACAAUAAACAACUGUACCAAAACCAUGUUCCCGACUUUUGCUUCUAGCAGCAUCUACUUCAUCAGCCAUAUCCUGGGAUAAGAUUAUGGAAAUACAGUGAAGAGCCUCCAUGCAACUGUGUUGCUUCGUUCAAAACAUCGUGCAGUAGAUGCAAGUAGAUUUAUGACUCUUCUAAAUUUCUCGUUUCCUAACAAACUGUGACUCUCUCAGCUUGUUUUAUUCAUGGUAUUGGGAGUAAGAAAAGUUGCGAAAUCGAUGUGCACUAUAUGGAGAGACAACAACAACCUUUCUAGGAUUCUUGCAUUUCUCAGAGAUUCUACAGAUUUCUCGAGACCCAGCCGAAAGUAUGGCUCUUCUCUUCCAAUGGAACUAAUUUAUCUGUGGAAGCUGAUCUCAAUGAGACACAAAGAAAAUCACAAUUGCAGGAUUCGUGUGGCUGAGCUUUUGCUAUGCCAAUUUUUACUCAAUAAAGCACCUCCUCUGUUAAACUAUCACCUUAUGCUUUAGAUAAACUCCUUUUAGACUUUUACUACGAAGGUUUCAAUAUUAUAAGUAGACAUGAUUACUUCCAUAGUUCCAUCUACCACCACAUAUGAUCUUUUAACAAUGAUGAUAACCAUAAAUUUCUGUACAGACAACCCAGAUAGUUAUAGUAAGUAACGGAGCUUGAGAGAAGUGAAAGUAUGUACAAGAGCAUAAAAGAAAAAAACCCAACAAAAAAGAGACCCCAAGGUACUACAAAAUGGGACUCAAGUCCAACAAAAUCAAACAAAGGCCAAGGUUACACAGACCACAAAAACAAACAAGAUCUUAGCUCAACAGCACCCAGUGUACGUCGAGGACCAAAAAGUCCCUUCUCCAAGUCCCCACCUUCAUUUGUACUAAAAAAAAGUUACACAGACCACAAAGGAGGAAUUGAACCUUGCCACCUCCCAAACAUCAUCAAAUAACAUAAAUAUGAUCUGCCUAGACCUUUCCAUUCAUUAAAUCCUUCACCUCGUCCAUGAAACCAGUUAUUCUUUUAGUUACAUACAGGCGAGCCCAUGUCUAAGCAUACAGCGACUAGAGGAAUAAGAGAGAAAUGGUCGAAUCCAUGAACUUUGCAAAGGGAAUAAACUUUAUGACAUAUACAAGUUAAAAUCACACAAAUAGAACAGACAACAGAAUGUACCAAUGGCAUGCGAGAAUGAAAAGUAAUAGGCAACUUCAAAACUCUAUUAAGAAAUACACAAAUCCUCCAUGUCUUACGUUUCAGAUUCUCUACUUUUCAUCUGCAAUGUAAAAAUGCAAGAGCUAUUUGGAAACCUUUCCAUAAAAUAACCUUUUGAUUUGUUUUAGAAACCGCAUUUAAAAACGGCUUAUUAUGGUUAAACUUCCUGUUCCCUCCAAAUUCAUAAAGAACAUGAUUUAUUCUAAAGAAUUUCAGCAAAAUUGGGAGUAAAUUGUGCCGAACCUUUGAGAGCUGGGGUUAACAUUACGAUGAAGAAUCCGACCGACACUCGAAUCGCCGCCAUCAAUCAGCUCCCGAAGACCCAAGUCGCCCGGCUUCUCCUCUUUUUGCUCUUCUUCUUUCUCGUCUUCCUCUUCUUCCUCUUUCCAUUUAUUCAACUCACGGUUCACCACCUGCCUCUGAAGCCUCUCAAAGUAAUUCCCAUAAAUAUACUCCGGCGAGUAUCCAUUUUCUUCAUCAAACAACAUAAUAUGACCGUGCCAUUCCCAAACUCGAAAAUCCGAAUCCUUCUCUUCGUGAAACCCCACGCAGACGUGGUGCUCGCCGACUGUGACGGCUUGGCCGGAAUUGGGUUUUAGGGAAUCGGUAUUUCCGGCGAGAAUCACGCGAAUGAUCUCUUUUUCGAGCUUCGAUUCUUCUUUAGCGAGCGGUGUUCUGUUGUCGUCGUUGUCGUCGUCGGAGAGAUUGGCGGCCUCGAAGAUAAGUUCUUCAAGGGAUUGUGAGAGAAGGGGAUUGUUGAUGUUGUUGUAGUUGACUGGAGGCCUAAUUUGGAGCCUCGCCAUGAGGGUUUGAAGGAAAAGGUUGUCCAUAUUGGCGUUGUUGUUGAAGGAAUCCAUGGAUUGGUUCCGAGCUUCUAAAAGGUUUUCUAGGAAUGGAAUUUGAAGGGUUUUAGAUGAACCACGGGUUUGCAUCUUCUUUGUUUUUGCAUUUAUAUUCCUUUUAUUCAUCUCUACAUUAUAAAAGGAUUCCAAUUCAAGUUAUACAAAUUAUCAUAUUGUAUUGUUAAAUAUUAGGGUCUAGGGUUUCAAGAGCCCAAGUGAAAAAGCCCCUUUAUUAUGAUCAAAACAUCAAAUUUUCUAGUUGUGUAAUCACAUCAUAAAUUGUCGUAACAAUCCUAACAUGACCAUCGCUGGACAAUUAUUGCUGCUCUCCGUUUCCAAGAGGGAGAGCGCAAUGUUAAGUAUCUGUAAGAAAUGAAAUUUAUUGUAUAUUGUUUCAAAUAAAAAUAUGCAUAAUGAGAAGCAAGAGCUUGUCACGAGUUUAAAAGAGUGAGUGUGAGUAUCAAGAGAGAAAUGUCUAUAGCGAUGAUCAAGUGGUAAGGGACGCCACACAUGCUCUAAGAUCAUAAGGUUCAAAAAAAUUGUUUUCAACAAGGAAUGGAAAAGGAAUGAAUGUGUACAAACUUUUCAUCAUUUUAGUCUAUAUUUAUAUGAAGAUUAUAAUUUGUUAGUUGAUGGAGUACAAUUCAAUUUUAUUUAUAAGUAUAAUUACUGUAUUUCAAAUUUAUCGAUGAUAAGUUAGUUAAAACUUGACAAUUUAAAGGAGAUGAAAACCGAAGCACAUACACCAGCAUAGUGUUUUAAUCAUAUAUACGGUAAAUAUAUUUUAGUCUUUAUUUACUUUUUAAAAUUUGUCAAUAGUCUAACAUCGACAUGUCAAAACGAACAUAACUCAACUUACACAUAUAACAGAGUGUUAACCUUGAAACUAGAUGUCUCGUUCAUUUCAUUCAUACUAUCAAAAGAUAUACACAUUAAUUUCGUUACAUUGGCUACUAAAUUAGCAUAAUAGGAAUACGAAGAGGGAAUGACAUCGCUUGGACUGGGUUAGGUUGCUUUAUAUAUAUGUGUAUAUAAUUUUGACUAUUUUUUCAUUUUUUCCACUAGAAGUUAAAUUUUCAUAGCAAACAAAGUGUCAUAUUUACUUAAAUGACCUAAACAUGUUUCAUUGAUUUUUUAAAAAUUUAUAAUGAAGUUAAAUUAGAAUACUAAUUAGGUUUUAUUUAUAUAAGGUUCAGUUGGGUCGACAUUCGACCCCAAUAAUAUACAACACGGUAACUCAACUCAGUUUGCAAAUUUGCAACCCAACCCAAACCAUGGGUGGGUUGAGUAAUAUGAGUUGGAUGGCUUAUAGGUUUUUUUGAACAAUAACAGCAUCGCACGUGCGGAUGAGUUAAAACGACUUUACUAUUUCCAGCCACGAACAAACGACGUCGUAUAAUCAUGAACUACGGCACAAAAAAGAGUGCCCGUAGAAAUGAAGGCGGGAUUGAUAGAUUCGUUCUCUUCCGUCGGAUCAACGCAGAUAUUAAAAUCCACCGGUCACGGAGCUUUUCCCCGUAGCCUUAAGACUGAAACCAGGAGCAAUUAAAAAUAUAAGAAAUUAAAAAAUAUAUACACAUAUUUCCGCUCCCGGAAACCGAUUUCAACGGCCGUUCGGUACCGCCGUACCAAGCGACGCCAUCCCCUCCGUCGUAUCUCUCACUGUCAUUCUCUCCAGAUCUUGUAGCUGCUUCGUUCUUCUCAAUGGCUGCUCCACCUGCACGAGCUCGAGCCGAUUACGAUUAUCUCAUCAAGCUUCUGCUGAUCGGCGACAGCGGUACGUUAAUUUUGCUUUAUUGCGUUGGUCGAGUUUCGAUCUCGUGGUUUUCUUUAGUUUUAGAAUCAGUAAUUGUGAAAUAACUGGAUGUUAAUUGGAAUUUUGUUUUUGUAUACUAGCGUUCGUUGUUGUUUCAUUAAUAUAUAUGAUUAGAGGAUUUCUCUGUUGGAAUCUAGAGUGGGUAUCAGUUGUUGAUGGAUUCGCGGUGAAGUUUUCGAAAUGAUUUGUCAUUUGUGUGAUUAGAGAAUGUUAUUAUAGUUUAUGUUUUGUGAGAGUCGUGCAAUAUCAAUAGGAAUUUGUUUUUCUGCUUAAACUCCUAAAUUAUAAGUUCACGAGCUGUUUCUUGUGAGUUUGAUAUGAUGAGAGGAUUUUACGAUUAGUAUGUUUAAUAAGCCGUUGAUGGAUUAGCGGUGAAUUGCCUGAAAGGAUUUGUUAUUGACUCAUUUGUAGUAUAAGACAAUGUUGUUUUAGCUCUUGUUUUGUGAGAGCUGUAUUUUACCGGGUAGGAUUUCGUUUUAUUUCUCCGCGUCCUAAAUUACAAAUUCACAAGCUUCUUCUUGUGACAUGACAAGGCAGGUGUGGGAAAGAGUUGCCUUCUUUUGCGGUUCUCGGACGGCUCCUUCACCACUAGCUUCAUCACAACCAUAGGGUACGUGCAUUCUAUAUUGGUAUUGAAAAUGAAAUUAAUGUAUUUUAUUUUUUACUUCACUUGCCUGCUCUUCCUGAUUUCAUUGCUUUGGUUGUACUCAAACAGCAUUGAUUUCAAGAUUAGAACCAUUGAGCUUGAUGGAAAACGAAUUAAAUUGCAAAUUUGGGAUACUGCUGGUCAGGAGCGGUUUAGAACAAUUACAACUGGUCUGUAUACAUUCUCGUCGUGUAGUCUUGUUAUUAUUAUUGGAAUAUGCAAUUGUAGAAUGGUCCUAGAGAUCCUUUUUGUUUCUUUCUAAUUUCAUCCUAUGUCCUUUUUCAUGCAAUUCUUAAAAUUUCUUCAGGAUUUAUCUCAUAUAAAUGUUUCCAAUCUCUAAUCUCCAUCCUUAUUUUCAGUACCUGAUGAGUAGGGACAUCUUUUUUUAAUUUCUUUAACUGUAUUAUUAUUGUUGUUAUUAUCAUUGUUAUGGACGUAUCAUCAAUACUUUUUAUGUAGAUUUACAUGCUGACUAAGUUUCAGACUCUACAUAUCUGAGUUUUCAUACUGAUUUAAUCUCAUUUGUGUAGUUUUGUAUCCAAAUGUUUCCGCUGUUUCUGGGAGGUUCACUAAGACUAAAUCGCUAGUAAUUCUUUAUUUCUGCAGCUUACUAUCGAGGAGCCAUGGGUAUUUUGCUAGUGUACGACGUCACUGAUGAGUCAUCAUUUAACAGUAAUUUUUCUCUACCUUAAACCAAAGGUUAAAAAUCUGAAGAUGCUUGUUGCUCUUCUAAGUUCACAGUAGGAAGCUCUGCAGUCUAUUCAGAUAUUUCUCCAUCGAAGAAGAUACUAAUAUUAGAGUCGCUUUUGUAAUCCUUUGUGUUAUGGAACGCCCUUAUUUUUUUUUCUUCAUGGCAUUUUUGUUUCUUCUUUGUCAAGAUAUCAAUCUUUUCCUUUGUCCUUAUUUACAUUUUUUAAUGAAUUCAGACAUUAGGAAUUGGAUACGUAACAUCGAACAACAUGCUUCUGACAAUGUCAACAAGAUAUUGGUGGGUAACAAGGCUGAUAUGGAUGAAAGCAAAAGGGUACGCACCUUUUCAUGUUUUUGUUGCUACAACGUGUGUGCUUGCACAUCUCUUCCCCCAAAAAUCUAUGAGUGUUCAAGUCUCAGUGAAUUCAUAAUUGAAAAUGGAACUUUCAUUUAGGCUGUUCCUACAUCAAAAGGGCAGGCUCUCGCAGAUGAGUAUGGCAUCAAGUUUUUCGAGACUGUGAGUAAAAUAGUUGAUUGUUCUUGCAUCUGUUUCCUCCUGAAUAGCUAGUUUAGACUUUAGAUCACAUGUCUUGAAGAUGUUGUAAUGCGUGCAUGUGUGUAUCAAUUUUGAACUCAAGAUGUGGUAUAUUUCAGAGUGCAAAGACAAAUUUGAACGUAGAAGAAGUUUUCUUCUCCAUAGCUAAGGAUAUCAAGCAAAGGCUUUCGGACAGCGACUCUAAGUCCGAGGUAUGAACUGUUUGAGGUUCUAUGGCCAUAUUUUCUUCUGCUGAGUUAUAUGGACUCUCUGCAUAAAUCCAUUUUGGUUGUUCAUGUACUGAGCCUUUCUCUCCCCCCCUUUUGGGACAUUGCAGCCUCAAACAAUCAAGAUAAACCAAGCAGAUAACGGAGCAGGGGCUUCCCAAACUGCUCAGAAGUCAGCUUGUUGUGGAUCUUAAGACAACUACAGUAAAGGUGGUUUAUUUGCGAGGCAAUACAAUUAGGUUACUCGUGCUUCUUUUUCCGUCAUUUUUUUUCACUAGUACUAUAAUAGAACUCAAUUUGGGAGUUCGUAGUAAAUCCUUUAUCUGAAAAUUAAUUAUAUGGUUCAUCUGCCCCAUAUUUCAUUUCAAACUGAAAAAGAAGUUUCAUAUUUCAAUAUAAAUCCUUUUCGUAGUUGAGUUUACAAUUGAAUCUUCAUGAUUACUAAUGGAAGUGGCAAGCUGAGUAUACACCAUCUCUGUUCUUUUAUGAACUAUAACCUUUAAGUCAGUUAGAAAAUGAACACAUACUUGUAUGAAACUUGCUAUUAAAUAUAAACAUGUUAGAAUAGAUAAAUCCAGGGAUACAGUUACAGUAUCUUUCCUAUUUCCCAAUAUUUCUAGCUUUCUUAUACACUUUUCCUGCCCACCCAACUUUUUAUCAUUAACAUUCCCAUACCUAUAUCUACAAAUUUCUCAAAAAUUAAAAAAAAAAAAAGAAAAAAAAGAAGAAGCUCUAUCAAAAUUUUGAGCUUUGACGCCCAGAUCGUCCAAAUCUUGCUUGAUUCGAUUCCUUUUCCUUCAACAAAAUAAAAGAAUCACCAGACUGAAAUAUAUGGUUGAGCCACAAAGCACAAUUUAUGCGCAUGAGAGCUCAAGCACUUGAGAUCUAUCAGUCACAACGUACCGUUGAUUGAUCGAUGGGGGGCCAGAUUAGCUAGUCUUGAGCUUGCAGCUUUCAAUUAUCAGCUGUUUGGAAACUUGGAAAUCAAAUAUACAUUGGUUACUUUCCAAAAGUUGGUCAGUGACAGUACGACGGCUAGUUACAGUUACUGAAGGGGGAGGUGUCGAUGGUCUCCUCCCUGAGCAAGAGCUCUUCAGCUUGGAUUUUAGCUGCACAUAAAGACGACAAAGGAGUGUCGAUUGCUGGUUUUGCCGGAGCAGCAAUGUUGGAGUUUGCAGUUGCCAGAUUUUUGUUUGCCAAGUCAACUUGGACUGAAAACAGUGAGUAAACAGGUCUGUGAUCUGAAAAUCUACACUCCCCUCUAACAUACCACAUCUGCUUCAUUCCUACCCCUCUCCAUAAUAUCCGAUCGCACCUAUCAAGUGUUCGAUAAAUAAAAGGAAACCAAUCAGAAACAUUUUCCUUUUGGCAGGUUAAUAAGCUUCAUACUUAUCAGGUUAGAUUGUUGCAAAAUUAGCAGGAUCAGCAAAACAUACCAAGCCGGAGUGCGGCGUUUUUCUUUGGAUGGCUUCAAGUUCGAAGUCAAUGCAACAUAAUGGUCAGAAUUGGUGAUGUAUUUGUAAGUUGGAGCAAACUCUAUUCUUCCUUCUUCCCACCCUUUAAACACUCGACCAGCUCUUUGCUCUAACUUUAGCUGCCAGAACAUCAAAUAAAAGAAAUCAAAUUUCCAUGUUCAAAAUCUAGUCGAUUGGAAGUUUCCAUUCGCAAUCGAAACUCACUUGAUCUUUCUCUAGUAGUGCCUGCCAAUCUUUUUUCCUAAGAAGCUCAUCUGUUUCCCCACACCCAGUCGAAAGACGGUAAUUCAAAUCCCCAAGCCAAAUCACCUUGCUGCAUAUACAUUAUUUUAGAAUCAUCAAACAAGCAGUACCGAUUUGAUUGAGUUAAUAGCAAAUGAAGAACGUAAAAGGAAUUUACUCAUGAUCUAAUAUGGUCUCAGGAGGAGGUGGCUGUGCUCCAGUUGUAGCUUUACAAGAAUGUGAAAACCGAGUUUUCUUCAAAAUUUCACUCACGUCCGAGUUUCUUUUCACUUCAUCACCUUCCUUCUCCCCAGAAGUCAAAUGUGUGCAAACAAAGCAAAAGGUUGUUUGGUUCAAUGUCAUGCUAAUGGAGACAGAUCCCUAUCAAUACACCACAAAACGAUCAUUCAGCUUCGAGUCGAAUUCAAUAACACGGGAGCUCUUUUAAUACAAAAUGGUAGCUUAAGCUCACCUUGUUACCAAGAAACCCCAUGACUCCUCUCCCGACGUUGGAGACCUUCAAAUUGGAAACGUGUUUGUAAAGAUCUGCUCGAACCCACACGCACAAGAAAAUUCCCACCAUCUGUUUGCUUGCUGCAAGGCAAUACCGUCGCUGCGUUGGGAACACCCUGCUUUCACCAUUGCCAGUGUCAUCUUCUAAAGCAAGCAAGUCGGAGAAACUAUGCCUUGGCUUCUGGGGUGCUUGCCGCUGGUUAUCGUGGGUGUUUAGGGCUUGGUGGAUUAGGGAUACCCACUGGGCAGCAGGGCCACUAUCCUCCGCCCCAAGCACAUUGCCUGCAUUUAGAGGCACGAUUUCUUGGAACCUAUUACAAAAAUAUUACAACUAAUUCUUUAUUAACUUUAGAAUGCACAGUUCCAACUUUCAAAGAAAAGUUAAUAUAACAUUUUGUAUUGAUAAACUUGUAUUGGUGUCUACAAGUAAAAUAUUAAUUAAAUAAGCAUAGGUAACAUAGUCUACAUUCUAUGAAUCUUAUUUUCAAAGUAUUUCACUUUCAUUUAAGUCACCAUUUUUCAACUUGUUAACUUUCACAUUCCUAAUAUAUGAAUUCAACAUCUAACAACAUCUUUUUCAAAAAAAUAAAAUUACUUUAUUUUAUAAAACAAAGAGAGACAAAAAAAAAUUCUUGGUGGGCGGUUAGGGAUGGAACUUUUCAAGUACACAAUUUCAUGGAAUCAGUUUAAUUUAUAAUUUUAUGUAUAUGAAAAGUUUACACUUCUUUUUCAAUGUACAUCCCCAAGGGACGACUAUGAGUAGGCUAACUUUAGGCUUGGGUUGAGCUAUUAACUAUUAGAAAAAGCUAAAUUUUGAAGAUUGAUUGGAAAAGAUUAAGCUCGUAAAUACUACAUCAACUAUAUUUUUUAUCCACUCUCUACUUAUGUUUUAUAAACUAUAUUCAAGGUUUUAAAACUAAAAUAAGUAGUUUUUAAAACACUUUCUCUUGUGCUUAAUGUCUUAAAAAUUUGACUACAAAUUCAAAUAUUUAUAUUAGUAGGUCCUAACCAAAACAAGUGAUGGAGAAAAAAAAAACUACAUAAAGUGAAAUUAUUAUCAAACACAAAGUUAAUCAUGAUGCAACAAGUUUGAAGAGGAAGGGUUGCUAUUCAAGCAUGCAAGUUUAAGAACUCAGCUUGGUAAACCCUUUGAGAAAUCAAGAUUUAGACUUAAAAAUGCCAAAGUCAUUCACCAAAUCCUCAAAUAAAGCUAUCGCUAUUUCGAAAUGCAUGUUUUUCCUUGUAAUUUUUUUUUUCGAAAUUUAGAUGUUUGAAAAAUUAGAAAAAGACAAACAUAAAUUUCAACAAAAGAAAAUCAUUUUCAAUUGAAACCUUAGCACGAUAUACAAACUAGAAAGAGAGAGAGAGAGAGCAUACCCAAGAACAUAAAUAUCAAUCGGAGUUGGAGAGUUGAGCCAAUUCCUCAAGUUCAAACCUUCCUUCGGUGCCUUCCCUCCCACAUUCCAUGUUCCCACCAACAUCCUAAUUAUAAUUACAACGUAUCGAUCAAAUUUCUAAUAGUAUAAUCAUAUGAAACAAUUUCACAUUGUUCUACUUUUAACUUCUUCAAUGUGGCAAUGUUGAAAAAAAUGAAGCAAACAAAUUAUAAAGUUGAAAUACAAAUCAACAAAAUUACCUCAAGUCAAGAGAUUCAUUACUUGUCUUCUCUAUUCUCCAACUUUCAUCUAGAAAUUGCAAGAGAGAGAGAGAGAGACAACCAAUGAGAAACAAACACGUGGAAUUAAAAUAUUAAACAACAAAGACCCUAGAGUCUAUACUCUGCAAAAGGUCAGGACUACACUAAAUGUUGCACCCGCAUCUUCCACCGUCCACGUGGCACAUAUCCCGAAAACAGCAGAGUUUCCGUUUUUCUAACUCUUUUUUUCAUGAUGGGGUUAUUAAUUAAAAGUCUUUUCUCAUUAUUGUCCACUGAUCAAAUCAGGUAAUUUGAUCUGACGGCUCGGAACCAACUGAAUCUCUAGAAAACUAUUAUUACCCCUUCGCUGCAUAGUAAAUUCUCCAAUAGAGAAAAAUUACCUCCGAUGUCUUCUUCCGGCACGACGGCGCAGCGGUCUUGAUCGGAGCAGCUCCUUCUUCUCUCUGCUCAACCAAUAACCAAAUUGGUAAUUAAUUCCAAUUUUCAGAAUAUUGAAAAACAAAAUAUAAAUAAUAAACGUAUUAAAUUGCUGUUUUUUUAUUCUUUAUUUCCAUAAUUACUCAUAAAUAUGCAUUAAAAUUGAUAUUUUUGGUGAAAUUUAAUAUUACAAACCUUGAAAUUAUCCUUUUCUAAAAAGUGUGUAAUAAGUGAAUAAGCUUUUACUUUUCCGUAUCCAAUGUAUAAAAUUGAGAGAUGAACGUAGAUUUCACUUAAUUACUUGAAAAUUAUUGCAUAUACACGCGACAAUAUAUUUAUAGUUGAAUUUGGCAAAUGUCUUAAAUAAUAAAGUUAUAUUUUAAGAUUUAAAAUAGACAUCCGAUUUUGCUUCAUAUCUAUAACAUUUGUCUAAAAGUUCAUUAGAUAUAUAGAUAUGAACUAAAUUUAGACAUGUAGAAAAAAAAAAGUAAUUAUUCUUCCGUCUAAAAUUGAAUUUGUUAAUUCAAUCAGUUUCAAAUGGUUUAAAUUAUUUUUAUCGUUAAUAAUUAAUGCAGAGACAUAGUUUUACUUAUUUUGACCAAACAUAUGAAAAUCACAAUUAGAAAUAUAAAAUCAAAAUAUUAAAUGGAGGUAACAAAAUUAUAUGUUUUAAAUUUUAUCACAAUUUUAUCACUAAACAUAAAUAAACAAUGAUUUAGUUUUUGUGAUAAAAAGUUUCAAGAUUGGUGGAUUUGUCGAUCUAUAGAUAAUUAAAAAUCAGAACUUAUUUAAUUUUGAGAUUAAAUUGUUUCACCAAAAUGUGUUUUCUUUUUACCGAAGACUAAUCUUAAGUUUAAAGAACAAAAAAUGAUAUUAUAAUUAACCAAAAAACAAUUCACCUUGAGCGACAAAAUUGGACGGAAAACCUUCCUUAUCGGCCGGAAAACUCAGCCACUUCCUCGCAACAACCCUCGGCCACGACGACUGCACGGCGGAGCAACAAGUCGACAAAACGUCACAAGCAGAAUCCAAAAAGGAAAGAAACGACAUGUCGCAAAACUAUUAAACCUCCAUCCGUUAAGCAAAGCCAAUCUCUUACCUUAAAGAUCUUCCCUCGCUUCAUUCCCAUUGCUCCGUCGUCGUCAACUACCGAGAAAGCAAAUCAAAAUCUUUUCCUUCUUCUCUCUUUCAGGCCAGAAACCGCCGACUGAAACGGCGGAGUCAAUCAUUAAUGCCAAAAAAAUGCAAUUCAUAAAUUAGUAAAGAAUGGUAAUAUCUUUUCCUCUAUUUUAAAAAAAUUAAAGUAAGUAAUUAAAAAAGAAGAGGGAGUAAUUAAGUGGUUGAUUAAUAAUAAAAUUGCAACUGGGGUUUGAAACAGACUUUAAUUAUUGUUUUAAUUAACGUUUUCAACGCCAAUAUAAAAGACCCAAUUGCAGCAGAAAACGGAGACAGCCAGCCUCAGACAAAGAACAAAAAACAGAGAAAAUGAAAUAUCAAUAAAAUAGUGCACAAAGAAAUUGAUUUUUUUUAUAAAAAAAAUAAAAAUCUCAGCAACCCAUUUCAGAUCUUAUGAAGAUGAUCAAGUCCCAGUUCCCAAAAACUCUUUAAAAUUCCUUAUAUUGGAAAUUUUUCAAAAGAAAUAGAAACAGAGUUCGUCACAAUUUAUAUGAAAGAAUGAAAGGAUGGGAUUGGUUGAAAUGGUGAGAUCGGGUGUAAACAUUGAAGCUGAUCGAUGAGGAAAAAACAAGUAAAUAGAAUUAAACAGAGAGAAUAGAAUGUAAAAAUUAGGAGAAUUUGGGAGUGGGAAAUUGAUUAAAUACUUACCAAAGGAAGAGGGUAAGUGUAUGUUUAUGUUUUUUCAAUAAGCCAUGGUGGAAACAGGGGUUAGUACGGCGGCGAGAGGAGGAGAAGGUGACGGAGGAGACAGCGGAGGAGAGGAGGUUGGAGGCGGCGAUUUGGUGGUGUAAAGUGGAAAGAAAGGGAAGUAGUUGAUGUUUGUUUGGAAAAUAUUCGAAAGAGAAAGAAAAAUGAUAGUGUUCGUUUUGUUUGAAAGAGAACUACGACUGCCGUCUCUCAUCUACUUUCUUUUUAUGCAAAGAGACGAUGCCUUUUUUCUCCUUUUUUUUUUUUUAUAUAUACAUUUUCAAAUAUAAUUUUUUAAAAAUUCCAUUAAUUAAAAUAUCUCAAUUUUUAUUAUAAUUUAUAAAUAAGUUCAACAUUUUUAUUUUUCUCCCAAUUAAAAUUAGUCCCCAACUCCCCCAUAGAUCGAUAUGCAAUUGAGACAUUUUUAAAUCCAUCCUUUGUUGUUUGAAUCUUCGAGGGAAAAUCAAAUUUGAUUUGGUUUUAAGAUGUAAUAUUUGAGUUUUAUUUAAAUUUUGAAUCUUAAAUUUUAAAAUAUAAACUUUUAAUCUUCUAUUUCUUACUAACUACUCACAUUUAAUUUUGUCUCUUUAGGUUUAAUUAAUUUAAAAUAAUGUUGGGUGAGUUUUUAAGUUUAGUUUAAAUAAUGUCAGUGUAGUUAAACUUAACUAAUCAUGAUUAUUACAACUUUUAAAUCAAUUAAGAAAAUUUAGUAUUUGAGGUAGAAAUAUUUGGUAGCUUCGCUUUUUUUUUUCUUCAGUAUAAUAGUUGUGAGAAUGAGCAUUAAACUUAAGAUUGUGUAUGAUUAAAUUGAGUUGCAUAAUAAUUUUUUUAACAAAUCUAUAUGUUAAAAUAUCGAUGAGUGGAAGUUUAAUUGUUAUAUAUAUAUAUUACGUAAUGAUAUUUUUCCAAAAUUAAUCAAUCAUCGUAUAAGUUUAACAUUCGUUUUUUUCUACUUUUCUACUAUAUUGGCACGUCAUUUUAUGUUGAAUAAUGUAAUUUUAAAACUAUACAUAAUUGUUUCUUCCUUUUUAAAACCAUAGAAAAUUGAAUGGCUUGAAAUCAACAAGUACCAUAUGCUUUACAACAAUGAUUAUGAUUGUAGCGCUCUCUCAUUCUCAUUCAUUACAAAAAUGUACUUCCAACUCCAUAUAUAUAUAUAUAUAUAUAUAUAUAUAUAUAUAUAUAUAUAUAUAUAUAUAAUUCCUUCACCAUAACUUUAAACAAAUUAAGAGAAUAAGGAGAAGGUUAAUUGAGAUUGGAGUUUAAUUUAAAUUAUUGUACAUGUUCAACUUUGGUUUGAAAUGUACUAAUUAAUCAACUUUUUGGUAGAAUAACACUAAGAUAAAAUAGUCAACAAAUAAGACUGACCUUAUUUAUUAAUUAUGUUUUCCCCCUCUGACUUAUCUAUCCCUACUUGUGAUUAAUUCAAUUAAAGACCCUAUUUUGGAAUAAUUAUACUAUUUAAAACUAAUGUUCAUGAAAAGUCUAAUUAACCUCCAGUGGUGUGGUCUAGUUUGAGCUAAUUUUAUAGUUUAAUUACAUGAAUUUUGUUAUAUUUUAAACUUAACCCUAUUUUUAUCAAAAAUAGUGUAUGUAUAUAUAUAUACAUGUAGAAGAGAAUAGAUAAUAUUUCCAAUAUAUUUGUGGUGAGAACUGUUUGAAUGAUGAAUUUUUGUACACAGAGUUUCCUUAUCAUAAACUGUGGUUUUCAAUCCUAAAGGCAUUAGCCAAAAAGUUUGGGAGUUGUUUACGAAAUAGGGUUCGAAAAAUGGACAAAAGCAUCCAAAAUAGCCUUUUGGAUUGUACUAUAUUCAUUUUCCUUACAUUAUCAAAAUUAUUGACAAAAAUAGCUAUAUUUCUUUGAAAUUGUGCCAACAAUUUUGUGUGGGUAUGACAAAUGAAAUAAGGUUAUUGUUUUCUAAAUACUUAUCUUUAAAGAACUAUGUACUUGUUCUUUUAGACUUACUUUUAGUCUAUUUUUGUCGUUGUUAUUCAAUCAAUAUUGUUGGACGUCAUAUUCUAUCUUUUUUGUAAAAUUAUAAUUUUAAUGUUCGAGCGUAUAUCAAAUCGAUAUGAUAUUCAAUAACCAAGUUUGUGACCUACUUGGCCAGUUAUUAGCACCAUAAACAACUAUAUUGAGCUUUAAUUUUAAUCGUGAGAUGAACAUUAGAUAGUGUUUUUCGAAAGCUAGGUUUGAAUUCGAAUUCCUUUUAAACCUUUGGUUAAUAAAAUGCAUUAUUAUAAAACAAAAUUUCAGACUAUAUCAGACAUUGAUAUGCUUUUAUCAGUUAUAUUGAUAGACAGUGAUAAAAGUCUAUCACUAAUAGAAUAUAAUUUUUUGUUAUAUGUUGUAAAUAUUUUAGUUUAUUUUGCUAAUUGAAAAAAUGUUUCUUAUUUAAUUUAUAUUUACUUUUUUUAUUAUUAUGGUAGAAAAUGAAUAUAUGUUUUAAAUGGUUGAACUGCACUAGAUUAGCAAGUACAUUAUUUUGUAAAAUAAUAUGUAUAAUAUUACAUAUAUUUGUGAAUUUAGUAUAGUUUCAAAAGAGACUCGAGCUUUCGUUUAACUUUUGAUGGUAUAUUUUUCCGAAUAUUCGAAAAGGAAUUUAUUAUAAUUAAAGACAUAAUAUUCAAAUUGAUACCGUUUGAUUAAUAAUGAAAAAUUUACAUAAUUAAAUAAAAAUAAAAAAGUAGUUUUAAACGAAAAAAAGAAUUGAUUUAAUCUGAAAUAUUGGCGUUACACGUGGCCUAUUUGGGUUGCGGUAAGGUCAAGAUUUUGGAAGAGAAACACGCAAAGGGAAAUUAAUUAAAAUUACAUUAAAUUUGACCGUGUGAGUGCGCCACACCCGAUCACGUUUUCCGUAAUAUAUAUAUAUAUUAGUUUAAGGUUUAUUGCUUUUGUUUGGAUAUGGCACAUUUUAAAUGACAGACCAAUAAGAAAGAGCCAUGUGUCCCAUUAUUUUAAAAUUCCACGUGGACGGCUGUGUUUCCUCUCGGAGAUCCUGAAGAUCUUGCUGUUAUUAACCUAACGCAACAACAGGUGGUAACAUUUCUGCUCAUAAUUAUAAUCAUAUAUUAUGAUUAUGAAAUAUUAAUUCUGGAAUUUAUAAGUUUUGAAAGAGAUUAUCUAACCUAAUACAAGAAGUUGGUAAUGUUGAUUAUACAUUUUCGUUUGUUGAGGUCGAAGUUUCAAUUUCUCGUUAGAGUCGAUUAUCAUGAUUUGGAACUAUCAUUGUAUAAUCUACCAAAUAUAAUCAUAAAUUUCACGUGCCACUUUUUUAAUAGAUAUUUUUAAUAGUUCAUUUUCUUUGUGAUUAAAGAUUUCAGUUUCUAGAUUUUGAAAUUUGUUCAAUUUAAUCCAUAUAUAAUGGUUCAAUUUUAGCAAAAUGCACUUUUGAUCAAUCUUAAAUUUAGUCAUCAAUUCUAUUUUUUCGUUUAUUUUUUUAAAAAUAUCUUGUUAUAUCUUUAAAAUUUUAACUAUAACUUCUAAGAACGUUACAUACUUUUAUUUUAUUAAAGAAAAAAAUAUAAUUUUAUCAAUUUUCUUCAAAAUUAACUUUGAGAGACUAAAUUUAAGAUUUAUUGAAAAUACAUAAAUAAAAUUGAACAAUCAACCUGUGUAUGGACUGAAACUGAAUUACCUCAACACCAAAACAAUAUUUUAAUAUUAGUUAGUUUUCUAAAAAAUAAAAGGAAAAAAAGUAAAAACUAUAAUCAAAUUAAAGGGUUUGUAUCUUUGAACUAAUGAAAUUAUCCAAACUAAAGGAAUUAGGUUAAAUUAUAACAAUUGUGUAUAGUUGUAGUUAUGGUGCUAAUUGUGAACAAUUUUUUUUAUAAACUAGUAGUUUUGAGAGAUUGUAUGCUUUUUAAAUUAUUGUAUACUUACAUUGUCCAUUCAAAUCAUAAUAAAAUUGAAUCGUAAAAUAAAACAAUUUAUUAAUAUAAACAUAUCUCAACAGUUAAAAAUAUACAAAAUUACUCUAUGUCGAACAUAUCUCAAAUUGAUGGAUGACGUUCAUUAUUAAUACGUGUAUAAUGUAUACUAAUUCAACGAAAAGAUAUCAAAAUGAAUCAAAAGUUUUGAAAAAGUUCAAAUUGUUUAGGAUUGAUUUGCUCUUUUUCACCCAUCAAAGCAACCUCACACCAAUAUAAAAUGAUUAACAACAUUAAAAACAAGUUACUUUUGUUGACUCCAUAUCUAAAAUAAAUCUACCAAAACAUUAUAAAAACUAUAUAUUAAAAAGAAUACAUAACUAAAUCAUGUUAUUACGGACACGUACCACAUUUAAUUUCUUGGACAAACUUUUUUGACUUUCCCAUUACCAAAACAAUAUAUAUAUAUGUGUGUGUGAUUUUGUGUAUAGUUUGAUUAGUGCAUUGUUAUAGUGAUAGGGAGCUAUAGUCCAAAGAGAUUUAAUAAUUUUCAUUAUCCUAAGAAACUUCUAAUUAUAUGUCACACUCUUGAUCUCAAUUAAAUCAAGAAAAUCACAUCUUUGUCAAUCUGUUUAAUUUCUCCUUUUUCUUUUUUAUUAGAUUAAGAGUAAUAUGUACUGAUGUUAAUCCAUAAACUACUUGUUUUCUUAUGCCAUAAAUUAUCUGUCUAAUAUUCAUCAAUGGGGACCCUCCAUAUGUUAUCCUAACUAGUUGUGUCCAACUAAUUAAAUGUGAAAAUUAAUUAAUGUAAAAAAAAAGACAAAAAACCAAAUUUAAUUGGAUUUUUGGAGAAUAUUUCAAAAUGUUUUUUCACGUCACUUGUAUCUUCGGGUGGUAUUUGAUGAAGAUUUCAUUAGUAUUAUAAUUGAUUUGUUAUUGAACUUAUCGUCUUAUAAGGUUGGGUUAAAUAUAGAAAUGAAAUAUAUCUACAACUCCAUAUAUUCAAGUAGAGAUUAUCGAAGAAGUGAAACAUGUUAAAUCUUGCGGUACAAAGUUUACUUAAAAACCCCCUAUUUCAUAAGCUCAUUGGUAUCGUUGUUGGACAUGGAAAAAAAUGAGAAAGUACCAUAUAUAUAGUAUAUAGUAUAUCGUAUAUCGUUAUUAUAGUAUUUAUGUUCAAUCCCAUAUCAUCUAUGAAAUUUAAUUUGUUAGCAAUUAUGAGGACCAUCUAAUUUUAAAAAAUUAAGCUUAUAAUUAUAUUGAUGUUCACCGUUAAAUUUAUUUAUUUUAUCUUACUUUUACCAAAGUUUUAAAAGCCAAUAAUAUGCAUAGUUUUCAAAAACAACAACCUUCAUCUUACCGUAAUUAGUUUUUAAAAAAUGACCAUAAAAAACUAAAAACAAAAGAAUAUUAUAACAAAGUUCACAUUAUAUUAGUCUUUGAAUUAUGCAUGGCCUCACACAUAAUAUCAUAACUAUAUAUAAAUAUAUAGUUGAAACAAUACAAAUAAGAAUCUUUGUUGUUCUAAAAUUAUUUCAAUUAAAUUCUUUAACAUUUAAAAAUCUUAAACACUAAAGCAUAGUAUAAAAUUUAAAAUAAAGUCAAAGUUGAUGCAAUCACGUGGGGUGUGAAUAAUACAACUUUUUAUUAAUACUCUUCACCCUUUAUUAUGGCCUAUAGGUAUAUAUAUAUAUAUGUAAUAGACUUUUUGAAUGAUUUAAUUAGGAGAAUUUGACUUUCCAUUUUCAUGUGAUUGCCAAGCUUUAUCCUACUCAUCCAUACGAAGAGGGGUCAUCUCAUCAUGUUCAUUUUAAUUUUAAUAUAUGCUUUAAUUUUCAAUUAUAUGUACUAAAGUUAUAUAUAUAUCAUAUCGAUGUAGAUCUAGUUUCAUAUUUUAUUUAUUUUUAAUAACUCGAUAAAGUGGAUAUUCAUUUUAUUAUUCAUUUAUCUAUAACUCGUUAUUCUUUUUCAUUAACCUUAAAAAAGUUUAAAUUUUUGAGAAACUAAAUUCAUUACUUUUUCUCGUUCAUAUAAAAAAUUAUUGAGAUAAUCAUUAUACCUCUAAACUAUUAUAAAAUAUAUAAUAGUCCUAUACUAUAUAUCACUUGUGCUAUAAAUUUAUAUUGAUAUUCUAUGUCGAUUGUUUGGUUGUGAAUUGUGUGGUCUAAAUUUGUUUAAAUUAAAAUUUACGUAUAUGAAAGCACAAAAUACAAUUAUGUUUUUUCAAUUGACCUACGACGAAUAUCGUUGAUCAAUUUGACUGUUGAUGUGAGGAAUAAAUAUUUGUAUAUAAUCGGUGAAAGCAUGAGAUAAAUAUAUGGAAAUGAUUAGAUAAAAGAUAAAUUUGAAAUGAAAAAAUGUAAUGAAAGUAGAAGUUGAGUUAAUGAUUGCUUGAUGAUGGAAUAAUGUAAGAGUGGAUUAACAUAAUAUUAUUAUUUACAAUUAGUUAAUGAGAGAUUAGUGGUUGGGGAAAGAUAGACUAAUCAUUGAAAUGAUUUGGAGUUGUAGCUAAUUUAGUUAAUUUAAAUCUCUUCUCCUUUUUUGCUCAAAUGUGUGCAAUGGGCCAUUGUUGUGAGAAUGUGUUAUUAUGAGUGCCCAAAGCACUACCCCUUAAAGCUCAUUUCAUAAUUUCUAUUAUAUAUAUAUAUAUAUAUAUAUAUAUAUAUAGAUGUAUGUAUAUAUUUGAAAAAACAACUACAUAGAAAUUAAAUAAAGUUUUUGGUUGUCAUUGAUCGUUUCAUCUUUACCAUACAUGUACUUAAUCAUAACUUAACCAUAGGUCUGUAAUUUUGGUCUAUUAGUCCGUGACCAGAUCUCACAACGUUGUUCUAUAGUUUAUUAUGUAAGUCGAUAGAAAAAAUAGUUAAAAUGAGAUUUUAAUUAAUGUGAAAGAGAAAGAUAAAAUAUAUUUUUAUGUAAUUUUAAAGGACAAUUUAUAUAUGAAAUUGUUUGUUCAAAAAUAUUUUUGUUGUUUAAUUAUGUAUGUUUCGUAUUUAUGGUAUAUAUAACACGUGUGUGACGACUUUCCAUUCAACACGUUUUUAUUGUUAACCUUUGAUGUUUCAUAUUAACGGUUAACACAACAAUUUGAAUCCAAAUGGUUAUAAUAUAUAUUGAGACAACAAACCCUAAUUAAUUGUUCAUAUCCCAUGUUAUAAAUUACACUCCUAUUCACAAAAGGGAUUGAUGAUUGUUUUAUCACGUGUAAUCACUUUGAUAUGUAGCGAGACACAUGACGUGAUUGUCCACUAUUCAAGCAUAAAAUAUGCAAAUUUAAUAACUCGUUUUCUUUGACUUUUUACUUAUUUGAACUUAAAAGGGACUCUAAUACCAUAUAAUAGAGAAACAACACGACGUUUAAUCUCAAAACAAUUGACAAUAAGAAAGAUAAGUAAUCGAUUUUUCAUAAACGAGAGAUUGGAUGUUAAUCAAUCCAACCUAUAAAACAUGUGAAUCAACAAGUUUUUAUUUUCUUCUUUUAAAAAAGCACAAACCCACCACACCAACCAACCCCAAUGGCAAAGUUUAUGCACAAAACAUCCCAUUUAGUUGAAAAAGUAAUACCCCAUUUUCAAAUAUGAUAACAAUUAUUGGAGGUUAGGGAGAUGAACCUCCCAUUAAACAUACUCAUUAACAUUAAUAAUCAAAUGAUCAAUCAAUCUUUUUCAACUCUCAAUUUAAAUCCCAUUUUGUUGUCCUAACUUCUCUGUCUCUUCUUCACAUUUCCAUGGAAUCUCCUGUGUUUUUGGCAUUUUGGACCCAUUAAAAAAUAUUGUUUCUCUCUUUCAUUGUUUUGUUUAUUGAUUAUUAUUCAAUCUUUCCUCCUCUAAACAAUGACAUUCAAUUGCCUUUAAUCUUUCUUGUUUAACACCAUAUACAAUUUGAAGCAUGAUUCAAGUGUAUAUUAGUUUUUUUUUCUUCAUAUCAACUUCAACCACCCAACUUUGGAAUAUUAAAUUAAUUAAUCCAACCUAAGUUUAUGUUUAACAUAAAAUUCAAAUUCUCUUCCUCACCAAAACUUUGUAAACUUGACAAAUAUUCUUAGUAGGUGAAAUGUUGGUUUAUUUAAUUUUCAAUAUAUAUGUAGGAAUGUUUGGUUGUUCAUUGGCUUUCAUAUCGUGUAACCCCACUAUUUGUUAAAUUGUAUAUGUAACACGUUUACACUUUUUGAAAUGUAAUUUUGACCCUUUCGUUAAAAAAACUCAAUCUCACUAGAAUUAACCAUAAGAUCAAUCCAUAUAAAAUUUAAAAUCGAAAUCUUAUUAAAUUGUCUUUUAAUAAAAUCAAAAUGUAUUGAGUUUUUAUUAUUAUUAUUAUAAGAUUUAAAUCUUGAGUGGCUACUUGAUUUUAUUUUUAUUCGUGACAAUGACAUUAAUGUAAUGUAGAGUUUAAACAACACUAUUAGUGAAUAAUAAUUACAAACUAGCAGAUGUUAAUGAUUUGGCAUUUUCUCAAUAAAGAGCAAUACUUUUAUUUUCCAUUUCUUUUAAAUUCUAUAAUGAAAUAAGUAAAAAGAAAUAAAAAUUGAGAGAGACACAACACUUCAAUUUAAAAUAAAAUGCUUUAUUUAGAGGAAUUAUAAAUGAUUUAUAUGUUAUGCCUAUCGUAAUGGCUUUCAUCAUUCUUGAUAUUGUCGACUACUUGAGUUUAAUACACACAGAGUACUUUGAAAUUAUAUAGACUUUGUGACUUCUUCUGUAUGCAUUGAAAUAAAUAAUAAUAAUAAUCUCUUUUGGUAAGUGUGGAAGAUUCCAAUCAUAUAUUUUGUGAAGAUUAACUAUUUAUUAAUUGUAAUGACUUUACAACAUGUAACAAGUUAGUUAGGUUAUAACUUAUAAUAUAAUGUUAUGAGAUAUUUGUAUAUACACUUGCCCAUGUGGGCUCGGGAAGUCAUUCAAACUAAAACAAGGACCGUUAUUCUUUAAGAUUGGAAUCGAAGAAAAUGAUAAUUAAGUAAUUAACUGUAUCUAAUGCAAGAUUUAUCAAUACGUUAGAAUUACAAUGUAAAGGAAGUAUAUGAACGAAAACCAUUAGUACUCUGCUUUUAUAAGUUUUAUAAAUAUUGUUAAAGAAGUCCAUGUCGUUGGUAUGGAGAUAGUGUUGGAAACAAAUGUCGAUUCUCGAUGUGAUUUUUAAUCAAUUUUUUACGUUGUUUUAAGUUGGAAAGUUUAUAUUAGUAGAAAAUCAAAGUGAAUAUUUAUGUUUCAUUUGAUUAGUUAGUAGAGGAUCUUAUAUUGAAUUUACUAUCAGCUGUUAAAUUACAACUUUGAGUCGAUACAUAAUUUGAUGUAAUUAAACAUGGUAUCAAAAUUAUCUUAUGGCUUUAUAAUAUGCAAGGGCAAUUGGGUCUUUUUGAGUUGGUAAUGGGCCGUAAGGCCCAAGUUUUGAAAGAGAAAUAGUGGGCUCUUAUUUUCACGUUCCCGCCAGUAAAAUGGAGGAAUUUUAAAAAAUAAAAUUUCUUUUUUCUUUCUUUCUUUUUUGCUAUGAGAUGGGACCCACUUGUUCUUAACCAUAGUUAGGAAAAUAAACCGUUAUUCCUGGUUAGGUUAGCUUGAUCAUCAACCUGGGUUAAUCCCGUACUGGUUCCGACUUCUGUUCGAGAUCUGUUCCACGAUUAGGGUUUCGAAUGUUGAAUUUCCGUCAUCUUUGUUAGUUGAUUUCUUCGGUUUUCUUAGUUUUUUUGGAAUUAGGAUUGGUGUUUCGAUUGAAGCUCUGUCGUUGAGAUCUUCGACUUCUCUGAGAAUUUUGUGUGGGACUUGAGAAAGAAGAGAAAAUUGGGGAAAAACCAGGCAAAAUGGAGACUCAGAGGAUUAUUGAAUUUCCACACAAAAACAUGGAUAAACGUCCCAGGAAGAGACAGAGAUUAGCGUGGGAUAUGCCUCCUCCUGUUCCUCCACCGAAGGUAAUGCUUCUCGGGAUUUAUUAGAUUUAUUUUGUGUUUUUCAGACCUAAAUUUCUGUUCUUAGGAAAUGGUAAUUGUUGUAAUUCGUUUUCCAUUUUAUAAGAUAGCUGUGCGUUUGGAAAGGAGAUGUGAAAUCUUCAAAUCUUGGAAAUGGAUUUCGGCUUUUUAUGUGUUUUGUCCAUAUUAUGGCACCUAGAAUCCAAAGCGUUUGUGUUUUGACGACCGGAUUUGUGUUUGACAUAUGACUUUUUUAUGAAUUCAGGUUCUUCCACCACCAUACUGCGGGCAGGAAUUUGGGAAUGGGCAAGUUCCCAAUUAUGCAUAUCCGUCCAUGUAUUGCAGAGGAGCUCCACGCGUUGGAUCGCCUCCAUGGAGGCCUGAUAAUAAAGAUGGGCACUAUGUAUUUUCCAUUGGGGAAUGCUUAACUCCUCGUUGUAAGCAUCUCCCAGUUCUCUGAGUGUAGUACAUGGAUUUGCUUUUUCUAAUUGUUAUCCCUUGGUACACUUUAGACACUUAUGAGAGGGAUCAGAUUGGUGGUAAAUUUGUUGGAAUUUGUUCCUAAUUUGGAAGUUAUAUGGUUAUUUAAUGUUGAAUGUGGUAAUUGAUGGUUGAGACAAUCCUACAUUGUAUUUGUUGAUAAUUUGUGUUUAGGGUUGAUAUUACUGUCAUUAGCUUAUGUCUUCUGUUUAUGCUAUCUGCAGACACAAUUUUGAGCAAAAUGGGUGAAGGUCAGUACAUUUUCAUGAACCUAAUUUUCCUUUAUUCUCACUGUUGCUCCUAUUUAUUGGUUUUUUUUUUUUUUUUUUUGUCUUUUCUCUAUUUCACAGUGUUUCAAUAACUUUUUCUUUUUCUACUUCAGGAACAUUUGGGCAAGUGUUAGAAUGCUUGGAUAGUGAGAAAAAAGAGGUUGUAGCUAUUAAAAUUGUUCGAUCAAUAAGCAAAUAUCGUGAGGCUGCCAUGAUUGAAAUUGAUGUCCUUCAGAGGCUGGCUAGGCAUGAUAUUGGAGGCACCCGGUAAGAUUUGUUGAAUCUCACUUCACUCUUUUUGUUGGAGAAGUUUCAUGUAAAUAUUAGUAUAAGUGGUUUCAUUCUUUGCAGUUGUGUGCAAAUUCGGAAUUGGUUUGACUAUCGUAAUCAUAUAUGUAUUGUAAGUAUUUGUUAAUAUCUCCUGAUUUGAUUAAUUUGGAGGGGCAAUGCUAGUUCCUGCAUGCCUGAGUAUUGUGUGAGUUAAAAGAAAACUUGCGGAUGAAUUUAAAUGGUUUGGACAGGUAUUUGAGAAGCUUGGACCAAGCUUAUACGAUUUUCUUCGCAAAAACAGCUACCGUUCAUUUCCGAUUGAUCUUGUUCGGGAGUUUGCCAGACAACUUCUGGAGUCUGUAGCAUGUGUGUGAAUAAUUUUUGCAUUUUUUCUGUUAUUUACUUGAUGUUGAAUACACCUAAAGGUGGAUUCUGGAAUUGGAAUUGCUUAUUGAAAUCAUGGCAGUUUGUUUGCUGGAGCAUGAAAUAACAUAUACAUUCGAAUGUCUGUCUUACUGGCCCUUUAAAUGAUUUUCUGUAGUUAUGCACGAGCUACGGCUAAUUCACACUGAUUUGAAGCCAGAGAAUAUUCUUCUUGUUUCCUCAGAGUUCAUUAGAGUUCCAGAUCAUAAGGUAUAGCGAUUGCUUUCAAUUUCUCUGGGUCAUAGAAGGACAAUAUUCUUGCAUGGUUGAGAUAUGUUACUCUCUUUAAAAACUGACCUCCUGCACUCUAGUUUUUAUCACGUUCAGUGAAAGAUGGUUCCUAUUUCAAGAAUCUUCCGAAGUCGGCUGCUAUCAAGCUCAUUGAUUUUGGAAGUACCACGACUGAACAUCAAGAUCACAGCUAUAUUGUUUCGACACGUCAUUAUAGGGCACCUGAAGUUAUCCUGGGUACCUCUUUUUUCUCUUGCAGUAACAUUUGUUUAUCGGUUGGCUAUGCUUUGCCCUUUAACUGCACACUGUUUUUAUUUUGUCUACAGGUCUAGGUUGGAACUAUCCUUGUGACCUAUGGAGUGUCGGAUGCAUACUUGUUGAACUUUGUUCUGUGAGUAUCUUCUUGUAGACUAGGUUAAAAUAUUCUGUUCUUUGAUUAGAUUUUUUUUAUUCUCAAACAAAUUGCACUUUGAUUCAAUUUCAAUCUGUGACCAAGAAUGUUUGGAAAAUUAGACUUUCCUUCUUUUUUGGCCCUUCCAUUUUGGAAGAUUCCUGAUAAAUAUUAUCAUUAAGUAUUUUGGUGACAAAAUUUAUAUGAUCUAUUAUCUCGGUUACAGUUAUUUUGGUAAUUGGCCACAUUAAGUUGUUUUAACUUUUUUUGGAUAUUAUGAAUUUCGUUUUUAUGUUCUCUGAUUAGUCUGGAUUUUUUUAACCUUUCCAUUUUAUUAUUUUCUUUUGCUUGAUGAGCAGGGCGAAGCACUUUUUCAAACGCAUGAGAACUUGGAGCAUCUUGCCAUGAUGGAGAAGGUUUUGGGCCCGUUGCCCCAACAUAUGGUUCUCCGUGCAGAGUAAGGAUUUUGUUCUCCUUUUAUUAAUUUUUUGGGUUGACUUUUCGACAAAGCCCUCACCAUUCUUUUAUUUUUGUGUUUUACCUUUUGCAGUCGCCGUGCUGAGAAAUACUUCAGGCGAGGCAUGCAGCUAGAUUGGCCUCAGAGUGCAACAUCUCGAGAAAGCAUGAGAGCAGUCUGGAAGCUACUGAGGCUGCCUGUAAAUAUUUCUAUCUUUCAUUUUCACUUGCCAUCAAUUUCUUUAUGUAAUCCUAGGUGUAAUUCUUUAGUGGUCUCUUAUGAAAUGUUCGAUGCAGAACCUUAUAAUGCAGCACGUUGAUCACUCGGCUGGUGAUUUGAUUGAUCUCCUGCAAGGCCUCUUACGUUAUGAUCCAUCAGAGAGGCUCAUGGCAAGAGAAGCACUAAGACAUCCUUUCUUCACUAGGGAUCUAAGAAGGUGUGGUUACCCCUUGUAGUUCUCUCAUUCACAUUUUAAUCAAAGAGUGAGCCGCUAUCGAGGGAGAAAGAAAGAAAGAAACUUUAAAGCGAUGAAUUGUUUCACCAAUAAGCUCAUCAUCUCUUUCUUUUUUCUUUUGUAAUCGUCAAAAUUCUUGUGUAGUUAAAAUUGAAAAGAUGAUUCAAUCACACUCCCAUUUCUUCCCCCAUUUUACUUUUCUACAUAUUACCACAUCUAUUCCUGAUAAAUUCCUAGUUUGGUUGUGGAGGUUUUUAUGCAAAACCACAAAAGUAAUGUACUAAUAUUCUUUUGUUUUUCUUUUUUGGUAUUGAUAUGUACUCUGGCUAGUUCAUUAUUUCCAGGUAAGCUUGGACAAGGACUAACAGUUGGAAUGUAGAUAGCAAACUAAAGACUGACGUGGAAUUGAAACCCGAGAGGCAAGACUAGCCGAAAAGAGCGUGUCUAAGAGUGAAUGAGCUUUUGACCCACCGUACUGUUUUUUGGUUACAACAGAUACAGAAUAGGAAAGCCAAACACGAAGAUGGAGGUAACAGGAAACGAUUGAGAACAUGCUGAGUAUAUAUAAAAAUUUGAAACCUCUGUUGGAGAUGGGAAUUGGAAAGAAGGCCAAUUAUUUUGUAGGAGGUUUUUUUGAUCAUGUGAAUGACGAAAGUUACUGGCAAUCAAUUGAUGAUGGUGUUCGGCUUUCAGGCUUUUUUAUUGCCUAGCAAUUGGUAAAACAUCAUGCAAGAAUGGCGUUAUGCGCCUUUCAACGACCAACCCAAAGGCCCUCGGAAAAUAUAAGAGUUCAAACCGGAGUUUGAAGAACCACUUUUUAAGUGUUUAUUUUUUUUUUUCUAUUAAAAAUGAUUUGAAAAUAAAAAUAAUUACGAGCAGGAAUUUAAUUGAUUUUCUGAAUUGAGUAAAAGAAACCCAAGUUUUUUUUCUCAUGUUUAGUAUUAUUUGCUCUUUCUUAUUUUUUAAGAAAAUAAUAACUGUUUAAGUUUGAACUAUGGAAAAGUCAAUUAAAAAAAAAGAAGAGGAAUUUAGUUUUUUUUCUCUAUUCCUUAUAAUAUAUUUGAAACUGGUUCCUAUUUAUUCUUACAAUUUUCUACUACAUCUGCCAAAAUCUGUAGCUAUUUUUAUUUGUUUUUCAAUUGUUAUCAAGUUUUGUUACGAUUUUCUAAAAUGUGCUAUAGAACACAAGCGUAAAAUAAAAAAGCAUAGAAAUUUAAUGAUGACAUUCAAGAAAAUAAUUUAUUUAAAACUUGAUACUUGAAAUAGAACAAAAUGUAUUAUUAAUCUCGAAAGAAGAAAACCAAAUAACGAAACUUGAAAUGAAAGAAAAAAACAGUUCACCUGAAUGAAAAAUAAUAAAAAAAAAUUGUGAGCUAAAGGAAUGAGGCCUUUGCAAAUAUAAAUAUUUUUUUUCGAAAAUGGCGCCAAUUAUAAUUGGCUUCUUUUGUCUUUCCUGUUAAACGACGUCGUAGGGGGUAUAUUAGACCAAGAUUCCUGUACGGCAGUCGGCCGUCGUCGUUAUUCUUCAUCAUCUACAUUGUGUGCAACGUGAUCCGGGUUUUGGAGCGCUGUAAAUCCCAUUCCUCUACUCCCAUCCGCCAUGGAUUCUCUCGGAAGACUACAAGACUGCCACCACUUACCGUCGUUUUCAAGACCACUUUCGUCACUUAGCUUCAGAACCCGACUGUCGGUACCGUCGUCGUCGUCUAAAUCAUCAUCCAGAGCAUUUCCCUCGUUCCAAUCGUCCUCCUUUGACUCAGUUUUCCGAACUCCGCAACGGCCCAGAUCCUCACUUCCCCUAAUUCUAGACCCUAUUUCCUCAUCCAUCCUCAAAACCACCAGCGUUACUCUUACCGCGGCCGCCGCUUUGUUUUUCAUGCGGUUUUGCGGAAAACCUGCUAUUGCAGCCCCCAUUCCUCCGCCUACGGUGGAUUCGGUGAAGGAAUCGAUGAAAGACGAAGGUUCUCGUGGAGAGAAAGAGACGGUACUUGAAGAAGAAUUGGUGAACGAUUCUGUUGAAGCUCUUCGAUCGCUCAUUGAGGUAAAAGUUAAGGCUCGGAAGUUUCCUGAAGCUAUUAAAAUUCUAGACCGUUUAAUAGAACUUGAGCCCAAUGAUUUAGAAUGGCUAGUGUUGAAGGCCAACGUUUAUAGUCAUGUGGGUAACUCUGAAUUAGCGAGAAAUGAGUUUCAGAAGAUUUUAGAGAAGGAUCCUUUUCAAGUUGAGGCUUAUCAUGGGCUUGUUAUGUUAACAGAAACAUCAGAUAUUGAUUCAUUGAAGGCGAUUCUGAACAGGGUUGAAGAAGCAUUGGAACAUUGCAAAAAACAUAAAGGCAAGUCUGAGGAAAGGGAUUUUAAGCUCUUGAUAGCUCAGAUUAAAGUUAUGGAAGGAAGUUACUCUGAAGCUUUGAAAGAUUACCAGGAACUUAAGAGGGAAGAACCAAGGGAUUUUAGGCCAUACUUGUGUCAGGGAAUUCUUUAUACCCUGCUUAAGAGGAAUGAUGAGGCCGAGAAGCAAUUUGAGAUAUUUCGAAGACUUGUUCCAAAGAACCACCCUUAUAAAGAAUAUUUUGAUGAAAACAUGUUUGCAGCCAAGCAUUUCGUACAGCAGAUUGAGAGGGAUGCAGCCGCUUCGAAUAAUUGAUUGUCUUUUUAUAAUAUCUUCAUGACUUUCUGGUUCUGUAACCGAUGGUUUUGUUGCUUAAAAACUGUCAUGGUUAGUUGAAAUUAAGAGAUGAAAGGUAAAUAUGUUGUUAUUCCCAUUUUAGGGAGCUUGAUGAAUGUAGCUGUUUAGCUGAAGUUGCUCUUUGGAUCCCAUUUUUACAUUGCACAUGCCUUGGUGCAUUGAAUUUCAUGUCUAAUCGUAGUACACUUCGAUAAGUUUCUGCAAGAAAUGUAUAACCUGAAAUAAAUGACUGUGCUUUGGACUGAGUUAGAUAAGUUUCUGGCUUGUUCAAAGGAGAAACAUUUUGUAAGUUUGGACUUUGAAUUUCUUUCUUAAAUCUUAACUAGCUGGACAUUGGAAUCGGCUUCUGCAUUGUAUCUUCUCUCUAACAGGGUGACGGAUGAAGAUUAUGCAUUGUAUCUUUUCAUUAUUGCAAAUUGUAAUAUCAUUCACUUGAUUGAUUUUUAGGCCUUUAGUUCUGAUCAAUAAAAGGAUGGUGGUAGUUCUGUUUUCUUUCUUGUUGGUUUCUUUAUAUUUACGUCUAAUUAGCACAGAGUUUAGGAAUGUUAAAUUAUCCUUGAAAAACACCAGAUUACUAUUACUAUUCUUUCAAUUCGUUUUGAUUCGAAGGUGAAUCUCCAUGCUUCGUGGAACUUUGAGAAGAGUUGUGGUGGAUUAGAAUGGGUGAUUCAUGGUUCUCUCGAAUCUCCUAUUUGAAUAGGGUUCUGUAAUUUCACUCAAGAUUGGUUCGCUAAGUUGUUGGAAGCCCAAACGAUUAUCGAGUGUCUCAACCGUCUUUCUUCUGUAUCUUCUUUUAUUGCGGUUGAAUCUUAUGCAGGGAGGUGGUGGAUUUGAUUAACAACUGCUCUCCAAAGUUCGCUAAGGUGGAGUAUGCAAUUGACGAGAUUGGAGCUUUGGGGAGACAUUUGGGUUGUUUUUUUUUAUCCUUCUGUCUUCUUAUUGGAAAUCAGGUUGCUCAUACGUCACUGUAUUGUUCGUCAUGUUGCUGGUUCUUUGGAUAUUUUUUUUGGAGCUUUUCUUAAAAAAGAAGUUCAGAUUGAGGUUUAAUAGUAUGCCUAACUUUAUCGAAGAGGAAGGCUUUAGAUUUGAAAAAUGUAAUGGAGCCACAUUGUAUGCUUUUUGAAUAUUUUAGGUCAUCACCUACUCUCAACUUUUGUGGCCGUAUGUCUCUUCCAUGCUAGACAUUUCCCGUAACAUCUGCCCUUUUGAAUGCAAAACAUAAUUUUCUACCCUGAGAGGAAUUUGCCUCUUUUUCAUUUUACUAUUACAUUACACUUGUUGAUGUUAGACGAUUCUCAUGGAAUAGUGUUUAUAUUUCUUUUGAAUUGUAAAAAUGAAGGUUUGAGCUUCAUUUCAUUUAUGUCAUAUCGCAUUAAUUCAUCUGGACCAUGCAGUUGCAGAAAGCAAAGUACAAGUGGAGGCUUGGAGGCCAACAAUUCCCCUCUGGAUACGACACAAAAGGUUGGUUUAUACAUUUACUUGUCUUCAGUCAUAUUGAUGGCUGGUUUCAUGUGCGUACUCAUUGCUUCAUAUAGCAAAUGUCAAUUAAUUUUCUGUUUUCUUUUUUUACAUUUAUAACUAUGAUGAUCAUUGAAACAACUUGUUGAUUGUUCAGGUUGAAUAUAGUAUUGCACUUCUUGGUUUAAUGUAGACAUUGGGAUGAAUUUUGGAAUAUAGGUUUUAUAUAAGAUUGAGUUUAACAAUAUCAGGUUGGUUGUUUGGUCCUUGAGUUCUGAAUUUUGUGUUUAGUAGGUUGGUUGAUCUAUUCAACGUUUUAUUUUAAUUACGAACAUUAGGAACAUUAGAUACAAAAUUGAAAGCUGUAUGAUCAUAGAAUGAAUGGAUUGCCUUAAACUUGUCUUUUUCUUUUGAUAUCUGUGAGUGUUUGGACAACCCUCUAACAUACAAACAUUUGGGCUUGGUGACUAUGAUUGUACUCAUCACGAGAUUUCUUAGUUAAGUAUUGAGAUUAUGUCACUAAGUCGAUCCUUGUUCGUCGUGCAUAGGGAAAAAAAAAGAUAAAUGAUAAAAGGGAAUCUGAAAUUGGAGGGCCGAAAAUUGGGAUUUGACCUCAAAGAUGAUGCUCCACUCUUAGCAAAUUUACCUUUUUCCUUUUUAGUUUAAACCCAGAACUCUUGUCUCCUUCUUGGAAUACUCAAACAUUUCUACUAUACUUUUCUUUUUCUUUUCACAUUAUUUUCAUUCAAUUUUUGUACCUUCAGAUUUUGAAAUUUUGGGGUUACAUUUUGGUUUUUGUUUCUUAUUUUUAGAUUUUAGAUCUGGAAUUCAUAGUUAUAUAAUUUAGGAUUUCCAGUAGAAAAUGUUUUUACUGUGUUGUGUGUUCCUCUAAUUGCCUUCAUUGGUUACUUUUUCUUGAGUGUCAUUUUCACCUAUAGUAAAAUGAACAUUUUUUUUUCAUUCAAAAUACAUUACAGUGAUAGUUUACUUUAUUAUUUAUUACUUGAAAUUAAGUAGUGGUCUUUUGUUGUUUUUUUUCUUAAAAAAGAAUACAAAUGAUUUAAUGCAAAGUUCUCUUAAAGCAAAAUAAAUAUUGUAAAUGUUCUUAUCCUUUUUAGAAAAAUAGGUGGGGUCUUCCAAUAUAUUUUUUUUAUCUCUCCUCUUUUUAAGAACAUUUUAUUAUUUUAUUUUAUUUUAGCUGUUCUAAUUGUUAUAUACCUAUAUUUAUGCCCACAAAAAAAGGUUAGUUUCCAGAAACAAUCAAUGAUUAAAAUUAGUAAAAUUCCUAAUCUUUAUUUUGACUUUGGAUUAUAACUUUAAAAAUCAAAUCCCUAAUGUUGUUUAGUAUGGGCACGAGUUAAAAUGUCGACGUUGAUUUUAAUUAUAUAAUUAUGGAUAUAUUUAUAAAUGAUUGCUAUCAAAAUUUAUAAAAAUCAUUUAAAUUUAUGAUUGAGAUGUUUUUGCUCCUAAAUUAAAUGAGAUUAAUAGAAGAUAUUAAAGAGAUUAAUACUAAUCCUUAUUGUUAACGUCAAACUCUUUUAAUUACAAACAUAUUAGCGUAGAUUUCAAUUCAAUAACAAGUAUCUGAACCUUCAAUCUAUGAGAUUAUUGGGUUAAUUAUAAAAAUUUCAAAAUGAUAACAAAAUUUAAAAAAAAAUUCAAUCAUCCUUGGAUUGUUGUGAUGAUAUGGUAAGAUUUGUAGUAGACAUGGCAAAUAAACUUAGGUGAUUGCCCAUAUAUGUCACUUUUGUUUUUUUGUGCUAAGUCUAUCUCUAUAAAGUAAAAGGAAGGUUCAUUUGUCAUUUAUAUAUAUAUACACAAAUGUCCUAUCACUCUCUCCAUGUUUCAUGCAUCUCUCCUUUUUAGUUGCACAAUAAAACAUAUUCCAAUUUCUAUAAUUUCUUAUGAACAUUUUUGAAGUUUUAGUUUCGAAUUCUUUUCAAUUUUUAAUACCUCUAAGUAAAUUUAUCGAUUUGAAUAGGAUGAAUUUAAGUAAUUUUGGUAGAUGUCUAAAUUUUAAUAUCUUAAUUCGAUUACAUGAUUAUAUUUACGUAUGUGCAAGCUGUGUAUGGAUGGAAGUUUAUUUUGUACAUAAUCUUUAGAAUUGACAUUAUAUUUUGUUAAGAUACUAAAGUAAGUUAUACUAAUAGAAAUAAUUGAUAGCUGUGCCUCUAUAAUUGUGGGAGUCCACCACAAAUCCUUCCCUAAUUUCAUUAUUGUUGUACUUUUGAAUAAUAAUAUAAGAAAAAGCAGAUCUAUUUUUUAUUAAAUUAUAUUACGUGAUUAUUUACAUCAUUCAAUUUGCUUUUGUCUUUUGUAGUAAAAAUGUUGUUAUAUAACAUGAAAAUAUAAAGGAUAAAAAUUACUGGAAAAUUCAUAUUAUUUAAAAACUUAGAAUUAAUAAUCUAACUAAACAAAAUUAGAGAUUAAGAAUAUAAGUGUUUGUUUGAUUGUUUUGUUAGGAUUUUGAAUUUUUUUAAAAUUAAAUGAUUUUUAGCUAGAUUUUAAUUUGUACAAUUUUAGAUAUGAUUGAUUGAAGAAAAGUUCAAAUAAUAUAUAUCUUUUUUGGUAAAGAAAUUUUCAAAAUAAAGAAGAUUGAAGAUUUUAAAAAUAAUUACACAAAAGUCAAGAUGCUUCAUGCCACCAAACUUUUGUAAAUUCAUCCUUCUUUGAAUUACAGUGGAAUUCCAAAUCUACCCCUCUCAGCCAAUUUACAAAACUACCCCUUUUAAUUUCCCUAUCUUUCCUUAUACGAUAGUUUCAAAUGUCGACAUGGCGGCAUAAGCUUCCGACACGUCGACACUUUUUAUUAAGCCAAAUUGGCAUUUCAGUCCAUCCACUUGCCGCUCAUCUUUCUCAAUCCUUCACCAAUUUAAAUGUUCAAAUUCAUUUCUCUUUUUUCUUUUUUUUUUCCUCUCUCCGAUCGAUCCCUCCGGCGUUUCGAUUAACCGGAGCGGAACUUUCUUUUCUUUGAUUUGGAUAGGAUUUGUUCCUGUUCUACUACGCCACACACAUUCCUUAUUUAUUGUUCUUUCCAAUCUCACGAUCUGCGGAUUUUCGGACUGUACCGGAUUUUUUGAAUCUGAGAUUGAGAGGUGUCCUUCAUUUGCUUGUGGUGGAAUUCGAGGUACUCUCGGGGAAUUCGAUCGUGUUUUUGUUGACUGUUCAUUUAUUUAGAAAGUGCUUUUAGAGAAGCUUCGACCUGCUUCGACAAAAUAGGUAGGAGCUCACGGGAAUCACUUGUAUGAGCUUUCUGAACAGUUGUUUUGAAAGGGCGACGUAUUCGAGAAGUCUGUCGUUUCGUUUAGUUUUUUUCGUGAGGAAAUUUCGGUGAAGGAAAAGAGUACAGAAAUGAAUUUGUUUGUUUGUUUGUUUGUUCCUGUGCUUCUGUUGAAUGUACUGAGGUGGGAUAACGUCAAUCCAGUAUUUUCGUUUUUAGGUUUGUGUCACAGUUUUCUCAGCUGGAAAUUUGGGUGUUUUUCUUUUCUUUUCCUGUAAAAUCUUAAUGAACUGAGAAAGUUGCGACCCCCAUUAGUCUGAUUUUUUUUUUUUUUUAUUGUUUUUGAUAAUUUGAUUUGAAAAGCCAAGGAUUUGAUGUUUUGGUGUUAAUUGGUAUGGUGGUACUUUCAACUUUUCCUUUUGAGAAGAGAUAGAAUUGAGUAAUUGGAAAGAAUUUUUGUUUAUAUGUAUUUAUUGUUGUUUCUACUGUCGUCUGUUGCAGUUUGUCUGCAAUAUCAAGUCUCGGUGGUUAUUGCCUUAGCUUGAAUUCUUUGAAAUUAAAGCAGGUUUUCAAGAAGCUACUUUUUGACUUUUUUUUUCCCCACUUUUUUAUUCUUUUGCAGGGUUUUCUUCUUUAUAAAAUCAUCUCUUUCCGUAAUAAUUUUUCUGGAUGUAACUGAGGCGCGUGAAAGUAAGUUGCUCGGCAAAGUUAUCGCCAUGCAGGUACUUUCCGAAGUUCACCUUUAAAUUGAAUUUCAUUUUUGUUUUUGUGAACUCUUCAUUCCUCCCUUUGUUCUGCUUCUCUUUAUCUCCUUUUCUGUCCUUGUGUUUUUUACAUAUUUCCUGUAAAUUUAAAAUGAAUAUCUUUGGUUUGUUUUAGAACAUUGGAUUCUUUCUGUAGCAACACUUGAUUCCUUGAUAAAUCCUUUCAAAUUUCACUUUUUAAACUUGGGAUAUUUUAUUCCUUUCAAAAAGGGAAAAAAAAAAAAAAAACUCUGAUCCUUCACUCCUUUCUGGUUUACCGGAUUUUCCAGGUAAGAGCCAGGUUUUCAAAUCUCAUCAGCAGCUGAUUAUAUGUUGGUUGAACUAUGUGAUAUGGUCUAUACUACUUCCUUCAUCAAGUGGGUUUAGCUGAUUCCCCCUUGUUUUUGGUCGUUCUGUAGAAUGAAAAUGAAAACCGAACUUUUGGUUGGUAAAAUGAAUUCAAAAAUUGUAGUCCACGCUUAAGUUGAAGUGGGAGUUCUUUAAAGCAAGGUUAAAUAUUUUAGCAGAAGAAAUGUCUAAAGAGGUUGAAUUCAGGAGGUCACCGAGUCCCGUUGCUAAAUUGAUGGGUCUGGAUGGGAUGCCAGUGCCGCAUCGGCAGUCGUCUUAUAAACAACAGAUGACGGCAUCACCUGAAAAAUCUCAGAGGGGCCUUACAUCUGACGACAAUCAAUUGUAUGCACGGAGUUCGAGGCGGCAGCAAAAAUUUAAGGAUGUGUUUGAGGUACAGGAAACAUCAAUGAAAGGAAGCAGCAGUUUCUCAGUACCUAAGAAUUCAAAUCUGAAGCCUUCUCAGACAGAGAUGGAAUACAUUCAGAAGAAGUUCAUGGAUGCCAGACGUCUCGUAACAGAUGAGAAGUUACAGGGUUCCAAGGAAAUUCAUGACGCACUUGAAAUAUUGGAUUCGAACAAGAAACUUCUACUGAAAUAUCUCCAGCAGCCAGAUUCUCUGUUCAUGAAGCAUCUUCUUGACAUAAAUGAUGUUCUUCCUCACUCAAGUUGUAUUCAUAUGGCACCUUCAAAAUCAUCAGAUGAUGAGAAUCAUGGGUGCCAUGAAUCCAGUAGGAAGUUAGCGAGGAGAAAUCCACGGAAGAAGCACAGAAAAUCUCGCAAGCAUUGUAGCAGUCAUGUCAGUCCCUCUGAUUCUAAUUAUGUGGCGAAAUGUCCUGUUAAAAGUUCUAGAAUUAAAUUAGAGGACGACGAAAGAUUGUCUAUCUUUCCGAAAAGAAUUGUUGUUUUGAAGCCAAAUCUUGGGAAGGCGCAAAAUUCUUCUGGUGUUAUACCGUCCUCACAUUCUUUUCAGUCUAGCUGUAGGAAGCCAUCAGAAUUUGAAAGGAUGGAGAUCAGGGGGAUGGAAACUUUGAGGACAAAGAAUCAUGAUGACGGCCUAGGGGUAUCAAGUCAUGAGGUUAGACCUUCUAAAGAAGUUUCCAAGAAAACUAAGCAAGUGAGAGAGAAUUUUGAAUAUAGUUCCAUGAGUUCAUCAUUUGGAACAGCAAGACAUGAUAGGAAUGGAUGUCCUUUCAUUGGGAAUGAUUCGGAGGCUGGGAAAUGCAAUUCCAGCAAUAUGUUUGGCUUAAAUGGUCAACUCCAGUCUUCAUCCUUUCGUUACAAAAAGUCAUCCUUGAGUGCAGAAGCUAAGAAGAGACUAUCAGAAAGGUGGAAAACUACUUGUGACUACCAUAACACAGGUGCGGUUGGUAGGAGUUGCACACUGGCUGAGAUGCUUGCCAUGCCCGAGAAGGAAACUACACCUUCACAUAUGGAACCAAAGCAUCGGGGAGAAUCCAGCGGCAAAAUUUUUAAUGACCAGCGUAUUGAACCUUUCGGCAUAAGUAGUAGGGAUGGCUGGAAGGACAUCUGCUUAGAAAAGUUAUCUAGGUCAAGAUCUCUUCCUGCCUCUUCAACUUCCUUUGAGAUUGUUAAAACAAAUUCCGAAUCUCUGAGGAUGGAUCCAUUUGCGAUACCAAAAGAGGCCUUCAAGUGGGAAAGAAAGGAGGCAAUUAGUGAGAAUUUGUGCCUAAGGGAACAUAUAGGCCGCAGAAAUUCCAGACAUAGGAGAAGAAAAUCUCAUGGUUCUAUCUGCUCACUUGAGGAAUUUAGUGACCCUGUACUGGAGAUUUGCACUAGCCAGAAUCAAGAUAGUGAUUUUAAAGACAAUGAACCAGUCGAUAGGAAUCUUCUGGUUGUUGAAGAAUCAAUACAUUUCCCAGUUCAGGACCAAACUGAAGUUCUUGAAAGUUGGAUGAAUUUGAGAGUGAAAUCUGAAGAGGUGAUUGUAUCCUCCAAUGAGGAACUUCAACUUGAAUUGCCUGUUCAUUCAGUGGUAGAAGAUACUUCUCUCUCUGGGAAUCAGGGCUGUUUUAUCUCUAAGGUUUGUCUUAAAAUAUUCUCACUGUACACCUCAACUGCAUUUGAAAAUUUUCUCCGGUUUAAAACAUUUUGUUAUAUCCAGGGAUUGUCACCAGAAGGAUCUGAAGAUAUUUCAUUCCAAUUGAAAUCUGUAUCUGGAAUAGAAUCUCCUGUAAGCUCAAAGGAGGCUGAGCAGCCCAGUCCAGUUUCAGUUCUAGAACCUCCUUUUGCAGAUGAUCUACCACCUGGUUCUGACUGCUUUGAGAGUCUUAGUGCUGACCUCCAUGGUAAUUACAUUCGGUUACGUUCUCCUUUAGGCAUUUAUUGAAGUGAUUUGGCAGAUGACAUCAACCUAUGUUUGAAAUAAUUCUUAUACGUUUGCCUGUUGGUGUUAUUCAAGACUGAUAUUAUUCAAAUCAUGAACAUAUUGAAUUUUGCUUCGAAUGUGAAAUUGGGUGGUUUUCGUUUGUAUUUGUACAAGUUGUUUGACUCAAUUUUCAUCUUAAUAAGUAAAUGCUUAUAGUUUCUUGUCAUACCAUUGACUCUUCUGAUUAUCAUGCAGUCCAAUAAUUUCCUUUUUUUUAGUUCUCCAAAUUUAGCUAGACUUGCGAUUGAUGAAAAGGAAAAAAAAUAAAAUUAUUGAAUGGACUGAUCUAAUUUUCAUUCAUCAACGAGCAAGAAGAAAUGGAUGAAUAUGAUAUUGAGAAUUGAGAUCUAUAGAGUUACAAUAUAUGAUCUCAUUCAAGUAUUCUGAAAUGAGAACUAGUAAGGUCUCUAUAGAGACUAGAAUCUUAUGGCUUUAACUAUCAUUUACUUUCUGAAGCUGGAUAAGUUUUAAUUUGUUGUCCUGUGUAUCAUGAAUACAGGGCUUCGAAUGCAACUCAAGUUACUCAAGUUAGAGACUGAAGCUUUCACUGAAUCUGAAGAAACACAGCACAUCUCGAGUGAUGAAGAUGGAGUGGAAGGUUCCGUCGAGUCUCCAGAGGAUAAAUAUACAUCCAAUGGUGAAGAUAGCUGGGAGAUUUCAUAUGUAACUGAUGUUUUACAAAACUCGGCUUUUAAAGAUACUGAACCGGACAUGUUUGUUGCAAUGUGGCACUCUCUGGAAUGCCCUGUUGAUCCAUCUACAUUUGAGGAUCUCGAGAAGAAGUACGCGGGUAGGUCUUCUCAACCAAGGUCAGAAAGAAAGCUACUUUUUGACUGUAUAAAUUUAGGAAUUUUGGAUAUUUACCAAAAAUUCACUGACCCUUAUCCAUGGGUAAGGCCCCCAACAAUACAAGUAGGGUAUGGUGAAGGGCUUUGCAAUAAUUUGUGUAAGUUUCUAGCUAAGCAGCAAGUGAAGAAAGUAGAUGAAGACAUUGUAGAGAAAGUGGUGGGAAGGACGAGUCAAUGGUUAGUGUUGGGGUAUGAUGUUGAUGUAAUAGGUAAGGAGAUUGAGAGACUAAUGGUAGAUGAACUCAUAACUGAGGUAGUUGACAUGUAUUUAUAGAUUAUGUAGCUUGAUGUUGAAAUAAGAUAUUAAAGCCUUUUAAAAAAAAUUGCAUGAGAAGAAAAAAAACCAUUCCAUGAUUAAGUGAUGCAUUUUUUAGGUAAUAGGUAAGAAGAAUGCAGUCAGAAUCAAAUUGCUAUUUCUCAUAUAGCUGGACUACUUGGGCAAAUUAUUCAAAAUUAACUUUCUAAGGUUGUUUCUUACUUUUUUAAAAGAUAACAAGAGAAUGAAUCAACAAAUCACGUCAUUGUUAAGAGUAGAGGAUACUCAAAUUAGACCUUCUCCAACAAGCCUUGUAAGAAUUGCUCAACCACAUUCUUUGUUUAGAAAAUGCUAAUACAAAAUGGUUCAAUUAUAAGUUUGUUGUACCGCUACUAAAUUGUUUAUUACUUAUGGAUCAUGCAGUGGGGUGUUAGAUGUAGUUUUGCUUAGUGUCUAGACAAUUUUCCUUUUUAAAUUACAGGAGCUAAAUAAUCUUAUGUAAUAAACUUACAAUGUAAUUUGGGUUUAAUCAUUUAGGCUGAAACUUUACUCUUACCAAGGUUUGAACAGCUUCCAAAAGCCACAUUCUAUGGAAUAUUUUUGGAGAAAGACAAACCUCAUCGAUAACAAAGGCUUUGGGAACAGAAAAGGCAUGGUUGUUUUGUAUUACAGCAAGACAUUGUUAUGGGGAAUCCAAUUCCCUUUCUUUUAAAAAUAGGAUAUUGGUUCUCUUUCUCAAUAGUUUUGCUAGAAAGAUGCCACUCUUUUCCUUACUUAAAGCUUAAAACUUCAAAAGUAACAAAGGAAAAGAGAAUUAAAACUUGAAACUUCUCAACAGCAUGCUCUACAAUCCCAACUUUUUCCAUCUAUGAAAGCAUCAGAGUCCAGUUUUAAACUAGAUGUACAGUAAACUCAAACUUCUUUUUUAAUCAUAAGAUAUGAUUAAUCAAAGCUGUUUUUCUAGCAUUUCUUCUGUCGUGGCUGAUGUUGAAGCCACAGUCAACGAGGUGGAUACCGGUGACUGGGGCGGCGGUGGAGUUGGUGGUUGAGAAGUCCAAAACUUUGCAUGCUUUAGCUUUGAUACACUUGCUAAAACUCCCACCGGUGUUACAUCUCCUUCUAUUGUCACUUUUUUUGCUGCAUAGUCUAUCUUGAAGGAUGUAACUCCUGCUUCCAAAAUUUAAAGUUAAAUCUUUCUUAUGCUCAGUAUUUUGAUAGAACCCAAAUUUAUUGAAAUAUAACCAGUAGCCAACCUAACAAGAUAAACAAGUUUUCGAUGUACUUGGAUCCUCCCAAUCUUAGAAUUACUCUCCAAGCCGAAUUCACUCACUACAGUAUUGUGUAUCUUGUUCAUUCUCUUCACUUUCUUCUUAUAAUCAACAAGUACGACAAACUUCCUAGCUAAUUACUAACAUAACCUUAACUUUCAUAUCACAUUUUGGGUUAAGAACUCCUUUAUCAUAACAUAUAUUUGUUGUAAUAAACUUUUGAACCAAUACAAUACUCAUACUCAAUCAUGUCAAGGGAUAAUUUUGUUUUUCUUUAGGUAAAAGAUCCAAAUCCUUAGAAAGAAAAGAAAGAUUAAGAAUGGAUGUCUAAGAACAUGUCUGAAGAGGUAGCAGUUUUUACAAAGUGUUAUCAAAAGGGCCAAAGAAAAUGUCAAACACAUUCUUUAAGGAGGCUACAACUUACCUUCCAUUUUUGAAAGAUGUUUCCUAACUUUCCCUUCACAACCUUUACAGUGCAGUGACACCAUCAACACCACAACCUACAAACAAAACCAAAACCAAACAUUUCCAUUGAAAAAGACAGCCAUUUACCUUAUAGAAUGUUAAAAGUAGUUGCAUUGUUUUUUUUAUCCUCCAUAAUCAUGUUCUUUAUCACUAAAAGGUCUAGCAAAGUGGCAAACCUGUUUGGUUGGAGUUGGUUUGGGCUCCUCAGACAAUGUUGGUUGAGUUGUUGAAGAAGUAGACUCAUCUUGAUUUACCUCAGUUUUGAGUUCUUUGUUAUCAUCAACCGGGUUGAUAUCAUAAACAGGGUCGAUCUCCGGCAACUCGUCGAAAAAUUGUGAUUGUGUAUCACUUUCAAGUAGGUACCUAGAUGAUCCAACCAAGGGCGGAGGAGGAGGAGGAGCGACCAAAUCACUCAAUUUAGCAAAGCUCCUUGUAACAAUAUCAGUGGGAAUGAAGGAGCUCUUCUUCAAAAAAUCAGUAGAUGGAAGACUGUCAGAACUUUCCUUCUCUUCAUCUUCAUGUUUCACAAAUGGGAUUUUGUUCUUGGUUUUUCUAUUGGCUUUUGAAGAGGUUUUCUUGCUCUUUGUGAGUUGAUGAUGGUGAGGUUGGGGACUAAAAGGUGGUCGAGAAAAUUCUCGUGGAGGUGUUAAUAGAGUAUUUGGGGCAGUAAUGUUUCUUCUUCCAUCACAGAUGAUGGGAUUGUGACGAUCGAGAGCACGUCCACCGAGCUGAAUAACGGGCGAGGAAGGGUAGGAAGAGGACGAUGAAGAUGAAGAGGCUUGCUCAAUUUCCAUGCUUGAGUUCAUAUGGCUAUCGAGGCUUGGUAUACAUAGAAUAUAUCUAUGCCAUCCAUCUUUUGGCAAUGAUUUAUGAGAGAAAAAAAGAGAGAAAUGGUAUGGCUGGGAGAAUCUGAACCUAUGGGAAGAGAGAGAAAUGAAAGCUUUUACAGAUAGGCCAUUGUUCUUUUCUAGUUUUAAGCUCAGAGAGAGAGAAGCGAGAGAGAGAGAGAGAGAGAGAGUUUGAUUCUUCUUAUUACAUUUUGAAAAAUAUUGAGACCACUUUUAUUGGCUAAGAUUCAUAAAUAACGCAGUCAGAGCCCUCCAACUGAAAAGAAAAACAUGUAAAAUUGUAACAGGGAACUACAAUCUUUUCUAUCAGCCAGAGCCUUCAGAAUUUAUUUGAUAUGUCCAACAAAUUCAUGUCUUUAUUCAAUGAAAACUUUUCUGAUGAAAUUUACAGAAAAAUUCAAUUCCCAUGUUUAAUGCUCUACCACAGCAGUCUGUAAAUUCAUCUUCUUUCAACAUCAUACAUUCAGUAAAAAAAACUCAUAUAGAUUUUCUCUAGAUAUGUUUUUCGACAUGUUGAUCGACGUUUUAAUGAAUCCGUUAUCAGGCAUUAGUUUCCUCUGAAUAAUCAGAAGAUUCAAUCAAACUCAGAGCAACAUAAAACUUAGUUCUUUCCCAUCAGAAAAGAAAAUGAAGGUCAAAUCUCAUAAAUGGGGAUUGUAAUACAAAAGAGAGGGGAUAAUCACUUAAAAGAAUAAGAAUUACAAGGAUUUUAGAAGUUGUACCAAUUUGUUAGUAAAUCCUUUUUCUUUUUGGAUGUUGAAAAGUAUUAAUCUCAAAGCUACUUUUGUUCUUCUUUGUUUUUCUAAUAUGAAGCCAAAGCCAUGGAAUUUCCUUUCAGUAGCUAAUUAUGGGAAUCAGAUGCUGAUAGAAUUGGUUUGUUUCUUUCUUUUUGCCUAUUUUCUUUACAUUUAGGCCAACCCAUUUUUACCAAUAGUUAAAGCCUCUAAUCAAAUCAAGUCCUUAUGUUCUUUCUCUCUUACAUUUCAUUCAAUGCGAACCUACACUUUGGUCCACUUUAUUCUUUUACCAUUUCUUGUUUUUUUCCUCCGAAAUCAUGGUCAGAAUGAACUUAGUUCAACUAAUAUAGUUCAAUUUUUCAAUUCACAUAUCGUGAAGACAAAAAAAAAAAUAUUGACAGUUAUUUUAGCCUAAAUUUAUUUUUGGAAGAGGUAACAUGCAAAUUAUACUAAUAAAUAAAGGUGUGUAAUCUGAUAAUAAUCGAAGUCGUUUAUGCAAAAUCUCGCUUAUUAACACAUUUCAUCAUUUUGAGUUGUAAUUAUAAGAAAUAUCAAAUCAAUAAUUUUAGGCAGCUGGUGGACAUGUAGUUACAUUUUUUUUAGGAAGAACACUUCUGCUUUGACUUUGUAUAUAGCAUAAUGCAGAAAAAGUCAAAUGUACAAAUUAUACAAAGAUGGAUGGUCUACAUAGAAUGUAGAAUGGUGUUGUUUCAAAAACUUAAACCCUUUCUAAAAUUUGUUCCAUUUUCUGUACCUUUUUCUGUGGGGGAGGGGAUUGGAAUCUGUUCUUUCUUUUGGAUAGAAUUGGAUUCUUGUACAUGAAACAAAGGGAUCUCUAGAAUGCUUUGGAAUCAGAUCCCGAAGUGUCCAAUCAUCUAAAGUCGUUUUUUUUUUUCCAUUUAUCCAAGAACAGUAAAUUGUCAAGAAAAGAGAUAUGUAUCAUGGCAUGGCAAGUAUAACUUCUCUUUGAACUCACACUCAAUUCGGUAAGAGUUGUAGAAACAUAGUGAAAUAAUCACUUUCUUGAAAACAAUUGCGACAUGACUUCAUGUUAAUUGCUCCCUAGUCCUCAGGACAGGUUAUAGCUGGAUUUUUUUAAAAACUUUAAGUAAGAGAAAAUAAAAUUAAAGAUCUUAUUCAAACCAAAAUUUUAAUUUCUAUAUAAAAGUUAGCUUCCAAACUGGAAGAACCAAAGCAUAUGCUGCAGCCAGGCUUAGUAAAUAAGUUAAUAACUUGUGGUUGUUUCACUUAUUCAACAGGGUUCUAUAGUCGAUAUGUAUGAUGAUUUUGAAACAAUAUAUCAUUCAUCAUUAUGGGAAGUUUAAAACAAAAGCUCUAUAAGAAUUCGCUAUCUUUUCAUUGAAGAAAUUCAACUACUUACCUACUAGCACCAACCACAGCAGCAGUUUAAGGAAACAGUUCCACACCAUCAUAUGAUUCAUAUCGACAAAUACAAUAUAUGUAUGUGAUGUUUAUUUGGAUGGAUACAUAUAUGUAGUGUAAUGGGGCAAGUAAAAAUGACAAGCCCAGAGAUAAAGAGGACACUGAAAGCCCAUACAAACAGAUUGGGCUGUUUCUAACAACCAAACUUCAGGUAGCCUAAUCAUAUGCUGGGUCAAGG